Molecule: long non-coding RNA, 201133 nt
Filed under: Malus domestica (apple)
Lineage: Eukaryota; Viridiplantae; Streptophyta; Magnoliopsida; Rosales; Rosaceae
Description: long non-coding RNA (MDOM_LNC006706)
Source: RNAcentral
GAGAUUUGAAAAUGACGCAGGAACUGAACCAUUUAAUCUAUUAAAAGCAAAAUCUAGGUACUCUAGUUUGCUAAAGUUGCCUAGCCAAGAUGGGAUUGGACCGGUUAAUCGACUUGUACUAAUCCUAAAAGUAGCCAGUUGGGUAAGGUUUGCCAAGGAAUCCGGAAUUAGACCUCCAAAUUUAUUGGCUGAAAUGUCUAGAUAAGUGAGCUGCCUAAGAUUCCCAAGAAAAGAUGGAAUCAAGGUUUUGAAUUGAAGAGGGUAUUGUUCCAAAAAAGCCAGUAAAGCCGACUUUCAGUAAGAUGAGAGGACUUCUUUGAUUAAAUUCAGGAAAAUAUCCAGUCAGAUCUUGGUUGUAUCUCACACUAAGAGAUUCUAGGUUUGGCAGUUGGAAAAUUCUCACUGGAAAUUCACCAAACAGGUGACAGUCCCUGAGGUAGAGGGUUGUCAAAGAUGAUAAAUUAGCCAUGGAAUGAGGAAUUGCCGAAGAUACAUUUACAAAACUGAGAGAAAGUACUUCGAGACUGGUUAAGUUUUGAACUAGGCUUCCAAGAUCUGAUGCUUCAAGUUUCAACAAGGGAUAAUUCCUCUCUUCUGACGACUGAUGAUCCUUAUCUUCUGACAAUCUAUCGAGAUUGAGAGAUAGAUCAAGGUAUGUCAACUUGGAUAACAGUGAAAGUUCAGAAGGGACUUGACCAGAAAAGACAGAGGUAGAGAGGUCAAGAUGAGUAAGGCUUGGAAAAUUCCUAAUGCUAGUAGGAAUUUGAGAGUAAUUGAAGUUAUUGUCAGAGAGGUUUAACCUUUGAAGAUGAACAAGGCGGAAGAGGCUGCUGUUGCUGUUGAUAGAGCCGUGGAGACAGCUGCUACCAAGAUCUAGGCCAAUCACAUGACCCGUCUUCUCGUCACACUUGACACCUUCCCAUGAGCAGGUGCUAUUUCCUCCUUCAGCUGGUUUCCAUGAUGAAACCUUUGGAUAAGCAUCGGGAGAUCUAGAAGCAGAUUUGUCAAUAGUAAAGCUGUCUCUGAAUUGCAGCAGGGCGGACUUCUCCUCAUCAGGGCAAGAUGGAUACUGCUUCUGCGAAGAGUAGGAAGAGUAGGAAGAGUUAGCAAUAACCACAUGAUGAAACAGCAACAAAACUAGUACUGGUUUUGAAAUGCGAAUGGUGGAGAUAUCAAGAAACCCCAUGACGACAAUAUUUUGAUUUUUUUUUUUUUUCGUUUUGCACUCUUAGCUAUGUAUGGAGUGGAAAGUGACACAACUAUUUAUAGACUGGCAUCAGCAUAAAAUUCUUCCGCAAAUUAAUCUCUAAAAAGUGAUGGAGAUGGGUGUAAUGGGGACAAGUGCAUCGUAUCUUCUACAUGUGUAAAAGAUGCUCUUGACCAAUUUAUUCGUGAGUUAAUUUUUGAAGUCAAGUCUUCCAACUUUUGAGAUGGUGUGAAAUUAGAAGUUAGACAAAUGAGCAGCACCAUAAAAGAAAAAAAAAAUAUUUGCAUACACACAUAUAGUUUAUCGCAUGAGUUCCUCCUGUAAGGGUUUAUGGUAUUUGUAUUGACACUCUUGUAAGGUUUUAUCAUAUUUGUAUGCCCAAUUGCAAGACUUAUCAACUUUGUAUUUGGGUACUUCUAAAUGUGUUGGACCUUCAUGCUUGAAAUCUUCAUUAAAAUAUGUGUAAUUUGUAUUGGAAUACAAAAUUAAACAAAAAAAAAAUGUUAACAGGUGACUCAUGAGCUUAAUAGGUUGAGUUUGAGUGACUCAUUAGCUUAACGAGUCGAGUGUGGGUCACUCGUUAGCUUAAAUGUUCAGGUGAAACCCGACUCAAACCCAAUAAACCUAACUUGUUUAUAGGUUACCAGCAGAUAGUAAGGGGGAUGAAAGUUUCGAACUCUCAACAACAAAUUAAGACAUUAGAGUCAUUAAAUUCAAUUCCUGCAUUGGCUUGAAGUGGGAUGGAUUUGAAGCCAGAACUUUUCAUUCGAUAUCCAAUUUCUUCAUCAUUAGGACUUUCAAACUCCUAGCAUAUAUUAAGUCAAGAGUGCAGGUGUAACGAAAUUUUUCAUGUUGGAUUUGGUCUAUGUUGCAUUUUUCAAACCGCAAGCCCUUUUUUCAUCAGAAAAGAAAUAUCUCAUUAACUCAAGAGAAAGCAAGGAAGAGAGAUACUUCCACUUGGAGUUGAAGCCCCAAGCCCCAACCAUAGGAAAACUGCAGAAAAACGUAUUUGGCUCAAUUCUAAUUUUCAUUCAUUCUCAAAUGUACAAUAUAUAUUAAAUACAAAUAUAUAGAUUAUUUACAAAUGCACGCCAUUUGCUCUUGCGUGGUGCUAUCCACCCACCCAUUUUACCUGUCACACACCACUCCCAAUUUUCGGACGUCGGGUCAUGUGAAUGGUAGAAGAUCAAUGUACAAAAAUUAACAAGUGUGUGUAUGAAGUAAAAUGGGGUGUGUGAAUAGCAUUAGGAGAAAUUAGAUUCACAUCCUUCAUUUUCCUACUCCAUUGAUUAAAACCUUAUUCCUUUUCAAUUUUUGAUCAACGUCGUUGGAUAUUAAUAAUAUCAUUUAUUAUUUCAAUAAUAAUUUUUUUUAAAUAUAUUCCUUUAGUGUUAAAAAUGUUACAAUUAGUAUAUUUAUAUUUAUGGCUAAAUUUUUUAUCAUAUAUUUUUAUUUUUAGUUUGUAACCAUUUUUAAUUUGCAAACCUUUUUUAAUUUGUACCAAUUUUCUUUUCAGUUUUAAUUUGUACCCAUAUAUUAAUUUCUUUUUGUGCCCAUAUUUUUUAAAGUUUUAUUUGUAUUUGUGUCCAUGUAUUUACCGUCACGUGACAUUGUAUAAUUAAUCAAUAAUAGAAAAAUUACAUAUGAUAUAUUUAUGUUUUAUGGCUAAACUUUGUAUCAUAUAUUUAUAUUUUUAGUUUGUACCCACUUUUAAUUUGCAACCUUUUUUUUAAAUUUAUUGUAUUUUCUUUUUAGUUUUAAUUUGUACCCAUGUAUUUUUUUUUUGCACCCAUAUUUCUAAAAAUUUCAUUUGUACACAUAAUUUUUUUUAAUUUUUUAUCUGUACCCUAGAGGUCGCACUUGGUGCGAUGGCAAGUGCCUUCGCCCAUGAGCGGUAGGUCUCGGGUUCGAGACUUGGGAGCAGCCUCUCCAUAAAUGGGGACCCUGCGUAAAGCAGGAGCUUUGUGCACUGGGUACGACAUUUUUUUUUUAUCUGUUGUCACAGCCCGUCCCGGGAUUUUAUUCAUCGAGGACGUGAAAAGACGGAUUUACCCUUAGCGGGUAUUAAGGUAUGUGUGUGUAUGAUAUAUUAUUUGGACUAAAUAUACAUUCCUAAACUUUUGGAGGAAAUAAUUUAAGUUGGAUUAAAUUGGAUUGUAUUUUGUGUGGUUAGGGAUUAAAAUUAGUAUGUAUGGUUUUGGUUGGACCACACACCCAUUCAACCCUUCUCUCUCUCUUCCCCGUGCUUCUCUCUCUCUUCCUCUCCGUUCAGUCUCUCUCCCUCACUCUCGAACGUACGGACAAGCUAGGAACCUCCCAUUUCUUCACGGAUCGAAGGUUCUAAGGUAAGAUUUGAACACCUAGUAAGCUUGUGAGUUAGUAUAUGUGAUUUUUGGAACUUAAAACCCUCAGAAUCAUCGUGAAACCAUAACCCCGAAAAUGUGCACUGUUCAUGCACACGUAAAAUCUUGCAUUUCAGGCAAUUUCAAGCUCACAUUGAGCUUAAGGAGAUCCUCACGAGCUUCGGGGUACUUCGUUGGUAGAAUUUGGACGUCGGAGGAUCAAGAUCGGAGUUUUUCAAAAUUGGCCGGAUUAUCGUGCUUCCUCAGGUAAAAUCUAGUGGAUUUUGGACCUUGAAACUAGUCUAUUGUGAUUCUACAUGUUGAGGGCUUCAAAUUGAUAUAUUAUACGAAGAAAAUGGUUGAGAAACGAAGGAGAACGAAGCAUUUGAAAAUUCUCCGGUUUCGGCCACCGGAAAAACCAGUCCGGCGAGCUCGCGAGGAAGAAGGUGCGCAUGGGCGCGCGUGGACCCGUGCCUUCCCUGGCGCGUGGGGGCGCGUGCCACAUCAAAAAAUUAUUUUAAAAAUUUGUCGACGUCCGUGACGUCGAGUAGGUCAAUGUGGUAUAUUCAUAUACCCAAAUUGAGCACCGUAUGAGAAGUUAUUAAGAAUUGUUGGUUAGGUGCUUUAAAUAACGUUUUAUAGUUUUUGCAUUUAGGUGAAAAUAUGAAUUGACGAUCCGACCGUUGGAUCGUCACCAACUUUGAUGCGUUGUAAUACGUAAUAUUUGAGGAUUAUAGGAAUUUACGGAUUGAGAAUCCGUUUGCGGAUCUUCCGGAAUUGGAGUUGUAAGUCUAUAAUAUAGAAUGUUAACCGUCACUUGGUUUUGUUAAUUGACGGAGAUCUGACCGUUGGAUGGUAAGGAAAUUUUAGGAUGUUGUCCUAGAGAUAUAUUGUGGACCUCUAGAAGUUAUGGAUUUAAAAUCUGAGUGGCAGAUCUUCCGGAUCGAACUGCGUAGUGACGUAUUUUAUAUAAGUUAUAUAUUCUAUCGAUAUGAAUUCUGAGGUUGGAUUUGAUUAUUGUUUUAGGCGCCGAUUGUCAUGACGCCUUGGCGUAUUGUGCUAGGGAGUUGUAGGGCGAACUCCAGGUGAGUGGGCAGUUUUGAUUUCGUAUUACCUAUAUACAACUGUUUUUCCUAGAAAAUUCGUUUUUAUGAAAACUAUGAAUUAAAUUGCCAUGCAUGCAAUUGUUGAGAUAUCUAGUUUGAUAAUUGAUACUUAUAUAUGUGAAUUGACGCGUUGGACGCACAUGUGAGUUUUAUUAUUAUUCAGAUGAGUUAUUUUAUAUGUAUUGCAUUGAAAGCUCAUAACCUGCACCUAGGUGUUAGUGCUUAUAUUGUUAUUCACCACACCGCACGCUCGUCUUGGAUCCAAGUAGGUGGAUGUCGUACAGACCAUGUGAGGGUUCCGACAUGCUAGUCGUACAGAUCACUAGAUGUGAUUCCGACUAGUGGGUGACCUUAGUUAUGCGCGCUGAUGAUUGAUGAGAGAAGCACUAGAGCGUAAUUGUACACCUGUCAUCGUACAGACUACUAUAGGUAGUUCCGAGUGACGUGCAGAGUUAGGCCGUACAGGUCACUGUGGUGACUCCGGCUGAGUGGGAUGUUGAGCUUAGAAUCAGCCGUACAGGACCAUUGUAGGGUCUCCGGUUGAUUUAUUAUUUCACCUGAUUGAUAUUGAUGCAUUCUGAUUAUAAUUUGGGCAUGGCAUAUCAUUUCUGAGAUGUUAUGAUGAUGGAUAUAUGCUGAGUUAUGAUGUUGCGUAUAUAUAUAUAUAUAUAUAUAUGUUUAUAUACUAUUUUCUGGGAAAAUAUAUAUAUAUGUUUAUAUACUAUUUUCUGGGAAAGUAUACAGGUUUUACGGAGAGGGGUUAGAAAUGUUUUAAAUGAAAUGUUUUCAAAAAACUUUGUUUUACUGACCCACUCAAUUUUGUUUUGCGCCCCUCCAGGUUCUAGAUAGCAGAGCUUUGGUGGCCACGAGGAAUCCAACGGUGUUUUGACAGAAUUCACAAAAGUAGGACUCACCCUCGGGUGUUUCAUCUUAGUAAUUGUAUUUUUUUUAAGCUUCCGAACUGUGUAAAUGGUUACGUCACUCUCACGUGACGGCCAUCAUGCCCUCCUUCGGGAUGGGGUGUGUCAGUUGGUAUCAGAGCCUAGGUUGCAAUUCUGGACAUCUUGAGAAAUUCCUAGUGUCUUCUGUCAGAACGAUACCGCCUCGUAGCGAGCCACGUAGUUCGGAUGAACCUAAUUUCCCUGAUAUAGUAGUUUGGGGGGAAAUUAUUGCCAUUAUGAUUCAGUCUAUUAUCUAAAGGAACCUUUGAGACUGGUUAUAAGUUGAAUUUGAAUCCCUUUAGGGAUAUGAAGGACCUAAGGGAGCAGAUUGAUGGCUUAAUCAUUUGGGAAAAGGCGUUUCGGAUUAUGCAAAGUCAAGGGAAUAUUCCUCUCGACAGGUGGGUCGAGAUGACUACCUAGUUUUUUAGUGUUGAAUCUGCAUUCUGAUGGAGAUAGGAAUGUUAUCCGAUGAUAUCGGAAGGACAGCUGUUUGGAAGUUGUUUAAAGAAUUGUUUAGAAAAAGUUCAUUCCUCCGGCAUAUUGUGAUGGUAGUAAGCAAGAAUUUGCAAAUGUGAGACAAGGAAAAUGACGACGGAUGAAUAUUAUAGAAAGUUUACAGACUUGCCUUGUUUCCAUUCGGAUGUUGUUGUUAAUCCGGUCGUGGUGUUAUGUCGUGUUUGGCUGGAUAAUAAGAAGAAGUGGCGUUCUUUGGCGACCACUAUCCAAUGUACUAUUUACCAAGAAUUUACGAGAUGUUGUUGAGAAUUGAGGACUCUGAGAGCAUGAUCAGCGAGAGUAAAGAAGAAUAAGAAAAGAAUGGUAAUUAGAGGAAAUACGAUAAAGUUAAAGAUCCGUCAUAUCAAGGACAUCGAAAGACUCAGAGCUUCAAAAGAAGUGAAGUUAGAACUAAUUCUUCCAGCUUAGGUUUUAAUGCCACUGGUCAGAGGCGAAGUGAUAGAUUUACUGGUGAUCCCAGAUCUUAAAGACAAGGUGACUCGAGUAAGGGAAAUGUACCUUUGUGCCAUAGGUACAAUAUUAGACACUUUGGAGAGUGUGGGAAUCAGUGAAUGUGUUCAUGUGGACAGAUGGGACAUAGAGUUAUGAAUGGUCCCUAUAAUCAGUUGUUACCCAGCAGUCUUCCCUGACACCACAAUAUCGAUCCAGCAGGUUUAUGGACUUAAUAGUUUGGUCAGAUGGGUCAUGGGUACAGGGAUAUUUGAUGAGUUAUAAGUCCAGCCGUACAGGCCACAAGAGGUGGAUCCGAUAGACAUAUUAUUUGGAAAAUUGAUGAGUAAGUCGUAUAGGUCACUAUAGUUGACUCCGACUUAUGUGCUAGCAUGGAUAGUUAAGCUAGAGAAUCAGUCGUACAGGUCAUUCUAGCUGACUCCGGCUGAUAUAUUUCUUAUUAUGGACGAUGUUGCCAAAGAGAGUAAUGUUGGAGCACGAUCGAGGCGUAUUUAUGUAUUUCUAAGGAAGAACAAGAUGAUAAUAUUACACCUUUAGGAAUUGUUACUUACUUAUCGAGACAACAGUGAGUUAUUUGUAUUGCGGGCUGCAGACCAUAAUAUUUAUAACUUAUUUGUUGGAUUCGUUAAGCAAGUAAACAGGUAGGGCACUCUAUGUUGAUUUGGUUUAUUCAGGAUGCCUAAUGAUGGUGGAAGAUAUAGUUAUGCCAGUGAAUCUUAUUUCGUUGGACAUCGUGGAUUUGGAUGUGAAUUUAGGCACAUAUUAGUUGCGUUAUAAUCAUAACAAGAUAGAUUGCUACGGGAAACCCGUUACCUUCCACCAAUUUGGAUGACUAGAGGUUACUUUUGUGGGUAUGCAAAAUGGAUUGAGUUAGGCCGUUAUUUAUGCUGUGAGAGCAAAUAGAUUGUUAUCGAAAGGCUGCCAAGGAUACUUAGCUCAUAUGGUGAUAAAUGAUGUUGCUUCUAGUAGUUUGGGAGAUGUAAAGAUGGUUAGACAUUUUCUUGAUGUUUUCCCUGAGGAAUUACCUGGAUUGCCGUUAGGCGGAAUUAUGGAGUUCACUACUGAUUUGUCUCCAGGCACAAAAUUUAUGUUAAAGAUUGGUUCAUGAUGAGUUAAGGGAAUUGAAAAUUCGGUUACAGGAAUUGGUUGAUAAAGGUAUCAUUUAAAGUACAUCACGUGGGGGAGCACCAGUUUAUUGGUGAGGAAGAAAAUGGACAUUAAGCCUAUGUUUUAAUUAUAGGCAAUUGAAUCGGGUAAUGAUCAAGAACCGUUAUCCAUUGUUACGUAUUGAUGAUUUGUUGAUCAACUUAGAGGUCUGCGUAUUUCCUAAGAUUGACUUAAGGUCUGGUUGUUAUUGAUUGAAGAGUUAAUGAUAACGUUCCUAAGAUUGUGUUCAGGACUCGUUACGGUCAUUAUGAGUUUUAGUGAUGUUAUUCGGAUUGAUGGAUUCUCUUGCUGUUUUAUGAGUUUGAUGGAUGAAGUAUUCCAAGAAUGCAUUGACAAGUUUGUUAUUGUUUUCAUUGACGAUAUUCUGGUAUACUCUAAGCCUAGAGCAGAGCAUGUUAGAUAUUUUAAGUUGAUGUUACAAAGUUUGAGGGAACGUCGAUUGUAUGCUAAGUUUAGCAAAUGCCAAUGUUGGAUGAAUGAAGAAGCAUUUAUGAGAUAAGUUAUAUUUGCUAAAGGUAUUCAAGUGAAUUUUUAAAAGGUAGCGGAAAUUGAGAAUUUGGAACAACCACGAAUUGUGAUUGAGAUUCGAAGUUUUCUUAGUUUGGUAGGCUAUCGUGGACGGUUCGUGAAAGAUUUCCCAGUCAUUGCUUUGCCACUGACGAGAUUGACGAGAACAGAGGUUAAGUUUGAGUGGAUAAUAAUUGUGAGCAAGGGUUUCAAUAGUUGAAGUAUUUCCUCACUCAUACAAGUAUUUUAGCACUCCCAGAAGAUAGCGGUAAUUAUGAGGUCUUUAGUGAUGCUUCUUUUGGAUAAGUGUUAAUGCUGCAAGGUAGGGAGAUUGCCUAUGCUUCACGGCAAUUGAAACUUCAUGAAAUGAAUUACUCUACUCACAAUUUGGAGUUAGUAGCUAUCAUCUUUACUUGGAAGUUUGGAGACAUUACUUUUAUAGUGAAAAGUGUAAGAUUUUUACGAAUCAAAUGAGUCUCCAAUGUCUGCUUACUCGGGGGUAUUCUAAUCUUAGGCAACGAAGGUGGGUUGAGUUACUAAAUAAUUAUGAUUGCACGACCAGGGUGAUCGUGAAAUUGUUGCGACUGAUGCACUUGGUAGGAAGGCUCCAGUAAGAAUUAAUGCUUUGUAUGCUUGUUGUGUUUUCCCUUCUUGCGGAUUUAGGACCCUGGAGUGAAACUUAAGGUAAAAGUUGAGAAGAAGCUUUAUUGACUAAUUUUCAGGUUAGACCAAUUUUAGUUGAUUGUAUACUUGAUGCCCAGAAAUUUGACGAAGGAAUUCAAGAAUUAACCGAGGCAGAAUUGGAUGGUAUGUUUAUGCAAGAGAAUGGGACGUAUGUGCCAAAUUAUGUGGAAUUAAGAAAGCAAUUUUGACGAUGUACACUGUUAAGCUUUUUGGGUAUGUUGGUUACUUCUAAGUUUUGGAUAGCGUACAGGAAGCUUGGUUACCAAGUUACCUUAUAGUACAACUUAUCGCCCUCAAAUAGAUGGUUAAUCAGAGAGCACUAUCCAGACUUUGGAGGAUAUGCUGAGAUCUUCAGUAUUGCAGUUGGCGACACUUAGAUUAAGCGGUUGGAUUUGAAGGGAAUUGCCUACAUCUAUAGCGUUCGUUCGAGCAUGGGUAUGAGACCAUUUGAGGCACUUUUUGGUAAAGAUUGUAGUACACCUUUGUGUUGGACAGAAGUUGUCAAAAGAGUUCUUGCGGGCCCUGAGGUUAUGGAUGAGUCUACUUGGAAUGUUCGAGUGAUUAAUUUUAACUUGGAAAGCGGCCCAAGAUCGCCAGAAAAGUUUAACAUACAGACAUGCCACUGAUCGAGUGUACAAGGUAAGUGAUUGAGUAUUUAUGAAGUUAUCACCGUGGCGAGGUGUUGUUCGAUUUGGAAAGAAAGGUAAGUUGAGUCCUAGGUACACCGGACCUUAUCGGAUCACCGAGCGAGUCGGUGAAGAUGUUUACAGGCUUGAAUUGCCGUCAGAGCUGUCCAGUGUACAUAAUGUGUUUCACGUUUCGGUGCUUCGACAUUAUGUUACAAAUACGUCGCAUGUGAUCCCUCUGCAACCCUUAGAGUUUAACCCAGAUUUGUGUUAUGUGUUACGACGAGAGGGAGCCGGUGACGAUACUUGAUUGGAAAGGCAAGGUUCUAAGGAAUAAGACAGUGAGCUUGGUAAAAGUAUUGUGGAGGAACCACUCCGUGGAAGAAGCUACUUGGGAGACCGAAGAUCGGAUGAGAGAGAUGUACCCGAGGUUAUUUUAUGAGUAUUAAGUGGAUUGGUAGGUUGUAUGAAUUUCGAGGACGAAAUUCUAUAAGGGGGAAAGAUUGUCAUAGCCCGUCCCGGGAUUUUAUUCAUCGAGGACGUGAAAAGACAGAUUUACCCUUAGCGGGUAUUAAGGUAUGUGUGUGUAUGAUAUAUUAUUUGGACUAAAUAUACAUUCCUAAACUUUUGGAGGAAAUAAUUUAAGUUGGAUUAAAUUGGAUUGUAUUUUGUGUGGUUAGGGAUUAAAAUUAGUAUGUAUGGUUUUGGUUGGACCACACACCCAGUCAACCCUUCUCUCUCUCUUCCCCGUUGUUCUCUUCUCUCUUCUUCUCCUCUCUGUUCAGUCUCUCUCCCUCACUCUCGAACGUACGGACAAGCUAGGAACCUCCCAUUUCUUCACGGAUCGAAGGUUCUAAGGUAAGAUUUGAACUCCUAGUAAGCUUGUGAGUUAGUAUAUGUGAUUUUUGGAACUUAAAACCCUCAGAAUCAUUGUGAAACCAUAACCCCGAAAAUGUGCACUGUUCAUGCACACGUAAAAUCUUGCAUUGCAUUUCAGGGAAUUUCAAGCUCACAGUGAUGAGAUCUUAAGGAGCUUCGAGAGCUUCACGGGUUCGGGUACUUCGUUGGUAGAAUUUUGGACGUUGGAGGAGACCGAGAUCGGAGUUUUUCAAAAUUGGCCGGAUUAUCGUGCUUCCUCAGGUAAAAUCUAGUGGAUUUUGGACCUUGAAACUAGUCUAUUGUGAUUCUACAUGUUGAGGGCUUCAAAUUGAUACAUUAUACGAAGAAAAUGGUUGAGAAACGAAGGAGAACGAAGUAUUUGAAAAUUCCCUAGUUUUCCGGCCACCGGAAAAACCAGUCCGGCUAGCUCGCGAGGAAGAAGGUGCGCGUGGGCGCGCAUGGACCCGUGCCUUCCCUGGCGCGUGGGGGCGCGUGCCACAUCAAAAAAUUAUUUUAAAAAUUUGUCGACGUCCGUGACGUCGAGUAGGUCAAUGUGGUAUAUUCAUAUACCCAAAUUGAGCACCGUAUGAGAAGUUAUUAAGAAUUGUUGGUUAGGUGCUUUAAAUAACGUUUUAUAGUUUUCGCAUUUAGGUGAAAAUGUGAAUUGACGAUCUGACCGUUGGAUCGUCACCAAACUUUGAUGCGUUGUAAUACGUAAUAUUUGAGGAUUAUAGGAAUUUACGGAUUGAGAAUCCGAUUUGCGGAUCUUCCGGAAUUGGAGUUGUAAGUCCAUAAUAUAGAAUGUUAACCGUCACUUGGUUUUGUUAAUUGACGGAGAUCCGACCAUUGGAUGGUAAGGAAAUUUUAGGAUGUUAUCCUAGAGAUAUAUUGUGGACCUCUAGAAGUUAUGGAUUUAAAAUCUGAGUGGCAGAUCUUCCGGAUCGAACUGCGUAGUGACGUAUUUUAUAUAAGUUAUAUAUUCUAUCGAUAUGAAUUCUGAGGUUGGAUUUGAUUAUUGUUUUAGGCGCCGAUCGUCAUGACGCCUUGGCGUAUUGUGCUAGGGAGUUGUAGGGCGAACUCCAGGUGAGUGGGCAGUUUUGAUUUCGUAUUACCUAUAUACAACUGUUUUUCCCAGAAAAUGCGUUUUUAUGAAAACUAUGAAUUAAAUUGCCAUGCAUGCAAUUGUUGAGAUAUCUAGUUUGAUAAUUGAUACUUAUAUAUGUGAAUUGACGCGUUGGACGCACAUGUGAGUUUUAUUAUUAUUCAGAUGAGUUAUUUUAUAUGUAUUGCAUUGAAAGCUCAUAACCUGCACCUAGGUGUUAGUGCUUAUAUUGUUAUUCACCACACCGCACGCUCGUCUUGGAUCCAAGUAGGUGGAUGUCGUACAGACCAUGUGAGGGUUCCGACAUGCUAGUCGUACAGAUCACUAGAUGUGAUUCCGACUAGUGGGUGACCUUAGUUAUGCACGCUGAUGAUUGAUGAGAGAAGCACUAGAGCGUAAUUAUACACCUGUCAUCGUACAGACUACUAUAGGUAGUUCCGAGUGACGUGCAGAGUUAGGCCGUACAGGUCACUGUGGUGACUCCGGCUGAGUGGGAUGUUGAGCUUAGAAUCAGCCGUACAAGAUCAUUGUAGGGUCUCCGGUUGAUUUAUUAUUUCACCUGAUUGAUAUUGAUGCAUUCUGAUUAUAAUUUGGGCAUGGCAUAUCAUUUUUGAGAUGUUAUGAUGAUGGAUAUAUGCUGAGUUAUGAUGUUGCGUAUAUAUAUAUAUGUUUAUAUACUAUUUUCUGGGAAAGUAUACAGGUUUUACGGAGAGGGGUUAGAAAUGUUUUAUAUGAAAUGUUUUCGAAAAACUUUGUUUUACUGACCCACUCAAUUUUGUUUUGCGCCUCUCCAGGUUCUAGAUAGCAGAGCUUUGGUGGCCACGAGGAAUCCAACGGUGUUUUGACAGAAUUCACAAAAGUAGGACUCACCCUCGGGUGUUUCAUCUUAGUAAUUGUAUUUUUUUUAAGCUUCCGAACUGUGUAAAUGGUUACGUCACUCUCACGUGACGGCCGGCCAGCAUGCCCUCCUUCGGGACGGGGUGUGUCAUCUGUACCCUAAUUUAUUUAUACUGUACCCAUUCUUCUUUAUUAAUGUACCACUUUGUUAUAUGUGAAAUGUACCAAUUUGUUUUGUAAAAUGUACCAAUUUUUUUAACACUAUGGAUACAUUAAUUCUUUUGCCAUUUAUUAUUUGUUAUUGUUACAUAGUUUUUAUCCAUUUAUUUAUCAAAAUGUUUGAACUUUUUCAUUGUAGCCAUUUCUAAUAAUAUUAUAAUGAGGGAUUUUAAAUUUAUAGGAUUAUAAAUCUUAUAAAAUAUCAAACAAUUAAUGUCAAAACUAUAAAAAUAUAAAUAUUAAUAGUAAUAUAAUGAGAUGUACAAAGUCAAUGGACUUUGAUCAAACUUUGAAUACCAUUAAGGUUUUAGUUAAAAAGUGUUAGAGAUUAGGGACCCCAUCCAAAGUAUCCCAUAGCAUUAUCCUUACUCUUUCAUACAAUUAGCGUAAUGUAAAAAAGUCAACGAACCCAUGUAGAAGAUUUAAUGAGUCGAAUUGUUCAAUGAACCAAACCCAUGUAGAAGAUUUAAUGAGUCGAAUUGUUCAACGAACCAAAUUAACUAACACUCCCCCUCAAGUUUUGUUGGAUAAAAGCUUAAGCGCUCAAAACGUACUUUUACCUGACGGAAUGAUUUCAUCUCAGAAGGUGUUUUCUUAUAGUGAUACCAAUUAACUCCAUGAUAAUAAUCUUUUUAAUUAUUUUAUUUUUUCACUCUUAGCUAUGUAUGGAGGUACAAAGUGACAUAACUAUUUGUAGACUGGCAUCAGUAUAAAAUGAUUCUGCAAUAUGAUUUCUAAAAAGUGAUAGAGACCGGUGUAAAGGGGACAAGUGCAUCGCAUUUCUUCUACAUGCAUAAGAAGAGAUACUCUUGACUAAUUGAUUCAUGAAUUAACUUUUGAAGUUGUCUUCAACUUUUAAAAUAGCGUGAAAUCAGAAGUCAAAAAAAUAAGCAGCACCAUACAAGAAACAAGGCUUGAUGACGCAGCACUAGCGUAGAAGGAUUAAAAAUAUAAAUCCUUGAAGAAACAAAGUUUUUGGAACCCACCAGUUUGAUAGAAACUCUAAAAGGAUAAUUUGAUUAAUUGAUGAGUUGAUGAUUACAAUGGAUAAUACCCAUGACUUAAAUAAGUCAUUUACAACACUUUUGGACAACUCAAAAGGCUUAGAGAAUUAAAACGAAAGUAAAUGACAUUAAUCGGAUGACAAUUGAAAAGUCCAAAACUUAUUACAAACUUUAUUUUUUGGUUUUGGAAGCCACGGUCGCAAGAGUUGGCAAGCCCCGCACACAACCGAAGGACGUAGUUAGCUUAUUGAUUACUCGGCCUGCGUGCCAUGAAUGCUUGGUAGUUUUUAAGGUCAACAAUUGUACAUUUGAGAAUGAAGGAAAAGUACAAUUGAGCCAAAUAUGUUUUUCUACAGUUUUCCUAUGGUUGGGGCCUCAACUCCAACUCGAAGUAUUUCUCCUCUUCCUUGCUUUCUCUUGAGUUAAUGAGAUAUUCCUUUUCUGAUGAGAAAAGGACUUGCAGUUUGAAAAAUGCAACAUAGACUAAAUCCAACAUGAUAAAUUUCGUUACACCCGCACUUUUGACUUAAUAUAUGUUAGGAGUUUGAAAGUCCUAAAAUGAUGAAGAAAUUGGGUAUCGAAUAAAAAUUUCGGGCCUCAAAUCCAUUGCACUUCAAACCACUGCAGGAAUUGAAACAGAUGACUCUAAUGCCUUAAUUUGAUGCUGAGAAUCUGAAACUUUCAUCUCCUUUACUAUCUGCUGGUAACCUGUAAAUGGGUCCCGUUUAUUGGGUUUGGAUCGUGUUUCACCUGACCCGUUAAGCUAAUUAGUCACCCCUAACUCGUUAAGCUAACGAGUCAUCCAACAAAAACCAUCAUCGGAGAAGACAAACGGAACCGGCCGGAUCGGGAUAAGGGAACGGGUCCAUCCUCCCGUGCCUUUUCCCUCUCCCUCAUUUUCCUCAUUUCCUCCCCUUUCAUCUCAACCAUCCAUCUCUCUCCUUUCUCUUCCUUUCCUUCCAUCCCAGCCACACAAGUGGCUUCACAAAUCUUUGCUCCAGAAAUCUGGAGCCUUCCAAAUUAAAGAAAAUUACCAAAAUGUCUUUAACUUUAAAUGUUAAUAACUCUUUCAUUAUAACUCUGUUUCACGAACGGUUUGCUCCUACACGUUCGUGAGAUCAAGCUCUAUUCAAAAUAUGAAUUGUAACCUCGAAAGGUCUACGGAUUUUAAAGAUUGAUUACGAAAAUUCAACCCCGAUAAUUAUUUGAUUUAAUUCCAAAAAUAAAUGAAAUUAAAAUUAACUAAUAAAAAUAACGUAAACGUGAAAUAUGAAUUUAAAUAACGAGAUACGUAAUUAAUAGUGAAAUUCCGAGGACGGGAUUUCACAAGAAUUCUUUACAAGGCUACAAAGAAAAUAAAUAAAUUAAACUUCUAGAGAUCUCAAAUCUAAUUCAAUCUCAUUCCGCCUACUCUCAUGACUGUCUAGUUUGAAAACCUGCAUAACAAUAAAGGGGUGAACUUCAACAACUCACUAGGGACAUAAUCUUAAAUAGUAAAAUAACCAAGCUAAAUUAGAUGUCAUGGCAUCAUACACAUCAGGUAUCAAAUCAUUAUUGAUAACAAUGCAUGAAGGCAACGUAAAGCACUUUACCUAUACUUGUUAAUUCGUAUAACAAAACACACAGACCUCGUACGUCUCAUUCCGUACUUAUACCACUUGAUCAUGAGUGCUAAGUUAUAUAAAAUUUCCACCGACCCCAAGCCCGGGUCGUGACACCUAACCAGGUCAACAGACCUGGUGAUCGCACCUAAUCAAAACCCCUGGUGCCAAUAGUGCCUGCUGGCGUGAGACCCUCUGCAGCAGCCCCAACAGAAGAGCCAAACGACUCUAUAUGACGUGGCUCGAUAACAACCGUCGAAUUGAUCUUAGGCGGGUGUAAUUGAUCUUAGGCGAUUAUUGAGGCGUGUCGGUAGAGAGAGGGAUUGAUUAAUUUGGUGGUUGCAUGACACAUGUAAUAUCUCCUUCAGUCAUGGAAGCUUUCUCAAAUUUUAGUCAGUCAAGUGUAAUGCCAACAAUUGUUUAAAGAACAGAUUAAUUUUUCUUCAAAACCUACAACUAGCAUACGGAACAAAACGAUCAAAUGGAAGUCACCAAGAGGCAAUAAUCACGGAUCGGGAGCUAUCAGAUGGACAGCACAGCACAAAACUUGACAUUGAGUACUUUACAUGUGGGCCAAUUCGGUGUUGGGCUUUACAUGUGGACCAAUCUGUUCUGACAUUCCAAAAAAAUAUGACCACAAAAUGAAACAAUAUAAAAAGUGAUUUAACUUAUUAUAAGUCCAUGCAAGGUUUUGUUAUUCGUCGAAAUGGGACUUUAGCCUUCACACCUUCACAUAAUGUUCCAAUAACUUGUUUUUUCCCAUUAAUUUUCUUGUUAAAAUAUGUCAAUAAUUAUGAAAAUGGUACGUAAAAGUACUCUUAUAACAUCCCUCAAAUAUGGAAAACCAAAUAAAAUAAUAAAACUAGAAAACAAAAUAAAAUAAUAAAACUAGAAAACACAUUGUUGAUGUGUAACCCUUGAGCUAAUAUCUUGGAGCUAAAGUUACAAAUUUUGAUUUUCCUUUUAUGUGAUUUAUCUUUCUGAUGUAAACCAAGUGGUCUCUUCUCUAGCAUAGGAUCCAAGUGAUAGAAUAAGACAAGUGACAUCAUCUCAUAGGAUGAUAGCAAUGAAUGGUUGAGAUUGUUGUGUAUUGGUGAGUGAAGGAUCUCCCUUCCUCUACAUACAUAACGGUUACAAAAUGUAUUUGGUCUAAUUGAGUGAAAUCCAAGAGACAUAUUCAAUCAUCUUCUCUCUGAACACCAUUGCUGUUUUGUUCUUCAAACUCUAACACAUAGAACUCCAUUGAAAUACAAAUAAAACACAAACUCUAAUAUGGCCUCAGAGCCGGGUUCGGUUAUCUAAACUGGGCGUAAAUCUGUGAAAAGAAAACUGGAAUUGAUUAGAGCUGCAAUCGAGCUCAUACGACGAUCGAGGUGGUGUGAUUUCUUGAAUCCGAUGUCUAACAUGGCAGGAUCGGGCACUGCUGAGCUUCGCACGCCAGUUUUCAAUGGAGAAAAUUAUGAGUUCUGGAGUAUUCGAAUGAAAACCAUUCUGAAAUCUCAUGGGUUAUGGGAUAUCGUUGAAAAUGGGUUCGAUGCUUCAGAUUCAAAGAAGGAGAAGAAGAAGAUAGAAGAGAUCGAGGUCACUGAAGUGGAGAAACCGACGUUAGCUGAAAUCCUGAUGAAGGAUGCUCGUGCACUUGGGUUGAUCCAAGGUGCUGUCUCAAACCAAAUUUUCCCCAGAAUUGUGAACGAAGAGACUUCAAAGGGUGCUUGGGACAUUCUGAAGCAAGAGUUAAGAUGAGAUAAGCAAGUAAGGAGCGUAAAAUUGCAAGGUUUGCGUCAAGAAUUUGAAUAUACUCGCAUGAAAGAUAGUGAAUCCUUAUCUGUAUAUCUUACUAGAUUGUUUGAUAUAAUGAAUCAAAUGAAGAGUUAUGGUGAGGAUCUGUCUAGAGAGAGAGUUGUGAAAAAAUUGUUGAUUAGUUUGCCUAGAUCACAUGAUCCUAUUUGUUCCGUAAUUGAACACUCUAAUGACCUUGAAACUCUUGAGGUUCAAGAGGUAGUUGCUUCUCUGAAAAGUUUUGAACUCAUAUUGGAUAGACAUGCUGAAAAUUCUACUGAACGAGCUUUUGCUAGUCUAAAUGUUGGAGGUAAAAACCCUAAGGGAGUAGGUUAUUCUGGAAAUCAAAAGUUUCAGAAAAACUAGAAAUCCAAAGGAAAGAAGUGGGAUAAUAAGCCAAAUUUUGUUCACAAACCAAAUGUCUCUAAUGAUGGAAACAAGACAGCUUGUAGACACUGUGAUAAAUUGCAUUAUGGCAAAUGUUGGUUUGAAGGGAAGUCUAAAUGCACAGGUUGUGGGAAACUUGGGCAUGUGAUCAGAGACUGCCAUGGAAACAAAAAUAUACAGAAGGUGAACUAUGUAAACCAGGUUGAAGAAAUUGGUACCAUGUUCAAUGCAUGUAAUGCUAUGACAGAUGUGAAGGUGAAUCAUUCAUGGUACAUUGAUAGUGGUUGUAGUAACCACAUGAUAGGUGAUGAAAGGUUACUAAUCAACAUUCAAAGGAAUCUGACUUCCAGGGUGAAGAUGGGAACUGGAGAAAUUGUUCAGGUUGCAGGAAAGGGGACUCUUGUUAUAGAGACCAAAUUGGGAAGAAAGCAUAUUCAAGAAGUGAUGCUUGUUCCUGGACUUGAAGAGAAUCUGCUAAGUGUUGGACAGAUGAUGGAGCACGGGUACUAUCUAUUGUUUGGAGGAAAUAUUGUGAAUAUCUUCGAUGGUUGGUCACUGGAUAAUCUUGUUGUUAGAGUGCAGAUGACAAACAACAGGUGUUUUCCUCUUACAAUGAUGCCCGCAAAUUAGUUAGCAUUGAAAGCAAGUGUGACACACUGUAUGCAGAUAGGGCAUAAACGUUUGGGGCAUCUAAAUAAUAGAAGCAUAAAAAUGCUUGAAGAUCAAGAAAUGGUUCAUGGAUUGCCUCAUUUGGAGAAAACCUCUGUUGUGUGUGAAGGCUGCAUGCUAGGAAAGCAACACAGAGAGUCUUUUCCAUCAAAAUCAGCUUGGAGAGCUAAACUUCCAUUGGAAUUGGUUCACACAGAUAUCUGUGGACCAAUGCAAACUGAAUCUAUCUCUGGAAAUAAGUACUUUCUCUUGUUCACUGAUGAUUGUACUAGGAUGUCUUUGGUAUAUUUUCUCAGAAACAAGUCAAGUGCAUUUGAUUGUUUCAAGAAGUUUAAAGCAAUGACAGAGUUGCAGUGUGGAUAUAAGGUGAAAUGUCUAAGGAGUGAUCGGGGUGGAGAGUUCUUAUCAACCGAAUUUGACAGUUAGUGCAAUGAGCUUGGAAUUCAAAGGCAAUUAACCAUGGCAUAUUCUCCUCAACAUAAUGGAGUAGCUGAGAGAAAGAAUAGGACUGUGGUGGAAAUGGCAAAGUCUAUGAUGCAUGAAAAGGGUCUUUCUUAUGCAUUUUGGGCAGAGGCUGUGAACACUACAGUCUACAUACUUAAUAGAUGUCCCUCAAAGUCUCUCAAGAAGAUAACUCCAUUUGAAGCAUACACUGGUAGAAAACCAGGUAUUGCACACUUGAAGAUUUUUGGGUCACUAUGCUAUGUGCACAUUCCCUCAACACUAAGGCAUAAGCUUGAAGAAAAUAGUCGCAAGUGUAUUUUUGUAGGCUAUGGAAUCUGUGAAAAAGGGUACAAAGUGUUUGAUUUGAGUUCCAGUAAGAUCAUCCUGUCUAGAGAUGUACACUUUGAUGAGAAUGCUUCAUGGGAGUGGGAGAACACUGAUAAGAGUGAAAUACAAGUCCCCAUGAUUGCUGAGAAUCAAAUGGCAGAUUGUAGUGAAGGACAGAAGCAAGUGGAAGUAUGUGAACCAAGUCAAUUCUUGGAUACAUCAACUCAAGUGGAGGAUGUUAUUACACCACUAAGUGAGAAUGUUUUCGAAAGCUCUCAAACAACUGAUCACACACCACAGAAAUGGAGAAGUGUCAAUGAGAUCAUGGCUCAGUGUAACAUGUGCAUUGUAGAACCUAAAAACUAUGAAGAAGCUAUUCUAGAUGAGUCAUGGGAAAAUGCAAUGAAAUUUGAGCUUGAAAUGAUUGAGAAGAACAACACAUGGGAGCUAGUUGAUAGACCAUUUGACAAGCCAAUCAUUGGUGUUAAGUGGGUCUAUAAAACCAAGUUGAAUCUUGAUGGACCUGUGCAGAAGAACAAGGCCAGACUGGUGGCAAAAGGUUAUUCCCAAAAGCAUGGGAUAGACUACAAUGAAACAUUCGCUCCGGUUGCAAGAUUAGAUACUAUCAGGACCUUGAUAGCAAUUGCUGCACAGAAGGAAUGGAAUCUAUAUCAGUUGGAUGUAAAAUCUGCUUUUCUGAAUGGAACUUUGAAGGAGGAGGUUUAUGUUGAGCAGCCACAAGGUUUCGUGAAGGAGAGUGAAGAAACCAAGGUGUAUAAGUUGAACAAGGCUCUGUAUGGGUUGAAGCAAGCUCUAAGAGCUUGGUAUGAUGAGAUAGAUUCCUAUUUUAGCAAGGCAGGUUUCAAGAAGAGCUCUAGUGAAGCAACACUUUAUGUCAAAACUAGUGAAGCUACAGGUAUCAUUAUUGUUUCACUCUAUGUGGAUGAUAUUGUAUAUACUGGAAGUUGUCCAAAACUACUUGAAGAGUUCAAAAAUGACAUGAUGUAGCAUUAUGAGAUGACUGAUCUGGGGUUACUUCAUCAUUUUCUUGGCAUGGGAGUAGUACAAACAGAUAAAAACAUUUUAAUCCACCAGAGGAAAUAUGCAAUGAAGCUUAUUGAGAAAUUUGGGAUGAAAGAUUGCAAAUCAGUGGCAACACCACUAGCUGUGAAUGAGAAGUUAUGCAAGAUAGAUGGUAGUGAAGCAGCAAAUGAAAGUGAAUAUAGACAAGUUGUAGGUAGCUUGUUAUACUUGACUGCUACAAGGUCGGAUAUAAUGUUUGCUUCUAGUUUACUUGCUAGAUUCAUGCCUAACCUCACAAAGAAACACAUGGGAACAGCCAAAAGGGUGUUGAGAUAUAUUCAGGGCACUCUUGAUUUUGGAAUUGAAUUUGUGAAAGGGAAGACAAAUACUCUAAUAGGGUACUGUGAUAGUGACCGGGCAGGAAGUGAGGAUGACAUGAGAAGCACCUCAGGAUAUGCAUUUACACUUGGAUCCGGUAUGUUUUCAUGGGCAUCAAUCAAACAAAACACAGUGGCACUGUCCACUGCAGAAGCAGAAUAUGUCAGUGCUGCAGAAGCAACAUCACAUGCUAAAUGGCUAAGGUUUGUGCUUGAAGAUUUUGGAGAGGAGCAAGUGGAAGGCACACCAAUUCUGUGUGAUAACACUUCAGCCAUAGCAAUGGCAAAGAAUCCAGUUCUUCACCAGAGAACUAGGCACAUCAGUAGGAAAUUUCAUUUUAUCAGGGAAGCUAUCCAAACAAAGGAGAUUGAACUCGUCUACUGCAAAACGGAAGACCAGAUUGCAGAUAUACUAACCAAGGCUCUGUCAAAGGAUCGAUUUGUUUACCUAAGAGAUCUACUUGGUGUGAAAUCAGCUAAAGGGUUAGAAGGGAGUGUUGAUGUGUAACCCUUGAGCUAAUAUCUUGGAGCUAAAGUUACAAAUUUUGAUUUUCCUUUUAUGUGAUUUAUCUUUCUGAUGUAAUCUGAGCCAUUGGAUCAUAGUCCAAGUGGUCUCUUCUCUAGCAUAGGAUCUAAGUGAUAGAAUAAGACAAGUGGCAUCAUCUCAUAGGAUGAUAGCAAUGAAUGGUUGAGAUUGUGUUGUGUAUUGGUGAGUGAAGGAUCUCCCUUCCUCUACAUACAUAACAGUUACAAAAUAUAUUUGGUCUAAUUGAGUGAAAUCCAAGAGACAUAUUCAAUCUUCUCUCUAAACACCAUUGUUGUUUUGUUCUUCAAACUCUAACACAGAGAACUCCAUUGAAAUACAAAUAAAACACAAACUCUAAUACACAUAUCCCUAUUCUAAUUUGGUAAACUAGGCAGCCAUAAAUUCCACACAUUUCCUAGUCAAAUUUGCACCAAAUCAGGCUUAAGAAGUGGUGUUGGAAAGAUGAAAACGUUCCUUUCAACUUUGUAGAAUGAACUUUCCUAAAAAAAAACAUAAUUUUCAAAGACUUGUGACCAAAACAGCCUAAAAUGUCAAUCUGACAGCGCAAUCCUCUUCACUCCUUGAUGAAUCAGUUCUAAUUGGAAUCACUCCAAAAUUUCAUCAUUUCGUCACUUUUUAAGCAAACUAGAUUUUGCUUGUCCUCCAAUUAAAGCAUAAAAGAAAGUAUCAAAAUUCUCUCAAGAUAACAAAUAAAUUAUACCAAAGAUUAUGAUAAAAAUAUAAAAUAAUAUCUACUAGGCGGUCCUCAUACAAUAAAAGAGAAUUAAGUCACGAUAAGCAUGGAAACUAUUGAGGAGAAUUUGUAAGGUAAAUAUUUAUACAAAUGAUAACACUAUUAUUCAUCAACGAUAACGCAAGUUUUAGGGUGAACUACAUUGAUGUUUUCUGUGUUUGCACUUAAAGUCCGCCAAUCUUUUUGCAUUUGUUGCCUAUUGCACUGCACAACUGAUGGAUGUUAAUAUUCAGUUUACAAGCAGUUCCUACUAAACCAGUUCCCUUGUAGUCUACGAAAUGUUGUACAAAUUUCGUAGCUUUGGUUUUAGAAUUUAUACAACUCUAGUUAUACACAUUACUCUUGAAUAUGUAACUGUUGUACAAGUAUUCUUAGUUACUUAGGCAUAGGAAAGUUUUGAUUUGAUUUGAUUGAAAAGAGUGUCUCCAAUUAAUCGAAUGAACAAGAAUCCUUUUAAACAAACAUAGCUGCUUUCAUUCUAAUUUCAGAAAAUCCAAAUCCAUGAAAACAUAUACAGCACUCUACUAUCUUUAUUGAUAUCACUUUCAUCUCCAUUUUGUUUGUUAAAGGAUACGAACAAACAUUGAUAUAACUUAAAACAGUAGGAUAUAUAGGGCAGAGUCUUGAACUUGAAUAACACAAUCAACUAAAAGCUAUGAAGCUUUCUUUCUUUUUAAAGAAACCUCGACGGUACGAGAGAAAAUUUUAUUGAAUAAAAAAAAAAAGUUACACCUAGUCGGGGGACAUAAACUUUACUCAAAAUAAAGACAGGAUAAAGAAAAUUGGCGAAAAUACAAGAAAGUAGGGGGACAUACACUUACAUAACAUAAAACAAACUUAUAACUAAACAUAUAGAGAAGGAAAGAAACCACAAUAGAGAAACCAAACGACAACAACAGAUGCAUAACAUUGUAACAAACUCAAUUUCUAUCCCCCCCCCCCACUAGUACUCUAAAUUUUCCAUAUCAUUUGUCUGAUCAUUCCAACAAUCUUAAGAAACAAAUCGGGCCUCCUUGUGAUCACAACAUCUGCAAGAACUACUCCCACUACCAACCCACUUCCACAUCCGGCCGAAACAAUUUUCCAAUCAAAUUCAAAUAUUCCUGCUGAGCUAGAAUCACCUUCGUCUACGGUUGGAGGUGGAAGUUGAGGGGCCUUAGGAUUUCCACAUUUCUUUGGCAAUGGAUCUCCACACAACCCUGGCACUACUACAAAAGGACCCUAUAGUGUCAGUUGUUGCGUCGGUUUAAUAUCAUAUAGUGGCGCACAAGAGAGUUGCGACACCCACUGAAUAUGACGUCGGAUUUAGAAAGUCUGCGUCGCUUCUAUAUGCGACACGCAUACUUAAUGUCGCUUAUAACCGACACACGUUUUAAUAAUUUUAAAUACUGGCGUCGCUUUGAAUAAAACAGUGUCGCUUUUAAGCGACAUUAAGUAUGCGUGUCGCAUAUAGAAGCGACACUAAUUGAUUUUUUUAUAUAUUUUAAAUCCUACGUCGGUUCUGAGCGACAUAUAUUUUAUUUUUUUAAAUAUUUUGAAAACCAGUGUCGGUUGUAAGCGACAGAUUGAUCGUCUUUAUAUUCACUCACCCGUGUUCAUCUUUUCCUCUUGCAUUUAUCUCAUUCUCACGGUUCACAAACCUUCUCUCUCUCACCUUCCGAGUUCUUCCAAGUUCAUUCUUCACAAAGGUAAAUUUUUCUUGCUUGUAGUAUUUUUAUUUUCUCCUCUUAUGUUUAAUAUUUUGAUACAAUUUAUUGUUGUAGGGAAUUUAUUUGAGCUGGUUGAGUAUAUAAAGAAUUGAUCGACGACGGAAUUCUUCUAUAAUUCAGGUUUUCUAUCACUAAAUUCUUUAAUUUUUAAAUUGUAUAAUACACAAGUUUAUUUAUUUAAAAAUUGUAAUUUAAGUAGUUAGAUAAAUUUCUAUUAUUUUUGUUAAAUUACUUCAUAUUUAGGCGAAAUAAAUUAAUUUUGUCACUUGAAUUGUUAUGAGAAAAUAGAAUGAAUAUUAUCUAUAAGCAUUUAUGUUAAAUUAACAACAUUAAAUAUAACUUAAACUUAUAAUAUUGAGUAAUUUAAGAAUAUAUUAUGUUAAAUUAAUUUUUUUUUCACUCUAAUUGUUAUUUUAAUUUGUUGUUAUUUUGAUAAUUUUUUGUUGUUAUUUACUAGAAUGGAUUAGAUGAGAAUAAUUUGAAUUGUUAUGAGAAAAUGGAAUGAAUAUUAUUUAUAUGCAUUUAUGUUAAAUUAACAAUAUUAAAUAUAACAUAAACUUAUAAUAUUUAGUAAUGUAAAAAUAUAUUAUGUUAAAUUAAUUUUUUUUUUUUUUGCAAUUUGAAUGGUUAUGAGAAAAUGAAAUGAAUAAUAUUUAUAAGCAUGUAUGUUAAAUUAACAAUAUUAAUAUAACAUAAACUUAUCAUUUUUAGUAAUAUAAGAAUAUAUUAUGUUAAAUUAAUUUUUUUUACAAUUUGAAUUGUUAUGAGAAAAUGGAAUGAAUAAUUUAAAUAAGCAUUUAUGUUAAAUUAACAAUAUUAAAUAUAACUUUUGCACUAUAAUUGUUAUUUUAAUUUAUUGUUAUUUUGUUAACUUUUGGUUGUUAUUUACUAGAAUGGAUUAGAUGAGCAUAAUUUUGAUAACUUUUUGUUGUUAUUUUAAUUUGUUUUUACUACAAUAGGUGUUGAAAAUUAAAAGAUUGCAAUCGUGAUCGUGAUAGAGUUCGAGGGUUGAAAGAUAGAAAUUGAAAAUUCUAAUAGUUAUGCCUACAUGAUAGGGAUUGCAAGAUUGUAGGCAUCUUAGUGUCAGCGUAAUAUUUUACCCUCAUAAACUGGUAAAACAUGGACAAGAGUUGGUUGACGAUACCUCAAAAUUUUGAAGCGUAUACAGUUGGAAUUAAUUUGUUUUUGGAUCAAGCAGUUGCAAAUGGUGUUGGUCCUGAUAAGUUUAGAUGUCCUUGCAAAAGAUGUUGUAAUCGAUAAACUUUUGUUAGGAACACUAUUAUUGAACAUCUCAUAUUGUAUGAUAUGGAUAAAGAUUAUAAAAAUGCUUGCUGGCGACAUCAUGGCGAGCAAAACAUUGGAGAGCAAAAUGUGGCAAUUGGAGAAGAAGAAACAUGAGAUGAGGUGAUUGGUAUGCAUGACUUUCUUAAUGAUGUAUUUGUCCAACCAUUAACAGAAGAAGGUGUUGGGCCGUCUAUUGAACCGUCUAUUGGGGAAGGGCGUCCAGAAGAGGUGGAGACUUUUUUUAGGUUGCUUGAAGAGCCAGAUCAAGAUUUGUGGCCAGGGUGUAAGGAGUUUAAGAAAUUAGAAGCAGUUGUAAGGCUGUAUCAGAUCAAGUGUUUAGCGGGAAUGCCAGACGACAUCUUCACAACUUUACUGGAGUUAAUUAAAAGAAUGUUGCCUGAAGGGGAUUGUUUGCCUGAAUCAUGUUAUAAGGCAAAAAAACUUAUAAAUGACUUGGGUCUGACGUAUGUGAAAAUUGAUGCAUGUCCCAAUGAUUGCAUGAUCUAUUGGAAAGAUACUUCGGAUUUGACCGUGUGCUCGGUUUGUGGUGAAUCAAGAUAUAAAGUUACCAACGCAGCGGAUAGGUCGAGAAAAAAAAGAUCGCAGCUAAGGUUAUGUGGUAUUUUCCUUUAAAACCAAGAUUGCAACGAUUUUUUAUGUCGAAGCAUACGGCUGAACAUAUGAGGUGGCAUGCAAUUGAAUGUCCUAAAGAUGAGUUUAUGAGACAUCCUUCAGAUUCUCCAGCAUGGAAGCAUUUGGAUAAUUUAUAUCCGGAUUUUGCGUCGUCAGAAAUUCGAAAUGUUCGAUUAGGGUUGGCCAGUGAUGGAUUUAAUCCUUUUGGAAAAAUGAGGAAUGAUCAUAGCACAUGGCCGGUGGUGCUUUCUGUUUACAAUUUGCCGCCUUGGAUGUGCAUGAAGCAACCAAAUUUGUUGUUGUCUCUUUUAAUACCAGGACCGCGCAGUCCUGGUAAAGAGAUUGAUGUAUACAUGCGUCCACUGAUUGACGAGUUGAAUGAGUUGUGGGAGGUGGGCACUCCAACUUAUGAUGCGUAUUCCAACCAAAGUUUUAUGAUGAAGGCUGCUGUCUUAUGGACUAUAAGUGAUUUUCCGGCUUAUGGAAUGUUGUCAGGAUGGAGUACACAUGGCUAUAAAGCAUGUCCACAUUGCAUGCAUGAUAAAGAAUCCAUUUACUUGCCGGCGAGUCGUAAAAUUUGUUAUAUGGGGCAUCGACGGUUUCUUGAAGAUAAUCAUAGGUUUCGAAGGCAAACCACAGCUUUUAAUGGUCGUCGUGAGCAUCGUGAGCAUCGUAGUGCACCAAGGCAGUGGACUGGUUUACAAUGUCUUGAAGAACUUUGUACAUUGAGAUUUACUUUUGGAAAACCAAAGAAAAAUGCUUCAGUCGGGCAACGCAGAAAAAGAACUUCGAGCAGUACAAGUGGUAACAGUCAGUGGAAGAAGAAAUCUAUUUUUUAUGAACUACCUUAUUGGAGGCAUCUGUUGAUUAGACACAAUCUUGAUGUUAUGCAUAUCGAGAAGAAUAUAUGUGACAGUCUGGUGGGAACAUUGCUAGGUAUAGAAAAGUCUAAAGAUGGAUUGGCUGCACGUGCAGAUCUUGAAGUCUUGAACAUAAGACGCAGUCAACACCCACGUAGAGAAGGAAAUAGAACAUUUCUACCUCCAGCUUUGUUCACGUUGAAAAGAGAAGAAAAAACUGCGCGUUUUGCAAUGUGUUGUCUACUAUUCGGGUCCCCGAUGGAUAUUCAUCAAAUUUAUCGCGAUGUGUGCACGUGAAUGAACGAAAAAUACAUGGGUUGAAAAAGUCAUGAUUGCCAUGUUUUAAUGCAGCAGUUACUCCCGCUUGCAAUACGCCCGGUUUUGCCUAAAGUUGUUACUAUGGUAUUAUUAGAGUUGAGUGCAAUUUUCAGACAGUUGUGUAGUAAGAAGGAGUCUGAGGAAGGAUUUCAAGGAACUGAGUUCAAGAAUUGCCUUGACAUUAUGUCAACUUGAAAAAAUAUUUCCUCCUGCAUUUUUUUGAUAUUAUGGUGCACCUUCCAGUUCACUUGGCAGAUGAAGCAGCUCUUGCAGGGCCUGUUCCCUAUAGAUGGAUGUAUCCAAUUGAACGGUAAUUAAUAAUUUUUUUAUAAAUUUUUUACAAUUGUAGUCAUAACUUUAAUUUAUAAUUAUUACAAUUGUAGUCAUAACUUUAAUUUAUAAUUAUAGGUAUUUGCAAACGUUGAAGCGCAAUGUUCGUAAUAAAGGUCGUCCUGAAGGUUCUAUGGCUGAAGCAAAUUUGGUGGAUGAGUGCUUGUCCUUCUGUUCCAUGUAUCUUAGAGGUGUCGAGUCUCGUCGUAACCGUAGAGGCCGAAAUGAAGAUGGUAUUGGACGUGGAGUGUCUGGUGGGUUAUCAAUUUUUGACUCCAAAGGAUGUUAUAUGGGUUCAGGAGAACAUGUGGAGCUCGAUCUAAAUACUCUUGAUCAGUGCCAUAGAUAUAUUCUAAAUAAUUGUGAUGAAGUGAACCCAUUUAGAAGGUAAUAACGUUUAAUCACACGUUUUAAUGUUUUAUUGAUUUUCUUAACUUUGAAAAAUUAAUUAUCUAAAUUUCGACAUAAUUGUGUAGCCAACAUGAGGAAUUCUUGAAAACUAAACAUCGUCGAGAAAGGUUAACUAUGCGCCAAAUUAAGGAGCUAAGCAAGAAAGAAUUUCCAGAAUGGUUCAAGCAACAUGUGAGUUGAUAUAACAAUCACAUUAUUUAUUUAUUGUUUUGCAUUUUAAUUAUAACAUGUUAUAGUUAUUCUGUCAAUUUUUAUCUUCAUACUUAUUACAGAUGAAUUCAAGCUAUCAUGCUAAUGACACGUUGAUAUCUGAAGACUUGCAUUGGCUAGCUAAUUAUCCUAGUAGGGUUGUGAGUAGAUAUAAAAGUCACAUUGUUCAUGGGUUUAGAUUUCGUAUAAAAUCUGUGGAUGAUAAGCAUAAGAAUCAAAAUUGUGGUGUCUUUGUACCUGCAAAUGUUCCUGGAGCAAUUGGGCAAGUGAAUUGUUAUGGCAGAGUUGUUGAUAUGUUCGAGGUUAAAUAUUGUGGUCCUACUGAGGCGGAAGAUAGGGGUCGAGCUGUGAUGUUAUUUAAGUGCGAAUGGGUUAAUAGUGAAAGUCCACGAGGAAUGAAGACCGAUCAAUAUGGAUUUACUAUGGUGAAUUUCAAUCAAUUGGGAUUUAAAGAGGAUCCUUUCAUACUAGCAUCACAAGCAUUACAAGCAUUUUAUGUGGAGGACACAAUUGAAAAAGAUUGGCACGUAGUUGUUCGAACUCAGCCGAGGGAUUUGUUUGACGUACUAGAGGAUAGUGAUGCUAUUGAUGAUUAUGCCAUACCGAAUUUGGAUGAUCGAAUUCUUGAUAAUGAAAAUUUUCAUACAAGGGUUGGCGUGGAAGGGACUCCUUUUCUUGAAUCAUUAGCGCUGCCUACCGAGUUCGUUAAUCAUGCCAAUGUUGACGAUGAGCUAACAGAUGAUGAAGGAGAAUAAAUAUGUUAAUUAUUUUAUGUAUUAAUUAUCCUAUCUUUCAUUUCGUAUGUUAUGUUAUCUUAUUAUCAAAAUUAUAUUUUUGUUUUUUUUUAUUAAGUAUUAAAUAUAAGUUAAACCUUUUAUUUUUAAUAUUGGGUUAUAAUUUUUUUUUUUUUAGCUUGUUUCCUGUCGCUUUUAACCGACGUCGGUUUAAUUAAAAUAUUUUGGGCGGCAUUUUUCGCGGUUUUUUAAUUAAGUUGGCGUCGGUUUUAACUGACGCAAUGAAAGCUUAUUUCGACGCAAUGUCAUUUUAGCGUCGGUUUAAACCGACGCAAACUAAGAUUAUUUCGACGCAGACUGUCAUAUUACGUCGGUUUGAUCCGACGCAAUAUAAGCCUAUUUCGACGCAAUGUGAGUCUAUUUCGACGCAAGUUAAAAACCUGUUGUGAAUUAUAUGUAUUAAUGCGAAGAAAGGAUGAUUAUUUUUUCUUAUUUAAAGUUCACGAAAUUUUUUGAGCCGUUAAUUACACUAUUUUUCUUUUUUAUUUAACAAUUUUAUACUUCUAAAAACUUUAACAAUUUUAUACACUAGUGGAUAUCCCAAAAUCUUGUGUUAUACUUAAUGAAAGUAUGAAUAAACUGUUUAAGUGUUAGUGAAUGUAUCGUUUUGAUGGAAUACGAACUCUACGAAACUAAUUUCAACGAUCGAACCGUCAAACAUGUUUGUGUAUACUUCGAGAUCGCAUACGCCAAAAAUUAAAAAAAAAAAACUUUCUGAGACACAGUAACGGGAAAAACUUAUUCGACGGUUAUUAACGAAAAAUCACGAUGUAACGGUUAUUUUAACUCCGAUUUUGAUGAUUUUUUAUAUGUACACUCCUUCACCCUAUAUGAAUACGGUGAAUGAAUGCGAUCUUCAAUUUGAAAUAUUUACACUAGUGGAUAUCCCAAAAUCUUGUGUUAUACUUAAUGAAAGUAUGAAUAAACUGUUUAAGUGUUAGUGAAUGUAUCGUUUUAAUACAACAAAUUAUUUGCAUAAGAAAAAUUCAUUUUAAACGAAUAAUGAUAAGUUAAGAUAGAAUAUUUGUGGUGAAUUUAGAAUAUUUAUCAUAAUAUUUUAUGAACUAGUUGGUCAAUUAUUUACAAUAAAAAUCAAAAUUUUAAGGAUAUUAUAAACCGAACAAUGUUUGAUCAAAAGUUUCAAAAUUAUAGAUGUUUGAUUAAAACAAUUCAAAUAUAAGCCAUCAAUAUCACAAUGUUCCUAAAAUUAUAUUUGUGUUUUUAUUAAGCAUUAUGUAUAAGUUAAAUUUUAUAUAUUAAAAUAUUAUAAGAAAUAACCUUUUUUUAUUUUAACUAUUUUUUUUUCUCCUGCGUUUCCAUUUUUUCUUUUUUAGUUAAACUCUUUUUUUAUUUUUUUGUUGGGCGGGAAUUUUCCCGGUUUUUUUGCACGGGGAAAUGGAUCGGAAGAAUUAGGGUGGAAUUGGACGUGCGAAAGAACCGAAGCAUCGAAAUAAUAAAUAGUUGCGUCGAAAUAAUAAGUAGUGGCGUCGGUUUUAAUCGACGUAAAUACUUAUUAUUUCGACACAACCACUUAUUAUUUCGACGCCUCGUAUUAUACGUCGGUUUAAACCGACGCAACCAGUUAUUGUUUCGACGCAGGCAUUUAUUUCUAUGCCUCGGUUCUUUCACACGUCCAAUUCCGAGGACACUGCAAUUAAUGUCUGUCAGAAUAACGUCGGUUAAAACCGACGUCAUUGUCCUCUAUUUCGACGCUAGUUAGAAAUGUCAGACUAUAACGUCGGUUUUAAGCGACGCAAUAUGCCCAUAUUUCGACGCCUCGGUCACAUUCGCACGUCCAAUUCCGAGGCCACUGCAAUUACUGUCUGUCAGAAUAACGUCGGUUCAAAUCGACGCAAUUAGCCUCUAUUUCGACGCUAUUUAAAUCUGUCAGACCUAACGUCGUUUUGAAGCGACGCAAUGUUACCCUAUUUCGACGCUAGUCAAAAAUGUUGCAGAGGUGGUGUCGCUUUGAAGCGACGUAAUAGUUGCAUAUUUCGACGCUAAUUUUUUUGGCAUAUUUAAGGUUCUACGACCUAUUUCCGUCUCUCUCAUUUCACUCCCCAUUUCACUCCCUUCACUCCCCAUUUCACUCCCUUCACUCCUAUUUCCGCACUUCUUCCUUUGGUUUUGCUAUGGAUAGUAGUUGUGAUUCUCAACGUGAUGAGGAACUUCAUGUGGAAGAGGAGGAGGUUGAAGCUGGUUAUUUUUCUACAUUAUUAUUGGAUUCGUUUUUUUUUUUUUUUUUGUGUUUAAUCUUCUAUUAUCCUUAUAAACUGAAAGUUUACAUCUGUUUCCAACUUUUUUGGUUUGUUUUAACUGUGGUUUUGUUAUGAACAAGGAACUUCUCAACGGAGGCGAGGACCCUCAAUUCCCAAAUGGACGAAACAGCUUUGUUCGUUUGAUAUGUCUGGAAAAUGCGUUAAUGAUAACUCUAGUGCAUUUUCAAAAUAUGUGGCAUCGGAGGUUAGAGACCACAGAAUUCUCCCAUUGGCGAAGCAUUGGCGUAAGAUUAAGGAUGUAGAUAAGGAAGCUUUUUGGAAUAGAAUUAAGGUAUAGGUAUUUAUAUUUUUAUUAGAAAAUAAAAGAAUAAUUCAAUGAUUGUUAUAAUAUUUGACUUGGUUGAUUUAUUUUUUUUAUUUUUUAUUUUAUGGAUGUAGGGAAAUAUUGUUUUUGAAGAUGCUGAUAUACCAAGAUUGCCUUUGAUCCGCUUUAUGACGCUUAAGGUUGCUGAGCAUGCACAUAAGGAGUACAGAAAUAAGUUAAAAAAAAAAUAUUAUACCAACAGAGCUGCAGAGGAGCGUCCCCAGCCUCCUCCUGAUGUGAAUCCUACCCAGUGGGGUAAUUUGUUGGCAUACUGGAGUGGAGAUAAAACAAAGGUAAACGAUGUAGUUUAUUUCGUUAUAACUAUAAAUUUGUGUAAUAAUUUUUUUAUUUUUAUUUUCAGGAGGUUGCUGAAAAAAACAAGAUUAAUCGGCAAAAGAAAACAAUGAACCAUACUACUGGUACAAAAUCUUUUGCAAGAAAGCGGCAAAGAUAUGUAUGGAUUGUACAAUUUGAAGAAAUGUUAUUUUAAAUAUUCUAUAGUUAUAAAUUUUAAUUUUAACGAGGUUAGCCUAAAAUUGUUUGUGUGAAAUUUUAUUUUUGGUAAAGCGGAAGAAGCAUGGGAAAGAAGCUGAUCCUGUAACCUUUUUUCGUGAAUGUCAUACACGAAAAAAUGAAGCUUGGAUUGAUGAAGAAUCGGAGCGUACAGGGGUAAUUUAUUUUACUGUGUUGGUAUUUCAUUAUUAUUCAAAUUUAUUAUCUAUAGCUUAUUGUUCUGUUUUAUGAUUGAAUUUUUCUUUUUAAAAAUUGUAAUGCUAGGCAACAAUGGAGAGCAAUCUGCAAACUUUGAUUCAGUCGGGGCAAGAGGAUAAUGAAGAUCUUAGGAACCAAGUGUAUGUUGACACAAUGGGUCCUGAGAGGUAUAAUAGAGUCAGAGGAUACGGUCAUGGGGUGACUCCUGAUAUGGUGUCCUAUGCAUCUUCUUCGUCUUCUACAUCAAUUUCCUCCAAGAGGUCAUCUAACAGUGCAAUGGCAUUGCUGAUGACUCAAAAUAAUGAGUUGAAAUUGAGGGACGAAAAUAACAAUAAACGGAUUUCGGACCUAGAGAACAAGCAAAGUCAGUUGUUUGCGUGGCUUUUCCAAAGAUUUCAACCACAAGCACAACCACAACCACCGUUUAGCCCGGGAACCCAACAGUCAGGCCAGAGUCAGCCUCCUCCUCCUCAACAGUCGGGUCAAAGUCAGCCGCCCCCUGCAUAUCCUUAUGCUGGCUAUAAUCAGCAACCUCCGUAUCCUAUGUAUCUGCUGCCUAUGUAGCCCACGCCAUACAUGCAGCAGCCGCCUAUGCCAUACAUGCAGCAGCCUCCCAUGCCUUACAUGCAGGAGCCGCCUUAUCAAGUGCCAGUAUAUCGACCCGAGAUGGCUGCGCCUUGUCCUGAAUUUCCAGCUGGGGGGUUUGCUGAAAUGCUUGCGGGUGUUGGAUCUGAUGUGGACUUGUCGAGGAUGUUGGCAUCAAAUAUAGGACCUCAAGGGCGAGAAGGAUCUGUGCCACGUUCAGGCGCAGAUUCGGUUCCGUAGUUUAUUUGGUUCGCUUUCUUGUCGGUUAAAUAUGACACUUUAAUCGUUCUAUCUUUUUUUUUUUUAUGUUAUGUUUGUAAUGUCGGAUUUAGUAGUUGUUAUGACGGAUGGGUUUUUGUAUAUUUUGACAUUAUUUUUAUUGUUAAUUAUUUUCAUUAAUGUAUGGACAAUAUUGUGUAUGUUGGCACUAUUUUUUUUAAUUAUUUUUUUAAUGUUUUUCUUUUGACCUUGAAAUUAAUUAAUAUAAUUAUAUAAAAUUUUUCUGUUACAAUGAAUCGAAGAAGAAUGCGAUUUGUAUGUUUUUUUUUAUUAUUAUUAACAAAGGUGGUGUCGGUUAAGACCGUUAUUCGGUUGCAUAUUUUAUUUAUUUAAUUGUUAAUUGACGUCGGUUUAUGGGAUAUUAAAUUGAUUUAAUAUUAUUUCAGUGUCAUUUAAAAGCGACAGUAGGAAUUAUAUUUUACAAUUAAAUUGCUAUUGAACGUUGCCUUAAAGCGACGUAACGUGUAAGUAUGCGUCGCUUUAAACCGACGUUAGUUUAGUGUCGCUUUAAAGCGACGCUAUGUAGUGUCGGUUUAAGCCACCAAACCGACGCUAAAGCCCUUUCGUGACGCUAGCAAUAGUGUCGCUUUGAAAAUGCGACAUUACAUUGUUUUAUGUCGCAUUUUUGCCAAAAUUGCGACAGAAAUCUGAUUUCUUGUCGGUUUUGACUCCGACGGUGAUAGCAUAUAUUGUAGUAGUGUGGGUUUCCCUCGUAUGAAGUAAUAUUCAAUGAAGUAAGCUGGGUUCCUUCUGGUAUAGGACCUGUAUGAACGAAUAUGUCAUGUUUGUAUAUGAUAUUUUAUUUUUUUUAUCCUACGGCCUACUAUGUUAUCUUCAUCUUCGGUCUCAAAAGCCUUCCUUAACUUCUCUUUAUCUAUCUCAAAUUCAUAGCAUAGUAAUAAAAACAUACUGCAAACAAUUUCACUAUGCAUUAAAAUUUAUCAACACAAUUCCUUGAGCUCUCGACAUUAUAAAUUUAUAAAUGAAAGAAAACAGGUGUUAAUGCAGAAGUCAAAAGAUAUAAAUCACUUUCAAUUGAUAGAACUAAAAGAUCACAAAAAAAACAUGGACCUAGCGUUGAUACCAUAAGAAUGUCCAAAGGCUAUUCCUGUUAACUUAGCCUGGUCUUCUCUUGGUCGAUUCUCGAUCAACUCCUCCUGCUUAACCUCAAUUAUUUCAGUUGUCACCUCAUUCCUCCCCCUCUUUUUACUGACUUUAAUCUCACUUGCACCAGCAGCGGGGAUGGCUGGCACAACAGUUCCCGACCCACCAAAUCAAUCAUUCCAAAAUUUCUCAGUCUCAAUCAAUUCAACGAACAGAAUGGCAGCACCACAUUUUCUUCGAACACCACCUGGCAUCCCACAAGUCUACAACCCUCAAUCCACCACUACCUUCAAUGUGUAGCCACCUCAACCACGGGGACCAGCCACCCAUGGUUUCAUGUAUGCAAGUGGAGUUACAACCAGCAAUGCAGCAGAAAACAAAAGUAGAAAAUGGAGAAAAAGAAUAUAGAAAGAAAAAGGGUGUCUGGAGGUGGAGAAAAGCCGAGAGGAGAAAGUGGAGAGCACGGCUGCCCACUCCAUUGUCUAAUAAAAUAAGAUCAAGAUGAACUUUAAUCAUUCAUGGCAGGGGACAAAUACAGAGUAUAAUAUAUACCCAUUAUCCCACUAUCUGGAAAAGUAUAGAGUAUGGAGUGCAAAGUGACACAACUAUUUAUAGACUGGCAUCAGUAUAAAAUUCUUCCGCAAAUUAUACAUAUACUAAAACCCAGUUCCCCGAGCACCGUUUUUCACAGUUCGUGAACAAUGAAAAGACGGUAAUACCCUCGGGUUUUCUUAGCUUUGCCCUCAUGUGUGCAGUCAAUUGCCGGUUUUACCCAUUGAUCCCAAGGGUUCUGUGUCGUUUCUUUCUCUCUUUCCAUUCAUCUCUUUCACUUUACCUUUCAGCUCUCCAUUUUUUGCUUUCCUCAACUGGGUUUUCCUUCGUCGUCGGUGUGCGCUCUGAUUUCUCUCAAUUUAUUCCUUUUCGUUUUGCGAAAUUAUGUCCGGCGAGACAUGAUCUUUGAUUUUUGCAACCAUUGUUGGCCGUUAUUCUCUGUUUUUGGCUGCCAUCCGUAGUUUGGAUCGAUUUCGUCUUUUUCACCGUUUUGUUUCAAGCCUCUCUUUUGAGAGAAUUUUUACGUAUUAAGGUUAGUGAUUUCUAAACUUAAGUUUUGCUUUGCAGUUUGAUUUCAUUUUUGGUUGUCUUGCCCAAAUGUUAGAAGCUUUUAAUUUUUUUGGGUUCAAUUUUAAAUGGGUUGUUGCUUUCGGAGUUUUCGUUUGAUGACAGAGAUGGGGGUUUUUGGGGAAAAACUUUUAAUCCGUGAGUUUUAGUUAAGUUGUGUUGUGGGUCCUGACAAAUGGAUUUUUUGUUGAAAUUGUUUUUCUUCUCAUUUUUGGUUUUUUUUAUUUUUUUUAUUUUUAUUUUUUUGUGCCAUCGGGUUUUUGCAUGUGGGUGUAUAAUCAGGUUUUCUUCUGAAUUUCAGGGGAUUCAGGUUUUUAUUUUUUUUGGAACUUUUGUAUGCAGCUUUGGAAGACAUUUACGCUUAAGGUGAGAAACUUUGGUUGCCCGCUUUUGGGUUUUGUUGUAGAAUUAAGUUUUUUUUUAUUUUUUAAAGAGUUACAUUCGUGGGAAUUCAUUUAUUCUUCUUUUUUUCUGCAUCUGGAAAAUGCAACCUGAUGUGAGUUAUAGUCAUAAGUGCAAACAAGAAAAAGUUAUAGUCUUAAGUGCAAGAAAUAUAAAGCCAAAAGAACCUAGCAACAAUAUCAUACCUUAUUUUUCAAUUUACUUAUAAGGUUUCACAUUUUUGUAAAUAUCAAGAACAAAAACCUAGAACAGCCUCACAAUUUGGUGCACUGACUAGGAAAUUGACAGUUGGGUAUAGGUAUGGGUAGUUAAAAACUAUGAGACAUGAGAAUUAUUGUCAAAUGCAAGGACAGAAGGUCGUGUAUUUGCAAAGUUGAAGCGGCCCAAGGACCGAGUGGGUUUAAGGUUUAAUGCUCAGUAGUUGUUGUGCUUCUGCUGCUUUUUAGUUGUCGAGGAUAUGCAGGGAGAGCAAAUAAAAAGAUUGUAUUCACUGUGUUGACGCAUUAUUGAACAAGAGACCCAAAAGGAAGGACAUAUUCAAUCUCAAAGUCUGUCAGCUUUCGCUUCUUAAUUUUACAACAACAACAAAGCCUUUUCCCACUAAGUGGUUAUUAAUUUUGUUUGCUCUUCGAAAGUUGAAUGCAUGAGUUUUAUAAUUUUUUUGCGAUUAGUUUACCUGAGAUGGGUUUUGGGUAAUCAUGUAUUAUUUUCUGAUUUGGUUACAGGAUGCAAAUCAUUGCUUCUUUAGAAAAGAUUAAGGAAGGUGAGCAAUUUCAGAAAAAAAAAAUGCGAUUAUCAUUUUCUAGAGAUCAUGGCAUGCCCUUCCGUUAUUUUUUGGUAGAGAUAGGUGUAACGGGCAUCUCUUACUAGUUGAUCUCUAAAGAGUGAUAGAGAUAGGUGUAACGGGGCAAGAACUUUUUGAAGUCAAGUCUUCAACUUUUGAAGUCAAGUGCAUCGUAUCUUCUACAUGCGUAAAAGAGGCUCUUGUCUAAUUGAUUCGUGAGUUAAUUUUUGAAGUCAAAUCUUCAACUUUUGAGAUGGCGUGAAAUUAGAAAUUAGACAAAUGAGCAGCACCAUAAAAGAAAAAAAAAAUUGCAUACACACAUAUAGUUUAUCUCAUGAGUUCCUUCUGUAAGGGUUUAUGAUAUUUGUAUUGACACUCUUGUAAGGUUUUAUCAUAUUUGUAUGGCCAAUUGCAAGACUAAUCAAAACUUUGUAUUUGGGUACUUCUAAAUGUGUUGGACCUUCAUGCUUGAAAUCUUCAUUAAAAUAUGUGUAAUUUGUAUUUGAAUGUAAAAUUAAACAAAAAUAAAUAAAUGUUAAUGGGUGACUCAUGAGUUUAACAGAUUGAGUUUGAGUAACUCAUUAGCUUAACGAGUUGGGUGUGGAUGACUCGUUAGUCUAAAUGGUCAAGUGAAAUCCGAUCCAAACUAAAUAAACCCGAUCCGUUUAUAGGUUACUAGCAGAUAGUAAGGGGGAUGAAAGUUUCGAACUCUCAACAGCAAAUUAAGACACUAGAGUCAUCAGAUUCAAUUCCUGCAUUGGCUUGAAGUGGAAUGGAUUUGAAGCAAGAACUUUUCAUUCGAUAUCCAAUUUCUUCAUCAUUAGGACUUUCAAACUCCAAGCAUAUAUUAAGUCAAGAUUGCGGGUGUAACGAAAUUUUUCAUGUUGGAUUUGGUCUAUGUUGCAUUUUCCAAACUGCAAGCCCUUUUUUCAUCAGAAAAGAAAUAUCUCAUUAACUCAAGAGAAAGCAAGGAAGAGAGAUACUUCCACUUGGAGGUGAGGCCCCAACCAUAGGAAAACUGUAGAAAAACGUAUUUGGCUCAAUUCUACUUUUCAUUCAUUCUCAAAUGUACAAUAUAUAUAUAUAUAUAUAUAUAGCCAAGUCCAAUAUUAGAAGUCAAAUCGUGUGAAUGGUAGAAGAUCAAUGUAUAAAAAUCAUUGUUCUAAAAAACGCCAUAGGCAGCCACCUAGGCGCUAGGCGCCUUGGAACCGAGGCGAUUUUGUGCAAAAAGGCUAGAAAAAUUGGGGUGGCUCUAGGCGGGCUAGGUGGCUGGAUGAUUUUUUUUUUUUUAAAUGUUAAAGUCUAAGUUCUAAUUAUACCUUGAAAUUUUAUUAAUUUUAUAGAAUAGGUGUGUUGUGUACCAACUUAAAUUCCGGGAUGCUAAAGAUAAGUAUCUUACAUUACUAAAUUUCCGUAUUUUCCUCCUAUUUUCCAUUUUAUGUUAUUUUAAAAUGUGAACUUAUUGUACAUGUGUCAUACUACAAUACUCCUCAAUAUGGUUAUAUGGCAUUGUAGACAUCGAAAUUUCGGUAAAUAAAUGUUGACCGAUAAAUCAAAGUUUCAACGCUCAUGUAUUACAGAAAUUUUACACGUAGCGUGUGUCUAAACAAAAAAUCGAGAAUCAUCGGAAAAGUCAUCAAACAUGACACAUGUCAACACCUGGCAGAAACGACUUAUUUCAUCUGGAAUAUUAUAUUCAAAAUUAGGCCUUGGAAAAUUCUAUAAAUAAAAGCCAAUUUCAUUCAUUUGAGGGGACCAAAAAAUCAUUAGGCAAAAUUCUUGAAGCUCUGAAGCUCUGAAACUCCGAAGCUCUCAAGUAUCCAGGUUCCCGAAGAAUCAAGAAAGCUCUCUUCGUUCUUUGUUCUUCGUUCAUCCUAAGAUCAAGCCCCAACGGCCCUUUGGAUCAACAAUCAUCCACCAAUUCAAGAUCAAGCCCCGACGGCCCUUGAAGAAAGUGUUCUUCGUUCUUCGUUCAUCCUUCUUCCAAGAUCAAGCCCCGACGACCCUUGGAUCAACAAGCCACCGUUCUUUAGGAUCAAGCCCAAAAGCCCUUGAAGAUCCGUUCAUCACUGUUCUUCAAGAUCAAGCCCAAAAGCCCCUUGAAAGAUCCGUUCAUCACUGUUAUUCAAGAUCAAGCCCAAAAGCCCUUGAAGAUCCGCUCAUCACCGUUAUUCAAGAUCAAGCCUCAAUGGUCCUUGAAGAAACACUCAUCCUCAAGAUCAAGCCCCAACGGCUCCUUGAAGAAACUUCCAACAGUUCAUCCAAAAUCAAGCCUCGACGGUCCUUGGAUCAACAAAACUAGGGGUGGAAUUUUUUCCCGAAAAUCCCGAACCGUCCCGAUCCCGUCCCGAAAUUAACCCGAAAAAUUCCCUAACCGAAUUUCCGGAAACAUUCGGUUUAGGGUUUAGGGAAUCCCGAACCGAACCGAAUAUUAUAUAUAUAUAUAUUUAUUUAUUUUUAAUUUUUAAUUAGAAAUUACUUGAACCGUUGGAUUUGUUAAAAUCUAAUCCAACCGUCCAUAGUUAGGUCAUUUGUUUGUUAGGUUAUCAGACUCUCUCAGUCGCUCUCGCUCUCUCACUUCACUGGCUCACUCACACACACUCUCACUCUCACAGUCACUCUCACCACAGUCCCCCCGCUCCACUCCUCCGUCGAAUCCACGCCGCUCAUCAUCGUCCAUCACUCCAUUGACUCACGCUGCUCCACUCCUCCGUCGAAUCCAUGCCGGUCCUCGUCAUCCAUUGACUCACGCCGCUUCUCCAUGGACUGACGCUUCUCCAUCGACUCACACACUCGAAUCCGACACCAAUCGAGUCCCAAAAUCCAGGUUAGUAGGCCUAGAAGCUUUCCCAGUUGCAUGCAAUGCUUCAUCUCUGUGCCUCGAGAAAUUUCUUCACUGAUUAGCAUAACAAAUCUCACAGAGAGAGAGAAAGAGUGGGAGUGUGUAAGAGAGAGAGAGAGAAUGAGAAUGAAUCAAUUUCGAGCAUUCCUCCUAAUCAUCUUCUUGUUUUUCUUCGUCUUCAGUAUCUGUUUAGGGCUCUAUACGGACCAUCAUUGCCAGUUCUUCAGCUAACUCCUUCCAACUUCAAGUCCAAGGUAAAUGUUGAAACUUUACCAGUAAUUGGGUGUACCAUUUUCAGAUUCUUUAGUUUUUUGCAUUAAAUCUAUUGGAAUUUGUCACCGUUUGGAUUGAAAAGCAAUUGGGCUUCAAUUUCGAACACGUUUUACUCAUUCAUAUGGAUGUUAAGUUUUAAUUUGUUUUUACUUUCUCCGGUCCAUUUUUCAUUUGGCAUGCCCUGCUAUUUGGAUGCCCUGCCAUUUUUCAUUUUUCAAUCCGGCAAAUAUUUUCAUUUUUGCAUGCCCUGCUAUUUGGCAGCAAAUAUUUUUCUCUUUCCAUGCCCUGCAACGAUUGUGAAGACUUGGUUAGUGUGUGUGAUACUUAAUUUUGGCAAUUUGAUUUUGUAUUCAGGUCAGAUUUUAAAGCAGCUAUCAGAGAUAACUAGCAGGUAGGUUCUAACUUCUAAGUUUAAACAAGAGCUCAAUAACAAACAGGUCAGAUUUUGCACUCUGUCAAUAUAUGUAAUGUGAUAUAUAUAAUGUGGUAUAUAUGUGCACUCUCUGUCAAUAUAUGUAAUGUGAUAUAUAUAAUGCGGUAUAUAUGUGCACUCUCUGUCAAUAUAUGUAAUAUGAUAUAUAUGUGCACUUUGUGAUAUAUUGUUUGUAUUGAAAAAUAUUACAUCUCAAUGACUUGAUUUUAUUUAAGUGGAUGAAAAUAACCUAAUUGUAAAUAUAAGUAGUAGUGGCACAUAAACAUUGCACCAUAUUUGAAUGAUUAACAAACACUGGGGGAAGCAUCUGCCAUCUGGGAUUAAUUUCAAGGUCACAAAAUAUCCUGUAUAUUUCCCCACAAAUGAAUAACGAUGCCAGCUGAGUUUAUAUACACUUUUAUAUAUGUGCACUCUGUCAAUAUAUGUAAUCUGAUAUACAUGUGUUUAUGGAUUAAUUUAUGGAUCAGUUUAUGGAUCAGUUUAUUUAUGGAUUAGUAUAUGAAUAUUAUAUAUAUGUUGAACUGUGUUGUGAUAUAUUAUUGUGCAUUGUCAGGAUAAAGGAAAGGAACUAAAGGAAGAGGCCAUUCAUCAACAAGUGGAAGAGGCUGAAGGGGCUAAAGGAAAGGAACUACGUUUAUAAACUAUGUUUUGGUUGCAUGCACUUUCUUGCUUAUAAACUAUUUAACUAUGUUUUUCUUUUGGUUUGUAAUUUAAUCUAAAUUCAUUCGGAAGUUUGGUUUGUAAAACUUAACUUAUUUCAUUUUGGUUGCAUGCACUUUUAAUUAACUAGUUUGUUAGACAAUUGUGAACUUAAGCUUAACUUGUUAGUUGUUGCUUCCUUGGUAUGAAAAUUGAAACAGGUAUGGUAUUGUGAAUCUGUGAUAUUGUGAUGAAUUUGAAACAGGUGGGCUCUGCAGCCUGUGCUUGUGCGGGCAGUGGCUGGUUACAACUGCCAAUUGUAACCCUUUUUUUUUUUUUUUUUUUAUUUAUGAAAAAAGGGUGGGCUUUCCCUUUAAAGGGUGGGCUUACUCUUUAAAAGCCCAACAUUUUGGGCUUCAAAUUGUAAAAAGCUUAAAAUUGUAAAAAGUUAUAAAAGCCCAACAUUUUGGGCUUCAAGGCCCAAUCCCGAAGUUUCCCGAAAAUCCCGAAACACUUUCGGGAAUCCCGAAUUUCGGGAUUCCAAUAAUUUUGGUUCGGUUUCGGGAUAUAAAAUCCCAUCCCGAAAUGUUUUGGUUUGGGAAUCAGGUUCGGGGUUUCGGUUCGGGAUCCCGACCCGAACCAGCCCUAAAUGAAACAUCCACAAAUCAACACCUUACGGAGAUCGAAUCAGAGGAUCAAAAUAGAGAGAGAUUGUAACCCAAAAUCAUCAAAUACAAAUAUUAUUUUGUGCACGUUGUUCUUGUCUCUUUCGUUUCAGGGAAAUUUCGUUUUUACAAAUUAGCACGCCCAGUGGGACAAUCUCUACCUCUCAUCUCUUUCUCCGUUCAAGAAAUUCGAGCACACUUCCAAAAUUAAUGGCAUCAAGGAAGGCUCAAACUGUUCCCGCAACUGGCGCAAAGAAUAAGAGUGUCCUCGUCGCAAGUGGUGUCACUUUAGGCAUCACGACUCGAAGCAAGGCAAGAGCUACUUCUGCCGCCUCUUUCACCUCUGCAUCAACUCUGCAAAGGGAACAAGAGCACCCAAGGCACGAGCCUUUGAUCACCUUAGCCUCACCAAGGGCACCAAGGGGCGAAAGUCCAAGGAAAUACUCUGAAUCCAUGCUCUCCGAUGCCGAUUCGAGCGGCAGUUUAGCCAUGCAAGUCAUGACCAUUGGAGCAACUUCAAUCGAUGAGCAGUUGGCUCAAAUGAAUGAAGCAAUCGCAAGGCUAACCUGAACUGUGGAAGAAAAAGACUUGCAAAUCGCUGCACUCGUCAGCCGACUGGAGCCACAGGACGGCGAGAACCCUAACCUAGAAAAUGAGCCUACGGUGGAGAGAAUCGAUGCGAAGCCAGAGCCAGACCAAGCAGCGGCACUUAUGGGAUCUCUUUCUAUCCAACAGCUGCAAGAGAUGAUCACCAACACCAUCAAGACACAGUACGAAGGGAGCUCAAAUACCUCCGGGUUGUACUCGAAGCCGUAUUCAAAGAAGAUCGACGCCUUAAGGAUGCCGAGGGGUUAUCAACCGCCAAAGUUCAUGCAAUUUGAUGGAAAAGGAAACCCGAAACAACACGUUGCCCACUUUGUUGAAACUUGCAACAACGCAGGGACCGAAGGGGACUACCUCGUCAAGCAGUUUGUGCGCUCGUUGAAAGGAAACACCUUUGAGUGGUACACGGACCUAGAGCUUGAGUCCAUCAACAGCUGGGAGCAAUUGGAGCAGGAAUUCCUCAACCGCUUCUACAACACUCGCCGCACUGUGAGCAUGCUAGAGCUAACAAGCACAAAGCAAUGGAAAGAUGAGCCGGUAUUGACUACAUCAACAGAUGGCGCACUCUAAGCCUCGACUGCAAAGACAGGCUCUCGAAGACUUCUUCAAUCGAGAUGUGUGUCCAAGGUAUACAAUGGGGUUUGCAAUACAUCCUUCAAGGCAUUAAACCACGGACCUUCGAAGAGCUAGCCACCCGCGCCCAUGACAUGGAGUUAAGCAUCGCUCAUCAUGGGAAGAAAUAACCGAUCUCUGACUACAAGAUUGACAAAGUUCUUAAGACAAAGGUGGAGAAGGCUGCGUGUAAAUCCACCAAGGAAGCAAUGACGGUCAACACAACUCCCGUCAAAAUCCUUACACGAGGCAAGGCUAUUCAAACCGAAGCUUUUCAUGAUCAAGAGAUGCGUAGACGCAAUUUGAAGGAGCUUGAGGAGAAGACUUAUCCAUUCCUCGACUCUGAUGUGGUUGCCAUGCUGGAUGACUUGUUGGACAAGAAGGUGAUCGGUUUGCCUGAGUGCAAACGGCCGGAAGAGAUGAAUCGUACCGACAGUCUAAGAUACUGUAAAUUCCACCGCUUCAUCAGUCAUCCGACAGAAAAAUGCUUCGUGCUGAAAGAUCUCAUCAUGAAGCUGGCUCAGAAAGGAAUCAUCGAGCUAGAUCUUGACGAUGUUGUGAAGUCAAACUAUACCACCAUCACUUCUGGCUAUUCCAACUCAAGGUUUUUACCUCAACCGCUGGGGGCAUCCUCCAAGACAAGCAAAGUUAAAGGAUGGACUCAAGUCACUCCUAAAAAAUUGCACAAGAAGCAUACGUCUCCUCCACAAGUCCGCCAAUCGGAAAGGGGGCAAAGCAACUCUUGUCAACCUUCAAAGCAACAUGAACGUGUUGAAGAUGAUGAAAUUUCGACACAUAGAUCGUCUAUCCCCAUCACGAUGCGCGAUUUCUUUCCUGAAGACUUCUUCAAUCACUCUGUCAAGACUCCUUGCUAUGAAAAUUGCAAGGAAAGCCUCUCCAGGAUCGUUUAACAAAUUCACAAUGCUCCUUGUCCGCACGAGCCUAAACUGUAGGACACGAAGCUCCUCGCCUGCACGAGCCUAAACUGCAUGGCACAACGCUCCUUGUUCGCAUGAGCAUAAAAAGCGACAACAAAUGCUCCUGGUCUGCAUGAGCAUAAAAGGCGACAACCAACGCUCCUUGCCUGCACGAGCUAAAACUGCAAACGGCACCAAAUUCUCCUUGCCUGCACGAGUUAAAACUGCAAACGGCACAAAAAGAAAAUACCCAAAAAAAUAUGUAUGCAUUUGAACUACGUUAUGACUUGAUUUCUUCUUUGGAAGGGUACGUAGGCAACUCGAACGUUCAACUUCGAGUACAGUCAUGUCAAAACAAAAAAAAAUAAAUUAAUUAAUUAAUUAAGGUCUUAUUAAAUGCUUGACUAUUGAGAGUCAAUUUUAUUACAAAUUAAAAAAAACAAUAUUCUUUGUAUUAAAAAAAAAAAUAUAUAUAUAUAUAUAUAUAUGUAUGUAUACAUGAUAAAGUGGGUCUUCUUGCACUUAAGACCCGUGCCAAAUCAAAGAAACACAAGUUGGAGUCCACAGAAAGAAGCAGCCCAAAUCCAAGCCCAAGCCUUCCUCCAUUUCACAGAGUCCAUGCUAGAUGAAGCUUUUGAAAAUGGGUGUGCAGAGAGAUUCGAAGCUCGACCUCAUCACUCACAACCGCUUCCAUCCCUGCCUUCACUCUCGCACCCAUUCCAUCAAUCCGGUUUUCUUUCAAGUCGGCAUCGAGAUCCUUCGUAGUUCCCUUACUCAUCGCCCAGUCUCUCUGCCAUCUCCCGCAGCACCGCGAAGCCGCUCGUCGACCCAAGAGACGAUGGCUUCCGACUCAAAGUCUGCUUCAUACUCGACCUUCCUUUCAAUUUUCUUCAUCCCCUCCAUUGAAGAAGCAGCAGCCAUGCCGCUGCCAGAGGCGUUGAAGUCCAACGACGAUUUGGACUCUCCUGUGAUUUCGCACCUGUAAAACCUUUCAUGGAGCUCCGUCUCCCACCACAGUCGGGGCUUUGGAUCCAUAGUCUCCUUAGCCAACUCCAACCUCUCGCCAACUCCGGCCGCGAUCCGAAGUCGAUGAUCGUUCAGAUUCUCGAGCAAAAGGAGGGGCUAAGCAGUUUGUAUAAAGAAGCAAUGGAUGCAUCGAGGUUGCUGGUGGUUUAAAGGGUUUCAAACCAGAAGGUCCCCAUGGAUGGUUUUCUCAACAGAAGCAAUUCGAUGAUUCGGCAUCGUUUCUCUCAGCCCUUCGAAACCAUAAACCCAAACUCCACCUGCUACACAUGGUGUGCACGCCCAUGUUCAACAAUCUUGUCCCGCCGCUUUCAACGUAUCGCAAGAGUUUUACAACGCCACUCCCACCUAUGCUCUGACCUUGCAUGCUGCACUUGAUUGGCGUUAUGCACUUGCUCAUGCUGGUGCCGUACGACGUCGUCAACUCGCCAAAGACAUCGAAAUUUCGGUAAAUAAAUGUUGACCGAUAAAUCAAAGUUUCAACGCUCAUGUAUUACAUAAAUUUUACACGUAGCGUGUGUCUAAACAAAAAAUUGAGAAUCAUCGGAAAAGUCAUCAAACAUGACACAUGUCAACACCUGGCAGAAACGACUUAUUUCAUCUGGAAUAUUAUAUUCAAAAUUAGGCCUUGAAAAAUUCUAUAAAUAAAAGCCAAUUUCAUUCAUUUGAGGGGACCAAAAAAUCAUUAGGCAAAACUCUUGAAGCUUUGAAGCUCUGAAACUCCGAAGCUCUCAAGUAUCCAGGUUCCCGAAGAAUCAAGAAAGCUCUCUUCGUUCUUCGUUCUUCGUUCAUCGUUCAUCCUAAGAUCAAGCCCCAACGGCCCUUUGGAUCAACAAUCAUCCACCUAUUCAAGAUCAAGCCCCGACGGCCCUUGAAGAAAGUGUUCUUCGUUCUUCGUUCAUCCUUCUUCCAAGAUCAAGCCCCGACGGCCCUUGAAUCAACAAGCCACCGUUCUUCAGGAUCAAGCCCAAAAGCCCUUGAAGAUCCGUUCAUCACUGUUCUUCAAGAUCAAGCCCAAAAGCCCCUUGAAAGAUCCGUUCAUCACUGUUAUUCAAGAUCAAGCCCAAAAGCCCUUGAAGAUCCACUCAUCACCGUUAUUCAAGAUCAAGCCUCAACGACCCUUGAAGAAACACUCAUCCUCAAGAUCAACCCCCAACGGCUCCUUGAAGAAACUUCCAAUAGUUCAUCCAAAAUCAAGCCUCGACGGUCCUUGGAUCAACAAGCCACCGUUCUUCAAGAUCAAGCCCAAAAGCCUUUGAAGAUCCGUUCAUCAUUGUUCUUCAAGAUCAAGCCCAAAAGCCCCUUGAAAGAUCCGUUCAUCACUGUUAUUCAAGAUCAAGCCCAAAAGCCCUUGAAGAUCCACUCAUCACCGUUAUUUAAGAUCAAGCCUCAACGGCCCUUGAAGAAACACUCAUCCUCAAGAUCAAGCCCCAACGGCUCCUUGAAGAAACUUCUAACAGUUCAUCCAAAAUCAAGCCUCGAUGGUCCUUGGAUCAACGAAACAUCCACAAAUCAACACCUUACGGAGAUCGAAUCAGAGGAUCAAAAUAGAGAGAGAUUGUAACCCAAAAUCAUCAAAUACAAAUAUUAUUUUGUGCACGUUGUUCUUGUCGCUUUCGUUUUAGGAAAAUUUCGUGUUUACAGGCAUAUAUGCUUAAUGUGUUUUUAAAUUUUGGACUUGUUGGAUACUCUUUUUGCAUUUUAUCAUUCUUUUAUUAUCUUAUCCAUAGAUUUCAUACAAGUAUAAUUUUUUGUAAGUGUCAAUAUGCACUUAUUUACAAGAUAUACAAGAAAAUUACCUAAAUCCGCAUAGGCCGCCUAGCCGCCUAGGCGCUAGGCGCUAGCCCACAUCUCGACUAGCGCCUAGCGUUUUUUAGAAUCUUGAUAAAAAUUAACAAGUGUGUGUAGGAAGUAAAGUGGGAUGUGUGAAUUACAUUGGGAGAAAUUAGAUUCACAUCCUUCUUUUUGCUACUCCAUUGGUUAAAACAUUAUUCCUUUUUAAUUUUUAAUCAAGGUCUUUGGAUAUUAAUAAUAUCAUUAAUUAUUUCAAUAAUAAUUUUUUUAAAUAUAUUCCUUUAGUGUUAAAAAUGUUACAAUUAAUAUAUUUAUAUUUAUGGUUAAAAUUUUUAUCAUAUAUUUUUAUUUUUAGUUUGUAACCAGUUUUAAUUUGCAAACCUUUUUCAAUUUGUACCAAUUUUCUUUUCAGUUUCAAUUUGUACCCAUAUAUUAAUUUCUUUUUGUGCCCAUAUUUUUUAAUGCUUUAUUUGUAUUUGUGUCCAUUUGUUUACCAUCAUGUGACAUUGUAUAAUUAAUCAAUGAUAGAAAAAAAGGAAAAUUAAUGAAAAUGGUUUGAAAACUUUGAGUUUUAACGAUAAGGACAAAAUAAAGGGUAAAGCGAAUAAUAUCAUGAUUGACUUUUUAGUGAAAAAAUAUGGUUUUUCGUUAAAGUGAACAGUACCGGAAGCUUUUCGUUAAAGUUUCGUAGAAAAAAUUACAUAUGUUAUAUUUAUGUUUUAUGUUUUAUGACAUAACUAUUUGUAGACAGGCAUCAAUAUAAAAUUAUUCUGCAAUAUAAUUUCUAAAAAGUGAUAGAGACGAGUGUAAAGGGAACAAGUGCAUCGCAUUUCUUCUACAUGCGUAAGAAGAGAUGCUCUUGAUUAAUUGAUUCAUGAGUUAACUUUUGAAGUCGUCUUCAACUUUUGAAAUUGUGUGAAAUCAGAAGUUAGAAAAAUGAGCAGCACCGUACAAGAAACAAGGCUUGAUGACGCAGCACUAGUGUAGAAGGAUUAAAAAUAUAAAUCCUUGAAGAAACAAAGUUUUUGGAACCCACCAGUUUGAUAGAAACUCUAAAAAGAUAAUUUGAUUAAUUGAUGAGUUGGUGAUUACACACCCAUGACUUAAAUAAGUCAUUUACAACAUUUUUGGACAACUCAAAAGGCUUAGAGAAUUAAAACGAAAGUAAAUGACAUUAAUCCAACGACAAUUGAAAAGUCUGAAACUUAUUACAAACUUUAAUUUUUGGUUUUGGAAGCCUAAUUCCUCUUAAACACGACGGGCUCAUGAUAUCAUUCCUCUUGUUCUACUCGCGAUUCUCUUCAAAACGAUAUAUUAUAUGCCUAAUUAUGACACCGGAAUAUUUCUUGUUGUCGUUUAUGUCGUCAUAUUUAUUGAAUUCAAUAUUUUCCAAUUUUAUUUCUUCUUCUCUUGAAACAUUUUAUUUUAUUUAUAUUUCUUGAUAGGAAGUGACUCAUAUCUUGUCUUACAUCACUUGACUUGACCUCAACCAUUUGAUCUUCGACCUCAAGAUCCAGAAUAAUGGAGUGUGUAAAAAAUAAAUAAAUAAAGGGAAGAGAAAAAGAAGUACAAACCGGUUACAAAACUCUGCUAAAAUUGCUACAUAACGCAAAAUGACUACAUCUUAUCAAAAACUUAACACCAGCCAAGUUACAUGGUGUAUUUAUAAAGACCCAAUUCUUAACAAACAUGAAAGCAAUCGUAAACCCUCCUAAAUAAUAGGAAAGUAACCUAAGAUCAUGUGGCACAGAAGGAUUUGAGAGUAGUAUAGAUUGACUGAAUAGUACUCCUUUUCUUAAAGUCGACAAGACUGAACAAAUAAUGAAUGCAACCAAAUAUAGUAAUUAGGUUUUAAUUCGACCGGUGGAGUGGAUACUGGUCUAUGUGUGGAACUUGUGCUUUGUUUUUGGUCUAUGUUGAUUUUUUCAAACUGCAAGUUCUUUUCUCAUCAGAAAAGAAAUAUCUCAUUACUCAUCCCCAACUACAGAUGUCUCUAGGAAGUGUAGGUAUUCUUGUUGACGUCAAAUAGGAGAGAAACGGCAUUCACUAGUCUUACUUGGUUGAUAUGACUCUUCGACACUUGGUACACCCGAUUCUUCUACACUUAAUGGAUUUCUGUUUAAGAAGUUGAGGUUCCACCAUAAUAUCGUAGUAGUCACAUGCACUCCACGUCGCUCCGUUGUUUGUCCAUAUGUUAGGCUUGAAAUUUUUUCCGCAAAAAACAGAAGAAAAAAAAAGUUAAUUUUUGCAUAUAUGUAACACAUUUAUAGUUGAUCUCAUGAGUUCCUUCCGUAAGGGUUUAUGAUAUUUGUAUUGACACUCUUGUAAGGUUUUAUCAUAUUUAUAUGGCUAAUUGCAAGACUUAUCAACUUCACAUUUGGGUACUUCUAAAUGUGUUGGACCUUCAUGCUUGAAAUCUUGAUUCAAAAAUAUGUAAUUUGUAUUGGAAUGAAAAAUUAAACAAAAAAAAAAAAAACAAUGUUAAUGGGUGACUCAUGAGCUUAACAGGUUAAGUUUGGAUGACUUAUUAGCUUAACGAGUCGGGGAUGACUCAUUAGCUUAACGGGUCAGGUGAAACAUGACCUAAACCCAAUAAACCGAACCCGUUUACAGGUUACCAGUAGAUAGUAAAGGGGAUGAGAGUUUCAGACUCUCAGCAUCAAAUUAUUAGUCAUCAGUUUCAAUUCCUGCAUUGGCUUGAAGUGCAAUGGAUUUGAGGCCCGAAAUUUUUAUUCGAUACCCAAUUUCUUCAUCAUUUUAGGACUUUCAAACUCCUAACAUCUAUUAAGUCAAGAGUGCGGUGUAACGAAAUUUAUCAUGUUGGAUUUAGUCUAUGUUGCAUUUUUCAAACUACAAGUCCUUUUCUUGAGAAAAGGAAUAUCUCAUUAACUCAAGAGAAAGCAAGGAAGAGGAGAAAUACUUCGAGUUGGAGUUGAGGCUCCAAACAUAGGAAAACUGUAGAAAAACGUAUUUGACUCAAUUGUACUUUUCAUUCAUUCUCAAACUGUAGAAAAACGUAUUUACUCUUUUAUAUAAUGAGCCUAAUGCUGAAACGUUAAUGAAUCCAUGUAGAAGAUUUAAUAAGCCUAAUUGUUCAUUGAACCUAAUUAACUAACAUUCCCUCUCAAGUUAGAGAGUGAAGAUCCACAACUCCCAACUUCCGUAUCAUAAUCGAAAAUUUUAAAUUUCGUCAGGUAAAAGCUUAAGCAUUGAAAACUUACUUUUACCUGACGAAACGGUUUCGUCUAAAAUGGUGUUUUCUUGUAGUGAUAUCAAGUAACUCCAUAACAAUAAUCUUUUGAAUUUUUGCACUCUUAGCUAUGUAUGGAAGUACAAAGUGACACAACUAUUUAUAGACGGGUAAUGCUUGACAAAGGAAUACGUAUAGGGUGGACUAAUAUAUAUAAAAUAUAUAUGUGUGUGUCCAUAAAUUCCUUACCACAUCAACCUUGACCCAUUGGAAUCUAUAAAUUUGAAUCUAAAUUCCCAUGGCUAAACCAAAUUCUUUACAAACACUUAUCAGCUGCUAAUUAUUAAACUGACCAACUAUGAUUAGUGUGAUGAGCUGAAGGAUACAAAAUAUGUGUUAUAUAAUUAUGGUUGUUUAGUAAAACUAUAACACAGCUAAUGUUUCUCUCGCCUAUCUUUUCUCACAAUCUAAUAAGUGGACUAAAUGAUUUAAGCAGUUAGUGAAAGAACAUAUGUAGCUUGUAAUUUGACUAAUUUACCCAUGUUCGGAGAAAUUUCACAGGCCUUUGUAAGAUUUCACUUUAACAAAGAGAGCUCCAAUAACCUUCUAAAACAUUUAAGCAAAGCACAUAUCACAAAAAAUGAACCUGAAUGGGGAAGAUCAUCAUAAGCUAAUAUGGACCAUGUAUAAAAGAGAUAAAUAGGAAUUAAGGAUGUGUGAAUGGAUACCAAGCAACUAAAAAGCUUCUAAUGGGUCUUUUCCUUCAAAUAAUGAUUGAUAAGAAACAACCAUUCUUCAUGAGGAAGCAGGUAAUGUAUUGUGCACCCUAAUCUAUUGUCCUAACAACCAUAAUACAUAGAAAUUUGUGGUGCUCCACUGCACGUAUGCAGCAGGCUUUUAAGCAUAUCAAUAUUUGCAUAAGAAGAACCAACAAACAGAGAGACGAAACACCUAAAUUUAGAACGAUUGGUUUUAGGGUGGAAUUCUAAUUUUUUUCAUGGUACAGAGCAUGUCGUCCCACGUGUGAAGCCAAAUGGCCACACGCAUUUCACGUUAUCCUGUUGUGUGUUCACGUGUUAGGCUUGAAAAUUCACCACACAUGAAAGAGUGUGUUGAGAAUGAGUUCCACGUCAAUGAGAGGAGGGACCUUGCAUGAGCUUAUAGGAAAUUAAGUUAUUCCUCGUAUUACCAAUUGAUUUUAUAGUAAAACCUCACAUUUUUUUCAAAAUGAAAGCUUAACAAAAAAAAAAAAAGGGAUAAAAAACACCUAAAUUUACAGAGAUAAUUUAAAACAUGUAAAUAAGAAAUUGAAAAGUAAUCUGCAAUUUGGUUUCUUCAGAAGCAAUGAGAAAAAGAAAACGGGAGAAUGAGACCAACACAGAGAAGAAAACAUCCUUUUUACCCCUAAGUUGUGCGCGACGUCCUACUUCCUUCCCUUCUUCGUUUUGGCAGCCUUCCCCUUCAUUCCUUUCAUUCUUCGUAUUUUCUCCCCCGCGCUGUCUCACUUUCAGAGUCUGUAAGACUCACUCACGACUCAGCAGCUGUUCAGCCUGACUUGUGCCUCAUCUCAGCCUCACUCAGUCCUUCCUCGACGUCGACCACUCGCCCACCUCACACACCCUCGCGGCCCACAAGCUUCCUCUCGCCGUUUCGAGUCUCGACAGCCCACCGUGAUUCCUCGAUUCCAAAAGGUUAGUCUUUGUGCUGGAUUAAAAUUUGGAUCCACAACUAUAGUUGGUCUUUCUGCUGAUUAAAAUUUGGGUCACAACUGUGUUUUUUACGAUUAGGGAUUUGAAUUGGAAACCUUAUCUGUCAUUUCUGCUUUGACAGUUUUGUUUCUCUAUUUGUAAAUAUGAAUUCAUCACGCAAAAACACAAAAUGGUUUUGUUAUUUCCCAUUAAUUUUCUUGUUAAAAUAUGUCAAUAAUAUGAAGAGAGUUUUAAUGAAAAAUAUGUGGUACCGUUUACUUUAAUGAAAAAUUACAUUUUUACAUUAAAAAAUCAAAUAUAGAACUAUUCACUUUACCUUUUAUUUUGUUCUUAAUGUUAAAACUCAAAAUUUUCAAACCAUUUUUAUUAAUUUUCUUAAUAUGAAAGGUUUUGUUAUUCGCCAAUGUGGGACUUUCGCCUUCACCUCUUCACGUGUACCAAUCACUUGUUUUUUCCCCAUUAAUUUUCUUGUUAAAAUAUGUGAAUAAUUUUGAAAAAUGGUACAUAAAAGUACUCUUAUAAAGUUAUAAUAUCCUUCACAUGAAAAGGUUUUUUUGCAAGAAUAAAAGGUUUAUUGUCCUUUGCACGACAAAAGAGAAAUUAAGUCACAAUGAGCAAGAAAAUUAUUGAGAAGAAUAUAUAAGAUAGAUAUUUAUAUUAAUGAUAACAUUAUUAUUUCAUCAAUGAUGUAACACAAGUUUUAGGGCUAACAACUUUGAUGUUUUCUGUUUCUGCGCUUCAAGUCCACCAGCCCUUUUGCAUUUGUUGCCUAUUGCACAACUGAUGUAUUCAGUUUACAAGUUGUUCCUACAAAACCAGUUCCCUUGUAAUCAACGAUUCUCAUUCAUUCCCUCCGAUGAUUGGAACAAAAUGUAGUACAAAUUUCGUAGCUCUGGUUUUAGAAUUUUAGACAAUUCUUGCUAUAAACAUUACUCUUAAAUAAGUAUUCUUAGUUACUAAGGCAUAGGAAAGUUUCGAUUUCAUUUGAUUGAAAAGAUUGUCUCCAAUUAAUCGAAUGAAUAAGAAUCCUUUCAAAUGAACAUAGCUGCUUUCAUUCUAAUUUUAGAAAAUCCAAAUCCAUGAAAACAUGCAGCACUCUACUACCUUUAUUUACAUUACUUUCUAUCUCCAUUUAGUUGUUAAAGAAGCCCGACAGUACAAGCAAAUUGAUAUAACUUAAAAACAAUAUGAUAUAUAGGGCUGAGUCUUGAACUUGAACAACACAAUCAACUAAAAGCUAAAAAGCACCAAUACCUUCUAUCUUUUUUUCUUUAAAGAAACCUCGACGGUACGAGGGAAAAUUAUUUGAAUAAAAAAAAAAGUUACACCUAGUCUGGGGGACAUAAACCUUACCCUUCAAAAUAAAGAAACCGAAAGUACAAGAAAAUAGGAGGGACAUACACUUACAUAACCUGACACAAACUUAUAACUAAACAUAUAGAAAGUGAAGAAAAGAAACCACAACAGAGAAAACAAACGACAACAAGAAAUGCGUAACGGUAACAAACUGAAUUUCUACUUCCCCCACUAGUACUCUAAAUUUUCCUUAUCAUUUGCCUGAUCAUUCCAACAAUCUUAAGAAACAAGUCGGGCCUCCUUGUGAUCACAACAUCCGCAAGAACUACUCCCACUACCAACCCACUUCCACAUCCGGCCGAAACAAUUUUCCAAUCCAAUUCAAAUAUGCCUUCUGAGCUAGAAUCACCUUCGUCGAUGGUUGAAGGUGGAAGUUCAGGGGCCUUAGGAUCUCCACAUUUCUUUGGCAAUGGAUCUCCACACAACCCUGGGUUUCCCUCGUAUGAAGUGACAUUCAAAGAAGUAAGCUGGGUUCCUUGUGGUAUAGAACCUGUGAGAUUGUUGUGAGACACAUUGAAACUGGAAAGAAAAUUAAGUUGCACCAGCUGUUGGGGGAUACGUCCUGAGAGCUUGUUUUGUGAAAGGUCCAACGAUUCAAGCUUCAUCAAGUUUCCAAAGGAUGAUGGGAUAGAACCAGUGAGAAAGUUGUGGGAUAGAUUCAGCGAACGAAGCUCCUUAAGAUUCCCGAUGAAUUCUGGAAUUUUCCCUUCAAAUUUGUUGCAUGAGAUAUCGAAGGAUGCGAAUUCUUCUCGAAUCUUUGGGUAGUGUUGCUCCAAGCCUUUUGUUGCUAUAGUGAGUUGGUAAUCAACACUGUUAACAAUCGUGAAUCCAUUGACAUCAUAAACUACGUCUGUGUACAUAUAUGUUGACUUGUUUACAGUAAUAUCUGGAAACACAGAUGGAACCGCACCAGUAAAAUCAUUGUAAGCCAAAUCAAGAAUGCGUAACUUAGGGAAAUCGACAUUCUUUCUAGACUUUCCAAUCACACCGUGGAAUCCAUUAUGGCGCAUUGCCAAAAGUUUUAGCUCUAGAAGAGUCCCCAACCAAAUGGGGAAAACAUCAUUGAAUCGAUUGUUUGACAAAACAAGAUACUCAAGCAUUAUACAAUUGACCAAUGACCUCGGCAACUGCCCCUGCAACUUGUUAUGACUCACAUCAAUCAUUCUCAACUUGCUUCCUUUGUUGUAUGUCUGAGGAAUAAUUCCGUGAAAAGAGUUGUUUCCAAGAAGUAAAAGAAUCAGAUCAUCACUAAAGUUUCCGAGACAUUGAGGAAGCAUGCCACUCAAGUUAUUUUUCGACAAGUCAAGAUACUGAAGAUUUUUCACAUUGCAAAGCGACGGUGAGAUUUCUCCAGUAAAGUUGUUGUCUGCAGCUGCAUAUUCUCGCAUGGUUGGUGGAGGUAUCGGUAGUGAUCCAUGAAACAUGUUGGCCGAAAACCUUAUACAUAACAGUUUCACCCAAGGAAGGACAAGUGGAGGUUGGUCUGAAAUGAAGUUACUAGAAAUGUCUAACAAUAGCAAAGUUUCUAUGCUUGUGUUCCACAUCCAUUUUGGUACUUGGCCUCGGAUUUUGUUUCUAGAAAGGUCCAAACGCUCCAAACGUUUCUGAUAUUGUAAGAAAGAUGGAAACUCUCUUAUGUUGCAAAAACUCAAUCCUAGAAUGGUGAACUGCGGAACUGUUGAAUUCACAAUUCUCGAUUCAGUGACAAAAUCUAUACUGUUCCAAUUUAAUUGGAGUUGGUAAAGAAAUUGUAGAUUUUGAAACAUUUGAAACUCUACUACACCACUCAGACAAUUGGAAUGUAGAUAAAGGAUCUGAAGGUUUGUGAGAUUGGAAAAUGACGCAGGAAUUGAACCAUUCAGUUCAUUAAAAGCAAAAUCUAGGUACUCUAGUUUGCUAAAGUUGCCUAGCCAAGAUGGGAUUGGACCAGUUAAUCGAUUCAUAGUGCUACUAAUCCUAAAAGUAGCCAGUUGGGUAAGGUUUGCCAAGGAAUCAGGAAUUGGACCUCCAAAUCUGUUGUUUGAAAUGUCUAGAUAAGUGAGCUUCCUAAGAUUCCCAAGUGCAGAUGGAACCAACCCUUCCGAAAAAUUGCAUUGAGCCACAUCCAACUCUUGCAGUGAAUCAAGGUUUCCAAACGAAGAGGGUAUGUUCCCGAAAAACCUGGUAUAGGAAACUUUCAGAAGCAUGAGAGGACUACUUCGAUUAAAUUCAGGAAAAUAUCCAGUCAGAUCUUGGUUGUAUCUCACACUAAGAAAUUCUAGGUUUGGUAGUUGGAAAAUUCUCACAGGAAAUUCACCAAACAGGUGACAGUCUUUGAGGGAGAGGGAUGUCAAUGAUGAUAAAUUAGCCAUUGAAUGAGGAAUUGCCGAAGAUACAUUUACGAAACUGAGAGUAAGUACUUCGAGACUGGUUAAGUUUUGAACUAGGCUUCCAAGAUCUGAUGCUUCAAGUUUCAACAAGGGAUAAUUCUCCUCUUUUGACAACUGAUGAUCCUUAUCUUCUGACAAUCUAUCGAGAUUGAGAGCUAGAUUAAGGUAUGUCAACUUGGAUAACAGUGAAAGUUCAGAAGGGACUCGACCAGAAAAGACAGAGGUAGAGAGGUCAAGAUGAGUAAGGCUUGGAAAAUUCCUAAUGCUAGUAGGAAUUUGAGAGUAAUUGAAGUUAUUGUCAGAGAGGUUUAACCUUUGAAGAUGAACAAGGCGGAAGAGGCUGCUAUUGCUGUUGAUAGAGCCGUGGAGACAGCUGCUACGAAGAUCUAGGCCAAUCACAUGACCCGUCUUCUCAUCACACUUGACACCUUCCCAUAAGGAGCAGGUGCUAUUUCCUCCUUCAGCUGGUUUCCAUGAUGAGACCUUCGGAUAAGCAUCGGUAGAUCUAGAAGCAGAUUUGUCAAUCGUAAAGCUGUCUUUGAAUUGCAGCAGGGCGGACUUCUCCUCAUCAGGGCAAGAUGGAUACUGCUUCUGCGAAGAGUAGGAAGAGUUAGCAAUAACCACAUGAUGAAACAGCAACAAAACUAGUACUAGUUUUGAAACCAUGCGAAUGAUGGAGAUAUCAAGUAACCCCAUAACAACAAUCUUUUGAAUUUUUUUUGCACUCUUAGCUGUGUAUGAUGGAAGUGCAGAGUGAUAUACAACAAUUUAUAGACUGGCAUCGAUUAGUAUAAAAUUCUUCCACAAUAUAAUUUCUCAAAAGUGAUAGAGACGGGUGUAGAAGGGACAAGUUGAUAUGAUGCCUUGACUAAUUGAUGAGAAAAAUCAAAAGUUAGAAAAAUCAGCAACACCAUUCAAGAAACAAGUCGACUUGAUGAGAAAAAGAAAGGGGUGUGAUGUUCACACACCCUAUUUUACUUCUCACACACCCUUUUAAUUUUCUACCGUCAAAUUAGAUGAAUUGAAGAAGAUCAACGAACAAAAAUUAACAAGGGAUGUGUGAGAAGUAAUAUGGGAUGUGUGGAUAGCACACCCAAAAGAAAUACAAACCAAUCACAAACUUUGCCAAGAUGGUUACGAAAGGCAAAAAGAGUGCAUCGUACCAAACUUAACUCCAGCCAAGUUACAUGGUGUAUUUAUAAAGAUACAAUUCUUAACAAACAUGAAAGCAAUCGCAAACGAUCCUGAAUAAUAGGUAUUCUUGUCGACGUUGAGUAGGAGAGAAACGUCCUCCAACUUUGCAUUUGGAUAGUUCUAAAUGUGUUGGACCUUCAUGCUUGAAAUCUUGAUUAAAAUAUGUGUAAUUUGUAUUGGAAUGCAAAAUUAAACAAAACAAAAAAAAAUGUUAACGGAUGACUCAUGAGUUUAAUAGGUUGAGUUUGGGUAACUCAUUAGCUUAACGAGUCGGGUGUGGGUGACUCGUUAGCUUAAAGGGUCAGGUGAAACCCGUCUCAAACCCAAUAAACCCAACUCGUUUACAGGUUACCAGCAGAUAAUAAGGGGUAUGAAAGUUUCGGACUCUCAGCAGCAAAUUAAGGCAUUAGAGUCAUCAAAUUCAAUUCCUGCAUUGGCUUGAAGUGGGAUGGAUUUGAAGCCAAAACUUUUUAUUCAAUAUCCAAUUUCUUCAUCAUUAGGACUUUCAAACUCCUAGCAUUUAUUAAGUCAAGAGUGUGGGUGUAACGAAAUUUUUCAUGUUGGAUUUGAUCUAUGUUGCAUUUUUCAAACUGCAAGCCCUUUUGUCAUCAGAAAAGAAAUAUCUCAUUAACUCAAGAGAAGGCAAGAAGGGACUUCCACUUGGAGUUGAGGCCCCAACCAUAGGAAAACUAUAGAAAAACAUAUUUGGCUCAAUUCUACUUUUCAUUCAUUCUCAAAUGUACAAUAUAUAUAUAUAUAUAUAUAUAUAUAUAUAUAUAUAUAUAUAUAUAUAUAUAUAUAUAUAUAUAUAUAUAUAUAUAUAUAUAUAUUAAAUACAACUAUAUGGAUUAUUUACAAAUGCACGCCAUUUACUCUUGGGUGGUGCUAUCUAUACACCCAUUUUAACCUGUUACACAUCACUCUCAAUUUUUGGCCGUCAGAUCAUGUCAAUGGUAGAAGAUCAAUGUACAAAGAUUAACAAUGGUAUGUGGGAAGUAAAAUGAGUUGUGUAAAUAUCAUUACCCUUACUCUUUCAUACAAUUAGCGUAAUGCAGAAUAGUCAAUGAACCCAUGUAGAAGAUUUAAUGAGUUCAAUUGUUCAAUGAACCAAAUUAACUAACACUCCCCCUCAAGUUUUAAAUUAUGUCGAAUAAAAGUUUAAGUGCUCAAAACUUACUUUUACCUGACAAAAUGAUUUCAUCUCAAAAGGUGUUUUCUUAUAGUGAUAUCAAUUAACUCCAUGACAAUAAUCUUUUGAAUUUUUUAGUUUUGCACUCUUAGCUAUGUAUGGAGGUACACAGUGACAUAACUAUUUGUAGACUAGCAUCAAUAUAAAAUUAUUCCGCAAUAUAAUUUCUAAAAAGUGAUAGAGACGAGUGUAACGGGGAUAAUUGCAUCGCAUUUCUUCUACAUGCGUAAGAAGAGAUGCUCGUGACUAAUUGAUUCAUGAGUUAACUUUUGAAGUCGUCUUCAAUGUUUGAAAUGGCGUGAAAUCAGAAGUUAACAAAAUGAGCAGCACCAUACAAGAAACAAGGCUCGAUAACGCAGCACAAGAGUAGAAAGAUUACAAAUAUAAAUCCUUGAAGAACCAAAGUUUUUGAAACCCACCAGUUUGAUAGAAACUCUAGAGGAUAAUUUGAUUAAUUGAUCAGUUGAUGAUUACAAUGGAUAACACCCAUGAUUUAAAUAAGUCAUUUACAACACUUUUGGACAACUAAAAAGGUUUAGGGAAUUAAAACGAAAGUAAAUGACAAUAAUUGAACGACAAUUAAAAGUCCGAAACUUAUUACAAACUUUAUUUUUGCGGUUUUGGAAGCCUAAUUCCUCUUAAACACGACGGGCUCAUGAUAUCAUUCAUCUUGUUGUGCUCGAGAUUCUCUUCAAAACAACAUAUUAUACACCUAAUUAUGAAACUGGAUAUUUCUUGCUGCUUUUUCUAUCACCAUAUUUAUUAAAUCCAAUAUUUCCAACUUUAGUACUUGUUACACCUCACCCCCAAUUAUAUGUAUAAUUUCGUAAGUUCCCUAACAUUUUAAUGAAACUUCAUUUUGGUCCCCUAUUUUGAGUAAAUCUGGACCCUUUAAUGAAACUUCAUUUUGUACUUACCUAGUGGUCCUUUCCGCUACAGGACAUAGGGAUAGAUUCCGGUCCGUCCAGGACGACGGUUUGGUGUUGGCAUAGGGCCUGGAGCGUGUUUCCUCUGGCUAUUAGCACAAGGACGGAGAGCCGGCAUUGGACUUGAAGUGUAUUUUCCUCUGACUGUCUGCUUAGAGACGGAGAGCCGGCAUGGGGCCUGGAAGAGACAAUACUUCGACUUGAAGUUGAGGCCCCGACCAUGGGGAAACCUCCCCCAACUACAUAUGUCUCUAGGAAGUGUAGGUAUUGUUGUUGACAUCAAAUAGGAGAGAAACGCCAUCCAUUAGUCUUACUUGGUUGAUAUGACUCUUCGAUACUUGGUUGACACGAUUCUUCUACACUUAAUGGGUUUCUGUUGAAGAAGUUGAGGUUCCACCAUAAUAUCCCAAUGGCCACAUGCGCUCCACGUUGCCCCGUUGUUUGUUCACAUGUUAGGCUUGAAAAUGCUUCCGCAAAAAACAGAAAGAAAAAAAAAAGAGGUUAAUUUUUGCAUAUAUGUAACACAUUUAUAGUUGAUCUCAUGAGUUCCUUCCGUAAGGGUUUAUGAUAUUUGUAUUGACACUCUAGUAAGUAGACCUGGCAUUCGUGUCGUGUUUCUCGUGUUCGUGUCAUACCCGAUAGCUUAACGGGUUGUGUCAUGUAAUACCCGUUAAAGUAAACUGGUAAUAUAACCCGACCCAAAAUUAACCUGUUAAUAUUAUCGGGUAAUAUGACCCGACCCGUUACCCGUUAAGAAAAAUAUAUUUUAAAUCAAUAAAAAUGAAAAUGAAAAACAUAAUUUGACCAAAAAAAAUGUAAAACAUAGUACUAAAUUAGUAUAUACAUACUAAAUUUCGGAGUUGACCCAUUCGUGAAAGUUAUAAAGCUUUUCAUUACGAGUGAUUACAUUUUUCACACUUCUACAAUAAUUAUUAUUAAUUUUGCACUCAAAUAAAAAACAUUGUUCAUGAGAUUUGGAGGGUUUUAAAAAUCUAAACGACCAUGUUACCAUCGUCUAAGCGUUGAGGAUGCAAUUAGGAACAUUUAUUAUGCUUUCACAUCUUUCAGACUUAUACAUUAAUGAUUAUGAAUUUUGCUUAUUUUGAACCCCCUUAAAAAUAUUAUUCAUGAGAGUUUGUAUGGUUUUAAAAUUUCACACGAUCAUAUACCCAUCCUCAAAGCGUAGAGGAUGCGACUACGAGCGUUUGCAUAUUUUUUGCACAUGUAAAUUAAUUAUUAUAAUUUUUUUAAUGUGUUUGGUAUUUUUUUACUUGAUAUUUUUAUUUUUAAUGUGUUUUAUGAUUUUUAAUCUUAAUCUUUGCCUAUAAUAUACUAUAAAAAUAAAUAAAUAAAUAAAACUUCAAUUUUAAAAUUUAUAUUGAAUAAUAAUUAAUAAACAAUAUAUACAUAUUCAUUAUAUCUAUUGUAUUUUAUAGUAAGUUUUUUUUAGUAGUUUAAAAAAUUAAAAUCAUCAAAAUAACUUUUUUUCGUAUCGUGUCGAAACAGGUUAUCCGCGUGUCACUCUCGUGUAAACCUGUUAAGGACCCAUUAUUAACGGGUUAUUAUCAUGUGACCCGAUAAUGACCCAAUUAGUUAUCGUUUUGACCCGAAACCUGUUAUUUUCGUGUCAUUUACGUAUUGUGUUAACGGGUCGUGUAAGAAAUUGCUAGGUCUACUUGUAAGGUUUUAUCAUAUUUAUAUGGCUAAUUGCAAGACUUAUCAACUCUGCAUUUGGGUACUUCUAUAUGUGUUGGACCUACACGCUUGAAAUAUUGAUUCAAAAAUGUGUAAUUUGUAUUGGAAUGCAAAAUUAAACAAAAAAAAAACAAAUGUUAACGGGUGACUCAUGAGCUUAACAGGUUGAGUUUGGAUGACUCAUUAGCUUAACGAGUUAGGUGCGCGUGACUCAUUAGCUUAACGGGUCAGGUGAAACAUAACUCAAACCCAAUAAACUCAACUCGUUUACAGGUUACCAACAGAUAGUAAAGGGGAUGAAAGUUUCGUACUCGUACCAUCAAAUUAAAGCAUUAGACUCAUCAGUUUCAAUUCCUGCACUGGCUUGAAGUGGGAUGGAUUUAAGGCCCGAAACUUUUAUUCGAUACCCAAUUUCUUCUUCAUUUUAGGACUUUCAAACUCCUAACAUAUAUUAUGUCAAGAGUGCGGGUGUAGCGAAAUUUAUCAUGUUGGAUUUAGUCUAUGUUGCAUUUUUUAAACUGCAAGUUCUGUUCUCAUCAGAAAGUAAUAUCUCAUUAACUCAAGAGAAAGUAAGGAAGAGGGGAAAUACUUCGACUUGAAGUUGAGGCCCCAACCAAAGGAGAGAUUUUUCAGUAUGACCAGUAUACGGGGUGAUACACCAUGUGUCACUAUAUAAAUGGUGGGAUAUGUGUGCUAAAAAGUUAAUAACUUAAAAAAUAAAAUUUCACACCACUACUAUUAAAACACGUGGUGUACAACUUGUGUUCCUGUCAUAAUGAAAAUUUUCUCCAACCAUAAGAAAAUAGUAGAAAAACGUAUUUGGCUCAAUUUUACUUUUCAUUCAUUCUCAAAUGUACAAUAUAUAUAUAUAUAUAUAGUAAAUAAAAAUAUAUGGAUUAAUUAUAAAUACACACCAUUUACUCCUUUAUACAAUGAGCCUAAUGCAAAAACGUCAAUGAACCCAUGUAGAAGAUUUAAUGAGCCUAAUUGUUCAAUGAACCUAAUUAACUAACACUCCCUCUCAAUUUAGAGAGUGAAGAUCCCGAACUCCCAACUUGCAUUUCAUAGUCAAAUAUUUUAAAUUUCGGGUAAAAGCUUAAGCGCUGAAAACUUACUUUUACCUGAUGAAAUGGUUUCCUCUAAAAAGGUGUUUUCUUGUAGUGAUACCAAGUAACUCCAUAACAAUAAUCUUUUGAAUUUUUGCACUCUUAGCUAUCUAUGGAAGUACAAAGUGACACAACUAUUUAUAGACGAGUAAUGCUAUGGAGACUAAAUUUGUAGAUAAAGUUUUGAAAACUAAAGGACAUGGAAACUGAUGGUUGUUUUAUUACUUAAACGUUGAUAAACGUGCUUAUUCCUAUUGGAGACACGUCAUUUAUAUUGCAAAUUUAGUUUUCAAAUUUAAUCUCUCUAGCAUUACCCUUUAUAGAUUGGCAUCAAUAUAAAAUUAUUCCGCAAUAUAAUUUCUAAAAAGUGAUAGAGACAGGUGUAACAGGGACAAGUGCAUCGCAUUUCUUCUACAUGCGUAAGAAGAGAUGCUCUUGACUAAUUGAUACAUGAGUUAACUUUUGAAGUCAUCUUCAACUUUUGAAAUUGCGUGAAUCAGAAGUUAGAAAAAUGAGCAGCACCAUACAAGAACACAAGGCUUGAUGAUGCAACACAUUUUCAUACCAUUUUUUUUUUGGUUUUAGAAAUGCUAUUUAUACCAUAUUUUUGUACCAUAUUUUCAUACCACCUUAGGUGGCAUUUGAUGUGGAUAACCACAUCAUUUGAAUUAAUCAGAUUUUUAAAUUUAGUUCAUUCUUUAACAAACUAAUAAUUAAGAAAAACUAGUUAAUUAAAUAAUGAUUGUCGUAUUCCUCGUAUUUCUCCUUCCUUUCCUUGAGUUUUGCAAAUUUUUCAAAUGAUGUAGCUGUCCACAUCAAAUGCCACCUAAGGUGGUAUAGAAAUAUGGUACAAAAACAUGGUACGAAUAGCAUUACUCGGAUUAAAAAUAUAUAAAUCCUUGAAGAACCAAAGUUUUUGGAACCCACCAGUUUGAGAGACACUCUAAAGGUUAAUUUGAUUAAUUGAUGAGUUGAAGAUUACAAUCGAUGACAUCCAUGACUUAAAUAAGUCAUUUACAACACUUCUGGACAACUCAAAAGGCUUAGAGAAUUAAAACAAAAGUAAAUGGCAUUAAUCAGACGACAAUUGAAAAGUUCGAAACUUAUUACAAACUUUAUUUUUAAGUUUUGGAAGCUUAAUCCCUCUUAAACACGAUGGGCUCAUGAUAUCAUUCCUCUUGUUCUACUCGCGAUUCUCUUUAAAACGACAUAUUACAAGCCUAACUAUGACACCAGAAUAUUUCUUGCUGCCUUUUCUGUUGCCAUAUUUAUUUAAUCCAAUAUUUUCCAAUUUUAAUUCUUCUUCUCCUAAUUUGAAACAUUUUAUUUUAUUUAUAUUUCUUCAUACGAAGUGACUCAUAUCUUGCCUUACAUCACUUGACUUGACUUCAACCAUCUGAUCUUCGACCUCAAGAUCCAGACUAAUGGUUGGAGAGCAAGUGUGUAAAAAAUAAAUAAAUGAAAGGAAGAGAAAAAGAAGUACAAACUGAUUACAAAACUUUGCCAAAAUUGCUACACAACACAAAGUGACUACAUCAUACCAAACUUUACUCCAGCCAAGUUAAAUGAUGUAUUUAUAAAGAUCCAAUUCUUAACAAACAUGAAAGCAAUCGAAAACCCUCCUAAAUAAUACGAAAGUAAUCUAAGAUCAUGUGGCACAGAAGGAUUUAAGAGUACUGUAGAACCUUUUUUUUUUUUUUUUUUUUUUUUUUUUUUAAAGGAAGAGAAAGGUGAAGGAGCAACCCCGGGAUAGGGAGCCCAAAGUGGGCUGAAAAUCCAGCAGCACCCCUUCGGCUCCAGCACCCUAGUAUAACCUAUCCCCGUCUGGGCGCAAGCUACAAGGUUUUAAUUCGACCGGUGGAGUGGAUACUGGUCUAUGUGUGGAACUUGUGCUUUGGUUUUGGUCUAUGUUGAUUUUUUCAAACUGCAAGUUCUUUUCUCAUCAGAAAAGAAAUAUCACGGUAACUCAUUAACUCAAGGGAAAGCAAGGAAGAGGCCCCAACCAUGGGGAAACCUCCUCCAACUACAUAUGUCUCUAGGAAGUGUACAUAUUCUUGAACUUCGACCUUUAACAUUCGCAUAAUAGUUGGAUAAUAGUCGCUCUCAUGCUUGCCCCUAAAAUACUAUUGUUGAUCUAGUGCAGUUGCAAAUAUUUAAUUGUGUUUGGUUUUAUCUAUUUUGUAGGUACUCUGAGCUCAUAUAAGUAAACAUUUGUCCAAAGAAAGGUUGAUUAGCAGAUUGUAACUCAAGUAAUUAAUAACAUUCAUUCCAUCCAUCUCAAUAUCAAUGGUACAUAUAUAAAUAUAUAAAUAAAUAAAGUUGACCUGUUCCAUCUGAUCUUUGAUGGUAUGCAUCAUGUUCUGAAACAUACAGUACAGUCCAUUAAAAAUGAAGAUCAAUGGUUUGGAGAGCUCCAAGAUAUGUGGCCAAGUGUUAAAAACUCCAAAUUGACUAUCCUGUCUUCUAAAGUCACGUCAAGAAGUGUUGAUUUAGAGAGCUCCAAGAUUUGUGGCCAAGUGCUAAAAACUCCAAAUUGACUAGGCUAUCUUCCAAAGUCACGUUAAGAAGUCUUGAUCAUUAAUGACAUGCAACAACAUAUUAUUCGCAAUAAAUUUCCUUGACAAAUAUUGAAAAAUGGAAUCAUCAACAAUUCGGUUUUCCAUUGACAAAUAUUAAAAAAAUGUUGACUAAUGAAAAAAGUUGAGAAAGUUACGCAUCCAAUUCCUCGAACAAGCUUCUGGAACGUAGACUUCAGCAGUGAUAUCGUAUAGAGGUCGACAAGGUUGUCUAGGUCGGAUUACUUGACUUCAAUCUUCUGAUGCUUAUGCUUAUGUAGACACAAUAUUCUUGGUGUUGACUUUUAGGAUGCCUUAUGAUCUGGUCGAUACAUAUGGCGUUCUCUUCAUGGAUCAUUGUUAAGACUCAACGAUGGAUGAAAAUCGUAGUGACUUUAAAUAUGCUCAACAAGAGUUCUCGACCAUAUCUCACGUUAGAUACGGUGGGUUUUGGAACAACUCGAAGAUUUUGAAACUAAGGUCUAUCUAGUUGACCUCUAAGAUUUUGCAGUGUUCCUUAACAGUAAAGACAUAAACAUUUAGGAAUGUACCUUGUGCAGAUCAGAUAGAGAGUCUAACUCAGUGAAUCCCACAAGGUAUGCCUCAUUCCGAAGAUCAAUAAGGUGUGAUCUAUUCUGAGAUGCAUAGGAAUAGAGUAACCCCAAAUCUGUAUUAACGGAAAAAUGUCGAUAACACCAAUUUGGUGAUGGCGUGUAGGCAGUGCUGCUUUAUGUCAAAUGAUUAUUAGCACUUGAGAUGUCCGAUCUAGUGCUAUGAGCUAAGUACAAUAAACGCUAAUUGCACUCAAAUAUGGCGUCGCAUGUCUUGAUAUGGAACCUUAUGUAAUAUCAUUAGAACUAUACUCGAAACUUCUGGUCAAGGUAGUGUAGAGUUUUCCCAAGAUUAUUCAUCUCAAAGUCCGACUUUAGGUGCGAGUCAGUUUUCUGCAACUCUAACAAUUUUGGAUUAUGUACACAUAAUGACAUUAUCCCUAACUGAUCAAUUAUUCAUUAAGAUGGGUAUACCACAUCUGCCCAAAUUGUUCUGCAUCCGUAAAGUGAAAGCCUCAUCUAAACCCAGAGGGUGUUCUGUGGUCUAGAACUAUUUGAAUAAAUACAUGUAAGUUCUUCAGAAACUUCCAUGUAUAUUUCGUAUCAUGAUCCCAUAAGGUAGCUUUUUAUUGCACUAUUUCAUUCAUCUCAUUCGACGUUGAUUGUUUAUUUCUAAUUGACCAAUCAGUUCUACGUUGUUAGUAAUCAACAGAACGCAAUUCGAUAUCGUCACUUUUCCUUUAUGUCUGUAGCUACCAUAUAACUGAAACAUCAUCCAUGAUAAUCUCAUUCCAAUUCCAUAUGUCAUCCAAACUAGUAUAUUGGAUUAAGAUGUCACGUCUCGAUCCCAACAUACGUCGAGAAUCCACACGUGAGCAGGAAAAUAACGUUCGUUGAAUACGGUAUAAGUUACGGAAUGAAAUACUUUAACUGAUAACCCAAAAUAAUGUGAAGGUGGCUAAAUUCUCCACAAAAUAUUUACAAAUAUUUACAUCCCAAAAAGAAGCAUAAUCUUUGCUUUACUAAGAACAAGUAUGAGGUGCUCAAAAGAAAGUCCCAAAAGAUAAAGUACAAGAGUGAAUCAAGGGUAACCUAACGCUCCAAGUCUCUGAUAACUGCACUGCUACCCCCACCUACAAACUUCUUAGAGUCUACUUAAACCUGUCACUUGUACGAUCAGUGCCUACACCAUCGAAAUGGUGCACCAGGCAAACAACAACCUGGAUAAGUUGUGAAGCUUAUGAGAGUGACAAUAAUAUCAAGUAUGUGAGAAUAAUGCUAAUGCCAACCAUCAAACACAGUUUACAUAUCUUGAAUAUAAAUCAUUCAUAAGAAAUCAAUACCAACUUUUGUAAACCCCGAAGGAGUCACCCAGACAUCCAACGGUUCGUCUGAAACCAAUCACAACAUCUCACAACCAUCUUCUCAUACAACACAAUGAAAAGUAGAGUUAGAGCGACACAGUUUGGCCGAAGCCUACACCUUUGAAGAUAUCUCAAUUCAAAUUCAAUAAAUCCCAAGGUGAGUACGAUCCCGGACCUUCACUCAACGAAAUCGUGAAAUAUGAGGGAUUCCGGACAAUCUCUCAACGGAAUCCAAGUGGAUACAAUUUCGGACCCUCACUCAACGGAAUCGCUAAGUACGAUACAUAACAAUAACUAAAUGAAACCCAAAUUAGAUACGAUUCUGGAACAUCACUCAACGGAAUCAUGAAAUAAAAGGGAUUCCGGACCAUCUCUCAACGGAAUCCGAGUGGAUACGAUUCCGAACCAUCACUCAACGGAAUCGCAGAAGACCAACAACCAGAAUGUACGACGGCUCAAAGAAAUGAGACAAGCACAUGCUACUUAAUUUACAAAAACUCAACAAAGGGAGAUUAGGCACAAUUACUAAAUUUAGAACCAAUCACCACAGCGGAAGGUGAAACAAUAUCGAAGCAACAAAUCCCCAUCAUAAUGGUUAACGGUCCAUUACUAGUCCUCACAUUAAUCUCAACAUGCCAAUCAUACAAAUCAAACCACAUUUCCAAUAUACAUGCCACACCCUAUUUCAUAAACAUAAAUUGAUGUCGAAGUAUUGGAAUAACAAUUCAAUAGAACAUAUUCAUAAAACCAAUUCAUAUCCACACAUGAUCAUAAUUAUGACAACCUGAUAAUUACCAAUAUCACAUAUAUUAAAGUCACUUACCUGGAGUCCGUGCUAAUGUACCCUAGCACGAUAGUCAAUGCAUCACGUUCUAUCACCGCCUAACAAAGCACAAGUCCACAUUUAGAUUUCCUUCGAUAAUUCACAUACUCAAAAAUUCUCAUAUGUCUCCCACAACAACAUUUAAUGAGGAAUCAAACCGUCGUUCUAAUGUAGGGUCCAUGAUCUUACGUCAUUUGCUUCGUAAAAUCCAAUCACUAGAUUUUCACUUAUAAGUCCCUAAGGUCCUUAAACAAUAUCUACAAUAGCAUACUAAAAUUUGGUGUCGAUUCAGUGAUAAGAUCGUCAAUUGUUAGAAUAAUCAAGUGGCAGACCUUAUCGAUAAUAUAUACAAUCAAUAGCAUUUUCAUAAAUCGAAUGUCACACACCGGAAAAUUUGAUUUUCUCCAAAAAUUCUCAAAUUUUAUAGGAAUAAAGAUUUCAACAAGUAGAGUAAACUUUAUACCUGUGGCUGAGUCCAAUUUGGCCUGGAAGGCCCUCAAAUUGGCUCGCACCCAACAAACCCUAAGGUAGGUGUUCUUCAAUUGGCUCCCUUGGUGUUCCAACGUCCCAACCACCAGUUGGGUCUUGUUCCUGGGUCCAAGGGAAGUUGAUCAAGGGUGAUGGUUAAUGGUGAUACUAUUCGGAACGACAAUUCGUCGUCGAAAACCCCUGGGUUCUUCGAUGGAGUUCUACCCGAAUUAGACCUUAAAAUCCUUGAUUUUAUUUGGUGGAGAUGGAAGGAAGAAGAUAGUUGAGCAAGUUGCAAGUGAAGGAGAUAGGAAAAUCAACUGGGAAAUGGAGGAAUUGGCCUGAAAUUGGCCUGUUUGAAUUUGGCUGGUGGACCUCACGAUUUCAUGAAAUAGGGAGGAAGAAAGUGGCCUUUCCUUUUUCUUUUCCAAAUGGGUCCUUUCAUACCCUUUAAAAAUCUGAUAGGUCCCCACUUUUCUAUUUUUUUUCUUUACUAACUUAACCUUUAACCCAUGCUUCCCACAAUCUAUAGUUCACAACUUCAAACGUUCGUAACUAUACCGUUAUAAUUCAGACUCGCAAACGGCUUUCGCCUAUGCGUUCGUGGAUUCAAGAUCUAUUUAAAAACACUAGUUGUAACUUUGAAAUAUCAACGAAAGAUAAAGAUUGAUUAUGAAACUUCCAACUUGACAACUAAUCAAUUACUAAACUUAUAAUUAGUGGAAUUAAAAUUAACUAAUAAAGAUAAUGUAAUCGCAAAAUACGAAUUUAAAUUACGAAACACGAAAUAAAUGGUGAAAUUCUGGGGAUGGGAUUUCACAUAAGAACUUCAGGUUUUGGGUGUAAUCCGGAUUUAAUCUCAUGAGAUGUUGAGGGAGAGAUUCAUUUGUGCAUGUUCCUCCACUUUUAGGGAGGUGCAUCCUUCAACAUCUAAAACUUAGAAAUACAAGAUUGAUAGGUUUUGAGAAGAAGAAUUUUACCUCCGAACGCUCAGCCCAAGGAGAAUAAAGAUGCAUAGGUCAUGCUAGAGGUGAAGAAAGCUCGGUUUAAGAAGUCCCUUCAAGUUUGGAAGCCUGUUUUGGAAAGCAACAAAAACUAGCUAAGUGCAAGAGGGGUGAACUUCAUAUAAUACUCAAAGUUCAAAAAAGGUUACCUUCAACUCCUCCAGAAUCUUGGCUAUGACCUCUUUGUCACUUUGCUGCCCUUCUACACCUACCUGUAUCUUCUGAGGGGAAGGAUCAAGCUUCUUGCUGAUAAUAGGUCCUAGUUACAAGAAAUGAUAAGAUUAGCUCAAAGAAUCAAAGAAAUGGACUGAGAUUGCUUGUCUAAAUCCCAGCUGUCUACCACAGAAGUUGGGGUGGUAAACCUUCAUCCUACUUUCACAGCCCACUCAGUCGCUCCGUACUCCCUAAGUCAAAUCCCUCUACCAGAUGAAGCAAACGAAUUUCUCCUUGCAGAAGCUGUUGGCAUCCUCCCCAAAUGAAUCCUAGAAGAAGUUGUCCGAGAACUAAGGGUAUAUCUUGAGUACUGAAGCACCUUCCAGAUCAGUCCGAGUCUUACAAAUUCUAAAGAAAUAAAGGCAAGCUAAGGUAAAGUGAUUGGUGGUGGGAGCCUCUGCCAGAAUUUGAGCUGAAGCUACUCCCUCUGGAAACUCUAGGUUAGCAGACCGAAACUCCGAGAAGUACCAUUGAAGCGAGAGCUUCACCAUCCAGGUAGCUUCGUUGACAUUAGUCUUGAAUGGCUGGUCCCUUGUCAUCUCAUAAAGAAGAUGAUAGAGAUGUGCCAGAAAAUGACCGAUGGCAACAUUAUCGAAGGAAUACAGCGCCUCCACCAAAGGGAUCCAUUCCAACUUCACUCUUUUAGAUUUGUUUGGGAACACAUGUUUAUUCAACCAAUAGAGGAGAAAGUACAUGUGCUCCUAAGCUGGAUCAGAGGUGGGAGAAGGCUGGUUGAACAUCUUCUUGGCAAAAGGAAUGAAGCCCGCGAAAGAAGUCGCAUAGCUCUUGAAGGUAGUGAGGUUAUACUCCAAGCUAGUGAUCGACUGAGAAGCCUCUAAACCUUCAGCAGCAGGGCAUGAGGGUGAAGACCAAUAAUAUGUAAUGUCUACACACUUGCCUGAUGGCCUCAAACCAAAGACCUGAGCCAUAUCCAGAAUGGUGAGAGUUAAGGGGCCCACUCUGAAAUUAAAGGUAUUAGUCCCUGUGUUCCAGAAUAGAAGAGCUGUUGAGAUAAGCUCAUUCUUCCUCGAAGAAAAUGGACAGGUUGAGGCCAGCCUAAGGGCAAUGAAUGCCGUUGACCUGAGGGCAAUGAAGGUCGUUGAGCCGACGGGAGUCAUUGUUGAAUUCAAGAGAAAUGAGUGAAAGAGUGACUGGAAAUUGAGGUAAGAGAAGGCUGAGAAUGCAAGAGAUUUGGGAGCUUAGGGAGUCAAGUUUGCUGAAUGAGGUGGCCGAGAAAAGUGAAAUGGAAGUUAUUUAACGGGCAAGUAGUUAACUUUGAAAAUCAUGGGUUAGUGCAAAGAUUUGUUUGAAACGGCUAAUUAAGUGGUGCUAAUACCCAGUUCCGGCAAGCAAUUAAUUUUAAUCAUUAUCAAUGUCUUGAUUAGCAGACUUAACAAUAAUUAAAAGGGGCACUGUUUGAGUAGACAUUUAAUGCUGGGCUUAGUGAGAGUGGAGGCCCAAGAACACAAAAAGCAAGGGGAGGAUUAGGCUCGAACAAAUCGACAGCCCAGGAAGAAUUGAAAAUCAUUUUUGCCAAAAGUACUUUUCGUGGGAAUGGAUAGGUAAAUAAAUGGUGACUCACCAUGUUCCGGAGGCCAUCACCAAAAGUUAAGGCUUAGACAUUAGGGCUAAAGAGUCUAUAAAAGCAGCAAGGAACACAAGGGAUAGUGACACUCAACCAAUCAAUCAAAAGACAUCCAACUUUGCUCUUAGACAAGCAAGAAACCAGAAAGCUUUAGUUUGUCCAGACUCUACUCUUUUAGUCAUAGAUCCACCAUAGAAAGCCAUCUUUUGUCAAGUUUUAGAAGCUCUGCUACUUUUUCCCAGUAUUGUAGUAUCUAAUCCCUUUAGUAAACCCGAUUUACAUCUCAUUCUCUCAAGAUUACAACCCCUGUAAAACACAAAGAGAAGUGGUUGUAAGAAAAUGAACCUUGCCAGGCAAGGUUAUAAGCUUGCCCGAAUCUCUUUCGUUUGUACUUACAUAAAGUAUAUUUGUUGUUUAAUAUAUCUUCCAUUGUGUCUUAAAUCAUUUUGAACUGCUUUUCGUUCAAAGUUUCAUCUAUGAUUAAUUUGGCUACACUAAUUAACCUUGCUUCUUUAGUGUUAACUGUAAUCAAAGAAAUGGUUGGAAGGGUCCUGAACUCCAUUUAUCUGGACAUAUAAUAUUAUAAGUAAAAGUUCUUGUUUAAAAGGCAAGAAAAAGAAUUAUAUACAGACUUAACCCAUUUGUAACAAUCCAAUAGAAUUAAGAAGUUUAAGUAACUUAUGGCGCAAGUAAUCAACCCAUUUCAUAACCAAAAAAAAGAACAAUCUGUUAUACAAAGAUACGUUCAUAUCCAUAUUAGUUUUGAUUGUGAGCCUCAAAGUCUAACGAAUGCCCCACAAAGGCACCAUUUAAACUAAUUGCAAACUCAUAUUGCAGCACACCAAGCAGCAAACCUUAGCCGACAAGCAAGACCCCUGGAAGUUAUGCGAGGGACAUAUCUAGCCCAAACAAGUGUGACACUAGUUUAGCUGCACCAAGCCAGUGGGAUCUUGUUUCCGACAAGCGGAUGACGGAGGAGGAACAGCCGCUUCAGGUGGCAAGAUGUACUAAGGUAAUCAAUCCAAAUUCUGAAGUGCUAAAUUCAUUCCUUGAUGCAAUGAACAAAGUCGUUAUGGGGAACAAGAAGUUUAGUGCAAUGCCUAAACAUAUGGUUUACAAUUUAUAUUUGACUAUAGAACUUCAUGUACAUUAGAACCUCGAUAAUUUAAAAUAUCCGAUAAAACAAUAAGGCUGAUUAAAUAAUAUUUUUGGAUGGUUCAAACUUGGAGAUAAUGUGCUAAAUUAAUAAUUCGCUAAAUAUCAAAGAGAAUAUAUAAUGAAAAUUUUAUAUAAGUCCCACGUCAUAUAUAAAUUAAUGAUUUCUUGAUUUCUUUACACCUUUGAGAUUAGAAACCAUUGUUCUAUGUAUGAUGUGUUACUAUGACUUAUGGGAGAAAUAAGAAAGCUCAUGAAUUGUACUUCCUUAAACAAAUGUAUAGAAUUGUUAAUUCGUAAAUCAAGAAACUAAAUAAAAUGUACAAUAUUUGAGUAAAUAAGAAGGAAUAUUAUAUGAUUGAUAAAUUAAUAAUUUUUUUAAUUUGUCAAUUAUUUAACAUUUGCUAAAGUAAUAGAUUUUCUUUGGUCCCAAGGUUACUAAUUUAUGGAGGUUUAACUGUAUGUUUUUGUUACGACAGUUUCAAUUUUGUUUGUUUAUCUAUGUUUUUUUUGUUAUUUAGUUUCUAUUCUUUCUGUUAAAUGAUUUGUGAGCCUAUUACAAAAACACGAAAAGAAAAAAUGAUUUGUGUGCCUAGCGUAAAUUUCAAAAUGAUGACGUAAAUGUAACACUCACUAAAAUAACGAACAAUUUUCAUACGAUUCCAUAUCCAUCCACCCUUCUAAAAUACACAAAAAAUAUACAGACCUCCACCACAAGGUACUGAAAAAUCUCAACCAAGGUUGGAGUAUAAUCAUGUGAACUAUUAUAAUUCUUUACUUUUUUGGGACAAACAAUAGAGUAGUGUACGUACACUAAACUCACUUAAAUUACAGGGAAGGAGAUUGAAAUACGAGACCUCGAGUGCAAGGACGAAUGUUCUUAACCAAGUCAGCCACAAGCCACUUACAAUCUAUAAUAAUUAUUUUCAAUUUCAUAUUUUUAGCAAAGCAAAGUAAUUUGGAUUGCUUUGAAUGUUUUACUCAGAUCAAAAAUUUACAAAUUUUGAACGCCGCAUUGCAUUUAUAAAUUUAUUAACCAUAGCUAGCAUUGUUGGAAAUGCUUUAAAAAAUGGGUGUUUAAAAAUUAUUUCCUCAAGGUAUGCUUUAACGGCGUUUAAUCGGUUUCAGUGAUUGCAUUCGAGUGCUACAGAGCAAGCGUAAUACUACGUAUAACAUUAAAGAAAGAAGUAGAGCCCUAGUAUCUGAAUAUCCAUCCAUAAAGCAUGUUAUAGCCGCACCAACAAAUGUUGUUUCAUUAUUCAUUCAUGUCAACUCAAUUGGAAUAGCAAGGGAUUUAAGACGAGCUAAACUAAAAAUGAACUAUGCGCAGAAAGCGAAAAAUAAGAAUGUUUAUUACCAGAGACAUUGUGGUCUCCGAAAAGGAGAUAUCAACAGACCUGGGAAAGAAGGCAACUUGAACUUGCCUAAAUAAUCGUCGUCUCCAACUCUCAACUCUUAUAUAUAGGAUGCCGUCUCCUGCAAUUCCAAGUCAAACAGUGGAACGAAGGGAAAUCAUAUUGAUCACUCGAACCAAAGGUACAAAUAUCACCGAUAAUAGUUUCGGCAGCCAUGUAUUUGCAAAUAAAAAUCAUAACUAAGAAAAUGAGGUGGUUAUAUUACCUCUUUGGUCGACUACGGUCUUCCUCAUAGUCCAUCACUCCUCCAGGUUCGGAGUAGAUCUCCUCAUGCCCCCGGAAGUCAACGUCGGCCUGCUUACAGUGGGGAACUUCUGCCACAAUGUAAGUAAAGACACAUCGACCAACAUAUCCCAAUAACUAAACAAAAGAUUAAUAAAAAAUUAUGUGUUUCGUGUGUGGAGUGGGACUAAAGAACUCGUUCAUCUAUGAUUAUGUAUAGCUUCAGAAUAGCUCAUCAAAAAGGCGCUGAUGUGCACAUUUGUGGCAGAGAAAUACAUCAACGAAAAUAAAAUCAUAAUAUCGUGUUUUACCAUCCCAUGCCAUAUGUUCAAAUCAUCAAAAUGGAUCCCGUUCACUUUAUUAGGAAGGAUUACUUGCAGAAGCAAUACAAAAAAUACAACAGGAUUAAACUGACCUUGAUGGAAAUCGACUUCUUUACUUCUUCCACCCUAUUUCCAACUUCUUUCUUGUGUUCCUUGGCCACUUCAGUCAUAGUAUCAGCCCACUUCAUCUUUUCUUGAAUUGAGAUAAGAAGAUUGCUUGAGGUAUCCAACCUACGUUUUCAUUCACACAAAAUUUAGGCAAUACCAUCAGAUUUAUAUCUCAAAAAGAAACUUGAGAAGUCAUUAACUUAGAAGCAAAAUAUCACAAAGUCAGCAUACUGGAUAAAACACGAGAAUGCAUUACUACGAAAAACAUGGAACCACUUUUUUUAAUGUGGAGAUAGUUAAUAAACUCUACCACAUGAAACAAUUUCAUUAAAUUGGUAAUAGAUGCUCCAUAGCAUUUGAUUGCACACAACUAAGAGUCAGGAAACUUUUAUGCAAUCAAGGUCAGACAUGAAUGUUUUCAGAUCAUAAUGCACAUAUUUAGGACCAAAUUCUAAAUAAGAAGUUCCAUCUAUGCAUACUGAACAUACAACCCAACAGAGAAACUGCAUCAGAGACGUUACCAGUUUGACAGUGUUUGAAUCAUACUCCCAAGUUGUCCAGGUCUCGGAUCUCUCCCUGCAGCAAACUGGAGCUGCAUUUUACAAGAAAUAAUUGAUUCGAUAUUUCUUAUAAGGAAAUAAACAAAGAGCAACGAGAAAAGGCAAGCGAAAACAAGUAAAACAACACAAAAAUUAAAAAUAAUUUGAAGCAAAGGCAGCAGUAAUAAACACAAACCUCAAAGCAUUUUUGCAGCUGGUCCAGCUUUCCUCUUAUUAUGCCCUAAGAGAAAACAUGACAUCUCCUUCAUGUUUUCUCUAUCCACUUAACUAUGUUACACAGAUACAAAUACAUGAUAAAUUACUAUAUAACAAGGUUGGGAUAAUAAAAUAGUAUAUAUCACAUUACACAUAUAUGUGCAAAAGUAAUCUACGUAAGAGAGUCAGAAGUGAGUUGUAAUUUAAAAGUACCAAUACAUUUUUAAGGAAAAGAUUCACACAAAAAAAUACCCUUGUGCAUCUGGAUGCGUAUGUACACAACACAUGUCGCACUAUAUCCAAAAUGUCAAUGAAUACUGCAAAUCUGUAUCUGAUAACUGUUGGGGUGUUAUCGGGGGUGGGGGGGGGUGUUGGGAAUCAGGGCCAUAUCCUUACAGGAUACUCACCUGCAAUAUUUGGAAUAUCGCUUCAUAGACCAAACUAACAGUAACAAUUUUCAGGUACUGUCCAAUAUUCAAAAAUAAAUUCUUACACGGGCAAGAACCGAGUCCUGCGGCCCAUGCAGAGUAAAAUUGGCGGACAGAUGGACGGGAGAAGAGUGUUUAUUUGUACUGUAUUUGAAUAACAAUUCGUUAAAGUUAUGAUUAUUCAUUCCACAACCUUCACUAAAGAAACCUUUUUGUCCAGUAAAAGAUGCAUAUUUCAAUGUAACUAGGAAAAAAUAGAGGUAGAGGGAUGAAAGAAUUAUUACCGCAUACAUGCACUCAUUAAUGAGAAAAUCCUCGAGCUCUUGUACAUUGAUAACAUCUAACUCCUGCAUAAGUUGAUGAUACGGUAGUACCUGGAAAAUAAUUCAAGAAUAUAAGAGAAAACUGAAUGCACAACACAAUAUGGGACAUCUGUGUAUAUAAAAACCGGAUAUCAACACAAUAGUGACCUAGACACCUAAUACAGGAUAUGAUGAAUCACUACUUUACAAAUACUUAAAAAGGUUCUAGAAGACUCUCUCCAUGGUCUUUUAGCACAACAAUCUCAUAAUAUGUUCAAUCAAAGGCAUCAGAUACUAAGACCUGUAAGUCCACUAUUGUUCUGAAUUUUGAUUGGAACUAAUAAGCUUCUGGCAUUCCAUAUAACUUUUCAUAUCAUCGUUUGCAGUAAAAGGCACCAUCAUCUAUUACAUUCAGAAUUCAAUUGGUAACUGCAGUCUUUCCUCCAAGUGCAACUAAAACAAAUAUCUGUCCAUAAAACUUGUCUAAAAGUGAUGAUAAUUUUUCCUCUCCUUUCAUUUUUGAUGACAUAUUUUCUGAAGCAUGGAAGACAUCAAGUACCAAAGGUGACAAGCUCCAUAUAUUCACAUUGAAAAACCAUACAGCCAUAACCAUUACUAUGCAAUCAGAGAUGUAUAUCACCAACAACUUUUCAAAGGAUUACGCAUUUAAGGAAACAUACCUUGUUUGUCUCAGCCAGUGUAAGAACAGUAAGCUGUUUCAGCUUUAAGACUUGAUCAGGGACCAAAUGUGGAAGACGACUGGCAUCACCUACAAUACAUUUCAGUUUCUUAAAUUCCAUAACAAUGCCAAAGGGAUGCUUAAUUUCUUUUUUCAUGGAAAAUAUACUCAGAAAUUUUAUGGGAAGUAGUUCUCCUGGGAAUUGACAAUAUCUCCCGAAUUUCAAAAAUGAUUGAAGUAAGGAAAAGCUUAAAUGUUAUGGAGGGAAUAAUAAAGGACAUAGUAGUAGAAUUUAAUAAAAGAUACGGCAGUUGCUUUAAAACAAAUGUGCCAGUUUACACUUCUUCUAACGAAAAUAUGUUGCUGCCUCCAUUUAUUCAUCUUAUCAGUGAAUAAGUAUAAGAAAGUAUCUUCUUUGACAUCUCCAAAGCAACAGUAAGAAAAAAAACCGGUGAUGAAGUGAUGACUCUGCAGCAGAGCUUGAUAGAAAUAUACAUGGGUCAGUUAUAUCCUCAAGCAACAUUAAUAUGACAAAAGCACCAACUGCAUUGGCACCCAAAACCCUGCCACAUGUUCUUGAUAAUGAGGCUGCGCACAAUGUUUCAUACAAUGAACCAACAGACGUUCCAAUGGUGGCUCAAAUUUUGGGUUUUUCUCCUUCUGAGUUUUGUUUUCAUGUUGCACAGGGUUUGUUGAUAGUUAAAUUUUAGGGCGUUAUUGUUCGAUUUCUUCAUCACAGAUAUGGAAGCGGAAAACAAGCAUUAAUCGAUUUGGUGCAAGAUGACCAAAGCAAUCAAACCAACAGCUAGAGAAUAACAAACCCAUUAGAAAAUCGACCAAAAGAUGAAGCGAUUUUUGCGUGCUUACUCUUGUAAUCACUCCAUGUGCCAUGUGCAAACAAUCGAAGCACAUGGAGGUACACAGAAUUUUCAGUUCCUUCAAGCUGCACAUAUUCCACAGUCAAAAAACAAAUGCGUAUGAAACAAAAUCCAGUAACAAUCAAUAAUUUUAUUUUCUCUUUGGCUGCAACAAAAUUCUGAUUAUACAUCCUUUGCUCAAACCCAGAAACUACACGACCAAAAUAUACACAGAAAACUGAAAUUCCACAAUAAAUAAAUAGAAACAUGGGAACCUGAAGAACAUUAGGGACAGCGAUAAUUUCCGAAAAGGCAAAAAGGGCAGGGUGGGAGGUGACUUCUGCAACGAGGGGGCCGAGAGCAGAGCCAUCGAGUGAUGAGGCUUGCUUCACGAAGUGAUCAAUGACCUCCUCUUGCUUUUGCUCAAUCUCCAUCUCAAAAAACAACAGAAAUUACUAAUUGCAACGAUGGAAAAAUCGAGACGAGACGGUGAAAAGUUCAGCAGUGGAAAGCUAGGGAUUUGGUGGGUUGGAAUUUCGGGGAAGAGAUUGAGGAAGGGCCCAGAGGUUUAGGGGGUCGAAAAUAACCCUAAAAUCGUCUCCAACCGAGGGCUAGGCCAGAGGGCUCUGGAAUUUGAGAGGGCCCACGGGAUCAGAGAGGGCUGGAGGGCUGGAGCGCUGGCUGCUUUCGGCCAGCCAGCCCCGGGCUGGCUAUUUUUUUUUUAUAUGAUUUCCUAUUGCUGUCGGUUAUAGCCGACAGCAUUAAAGAUAUUCUUUUUUUUUAAUAGUUCUACUAUUAGUGUCGGUUAUAACCGAUACUAAUAGUUUGAAAUGUUUUUUAAUAUAACGGCUAGUAGCCGUUGUAUUAUUAGGCCUUUUUUUUUUCUUUUUUUUUUAAUGAAUUUAAACUUUUUUUUUUUUAAUGAAUGUAAACUUCUUUUUUCCCCUUUUUUUUUUCCUUUUCAUAUGAAUCAAAUUUUGUUUCAUAUUUUUUUUCCUAUAACUUUUAUUUCACAAAAUUUGUUUCAUAUUUUUUUUCAAUUCUAUUUUUUUCGUAUAACUUCCUAGGCCAUUUAUACAACAUUAAAUUGUAGUUUUUAAAUAAUAAAUUAUGUUUGGCCCUAUGGCCCUCGGUUGGAGACGGUUUUUUGUGACAGGGCUAAAACGAGCCCUUUGGCCCUCUGGCCCUCGGUUGGAGACGGAGGCAAAUAUGGCCCUGUACUGUUCAUUAAAAUAUUAAUAUCUUGGGGAAUCUUGGAGGGCUAGAGGGCUCAAACGAGCCCUCUGGCCAGCCUUCGGUUGGAGAUGGCCUAAGGGUAGAAUGAUGCAUUGUCAGAUUCUAUUGUGGGCACCUGGCAUUCGCAUCGAGACAUCUCCAUAUCUUAACCGUAAUAUUUAUUAAAAUAAAUGAGUAAUAUAAUUUGACCGAAAUUGAUCGUUAAUAUUAAAACGUAAUAUGAAGUUACAUGUUAUAUUGAAAAAAAGGUUAAAUUAAUAAAAAAUUAAAUGAAAAACCUAAAUGAGAUCAAAGAAUCCAAUAAUGAGAUCAAAGACAUCUCCAGUGCAUGUAUGAUAUAUAUUUUCCGAUUAGGGAUUUGGAUUGGAAACCUUAUCUGUCAUUUCUGCUUUGACAGUCUUGUUUCUCUAUUUGUAAAUAUGAAUUCAUCACACAAAAACACAAAAAGGUUUUGUUAUUUCCCAUUAAUUUUCUUGUUCAAAUAUGUCAAUAAUAUGAAAGGUUUUGUUAUUCUUUAAUGUGGGACUUUCGCCUUCACCUCUUCACAUGUACCAAUGACUUGUUUUUUCCCAUCAAUUUUCUUGUUAAAAUAUGUCAAUAAUUUUGAAAAAUGGUACAUAAAAGUACUUUUAUAAAGUUAUAAUAUCCUUCACGUGAAAAUGUUUUUUUGCAAGAAUAAAAUGUGUAUUGUCCUUGCACGACAAAAGAGAAAUUAAGUCACAAUGACCAUGAAAACUAUUGAGGAGAAUUUAUAAGAUAGAUAUUUAUAUAAAUGAUAACAUUAUUAUUUCAUCAAUGAUAUAACACAAGUUUUAGGGCUAACGACAUUGAUGUUUUCUGUUUCUACAAAACCAGUUCCCUUGUAAUCCACGAUUCUCAUUCAUUCCCUCCGAUGAUUGGAACAAUGUUGUACAAAUUUCGUAGCUCUGGUUUUAAAAUUUUAGAUAAUUCUUGUUAUAAACAUUACUCUUAAAUAAGUAUUCUUAGUUACUAAGGCAUAGGAAAGUUUCGAUUUCAUUUGAUUGAAAAGAUUGUCUCCAAUUAAUCGAAUGAAUAAGAAUCCUUUCAAAUGAACAUAGCUGCUUUCAUUCUAAUUUCAGAAAAUCCAAAUCCAUGAAAACAUGCAGCACUCUACUAUCUUUAUUUACAUUACUUUCUAUCUCCAUUUAAUUGUUAAAGAAACUCGAUGGUACAAGCAAACUGAUAUAACUUAAAAACAAUAUGAUUUAUAAGGCUGAGUCUUGAACUUGAACAACACAAUCAACUAAAAGCUAAAAAACACCAAUACAUUCUAUCUUUUUUCUUUUUUAAAAAAACCUCGACGGUACGAGGGAAAAUUUAUUGAAUAAAAAAGAAGUUAUAUCUAGUCAGGGGAUAUAAACUUUACCCCUCAAAAUAAAAAAAGAAAAAAAAAAAGAAACCGAAAGUAAAAGAAAAUAUGAGGGACAUACACUUACAUAACCUGAUGCAAACUUAUAAAUAAACAUAUAGAAAGUGAAGGAAAGAAACACAACAGAGAAAACAAACGACAACAAGAAAUGCGCAACGGUAACAAACUGAUCAUUCCAACGACUUAAGAAACAAGUCGGGCCUCCUUGUGAUCACAACAUCUGCAAGAACUACUCCCACUACCAACCCACUUCCACAUCCGGCCGAAACAAUUUUCCAAUCAAAUUCAAAUAUGCCUUCUGAGCUAGAAUCACCUUCGUCGACGGUUGAAGGUGGAAGUUGAGGGGCCUUAGGAUUUCCACAUUUCUUUGGCAAUGGAUCUCCACACAACCCUGGGUUUCCCUCGUAUGAAGUGAAUUUCAAGGAAGUAAGUUGGGUUCCAAGGGAUGAUGUGAUAGAACCAGUGAGAAUGUUGUGGUAUAGAAUCAGUUUCACCCAAGGAAGGAAAAGUGGAGGUUGGUCUGAAAUGAAGUUUUGAGAAAUGGCCAACAAUACCAAAGUUUCUAUGGUUGUGUUCCACAUCCAUUUUGGUACUUGGCCUCGGAUUUUGUUUCUAGAAAGGUCCAAACGCUCCAAACUUUUCUAAUAUUGUAAGAAAGAUGGAAACUCUGUUAGGUUGCAAAAACUCAAUCCAAGAAUGGUGAACUGUGGAACUGUUGAAUUCACAAUUUAAUUGGAGUUGGUAAAGAAAUUGUAGAUUUUGAAACAUUUGAAACUCUACUACACCACACUCAGACUAUUCGAAUGUAGAUAAAGGAUCUGAAGGUUUGUGAGAUUUGAAAAAGAUGUGAGGUUUGCCAAGGAAUCAGGAAUCGGACCUCCAAAUCUGUUGAGUGAAAUGUCUAGAUCAGUGAGCUUCCUAAGAUUCCCAAGUGAAGAUGGAACCAACCCUUCCGAAAAAUUGCAUUGAGCCACAUCCAACUCUUGCAGUGAAUCAAGGUUUCUAAACGAAGAGGGUAUGUUCCCGAAAAACCUAGUAAAGGAAACUUUCAGAAGCAUGAGAGGACUACUUCGAUUAAAUUCAGGAAAAUAUCCAGUCAGAUCUUGGUUGUAUCUCACACUAAGAAUUUCUAGGUUUGGUAGUUGGAAAAUUCUCACAGGAAAUUCACCAAACAGGUGACAUCCCACGAUGGCUAGGGCAUUCAAAGAUGAUAAGUUAGCCAUUGAAUAAGGAAUUGCCGAAGAUAUGUUUACCAAACUGAGGGAAAGUACUUCGAGACUAGUUAAGUUUUGAACUAGGCUUCCAAACUGAGGUAGUAGGAAUUUGAGAGUAAUUGAAGUUAUUGUCAGAGAGGUUUAACCUUUGACAUCACUUUCAUCUCCAUUUUGUUUGUUAAAAGAUACGAACAAACGUUGACAUAACUUAAAACAAUACGAUGUAUAGGGCAUGGUCUUGACCUUGAACAACCAAUCAACUAGAAGCUAAAAAGCAGAAAUACAUUCUUUCUUUCUUUUUAAAAAAACCUCGACGGUACGAGGGAAAAUUUUAUUGAAUAAAAAAAAAGUUACACCUAAUCAGGAGGACAUAAACUUUACCCCUCAAAAUAAAGAGACAAUGAAGAAAAGAAAGCGAAAAUACAAGAAAGUAGGGGACAUACACUUACAUAACGGGAAACAAACUUAUAACUAAACGUAUAGGAAGAGAAGGAAAAAAACCACAACAAAGAAAAUAAACGACAACAACAAAUGCAUAACAUUGUAACGUACCCAAUUUCUAAGCCCCCCACUAGUACUCUAAAUUUUCCUUAUCAUUUGUCUGAUCAUUCCAACAAUCUUAAGAAACAAAUCGGGCCUCCUUGUAAUCACAACAUCUGCAAGAAUUACUCCCACUACAAACCCACUUCCACAUCCGGCCGAAACAAUUUUCCAAUCAAAUUCAAAUAUUCCUGCUGAGCUAGAAUCACCUUCGUCUACAAUUGAAGGUGGAAGUUGAGGGGCCUUAGGAUUUCCACAUUUCUUUGGCAAUGGAUCUCCACACAACCCUAGGUUUCCCUCGUAUGAAGUGAUAUUCAAUGAAGUAAGUUGGGUUCCUUGUGGUAUAAGACCUGUGAGAUUGUUGUGAGACACAUUGAAAUUGGCAAGAAAAGUAAGUCGACUCAGUUGUUGGGGGAUCUGUCCUGAGAGCAUGUUUUGUGAAAGGUCCAACGAUUCAAGCUUCGUCAAGUUUCCGAAGGAUGAUGGAAUAGAACCAGUGAGAAUGUUGUGGGAUAGAUUCAGCGAACGAAGCUCCUUAAGGUUCCCAAUGAAUUCUGGAAUUUUCCCUUCAAAUUUGUUGCUUGAGAUAUCAAAGGAUGCAAAUUCUUCUCGGAUCUUUGGGUAGUAUUGCUCCAAACCUUUUGUUGCUAUUGUGAGUUGGUAAUCAACAUUGCUCCAAACCGGGAAUCCAUCGACAUCAUAAACUACACGUGUGUACAUAUAUGUUGACUUGUUUACAGUAAUAUCUAGAAACACAGAUGGAACCGCUCCAGUAAAAUCAUUGUAAGCCAAAUCAAGAAUGCGUAACUUGGGGAAAUCGACAUUCUUUCUAGAUUUUCCAAUCACACCGUAGAAUCCAUUAUGGCGCAUUGCCAAAAGUUUUAACUCUAGAAGAGUCCCCAACCAAAUGGGAAAAACAUCAUUGAAACGAUUGUUUGACAAAACAAGAUACUCAAGCAUCACACAAUUGGCCAAUGACCUCGGCAACUGCCCCUGCAACUUGUUAUGACUCACAUCAAUCAUUCUCAAACUGCUUCCUUUGUUGUAUGUCUGAGGAAUAAUUCCGUGAAAAGCGUUGUUUCCGAGAAGUAGAAGUGUCAGAUGAUCACUAAAGUUUCCAAGACACUGAGGAAGCAUGCCACUCAAGUUAUUUUUCGACAAGUCAAGGGACAGAAGAUUUUUCAUAUUGCAAAGCAACGGUGAGAUUUCUCCAGUAAAGUUGUUGUCUGCAGCUGCAUAUUCUCGCAUGGUUGGUGGAGGUAUCGGUAGUGAUCCAUGAAACAUGUUGGACGAAAACCUUAGACAUAACAGUUUCACCCAAGGAAGGACAAGUGGAGGUUGGUCUGAAAUGAAGUUAUUGGAAAUGUCUAACAAUAGCAAAGUUUCUAAGCUUGUAUUCCACAUCCAUUUUGGUACUUGGCCUCGGAUUUUGUUUCCAGCAAUUUCCAAACGCGUCAACCCAUUCUGAUAUUGUAAGAAGGAUGGAAACUCUCCUAAGUUGCAAUUACUCAAUCCAAGAACAGUGAACUGUUUAACUGUUGAAUUCAAAAUUCUGGAUUGAGUGACAAGUUCUAAACCGUUCCCGCUUAAUUCGAGUUGGUAAAGAGAUUGUAGAUUUUGAAACAUUUGAAACUCUACUGCACCACUCAGAGUAUUCGAAUGUAGAUACAGGAUCUGAAGGUUUGUGAGAUUUGAAAAUGACGCAGGAACUGAACCAUUUAAUCUAUUAAAAGCAAAAUCUAGGUACUCUAGUUUGCUAAAGUUGCCUAGCCAAGAUGGGAUUGGACCGGUUAAUCGACUUGUACUAAUCCUAAAAGUAGCCAGUUGGGUAAGGUUUGCCAAGGAAUCAGGAAUUAGACCUCCAAAUUUAUUGGCUGAAAUGUCUAGAUAAGUGAGCUGCCUAAGAUUCCCAAGAAAAGAUGGAACCAACCCUUCCGAAAAAUUGCAUUGAGCCACAUCGAAGUUUUGCAGUGAAUGAAGGUUUUGAAUUGAAGAGGGUAUUGUUCCAAAAAAGCCAGUAAAGCCGACUUUCAGUAAGAUGAGAGGACUGCUUUGAUUAAAUUCAGGAAAAUAUCCAGUCAGAUCUUGGUUGUAUCUCACACUAAGAGAUUCUAGGUUUGGCAGUUGGAAAAUUCUCACUGGAAAUUCACCAAACAGGUGAUAGUCCCUGAGGUAGAGGGUUGUCAAAGAUGAUAAAUUAGCCAUGGAAUGAGGAAUUGCCGAAGAUACAUUUACAAAACUGAGAGAAAGUACUUCGAGACUGGUUAAGUUUUGAACUAGGCUUCCAAGAUCUGAUGCUUCAAGUUUCAACAAGGGAUAAUUCUCCUCUUCUGACGACUGAUGAUCCUUAUCUUCUGACAAUCUAUCGAGAUUGAGAGCUAGAUUAAGGUAUGUCAACUUGGAUAACAGUGAAAGUUCAGAAGGGACUUGACCAGAAAAGACAGAGGUAGAGAGGUCAAGAUGAGUAAGGCUUGGAAAAUUCCUAAUGCUAGUAGGAAUUUGAGAGUAAUUGAAGUUAUUGUCAGUGAGGUUUAACCUUUGAAGAUGAACAAGGCGGAAGAGGCUGCUGUUGCUGUUGAUAGUGUUGGGACUUAAAAAGGCUUCACUACUUUGGAGAUGUUUAUCUCACAAAGAAGAAUGAAAUGCAGCGGAAUUGAUAGGCAAGAGAAAGAACACUCAAAGUGUUAUACAAAUUUUUUUUAUUCUCACACAAACUUAGUACAAGAGGAAACACUCAAACACUCUCACACUUCUUGCUCUCUUACUUGCUCUCACUUCUUCUUAGUUCUUGCUUCACAACUCACACACAUACACCUAUUUAUAGGCAUGUUUGCCGACCUAUGCCAUCACUAGAGUUUUCUAGUGUAUGAACAUGCACAUACUACACCAACCUAGGCAUUUGCUAGAUUAUUCUAGCUUGUUAUGCAUGCCACCGACAUGGGCAUUACAUAAUAACCUAUACAUUUAUGAUGGUUCUAGCCUUUUCUACAUACAAACCAUUUUUCUAGAUUUUCUUAAACUUUUCCAACUUUCUACCUUCUUUGCUAGAGUUUUCUAGCAUUUUCUCAUUGGUUUUGGGUUGGAUCACUUGUCUUGGGCCUAAGACAAGAUUACUAUUCAACAUCCCCCCUUAAUCUUGUCUUGUGACGCCGAUUGAGUUUCUCAGUCUGACAAAGUCUUCUUGCCUAAGUGGUUUGGUAAAUAUGUCGGCGACUUGGUCUUGUGACUUCACGUAUUCCACUUGCACAUCCUUUCUUGCAAUGCACUCUCUUAUGUAGUGAUAACGAGUAUCUAUGUGCUUGCUUCUGUCAUGGAAUACUGGAUUCUUUGUUAGGGCUAUUGCAGACUUGUUGUCGACAUAGAUCUCUGUUGGUUCUUCUUGUGGCAUGCUUAAUUCUUUUAGCAAGUUUCUCAGCCAAAUUGCAUGGCAGACACAUGAAGUAGCAGCUACGUAUUCAGCUUCGCAGGUAGAGAGAGUGACAAUCGGUUGCUUCUUCGACAUCCAUGUGAAUGCAGUGUCUCCCAUGAAGAACACAAAUCCAGUAGUGCUUUUUCUAUCAUCGGAAUCUCCUGCCCAAUCAUUGUCGCUAUAUCCAGCAAGUUUGUAGUUAUCAGAACUUGAAUAGAAUAAGCCAAAGUUAACAGUACCUUUAAGGUAUCGAAGAAUUCUUUUGGCUGUCUUCAGAUGUGUAGUUGUGGGAUUCUCCAUGUAGCGACUGACUAAUCCGACGGCAUAGAGAAUAUCUGGUCUUGUGCAAGUCAAGUAACGCAAGCUUCCAACUAAACUCUUGAAAAAUGUUGGAUCUACACUUUCUCCUUCGUCAUGCUUGGUUAGUUUGACUCCGCACUCCACUGGCGUGUUUAUGGGCUUGCAGUCGUCCAUUUUGAACUUUUUCAGUAUCUCUUUUGUGUAGCUUUCUUGGGAGAUGAAAAUACCUUCUUCGUUCUGCUUGACUUCAAUGCCUAGGUAGUAUGCCAUCAACCCGAUGUCCGUCAUCUCGAAUUCUUUGGUCAUCACUCUCUUGAACUCUUCAAACAUGCUUGGAUUACUUCCGGUGAAGAUUAGAUCAUCCACAUAUAAGCACACAAUCAAAAUAUCUCCAUCUUUGACUUUGACGUAGAGAGCAUGUUCAUGAGGGCACUUGGUGAAGUUGUUCUCAUGGAAGUACUUGUCAAUGCGACUAUUCCAUGCUCGUGGCGCUUGUUUUAACCCAUAGAGGGCUUUCUUCAACUUCAAAACUUUAUCUUCAUGCCCUUUGAUUUCAUAGCCUGAUGGUUGCUGAAUGUAGACUUCUUCUUCAAGGACUCCAUUUAGGAAAGCGGACUUCACAUCCAUUUGUUGAAUCUUCCAUCUGUUUUGAGCUGCCAACGAAAUUAGUAAUCGUAUAGUUUCCAACCGAGCAACAGGUGCAAAUACCUCAUCAUAGUCGAUUCCGGCUCUUUGACUAUAGCCCUUCGCCACUAAUCUCGCCUUGUAUCUUUCGACCUCUCCAUUGGCAUUUUUCUUUGUCUUGUACACCCACUUGACUCCGAUGGCUUUGUGUCCUUUCGGAAGAAUAGCGAGUUCCCAUGUAUCAUUCUUCUGGAUUGCUUCAAUUUCUUCAUCCAUUGCUUUCCUCCACUUAGUAUCUUGCACUGCUUCUUGGAAGUCAACUGGUUCACAAUCAGCAAAGAGACAGAAAAGUGUAGGAUUAUCGAGUCUUUCAGCUACCUCAUAAAGAUCUCGUAGACUUCUUGUGCGUGGUACUUCUCUUUCAUUUAGACUCCCACUUGGUGAUGCUGAUGCUGGUGAAUUUCCAUGAUUGGUUGAUGUUGGUGAAGCAGGUGGAGUAGUGGAUUCUUGUUGAACUUCUCUUGCUUGCUCCAUCGUCCCUUGUUCAUUCUUUUCUUCAAAUUGAGGAAAGAAGCUGAGAUCACUUGCAUGAGAGCUAAAAUCCCAUUCUCCUUCUUCGUCGAACGUCACGUCUCGACUGAUCAUCGUCUUCCCAUUGUUUGGAUUAUACAACUUGUAGCCUUUUGAAUUUGAGUCAUAGCCGAUGAAGAUGAACUUCUCACUUUUGUCGUCGAGUUUGGUUCUCCUCUCGUCUGGUACAUGUACAUGGGCUAUGCUUCCAAAAACUCUUAGAUGGGAGAUACCUGGCUUUCUUCCACUCCAUGCUUCUUGUGGAGUCUUUCCCCACACACUUCUUGUUGGAGACCGAUUGGAUAGGUAGACAGCACAUGCUACAGCUUCUGCCCAUAACUCUUUAGGUAAUCUCUUACUUUUGAGCAUACUUCGAGCCAUGUCGAGGAUAGUUCGAUUUUUUCUUUCCGCCACACCAUUUUGUUGAGGGGAUCUUGGAACUGUCAAAGGUCGACGAAUUCCAUUUUCUUCACAAAACUCUUGAAAUUCCUUCGAAGUGAAUUCUCCUCCUCGAUCAGAUCUCAUGGCUUUGAUCUUGCAACCACUUUCUUUUUCUACAGCGACUUUGAACUUCUUGAAUGCUCCAAAGACUUCUGAUUCUGCUUCAAGAAAUACACCCAGGUUUUCCUUGAAAAAUCAUCAAUGAAGAGAAGGAAAUAAUUAUUUUUACCCAAAGAGCUUGGUUUUAUUGGGCCGCACACAUCGGUGUGAAUGAGCUCAAGUGGCUUCUGGGUUCUUGUGGUCGACUCCUUUGGAAAGCUUUUCCUGAACUGUUUCCCAAGUAAACAUCCUUCACAAACUUGAUUAGGGUGGCUGAUGCACGGUAAGCCUCUCACCAUCUCCUUCUUAGAUAAUAACUCCAAUCCCCCAAAGUUAAGAUGCCCAAAACGAAGAUGCCAAAGCCAAGAUAUGUCUUUGUAACAAAUCUUGAGACACUUUGUAACAUCGUUUUGAAUGUCCAUGGGAAACAUCCUAUUCUUUGACAUUUUCGCCUUGGCAAUUAAUCUUCCUUUGUCAUCUCUAAGAAAAAGGAUAUAAUUUUUCGUAUGAAAAUCAUAACCUUUUUCUAAGAGUUGACCCAAACUCAAAAUGUUGCUUUUCAUAUUGGGCACGUAGUAGACAUUUGAAAUUAAUUGGUGACCGCCAUUUUUCAAGGGAAUAAGGAUGUUACCUUUUCCUUUUACAGGUAUUUUGGAUUCGUCUCCAAAAGAAACGUUGCCACUCACUGAUUCAUUGAGCUCUACGAACACGCUUCUUCUUCCACACAUGUGGUUGCUGGCGCCGGUGUCAAGAUACCAUGUAUAGUCUUGGUCUUUAUCAUUGUUCUUGCAUGCUAGUAGCACAAUGCCAUUCUCUUCUUUAUCUUCUUUCACAUAAUUGACCUUUUCAUCAGGUCUGUUGCUUGGAGCUCUACAUUCCCAAGCAUAAUGCCCGAACUUUUGACAAUUGUAGCAUUGAACUUGAGAUUUUUCAUACCUCAAAUUUGAGCGCCCUCUUCCACGACCUUUUGUUGAGCUUUCUCCUCUAUCGUAGUUGCUUUGGUUGUUGAAGUUCCAACCACGUCCACGUCCAUAUCCACGCCCACGUCCGCGACCUUGGCCACGACUUCUUUCGUAUUGGCUUCUCUCGUUGUCGAAGCUUCCUUCUUUCUUCUUUGGCUGAACAUGUGUCUUGAGGAGCUGCUCAUCAUUCCCUUGCCUCUUCUUAUGUUUCUCUUCAUAUGCUUGUAGCGAACCCAUUAAUUGCUCUAUACUAAUUUCUUCCAAGUUCUUUGUUUCUUCAAUCGUCACGACAAUGUGCUCGAACUUGGGGUCCAACGAGCGUAGUAUCUUCUCCAUAAUUCUAACAUCUUCUAACUUUUCUCCGUUUCUUUUUAAUUGAUUGGAAACGGCUAAGACUUUUGAAAAAUAAUCAGAGAUUGAUUCAGACCCUUUCAUUUGUAGAGAUUCGAACUCACCUCUUAGUACUUGAAGACGAACCUUUUUCACUUGUUCGGCUCCUUUGUAAGAGGUUUGAAGCUUCUCCCAUGCUUGCUUGGCAGAGGUUGCACUCGAGACUUUCUCAAAGCCAUUGUCAUCUAAUGCUUGGUAGAUGAGGUAGAGAGCCUUCUUGUCUCUCUUUCUUGAAUCUUUCAAACUCUCCUUCUGGGGUUGGGACAGAGUAGCUUCAUCUUCUGGCUCAGUGUAGCCUUUCUCCACGACUUCCCAUACAUCAUGUGCUCCCAAAAGGGCCUUCAUUUUGAUACUCCAAUUAUCGAAGUUGUUGUUGUCGAGCACUGGAACUUGGAAGGCUGCCAUAGCGUUGCUAGCCAUAGCUCUGAUACCACUUUGUUGGGACUUAAAAAGGCUUCACUACUUUCACAAAGAAGAAUGAAAUGCAGCGGAAUUGAUAGGCAAGAGAAAGAACACUCAAAGUGUUAUACAAAUUUUUUUUAUUCUCACACAAACUUAGUACAAGAGGAAACACUCAAACACUCUCACACUUCUUGCUCUCUUACUUGCUCUCACUUCUUCUUAGUUCUUGCUUCACAACUCACACACAUACACCUAUUUAUAGGCAUGUUUGCCGACCUAUGCCAUCACUAGAGUUUUCUAGUGUAUGAACAUGCACAUACUACACCAACCUAGGCAUUUGCUAGAUUAUUCUAGCUUGUUAUGCAUGCCACCGACAUGGGCAUUACAUAAUAACCUAUACAUUUAUGAUGGUUCUAGCCUUUUCUACAUACAAACCAUUUUUCUAGAUUUUCUUAAACUUUUCCAACUUUCUACCUUCUUUGCUAGAGUUUUCUAGCAUUUUCUCAUUGGUUUUGGGUUGGAUCACUUGUCUUGGGCCUAAGACAAGAUUACUAUUCAACAGAUAGAGCCGUGGAGACAGCUGCUACCAAGAUCUAGGCCAAUCACAUGACCCGUCUUCUCAUCACACUUGACACCUUCCCAUGAGCAGCAGGUGCUAUUUCCUCCUUCAGCUGGUUUCCAUGAUGAAACCUUUGGAUAAGCAUCGGGAGAUCUAGAAGCAGAUUUGUCAAUAGUAAAGCUGUCUCUGAAUUGCAGCAGGGCGGACUUCUCCUCAUCAGGGCAAGAUGGAUACUGCUUCUGCGAAGAGUAGGAAGAGUUAGCAAUAACCACAUGAUGAAACAGCAACAAAACUAGUACUGGUUUUGAAAUGCGAAUGGUGGAGAUAUCAAGAAACCCCAUGACAACAAUAUUUUGAUUUUUUUUUUUUUUUUUUUUUUUGCACUCUUAGCUAUGUAUGGAGUGGAAAGUGAUACAACUAUUUAUAGACUGGCAUCAGCAUAAAAUUCUUCCGCAAAUUAAUCUCUAAAAAGUGAUGGAGAUGGGUGUAAUGAGGACAAGUGCAUCGUAUCUUCUACAUGUAUAAAAGAUGCUCUUGACUAAUUUAUUCGUGAGUUAAUUUUUGAAGUCAAGUCUUCCAACUUUUGAGAUGGUGUGAAAUUAGAAGUUAGACAAAUGAGCAGCACCAUAAAAGAAAAAAAAAAUAUUUGCAUACACACAUAUAGUUUAUCGCAUGAGUUCCUUCUGUAAGGGUUUAUGGUAUUUGUAUUGACACUCUUGUAAGGUUUUAUCAUAUUUGUAUGCCCAAUUGCAAGACUUAUCAACUUUGUAUUUGGGUACUUCUAAAUGUGUUGGACCUUCAUGCUUGAAAUCUUCAUUAAAAUAUGUGUAAUUUGUAUUGGAAUACAAAAUUAAACAAAAAAAAAUGUUAACGGGUGACUCAUGAGCUUAAUAGGUUGAGUUUGAGUGACUCAUUAAUUUAACGAGUCGGGUGUGGGUCACUCAUUAGCUUAAAGGUUCAGGUGAAACCCGACUCAAACCCAAUAAACCUGACUUGUUUAUAGGUUACCAGCAUAUAGUAAGGGGGAUGAAAGUUUCGAACUCUCAACAACAAAUUAAGACAUUAGAGUCAUUAGAUUCAAUUCUUGCAUUGGCUUGAAGUGGGAUGGAUUUGAAGCCAUAACUUUUCAUUCGAUAUCCAAUUUCUUCAUCAUUAGGACUUUCAAACUCCUAGCAUAUAUUAAGUCAAGAGUGCAGGUGUAACGAAAUUUUUCGUGUUGGAUUUGGUCUAUGUUGCAUUUUUCAAACCACAAGCCCUUUUUUCAUCAGAAAAGAAAUAUCUCAUUAACUCAAGAGAAAGCAAGGAAGAGAGAUACUUCCACUUGGAGUUGAAGCCCCAAGCCCCAACCAUAGGAAAACUGCAGAAAAACGUAUUUGGCUCAAUUCUAAUUUUCAUUCAUUCUCAAAUGUACAAUAUAUAUUAAAUACAAAUAUAUAGAUUAUUUACAAAUGCACGCCAUUUACUCUUGUGUGGUGCUAUCCACACACCCAUUUUUACCUGUCACACACCACUCCCAAUUUUCGGACGUCGGGCCAUGUGAAUGGUAGAAGAUCAAUGUACAAAAAUUAACAAGUGUGUGUAUGAAAUAAAAUGGGGUGUGUGAAUAGCAUUAGGAGAAAUUAGAUUCAAAUCCUUCAUUUUCCUACUCCAUUGAUUAAAACCUUAUUCCUUUUCAAUUUUUGAUCAACGUCGUUGGAUAUUAAUAAUAUCAUUAAUUAUUUCAAUAAUAAUUUUUUUAAAUAUAUUCCUUUAGUGUUAAAAAUGUUACAAUUAAUAUAUUUAUAUUUAUGGCUAAAUUUUUUAUCAUAUAUUUUUAUUUUUAGUUUGUAACCAUUUUUAAUUUGCAAACCUUUUUUAAUUUGUACCAAUUUUCUUUUCAAUUUUAAUUUGUACCCAUAUAUUAAUUUCUUUUUGUGCCCAUAUUUUUUAAAGUUUUAUUUGUAUUUGUGUCCAUGUGUUUACCAUCACGUGACAUUGUAUAAUUAAUCAAUAAUAGAAAAAUUACAUAUGGUAUAUUUAUGUUUUAUGGCUAAACUUUGUAUCAUAUAUUUAUAUUUUUAGUUUGUACCCACUUUUAAUUUGCAACCUUUUUUUUAAAUUUGUUGUAUUUUCUUUUUAGUUUUAAUUUGUACCCAUGUAUUUUUUUUUUUUGCACCCAUAUUUUUAAAAAUUUCAUUUGUACACAUAAUUUUUUAAUUUUUUAUCUGUACCCUAAUUUAUUUAUACUGUACCCAUUCUUCUUUAUUAAUGUACCACUUUGUUAUAUGUGAAAUGUACCAAUUUGUUUUGUAAAAUGUACCAAUUUUUUUAACACUAUGGAUACAUUAAUUCUUUUGCCAUUUAUUAUUUGUUAUUGUUACAUAGUUUUUAUCCAUUUAUUCAUCAAAAUGUUUGAAUUUUUCAUUGUAGCCGUUUCUAAUAAUAUUAUAAUGAGGGAUUUUAAAUUUAUAGGAUUAUAAAUCUUAUAAAAUAUCAAACAAUUAAUGUCAAAACUAUAAAAAUAUAAAUAUUAAUAGUCAUAUAAUGAGAUGUGCAAAGUCAAUGGACUUUGAUCAAACUUUGAAUACCAUUAAGGUUUUAGUUAAAAAGUGUUAGAGAUUAGAGACCCCAUCCAAAGUAUCUCAUAACAUUAUCCUUACUCUUUCAUACAAUUAGCGUAAUGCAAAAAAGUCAACGAACCCAUGUAGAAGAUUUAAUGAGUCGAAUUGUUCAAUGAACCAAACCCAUGUAGAAGAUUUAAUGAGUCGAAUUGUUCAAUGAACCAAAUUAACUAACACUGCCCCUCAAGUUUUGUUGGGUAAAAGCUUAGGCGCUCAAAGCUUACUUUUACCUGACGGAAUGAUUUCAUCUCAGAAGGUGUUUUCUUAUAGUGAUACCAAUUAACUCCAUGACAAUAAUCUUUUUAAUUAUUUUACGGAGUAAUUAGGUUUUCAUCCUUAUUGUUACUACUCUAUUGAUUAAAACCUUAUUACUUUUCAAUUUUUGAUCAAGGUCCUUUGUAUUAAUAAUAUCAUUAAUUAUUUCAAUAAUAAAAUAUUUUUUAUUUCUAAAUAUAUUCAUUUAAUAUUAAAAAUGUUACAAUUAGUAUAUUUAUAUUUAUGGCUAAAUUUUUUAUCAUAUAUUUUUAUUUUUAGUUUGUACCCAUUUUUAAUUUGCAACCCUUUUUUAAUUUGUACCAAUUUUCCUUUCAAUUUUAAUUUGUACCCAUAUAUUAAUUUCUUUUUGUGCCCAUAUUUUUUAAAGUUUUAUUUGUAUUGUACCCAUAUUUUUUUAUUUAUUUGUACCCAUUUUUAUUUUUGCUAAAUGUACCCAUUUUGAAGAAUGUACCCAUGUUUUGAUACAAUAAUUUUUUGGUUAUUUUUUAUGAAUGUACCCAUGUUUACACACACACACAAUAGUAUAUUUAUAUUUUAAUAUUUGUAAUCCCACAAAUUAUGUUUUUUAUUUAAAAUCUCAUUACUAUAAACAACUAUAAAUUUUAAUUUUUAAUUUAAAAAAUAUAGUAACGUACAUAGAAAUAAAUUAUCAAUUAAUUUUAGGGACUUGGAUCAAAAAUUGAAAACCAACAAAGUUUCAGUCAAAGAUUAUUCAUAACUAGGGACCGCAUCCAAAGUCUCCUUUAUUUUAUUUUUUCACUCUUAGCUAUGUAUGGAGGUACAAAGUGACAUAACUAUUUGUAGACUGGCAUCAAUAUAAAAUGAUUCUGCAAUAUGAUUUCUAAAAAGUGAUAGAGACCGGUGUAAAGGGGACAAGUGCAUCGCAUUUCUUCUACAUGCAUAAGAAGAGAUACUCUUGACUAAUUGAUUCAUGAAUUAACUUUUGAAGUCGUCUUCAACUUUUAAAAUAGCGUGAAAUCAGAAGUCAAAAAAAUAAGCAGCACCAUACAAGAAACAAGGCUUGAUGACGCAGCACUAGCGUAGAAGGAUUAAAAAUAUAAAUCCUUGAAGAAACAAAGUUUUUGGAACCCACCAGUUUGAUAGAAACUCUAAAAGGAUAAUUUGAUUAAUUGAUGAGUUGAUGAUUACAAUGGAUAACACCCAUGACUUAAAUAAGUCAUUUACAACACUUUUGGACAACUCAAAAGGCUUAGAGAAUUAAAACGAAAGUAAAUGACAUUAAUCGGACGACAAUUGAAAAGUCCAAACUUAUUACAAACUUUAUUUUUCGGUUUUGGAAGCCACAGUCACAAGAGUUGGCAAGCUCCGCACACAACCGAAGGACAUAGUUAGCUUAUUGAUUACUCAGCCUGCGUGCCACGAAUGCUUGGUAGUUUUUAAGGUCAACAAUUGUACAUUUGAGAAUGAAGGAAAAGUACAAUUGAGCCAAAUAUGUUCUUCUACAGUUUUCCUAUGGUUGGGGCCUCAACUCCAACUCGAAGUAUUUCUCCUCUUCCUUGCUUUCUCUUGAGUUAAUGAGAUAUUCCUUUUCUGAUGAGAAAAGGACUUGCAGUUUGAAAAAUGCAACAUAGACUAAAUCCAACAUGAUAAAUUUCGUUACACCCGCACUCUUGACUUAAUAUAUGUUAGGAGUUUGAAAGUCCUAAAAUGAUGAAGAAAUUGGGUAUCGAAUAAAAAUUUCGGGCCUCAAAUCCAUUGCACUUCAAACCACUGCAGGAAUUGAAAUAGAUGACUCUAAUGCCUUAAUUUGAUGCUGAGAGUCUGAAACUUUCAUCUCCUUUACUAUCUGCUGGUAACCUGUAAAUGGGUCCCGUUUAUUAGGUUUGGAUCGUGUUUCACCUGACCCGUUAAGCUAAUUAGUCACCCCCAACUCGUUAAGCUAAUGAGUCAUCCAAACUCAACCUACUAAGCUCAUGAGUCACAUGUUAACAUCAUUUUUUAUUUUUUUUUAAAUUUUGCAUUCCAAUACAAAUUACACAUUUUUUAAUUAAGAUUUCGAGCAUGAAGGUCCAACACAUUUAGAAGUACCCAAAUGCAAAGUUGAUAAGUCUUGCAAUUAGCCAUAUAAAUAUGAUAAAACCUUAUAAGAGUGUCAAUACAAAUAUCAUAAACCCUUACGGAAGGAACUCAUGAGAUCAACUAUAAAUGUGUUACAUAUAUGCAAAAAUUAACUUCUUUUUUUUCCUGUUUUUUGCGGAAAAAUUUUCAAACCUAACAUGUGGACAAACAACGGGAUGACGUGGAGCGAAUGUGACUACUGAGAUAUUAUGGUGGAACCUCAACUUCUUAAACAGAAACCCAUUAAUUGUAGAAGAAUCGUGUCUAUCAAGUGUCGAAGAGUCAUAUCAACCAAGUAAGACUAGUGGAUGGCGUUUCUUUGAUGAGAAAAGAACUUGCAGUAGUUUGAAAAAAUCAACAUAGACCAAAACCAAAGCACAAGUUCCACACAUAGGCCCGUAUCCACUCCACCGGUCGAAUUAAAACCUAAUUACUAUAUUUGGUUGCAUUCAUUAUUUUAAGAAUCGUCCGUGUAUAAGAGUCGUAUCAAACAAAUAAGACUAUAGUGGAUGGCGUUUCUCUCUUACUUGACGUUAACAAGAAUAUGUACACUUCCUAGAGACAUAUGUAGUUGGAGGAGGUUUCCCCAUGGUUGGGGCCUCAACUCCAAGUCGAAGUAUUGUCUCUUCCUUGCUUUCCCUUGAGUUAAUGAGUUACUGAGAUAUUUCUUUUCUGAUGAGAAAAGAACUUGCAGUUUGAAAAUAUCAACAUAGACCAAAACCAAAGCACAAGUUCCACACAUAGACCAGUAUCCACUCCACCGGUCGAAUUAAAACCUAAUUACUAUGUUUGGUUGCAUUCAUUAUUUGUUUAGUCUUGUCGACUUUAAGAAAAGAAGGAGUAAUUCAGUCAAUCUACACUACUCUUAAAUCCUUCUGUGCCACAUGAUCUUAGGUUACUUUCCUAUUAUUUAGGAGGGUUUACGAUUGCUUUCAUGUUUGUUAAGAAUUGCGUCUUUAUAAAUACACCAUGUAACUUCGCUCGAGUUGAGUUUGGUAAGAUGUAGUCAUUUUGUGUUAUGUAUCAAUUUUAGCAAAGUUUUGUAAUCAAUCGGUUUGUACUUCUUUUUCUCUUUCCUUCAUUUAUUUAUUUUUUACACACUUGCUCUCCAACCAUUAAUCUGGAUCUUGAGGUCGAAGAUCAGAUGGUUGAGGUCAAGUUAAGUGAUGUAAGACAAGAUAUGAGUCACUUCCUAUGAAGAAAUAUAAAUAAAAUAAAAUGUUUCAAGAGAAGAAGAAUUAAAAUUGAAAAAUAUUGGAUUCAAUAAAUAUGGAGAAAAGGCAGCAAGAAAUAUUCCGAUGUCAUAGGAAGGAACACGUCUCGAUCUUCGGGUUCUAAAGCCUGAAGACAAGGCUGCUAGUUCUGCGAAGUUCAAAUAUCAAAUUUGGCUUUCAAUGUGCCGAAUGUAGUAACCUGUAACACCUCACUUCGCCGAGAAGGUUGAUGAAAUGACCUCUACCAACAAGGACUUAAAAAUCCUUGUCGACCGAGACUUGGAUAGGUAAUCAAUCGGCCGACAAGUAGUGCUGCUUAUCCAAACUGAAGGUGCUCAUUGAUCGGCUGAUUCUAUGGCUCCAGUGUUGUUUAUCCAAACUGAAGAUGUCGUUGGUUGCCUUCACAAUGCUGUUUAUCCAAACUGAAGAUGUGUCGGUGAGAAAAAGAAAAUAAAAAUCUCAAGGUUGUUGAGAGGUUUCGCGUAGAGCGAGAGUUUGCGUAAGGUAGUUUGUGUGUUGAAUUGGAGAAGCCCUUGAAUGAUGCACUCCCUUCUCUAUUUAUAUCAGCGAGAACCCCUAUGGCCGAACUAGAAAUAUAUUAGGAUUAGAACUCCUUAAACCAAUUUGAUUAAACUUCGACCAAUCCUAAUCUUCAUAGGACUUUGAACCAAACCUUCAAACAAACUAGGUUCAUCUCCUAAUACCAAGUACUUUAGCUUUGAGACUCCUUAUUAUACCAGGAUUCAACUACUUCACCUUUAUUCGAAAUAAUCCUCUUCGUAGCAGGAUUCGGCUAACCUCGACAGGGCCGGCCCAUGACAAGAUUCUAAAUAAAAACCAUUGGGCCGAGAAUAUUUCUGAGCUCAGCCCAAAAUAUCAUUUUGGGUCCAAACAUUGGUCCAUUGCUUCUGAGGUCCUCGGCCUAAAAAUUCUGGCUGAGCCUCGACCUUGAAAAAGUGAAAUCAAACCUUUAGUAUAUCUUCGAAAGACAACGAAAAAUCUCAAAUAUUCUACCCACUCAGGUGCAUUUAUGAAGCACGAUUGCACGAUCUUAAUUUGUCAGAUGCUCUGCCACGUGGUGAUUCCUCAGCUUACUCGUCUGCCAUUAAUAAUGACAUUUGAAACGUGCAACCAUCGAAACGUCUCUUCACCAUUAAAUUUGCUGUCAUAUGCAAACGUGCAUCCUCAAUCCAUGAGUUCUUCGGUCUUCGGUCUCUUCACCUGGAUUCUUUGAAUAUCCAUCAUGAUUACAAAAUCCUCUGGUCAAUUUUACCCCCUAAGAACUAUUGAUCUUCCUCCCAAAACACCUAUAAAUACUCAGUUUUCCUUCAUUCAUACCUUACGCUUUUAAAAAUCUCAAAUCUCAUUGCCACUUGCUCUCAAUACUAGAAAAACCAACCUUCCUUUGAAACCUAUAAAACCUUCAUCUUCUUCAAUGGCUGCCAAUACUUUCAUCACCAAGUUGGUCGAGGAAUGCACUAAAUGCCAAAGCAUCACUAAUCGAAACACUAUCAAAACCAUCUGAUUUGAGGAUGAGCCAAAUGCUUCCCACUAAACCCUCGGUCCAUUGUUCAAAGACGAUGUUCCAGAAGUGAUCAUCGAAAUGCUCAAGGAGCAUUGCUUGAAACCCUUAUUCCAAGGGUAUGAUUGGUCGAAAUGGGAAUUGGCCAAACCCCAAGGCGUUUGGCCUUCGAUCACUGCGGCCUAGGUUGCCUGGUUCACUCAGAUGGAGCCACAUUUCGGCGACGAAUGGAAAGCUCUAGGCAUUUUUUAUGUCAUUAAACUCUCGACCAUCGAGAUGAGCUUAGAUCGAGAGCUCGUGAUGGCUGCUUUGAGCUUCUGGUGCUCGGCCACCAAUACGAUGGUUCUCCCCCUCGGCCCCUUGGCCCAACAGUGAUGGACAUCACAACCAUACUUGGCACCUCUCCUACCGGCCUCCCAGUCGACAAGUCUCUCUCCGGGUAUCAAUUUGACCUGGACCUGAAAACCAUUUUCGAGGAGCAUGCCAUUGAAUCCCUGACAAAGGAAAACCAAAAGCUGUCGAAGGAAGAUGCGUAUAAACUACAUAAAAAAUUCUUCAACUAUAACACCCUAAUCACUCACUUCACUGGCUCGAGAGGGGAAAAUCUUAAAAAGGGUGAACACGGGGCCUUCUUAUUCUACUGGUACAACAAAUAUAUAUAUUGUGCCAAGUCAAAUAAAUGCUUGGCUGAGAAUAUGCCUAUUGCCGAAGCCUUGGCUAGCGGUCAUGUCCUGGCCCUUAGUCCGGCCGUUCUUGCUAACCUCACCAAAACGGCCCGUUCUGGGUUUUUCAGCUCUGGUUGCAGGUCUAUUUCUCUGCGUUGCGGCCAGACCUUGCAAGUUUCAACUCUUCCGAAGCCAUAGGCCUUGAGCUGGCCUCACGACCCAUUCUUUCCCACUUGGCCAAAGAGAUCUUCAAAUAUUUCUUUGGCCUAAAAGACCUGUCGGACGACGAAUUCCAUAUUUGCCAUCGCCGAGCGUACCCCCCUUCCAUCAUCCUUCAACAUUGGCAUGGAAAGAUGUCGACGAAGCUGAUCUCCAAAAUUUCUAGGGGUCAUUUAUCAUCACUCGCAACCUGCCCUAUGGUUGCAAGGCUCGACGAGGAAGCUGGGAAGUUUAUCACCCAAACUUCUUGGCUCGUCAACUGGGUUUUCUUCAAGGAUGCCAUAUGCCAUUCCUUACUUCUCUUUCCCUCUUGAGCCGAGAACGCUUCUUCGGCUCUUCAGAGAGGGAGUGUGAAGUAGCUAAGAAGGAUUUCAAGGAGUGGUGUGCCAAAUUCAGUCUUCGACUGAAAACUCCAGAAUCCCGUUAUGCUAGCAUCUUUGCCGAUUGGUGGGAUACCUAUACUAAGGAUUUCUUCAGAACUUCGGCUGAGGAAAUCUCACAAAAGCUUUUUGGCGACGACCCCAAAAAAACUCUCGCCCUAAAAUCCAGAGAAAUGGCCCAAGGUAUAUAGCUUUCCUUUUUAUUUUUCUUACUUUUUUAUUUCGGACUUCUUUUUUAUUCAAGCUCAGUGUUUUUAGGUGAUUGGGAUGGCCACGGCUAAGAAAAAACUUACCACUCCCAUGAGGAAAACUGCAACUGUCGCACUAACCCCAUCAAGCAAACGAUUUCGUCCGAAUGCCGAGACGGUUGAUGAAGCUCCCCGGGCGAGAAAAUGUGUUAAGAAAUUGGCAAAGAAAGGGGAACAAGAGAUCCAUGUUAUCUUUAGCCAAACCAUGGGAGCAACUACUCCCAGUGCCUUUCUCAUUUCCCCUGCUGUCAAGGUCUCGGCCAUGGUGUAGGGAGACUUAGUGAUUGAGCUGGUCACCAAUCCGGCUGUCGAAUAGCCUACAACUUCAACACUGGCCGCUGCUCACGUCGAAGUCAGCCUGGCGGUUGCUACCCCGAAGAGAGCAACUUUUGUAGCAAAAAAAAAUCUCCCCCCGAAUCCAAAAAAAGCUUCAACAAUCAUCCUAGAAUAAGAGGUAUAAAAUUUUAUAAUGUUCUUUUUAUCUCGAACUCAUUGUCUAACGACUAAUCCAUUGUCUAGGAGGAUGAAAGUGAAGGGCCCCUACUGGUAAAACAUCCUCAACCAGCCGAAUUGCCGACUAUCACUUCUCAACUGGCAGUCGAGGCGGUGGAUCAAGCCGAUGCUCCCACAGCUGAAGCAGGUUUGGGUUAUGAAACACCACUCCAUGUCGAGCCAGAAGCAACAGCCGAGAUGCCGAUUCAUCUCUAGGACCAGAAUCUCAAUAUCCCUCCCCAGGAUGUUACUUUAACCUUUGUAAGAACCGUUACCAUGUCCCAUUUUCAAUUCCUAACCUUUGAAUUAUGAACCAAGAGCAACCAUGAAAAUGCCAGGUGCCUUAUCGUUCAUUUCACCGAUAAUUUUACGCGUCAAAUGGUGUUAUUUAUAUUUCUUGGUUGCUUCAAUGGCCAUCGAAUGUAGAUAGCCUCUAGCUGAUAUGGCCGAGGUCUCAUCUCGACAGGUCUAUCAUAACUUCUUUAUCUGAUAUUCUUUUGGACUCUUCUUUACUAACUUCUUCUUUGUGCAGCUUCAUGGGAAGUCGAGCUCGACGCUCUCCUCUUGAGUACUUCUGGAGUAGCCGGGCUUUCUGUUGCGUCGACCGAGCCUUCAGUAAUCGCGGUCGAAUCCAAUACCUUCGUCAAGUUUCAGGAACUUCUAUCCCUUUUAGCCUCACAAGUCCUUUAAUGUAAAGGCAUCGACUCUGUAGAAUAAUGCUUGAACGAUCUUGUAGCCGAUGGCUUGUUGAGCACCGAAAGUGUCGUCCACUUAUCCAAUAUCCUGGAGCGGACCCGACAAUACUUCGCCACUUUUGAAAGGGCUCUCCGAGCUGAGGAUAACCUUAAGUCUAUAAAGGCAGCUCAUGAUGCUAGCCAACCGAAGGUUGAAGCUAUAAAAGCAAAGAAGACUCGACUGGUUGACCUUGAUCGUCAGAUCGCCAAACUCCAGCGUCAAAGGUCGAUCGUCGCUUCAGAGCUCGAGAAAGAUUUUGAGGCGAAUAAGUCCAUCCUGACAGACCACAUAGCCAACUCAAAGCGGAUACAACAACUGCAGCUUGAUAAAAGAACAAGACAAACCGAAGUUACAAUGGGUGAAGUAAGGUGGUUGGAACUGAAAGCCGCUCUUAAAGCCUUCCUUCCUUCGACCCCUUAGGAUUUUGGCCUUAUUAACCAACUGUUGGAUUCUUUUUGUAAUUCUUGUUUGUAAGCCUUUUUGCAAAAUUAAUGAAACAAAACUUUUAUUCUCGCAUUUCCCAUUGAUUAGUAGUUUAUGAAUUAGACCAGUUCGAUCUUUAAGGUGGUAUGUCCCCAUGCCGAGAACUUUAUAGAAGACAAACGGUCCUUCCCAAUUCGGCGACCAUUUCCCAAAUUUGGGAUCUUUCAUCCCUACGGGUAACACGAUUUGCCAUACUAACUCUUCCUCGUCGAACGUUUUUUGUUUGACUUGUUGAUUAUAGGCUUGCUCGGCAAUCUUUUUUUGCACCACCAAUAAAUUAUAAGCAUCAAGUCGAGCAACCUCAAAGUCUUCUAACUCUUGUCUCAUGGACUGAUUGUAUUCAGCACUGAACAAACUACUUUGUUCAAUUACUCGUAAUGAGUUUAUACUUAACUCAACUGGUAGCAUCGCAUCGUGCCCAUAAGUUAACACGUAAAGGGUCUCCUUGGUUGCUGAUCGAGGUGAAGUUUGAUAAGCCCAUAAUACCUCAUUUAAUUUCAAAUGCCACAUGCCAGGCCUUUCUUCUAUCAUAUUUUCAAGAAUACUGAUUAAAAUCUUAUUACUUGCUUCGGCCUGUCCAUUUACCUGUGAGUAAAACGGCGGGGACUGUUCCAGUUAAAUUUUUAAACUCGCUGUGUACUUUUUGAAUCUGUUAGAUGUAAAGAUUGUACCGUUAUCCGUUAUGAUUAUUUUUGGUAUGCCGAAUUUGGUUACGAUAUUUUCUUCCCUAAAAUUACAAACUUCUUUAGACGUUAACUCGGCGUAUGACUUUGCUUCGACCCAUUUGGUGAGGUAGUCUGUUACAACAAGUAUCCACACAUGCUUAGCUGACUCGGAAGACGGCGUAAUUUUACCGAUUACGUCUAUGGCCCAUCCUCUGAACGGCCAGGGUUUGGUGACUAAGUGAAGUAAUUCGGCCGGGACUUUUUGUAUAGGCUUAUGAAUUUGACACUGUACACAUCCUUGUACGCACUCAAUACAAUCCUUCAAUAUACUUGGCCAAAGAAUCUUGAGUCCAGAUUGAUGAGCUCCGUAAAUUCCUUCGUGUACUUCUGUAAUUUCUUAAGCAGCCUCCUGUGGGCUGAGUCACAAUAACAAUAAACCAUCAUCACCCUUCCAGUACAACUUAUUCUGGUACAACACGUAAUUUAAGGCAUGGACCCUUGUCUUGCGGUCGUGUUUGUCACUGGGGUUAUCGAGAUAUCACAUGAUUGAUCUUCUUCAGUCGUCUGGUAAUGUCUUAACAGCACACACAUCUGCAGGAUCUCCUCGUUCUAACAACGAAGGUAAGGAAAUCACUCGUGUACGGAUCAAGUAGCUGUGUUGGAGAACUUAUUGAUUAACCAAGGCUGGGUGCGAUUGUCGUACUACAGGUAUAGCCCGGCCUAGCUCGCCCCCAGGAGUUAUGCUCCGAAGGCUAUUUGAGCCAGUUCGUCUGCGUCGGUGUUUCAAACACGGAAGAUGUGUUUGAAUGUGAUACCGUCGAACAACUCGGCCAAAUAAUUGGCAACCAUGUGAUAAGGCAACAGAGUACAACUCAUGCAACGGAAAGUUUCAUUGAGUUAGUUAAUCACAAGUUUCGAAUCGCUAAGGACGAGUAUGCGGGUUGCCCUCAAGUUGUGAAAGAUGCUGAGGUCGAUGAUAAGGGCUGCGUAUUCGGCCUGAUUAUUUGUACAAUCAAAAUCAAGCUUAAGAGAAAAAUACUAGCGGUGUUGAUCUCGACCGAAGUACAACUCGGUAUAAAAGACGAACUAGUUUGACUUUUAACAGCUGGGUUUAUUCGGACCUCUCGAUACGUCGAGUGGCUGGCCAAUAUCGUCCUGGUGCUAAAGAAGAAUGGUGCCCUACGCAUCUGUAUCGAUUUUCGUAAUCUGAACCUAGCAACGCCCAAAGAUGAAUACCCGAUGCCGAUCUUCGAUUUGUUAAUUGACGCCGCAGCAUACCACGAGAUCUUAUCUUUUAUGGAUGGGCAUGCUGGUUAUAACCAAAUUUUCAUCGCCGAAGCUGAUGUCCAUAAAACCACUUUUCGUUGCCUCGGGGCACUCGGCACAUACAAAUGGGUCGUCAUGCCCUUUGGCCUUAAGAACGCCGGUGCCACAUACCAACGAGCUAUAAACACUAUUUUCCAUGAUUUAAUUGGUACCAUCGUCGAAGUCUACAUCGACGAUGUGAUAAUCAAAUCAGCACGUCAGCAGACACAUUUGGAUGACCUCCGUUAGUUGUUCCUGCGCAUGCACUGGCAUAAUCUUAAGAUAAAUCCUGCCAAAUGUGCUUUUGGCGUCUCAGCCUGAAAUUUUUUAGGAUUCCUCGUCCAUCACCGUGGUAUUGAGAUGGACGACAACAAGGCUCACGCAAUCAUUAAUGCUCCACCCCAAACGACUAAGAAACAACUACAAUCAUUGCUCGGCAAGUUCAAGUUUCUCCGUCGAUUUAUUGCCAAUUCAGACGGGAAAAUGAAAGCAUUCUCCAUGCUUUUGAAACUUAAGGACUCCAACACCUUCGAAUGGCGUUCAGAACACCAAGAGGCAUUUACACAGGUCAAGGUCUCCUUAACAGUUUUGCAUGUCCUCGUCCCACCACGACGGGGCCGACCUCUUAAGCUAUAUAUCUCGGCGGCUGAAGAAUCCAUCGGAUGCCUUCUUGCACAAGACAAUGACGCUGGGCAAGAAUAGGUCAUUUUUUACCUUAGCCGAAAUCUCAAUCCACUAGAGAUUAAUUACUCUGUUGUCGAGAAGUUUUGUCUUUUGUUAGUUUUUCGCUGCGUCAAAACUCAGACAUUAUAUGCUCCCAUCAGUCACUCAAGUCAUCACCCAGGCCGAUGUCAUUCGUUACAUGCUUACUCGGCCGAUCGUAAAAGGCCGAAUUGGCAAGUGGACGAUGGCUCUCUCUGAGUUUAGCUUGCAAUAUGUGCCCCAGAAAGCUGUCAAAGGUCAUGCUUUGGCCGAUUUUUUGGCCCAACACCUUUCCUCGUAUGAGUUCGGGGGCAAUGACGUUGACAUCGGAAUGGUGGCAAUACGUGGUAAUUACUGAACGAUGUAAUUUUAUGGUUCCAGUACUUCAGUCUCGGCUAGCGUUGGGAUUGUUAUUCAAUCCCCCACUCAUAAUCGUUGGUAUUUUUCUCUCGAGCUUGAUUUCAAUUGUACGAAUAAUCAAGCCGAAUACGAAGCCCUUGUCAUCUACCUCAGUAUACUACACGAUUUACGGGUAACUCAUGUCCUUGUUCUUGGUGACUCUGAACUUGUCAUCUACCUCGAUGUACUUUUCGUUGCAUGAGUUGUACUCUGGCGCUUUACCAUAUGGUUGCCAGCUAUUUGGCCGAAUCUUUCGACGGUGUUACUUUCAAACACAUUUCACGAGUUCAUAACACUGAUGCCGACGAAUUAGCUCAAAUAGCCUCCAGAGCACAACUCAUGGGGGGCAAAUUAGGCCGAGAAAUACCUGUGUCACGACAAGCACAUUCGGCCUUAAUUAAUCAGUAAGUUCUCCAACGUGAUUGCGUGAUCCGUACACGAGUUAUGUCCUUGCCUUCGUUGUUAGAACGGAAGGACACUGUUGAGGUUUGUGUUGUCGAUGCAUUACCAGACGAUUGAAGAAGGACAAUUAUGCGAUACAUUGAUAACCCUAACGAAAAAUAUGAUCGACAGACAAGGGCUUAUGCCACAAACUACGUAUUAUACCAGAAGGAGUUGUAUUGAAAAGGUGAGGAUGGGUUACUGCUGUUAUGCCUCGGCCCACAUGAAACUGCUCAAGCAAUGGCAGAAGUACAUGAAGGAAUUUGCGGAGCUCACCAAUCUAGAUGAAAAAUGCAUUGGCUGCUUCAGCAGCAUGGCUAGUUCUAGCCAAGUAUUCUGAAUGAUUGUAUUGAGUACGCAAAGGGUACAGUGUCAAAUCCAUAGGCCUAUACAGAGAGUUCUGGUCGAAUCACUACAUUCGGUCACCAAACCAUGGCCGUUUCGAGGAUGGGCCAUGGAUGUAAUCGGGAAAAUCACACCAUCUUCUGGUGCAACCAAACAUGCGUGGAUACUCGUUGCAACAGACUACUUCACCAAAUGGGUCGAAGCCAAGUCAUAUGCCAAGCUAACCUCUAAAGAAGUUUGUAAUUUCGUUGAAGAAAACAUUGUGACUAGAUUCGGCGUGCCAGAAACAAUCAUAAUAGAUAAUGGUACGAUCUUUACAUCCGACAGGUUUAAGGAAUAUUCGGUGAAUCUAAGGAUUCGACUCGAGCAAUCUACGUCGUAUUAUCGCAGGCAAAUGGACAAGCCGAAGCAAGUAAUAAGGUUCUAAUCGGUAUUCUCGAAAAGAUGAUAAAAGAAAGGCCGGGUAUAUGGCAUUUAAAGAUAAAUGAAGCGUUAUGGGCUUAUCAAACUUCUUUACGGACAGCCACUGGAACGACUCCAUAUGGUUUGACUUAUGGAAACAACGUAAUGUUGCCAGUCGAGUUAAGUAUAAACUCGUUGCGAGUAAUUGAACAAAGUAGUUUGUUUAGCGCCGAGUACAGUUGGGCCAUGAGACAAGAGUUAGAAAAUUUAGAAGAAGCUCGGCUUAAUGCUUAUAACUUAUUAGUGGCACAAAAGAAGAUCGCCGAGGGAGAGUUGGUUUGGCAAACCAUACUACCCGUAGGAAUUAAAGACCCUAGGUUUGGCAAGUGGUUGCCAAAUUGGGAAGGGCCAUUUGUUAUUCAUAAGGUUCUCGGUAAGGGAGCAUACCAUCUUAGGGAUAAAACUAGUGUAGUUCACAAGUUGCCAAUCAAUGACAGGUUUUAAAAAAAUACUAUCCAGUCACAUGGGAGAUUCCGGAAUAAAAGUUCUUUUCAUUAAGUUCGCAAAAAGUUGUACAAAUGGAGUGGGGCGAUCAGUUAUAAUCAAAUACUUCUAGGAUGAUGAAGGUAGGAGAGAUUCAAGAAUGGCCUUCAACUCUAAUUACCGCACCUCGCUCAUCUUGACCUCAGCUUGCCGAUUCCUCUUGUCCAUCUUCAGCUGCUCGACCCGCUUCACGCUAGUUGCAUAGUCAGUUAAGCAAGACUUGCCGCUCGACUCAAAAUCUUUUGCAAGCUCGGAAGCAAUUGCCGACCUUAGAUUUUUGAGUUCGGCAAUUUGACGGUCAAGGUCGGCGAGGGUCUUUUUUUUCGCCUUUAAAACUUUGACUUAUGAACGAAGAGCAUCUCGAGCAACUAUUGCAGCUUUCAAGUCGUCUUCAGCCCGAAGAGCUUUCUCAAAAAUACCAAAAUAUUCUUGGGUUCAUUCCAAGGUAGAAGACGCUUGAGUGAUAGCUUCAGUGCUCAAUUGACCAUCAGUUGCGAGAUCGUUCAAACAUGCACCCACUGAAUCGAAGCCCUGGCAUACGAGAACUUGUGUAGCUACCGAAGAGCCAGCCACCCCUGAAGUACUCGAUAAGAGAGCAUUGAACUCGACUUCCCAUAAAGGCUGCACACGAAAAGAAUUUAAGCGAAAAGAAAAUCAUAAAAGAAUGUAGUAGAAAGAGUUUAUUUUAGACAUGCCGAGAUGAAACUUUGGCCAUGUCUCUUGGUUCGUUGCUUGAACCUAAAGAGCUUAAUGGCCGAGCCUAGUGUUUUAGACUGCUUCUUAAUUCACGCGGCCGAUGAAGGUUAUCUACGUUCGACGGCCACUGAGGUGGCCAGGAAAUAUAGAUAACACCCUUCGGCGCAUAGAAUUUUCAGUGAAAUGAAUAACUGGGCACCUGACAUUUAAUAUUUUUCUCGGUUCAGACUCAUUAUAAUACAAUUGACAAGAGAAAUUAGUCGAGCCUUACAAAAGUCGAAGUCGCUUCUUGAAAGGGAAUGUCGAGGUCUUGGUCCUGCGAGUGAACUAGAGUUUCUGACAUCGCUUCAGGCUCAAUGAAAGGCCUUUUUCCACGAUCGACUGUAGGAGGAUUGACCUGAUCGGUCGCCUCAACCAUAAGGGGAAGAUCAAUGGAAGGAGGUUUGGUUGGUCGAGAACGACUCGCCAGCGGAAUCUCAUCACUCUCGUCAUCCUAAAACAAAAGAAUUGUUAGUACUUUUGAAUUUAAAGAGUGAAGGGAGUUGCCAGUAUAAUCAUACCUCUUCUAAAAUGAUCAUUGAUUAUUUUGGAUUCUUGGGGAGAUUCUUCCCGAUCGAAGGGGUUGCCUCCCCUAGGACGGGUGCUACAGUCUGCCCCGAAGUUGCAGGCGUAUCGACCAGCGGUACAACAACUGGUUUGACCACGACCUCGAUGACCUCAGGGGCCAGGUGAGCUUGGGGUGUCAGGUUGGUUGGAGUUGGCCGUUUCUCCGUUGAGGCUUGGACAACAGGAACAGGAGGAGAGGCACUAGGAGUGGUCGCUUCGGAAGUGUGGUUGGAGAUAACGUGAAUCUCCCGUGCUUCUUUCUUCGCCAAUUUCUUGAUGCGUUUUGUGGGGCGAGGGGCUUCACCUGCCGUCUUGGUGUCAGGACGAGGCCGUUUGCUCGGUGCGUUUUGUGCGGUGGUUUUAGAUUUCUUGGAGGAAGGGGCCAGUUUUUUCUUGGCCACAGCUGGGGCGAUCACGUCUGCCUGUUUCAAUACUCGACCGCCUGAGAAAGCGAAAUCUAAUUAGUAAAAUCGAUUAAGUGUUUGAAGAAUAAAGGUAAAGAUAAUUGUAUACCCUGGGGCGUCUCUUUGGAUUGAGAGGCAAAAGUUUUUUCGGGUCGGUCACCAAAAAUUUUGUUGACUACGUUUUCGACUGAAGCACCAAAAAAGUUGUGGGUAUAUUCUUCCCACCAAUCGUCGAAGGUGUCGAUGCCGAGAGAUUCAAGAACAGUUGGUCGAAGGCGGAAUUUCUUGCACCGUUCCUGAAACUCCUUCUCGGUGUCUUUGCACUUCCUUUCUGAGGAACCAGAGAGGCGUCAUUGGCUUAAAAGGGAGUGGGAAGUAAGUAGAGGCACCGGGCAACCUUGGAGGUAGUUAAGCUGUGGGGUAGCAAAGUGGCGGUGGUAGACUUCCCAACUUGCUCGGCGAGCAUCGCAACUGAGCGCAAGGUCGUGAGUUAACACGAACGAACCCCAGUUUUGACGAAAACCAGCAUCUUCGCUUUCAUUCUAGGUUGAUGUGGGAAGUCUGAUGGAGUGAGGGUAUUCCUGACAACGACAUAUCAAAAAUUCAUCGUCAGAGAAGAUGUUUAGGCCAAAGAAGUGUUUGAAGACUUCGUCAGCUCAGUGAGGAGGCACUGGUCGAGGAGCCAACUGAUGGCCGAGUGCUACAGUGGACUGAAGGUUGGGGAUUUCUGGCCGAAGUGUGGAGAAAUAAACCUGCAGCCAGAGUUAGAAUACCCAGAGAGGUCCAUUCUGGUACGGGUCGAUCUUGGUGGCGGUCGUUUCAGCCAGGUAGCGUAGAAGGUUGGCAAGGAUAGCCGGACUGAGCACCAGAGAAUGACCACUAGCCAGGGCUUCCACCACGGUAUUUUUUCGACCAAACACUUAUUCGACUUGGUACAACAGAUAAACUUGUUGUACCGGUAAAAUAGGAAAGCCUCGUGCUCGCCCCUCCGCAGACUCACCUCCUCUCGGCCAGCAAAAUGGAGGAUGAGGGUGUUGUAGUUAAGAAAAUUCUUAUGCAACUUCUGAACUUCCUCUUUUGAAGGCUCUUGACCUUCUUGUCUCAACGUCUCGACUGCUCGUUCGUUGAAUAGUACCUUGAGGUCGAGGUUUGAUGAGCAUCCAAUAAGGGCAGCGUCUAUUGGAAUGCCAGAAUGAGGAGUCCUGAGGAUAGCCGAGAUGUCGAGGAUGGUGGGGGUGAUAGGGCCGAACGGAAGGACCAUGGUGUUGGUGGCCAAGCACCAGAGGCUUAGAGCUGACAUAAGGAGUUCUUUAUCCAUGGUAAUCUCCAUGGUCGAAACCUUAAUGGCGUCGUGGAUGCUGAGAGCCUCCCAUUCUUUACCAAAGAAUUUUUCCUUUCGUACUACCCAGGCCGCCCAGUUCGCUUUGGUCGAAGGCCAGACUCAUUGAGGCUUUGUCAGGCACCACUUCGACCAAUCAAAUCCUUGCAGCAAAUGUGCCAGGCAAUGUUCUUUGAAUAGGUUGGUGAUGGACAAUGGCACUGCGUCUUUAAAUAGUGGUCCCAGGAUUUGAUGAGUAGUGUUUAGUAGGCCUGGCAAUUGCUGACACGACCCGAUAACCCGACAUGACACGACACGAAAUUAACAUGUGUUCGGGUCGACACGAUAACGAAUCGGGUCGAUAUCGGGUAACUUGAUAAGAACCUGUUAAGAUAAUGGGUUGGUUCGAGUAUACACAUGGGUAACACGAUACACGAUAUGCAAAAUAUUAAUUUUAUAACCCUAAAAAAAAUACUAUAAUAAUUAUAUAUAUUAAAUUAACAAUUUUAUCAUUCAAUUUAUUAAGUGUUAUAUGUACAAAAUAAAUAAAUUUAAAUCUACUUAAUAAAUAUAUAUAUAUAUAUAUAUAUAUCAUUGAACUUGAUGGGAUACGAAUUCUACGAAACUAAUUUCAACGAUCUAACCAUCAAACUUGUUUGUAUAUGCUUCGAGAUCGCAUCAACAAAAAAUUAAAAAAAACAAACAUUCAGAGAUCAAGUAACGGGACAAAACUUUUCGACGGUUAUCAAUGAAAAAUCACGAUUUAAUGGUUAUUUUAACUCUGAUUUUGAUGAUGUUUUACAGCUACACUCGUUGACCCUAUAUGAAUACAAUGAAUGAACUCGAUCUUCAAUUUAAAAUAUUUACACUAAUGGAUACCACAAAAUCUUAUGUUAUACUUAAUGAAAGUUUGAAUAAACUCUUAAGUGUUAGUUAAUCUAUUGUUUUGAUGGGAUAUGCAUUAUACGAAACUAGUUUCAACAAUCCAACCGUCAAACAUAUUUGUAUAUACUUUGAGAUCGCAUGCGCCAAAAAUUGCAAAAAAUAAACAUUCAGAGAUUAAGUAAAGGGACAAAACUUUCCGACGGUUAUAAACGAAAAAUCACAAUUUAACAGUUAUUUUAACUCCGAUUUUGAUGAUUUUUUACAGCUACACUCCUUGAUCCUAUAUGAAUACAAUGAAUGAAUUCGAUCUUCAAUUUAAAAUAUCGACACUAGUGGAUACCACAAAAUCUUAUAUUAUAUUUAAUGAAAGUAUAAAUAAACUCUAAGUGUUAGUGAAUCUAUCAUUUUGAUGGGAUACGUAUUCUACGAAACUAAUUUUAACGAUUCAACCAUUAAACUUGUUUGUGUAUGGUUCAAGAUUGCAUACGCUAAAAGUCACAAAAAAUAAACAUUCAGAGAUCAAGUAACAGGAGAAAAUUUUUCGACGGUUAUCAACGAAAAAUCAUGAUUUAACGGUUAUUUUAACUCCGAUUUUGAUGAUUUUUUAUAGCUACAUUCCUUGACCCUAUACGAAUACAAUGAAUGAACUCGAUCUUCAAUUUAAAAUAUAUUACUCUAGUGGAUAUCACUAAAUCUUAUGUUAUACUUAAUGAAAGUAAGAAUAAACUCUUAAGUGUUAGUGAAUCUAUUGUUUUGAUGCGAUACGCAUUCUACGAAACUAGUUUCAACGAUCCAACCGUCAAACAUGUUUAUAUAUACUUCGAGAUCACAUACGCCAAAGAUUGCAGAAAACAAACAUUCAGAGAUCAAGUAACGGGACAAAAUUGUUCGACGGUUACCAACGAAAAAUCACGAUUUAACGAUUUUUUAACUCCGAUUUUGAUGAUUUUUUACAGCUACUCUCCUUGACCCUAUAUGAAUACAAUGAAUGAACUUGAUCUUCAAUUUAAAAUAUUCACACUAGUGGAUACCACAAAAUCUUAUGUUAUACUUAAUGAAAGUAUGAAUAAACUCUUAAGUGUUAGUGAAUCUAUUGUUUUGAUGGGAUACACAUUUUACGAAACUAGUUUCAACGAUCCAACCGUCAAACAUGAUUGUAUAUACUUUGAGAUCGAAUACGCCAAAAAUUGCAAAAAAUAAACAUUCAGAGAUCAAGUAACGGGACAAAAAUUUUCGACGAUUCUAAACAAAAAAUCACAAUUUAAAAGUUAUUUUAACUCCGAUUUUGAUGAUUUUUUAUAGCUACACUCCUUGACCCUAUAUGAAUACAAUGAAUGAAUUCAAUCUUCAAUUUAAAAUAUUGACACCAGAGGAUACCACAAAAUCUUAUGUUAUACUUAAUGAAAGAUAAAUAAAUUCUAGAGUAAAAGAUUGUUUACUACCCUCAUGUUUCGUGGUUUUCAACAUUUAGUACAUCAAGUUUUUUUUCAACCCAGAGUCAUACCUAAAGUGUAAAUUUUGGGACAGUCUCAUACAUCCGUUAGUCAAACUAUUUAGUUUUCUGUUAACUGAUAACGUGGCGCCCACGUGGACAAUGACUGGGCGCCACGUGUCAUUAAAAAUAUUAAUAUAAAAAAACCGAAUCUGGGAAGAAGAAGAAGAAGAAGAAGAAGAAGAAGAAGAAGAAGAAGAAAAAAACACGAAUCUGGGAAGAAGAAGAAAAAGAAGAAGAAGAAGAAAAAGAAAAUAAAAAGAAGAAGAAGAAAAAAAAAACCGAAUCUGGGAAGAAGAAGAAAAAAAAAAACCGAAUCUGGGAAGAAGGAAACCCGGAAGAAGAAGAAUGAGGAGGAAGAAGAAGAAGAAGAAGAAAAGAAAAGAAAGGAAAAGAAAAACGAAUCUGGGAAUGGGAAGAAGAAGAAGAAGGAGGAGGAAGAAGAAGAAGAAGAAAAGAAAAAAAAAAAAAACCGAAUAUGGGAAGAAGAAGAAGAAAGAGAGGAAAAAAAAAGAAAAGAAGCUAGGGAGGGUGCGGGUUGCAGGAAAGAAAUUUUUUUUUUAAUUUAUAUUUUUAAUAUUUUUAAUGACACGUGGCGCCCAGUCAUUGUCCACGUGGGUGCCACGUCAUCAGUUAACGGAAAACUUAACAAUUUGACUAAUGGAUGUAUGAGACUGUCCCAAAAUUUACACUUUAGGUAUGACUCUUGAAUGAAAAAAACUUGAUCUACCAAAUGUUGAAAACCACGAAACAUGAGGGUAGUAAACAGAGUUUAACCCUAAAUUCUAAGUGUUAGUGAAUCUAUCGUUUUGAUGGGAUACACAUUAUAUGAAACUAACCGUCAAACUUGUUUGUGUAUGCUUCAAGAUUGCAUACGCUAAAAGUCACAAAAAAUAAACAUUCACAGAUCAAGUAACAGAACAAAACUUUUCAAUGGUUAUCAACGAAAAAUUAUGAUUUAAAGGUUAUUUUAACUCCGAUUUUGAUGAUUUUUUUAUAGCUACACUCCUUGACCCUAUACGAAUACAAUGAAUGAACUCGAUCUUCAAUUUAAAAUAUUUACACUAGUGGAUACCACAAAAUCUUAUGUUAUACUUAAUGAAAGUAUGAAUAAACUCUUAAGUGUUAGUGAAUCUAUUGUUUUGAUAGGAUACGCAUUCUACGAAACUAGUUUCAACGAUCCAACACAUUUUACAAAACUAGUUUCAACGAUCCAACCGUCAAACAUGAUUGUAUAUACUUUGAGAUCGAAUACGCCAAAAAUUGCAAAAAACAAACAUUCAGAGAUCAAGUAACGGGACAAAAAAUUUUGACGGUUAUCAACGAAAAAUCAUGAUUUAACGGUUAUUUUAACUCCGAUUUUGAUGAUUUUUUACAACUACACUUCUUGACCCUAUAAGAAUACAAUGAAUGAAUUCAAUCUUCAAUUUAAGAUAUUUACACUAGUGGAUACCACAAAAUCUUAUGUUAUACUUAUUGAAAGUAUAAAUAUACUCUAAGUGUUAGUGAAUCUAUUGUUUUGAUGGGAUACGCAUUCUACGAAACUAAUUUCAACGAUCCAACCAUCAAACUUGUUUGUAUAUGCUUCAAGAUCGCAUACGCCAAAAAUCGCAAAAAACAAACAUUCAAAUAUAAAGUAACGGGACAAAACUUUUCGACGGUUAUCAACUAAAAAUCACGAUUUAACGGUUAUUUUAACUCUGAUUUUGAUGAUGUUUUAUAGCUACACUCCUUAACCCUACAUGAAUACAAUGAAUGAAUUUGAUCUUCAAUUUAAAAUAUUUACACUAGUGGAUACCACAAAAUCUUAUGCCAUGAUGAUUGAUGAAAAUUGAGGAUUUUGUAAAAGGAAUAACAUGCAAGCUUUGAGUUCCAUUGGCAAGGUUUAAACUUUUGAGAAAGGCUUCACAACCUUGAAAGCAAAAACUUUUUCAUUUUGCGUAUCCUUGCACAUUUAAUAUUUUGUAAUAGACUAGUAGUGUAUGGAUGUUUGUUUAUUAGGCUCUUAUUUUCGAGUGUAGAUGUAGUACUUAAACGACAAAUGUGUUUUAAUGUUUUGAAGUAAUAUUUAUGUGGCAAUGUGUGGUAUGUGCAAAUUUGAGAAGAAAAAAAAUAUUUUUCUUAACAAGUCUUAAUGGGUCAUAACAGGUCGGGUCACUUUACCCAUUGGGUAAAGUGACCCGACCUGUUAAGGAUCCGUUGAGAUAACGGGUGUGACACGACACGACCCGUUAAGAUAACAGGUAUUACACGAAAACAACACGAACACGAUAGACACGACCCGUUUACCAGGCUUAGUGUUUAGGUCACUCUCGAAGUGCAAAGUCUUGAUGGCGUUCCGAUCGAUGAAGUCCUUGCACUUGUUGCUCUCGUUGGAGAGCUGGGAGAUGAAGGAGGCCAUUGAAGAAGGCUUAAAGAUUUCUGAGAUGAAAGCUUGGGAUUUUCUAGGUUUUGAAAGUUUUGAAAGCAAAGUGGCAAGGAAGUUUCAAGGGUUUUGGAAAGCGUAAGGUACAAAUGGAAAGGAUUCGGGUAUUUAUAGGCAUUUGGGAAGGAAGGCUAAACGUUUGAUUUUCAAAAUUAUGGAUAGAAUCAAGCGGGAAAGUUGCUAAUCAUUGUAGAUAUUCAAAGAAUCUAGGCGAAAAGACCAAGGUUUUCGCUGUUCGAGGACGCACGAUUGCGUGUUGCGGCGGGUUUAGUGCAAGAGAGACAUUUAGGCGGUCGCAUGUUUUUGAGGGUCAUGAUUAAGGCCUGCUAGGUUAACCAGGGGACCAACAUGUGGCAGGACGGUUGGGAGAAUCGAGAUCGUGGGUUUAUGUCUCAUAAAUGCGUAUGGUGGUAUUUCUCAAGAGGAUUCAGUGUUUGUCUUUAGGUCAGUUUCGCUUCUUCAAGGUCGAGGCUCGAACCAAGGAGGGUAGGUCGAGGACCUCAGAAUCGAGGGGGCAAUGUUUGGGCCCAAAAUAUUGGUUUGGGCUGAGUUUAGAAUUGUUUUCGACCAGAGGCCAUACUUAAGAGUAGCUGGGGGUCAUCCGACUUAUGGGCCACAUAGCCAAGGUCGGCCGUGUCUUAUUAGGAAUCCAUGGGUAGUUGAAUCCUGAUAUGAGAAGGAGUUUCAACAGGAUCAGGAUGUUGAAGUUUGGGAUUGAAUGCGGCCUGAUAAGGGGGUUGAGUUCAAAGUCCUAGUAUGAGUAGGACUUGCCGAUAUAAGGUUGGAUCGGGGGAAGGAGUUCUAAUCCGAGUAUGGUUGUGAUUUGAUCGGAAGCAGGUUGACUACUAUAAAUAGAGGGAGAAGGACAUCAUUAAGGCUCUCUCCAAUUCAACACACAAACUGCCCUGCGCAAACCUUCGCUUUCGCGAAACCUCUCAACAACCUUGAGAUUUUAAUUUUCUUUUUCCGUCGACACAUCUUCAGUUUGGAUAAACAGCACUGUGAAGGCAACCGGUGGUACCUUCAGUUUGGAUAAACAACAUUGUCGUUGUAGAACCAGUCGACCACGGAACACCUUAAGUUUGGAUAAACAGCACUGUGUCGAGGUCGACUGGUUAUCUAUCCAAGUCUCGAUCGAAAAAUACUUUCGGGUCUUUAUUGGCAAAGGUCAUCUCAUUAGCCUUUUCGGCGGGGUGAGGUGUUACAGUUUACUAGGGCUCGGCACAUUGAACGCCGAGUUACUUUAUGAUUGGAUACUCACAAGUAGGUUUUAGAGUUCGGCAUUCUGACGGCCGAACCACGUUCACCAUCAAGACAUAUAUUUGUUUUGAGUAUCUGUGCCCCUAUACAUUGGUGUUGAUUCGGCGUGCUUAUACUCUUACGAAUAUAAUCACUGUGACCGAAUCCGACGCUGACGAUUUGUGAACUUCGCAGAACUAGCAGCCUUGUUUUCAAGCUCUAGAACCCGAAGGCUGAAAGUGUUCCUUCCUCGACCACAAUCACAAGAUUGAGAAGUCAGUAGCGCACCCGACGCAACAUCAACAUAUUUUACUCCUCGGCCGAGCUUGGCUGACGAGUUGGCACGCCCCGCAUCAACCAAAUGACGUAGUUAGCUCACUAGUUACUCGGCCUGCGCGCCACAUAGAUUUGGUAGUUUUUAGGGUCAACAACGACAUAUAUGCACCAACUUGAGCGGGAGUGUUGACUUUUGUGUAUAUUCAUGUAAUCUUGGAAUUCUUAGCAUAGUAUGAUUGCAUGUAAUUAUUUCUUUCCUUAUUGAAAUGAUUGUAACAUCCUAUAAAUUUCUCUUUGAGAGAUAAAUAGACACACAAUACUAUUCCAAAAGCAUUCUUUUCUAAUAUAAAGUCUAAACUAAUCUAAAGUAUUCUUAUGAACAAAUAAUGAAUGCAGCUAAACAUCAAUCAAUCAUUGUUGUCAUGUCAUGUUUUUGCAACUUGCAAAGAAAGAACCAUCCAUAAUAAUUAACCGGUGUAGUGGAUACUGGCCUAUCUGCGUGGAACUUGUGCUUUGGUUUUGGUCUAUGUUGUUUUUUUCAAACUGCAAAUUCAUUUCUCAUUAGAAAAGAAAUAUCUCAUUAACUCAUUAACUCAAGGGAAAGCAAGGAGGAGAUAAUACUUCGGCUUGGAGAUGAGGCCCCAACAAUAGGGACACCUCCUCCAACUACAUAUGUCUCUAGGAAGUGUAGAUAUUCUUCUUGACGUCAAGUAGGAGAGAAACGCCAUCCACUAUAAUCGUACUUGUUUGAUAGGACUCUUCUACACUUGGAGGAUUCUUCUACGUUUAUUAAUUGUAUGUUAGAUUAAGAAUAUAAUUUCAUGUAAGAAUACACGAUUUAAUGCCUGGUCAUGGAUUAAGUCAUUUUUUUUUAGAUAAAGAAUGACGACCUUUAGCAUUGGCAUAGUAAUUGAAUAAAAAUUGCCCUCAUGCUUGCCCCUAAAGUACUAUUGUUGAUCUUGUGUAGUUGCAAAUAUUUAAUUGUGUUUGGUUUUAUCUGUUUUGUAUGUACUCUGAUCAUACAUAAGUAAACAUUCGUCCAAAGACAGUUUGAUUAGCAGAUUAUAACUCAAGUAGUUAAGAGCAUUCAGUUCUGCACUUGAGAUCCAUGAUUCAUUCCACCCUUCCCAAUGUCAAUCAUACAAUAAGGAAAGAUAUCGUCUCCGGAUCUCUUCCUCUAAAACCAUCAAAUCAAGUGAUUUGAGCCCUUAAAAUUUGAUCCAACGACUAAAAACAAAGAUCCCUUUUAAAAGUUAUAACAAUUUUAGCCGUUGGAUCAAAUUUUAAGGGUCCGGAUCACUUGAUUUGGUGAUUUUGGUGGAAGAGAUUCGGAGAGGAUCUCUUUCCAAUGAAUAAAUAAAGUUGACCAGUUCCAUCUGAUCUUUGAUGGUAUGCACCAUGUUCUGAAACAUAUAGUACAACCCAUUAAAAAUGAUGAAGAUCAAUGGUUUGAGGCCAAGUGUUAAAAACUGCAGAUUGACUAUUCUGUGUUCUAAAGUCAAGUCAAGAAGUCUUGAUCAAUAACGACAUGCAACAACAUAUUAAUUCGAUUGCAAAAAUUUCAUCUUUGUUGUAAAUAGUAUAAUAAUGUAUGCCCACAUGCAUACAGUAGACAUAUCAUAUGCUUAAUAGGGUUUUUGUUUGUUUCCAUGGUGAUGCUCUAUAAAUAGAGCUUUACGAACGUUCAACUGAGUAGAGAGAAAAGGAAGAGAAAAAUAUCUAAUAGUAAUAAUAUACAUUACUUCCUCUGCAACAGCUUGUAUUGGUAUAAUACUCUGCAACUGCUUCAUUCCUAUCCCGAAUAAAGGUUAUCUUUCUAUAACUUUUACAUUUUUAUAACACGUUAUCAGCACGAGUCUCUAAGUAUAACCAUGUCUCAUUUACAUUCACUAAACAAUAAAGGAAAUCAUUCUCUCAUUUCUCUCCGCCGAACGAAAAAAAAAAAAAUGUUUCCUCUAAGGUUUUUCCUGUUCAUCUUCUUCAUCUGCCUCAACUGCGUGAUAUAUCCUCGCGACGAACUAUUUGCUCCAUGCCUGCUCGUAGUUCUCCAACUAGCGGUUACAUACAUCUUUGAUUACUUGUUUGGUUUGGAUAUUGAUUACUAACAUAAUAUUUAUAUUGAUUUUACUGCAAUCCAAGAUGGUGCGGUACAAUCGCCCACCUUGAACUGCAAAUUUCAUCUUACUGCGAUCCAAGAUGGUGCGGUAUCAUCGCCUAUCUUGGACUGCAGAUCUACUUUUACUGCAAAUUUCAGGUGCAGCGGUAUAAUCGCCCUCCUUGCUCUUCAAAUUUAAAUUUACCUGUUAUUUAAUUUUACUGCAAAUAAAGGUGGAGCGGUAUAAUCGCCCUCCUUGCUCUUCAAAUUUAAAUUUACCUGUUAUUUAAUUUUACUGCAAAUUUCAGGUGGAGCGGUAUAAUCGCCCUCCUUGCUCUUCAAAUUUAAAUUUACCUGUUAUUUAAUUUUACUGCAAAUUUCAGGUGGAGCGGUAUAAUCGCCCUCCUUGCUCUUCAAAUUUAAAUUUACCUGUUAUUUAAUUUUACUGCAAAUUUCAGGUGGAGCGGUAUAAUCGCCCUCCUUGCUCUUCAAAUUUAAAUUUACUUGUUAUUUAAUUUCAUUGCAAUUUUAGGUGGUGCGGUAUAAUCGCCCUCCUUGUUCUCCAAAUUUAAAUUUACUUGUUGUUUAAUUUCAUUGCAAUUUUAGGUGGUGCAGUAUAAUCGCCCACCCUGCUCUGCGUAUUUCAAUUUUCUUGCUACUUGAGUGGUGUGGAAUAAUCGCCCAUUCCAUGUUACAUUCUUUCAAUGAGAAUGGUGCGGUACAAUCGCCCUUCUCAUUCACCCUGAAAAUCUCGAGCCAGAAGUUUCGAGUGCUUAUCAUUUUGGCCUGAAGAUCAAAAUGAAAAAUUUGUAAGAACCAGAAGUUCUAACAUCACAUUCCUCUAGGAAUACAUAUUACUACAAGUUCUUACACAUCUCAUUUUCUUUCAGAAAAGAAAAUGACGAACUUGGCUAAGCUUGAAUAUGCUGCCCUGGACAUUACCGGGAAGAAUUACCUUACUUGGGUACUUGAUACCAAGAUCCAUCUGGAAGCAGGGAAUCUUGGAGAUACCAUCAGGGAAGAAAGCAGCUCAUCUUCUCAAAAUCGGGCGAAGGCUAUGAUCUUUAUUCGCCGCCAUCUUGAUGAGGCACUAAAGAGUGAGUACUUAACGGUUGAAGAUCCGUUAGCUCUCUGGGAGGCCUUACGAAGCAGAUAUAAUCACCAGACAACGGUGAUUCUUCCAAAAGCUCGCUAUGAGUGGUCUCACCUGAGAAUUCAGGAUUUCAAAUCAGUGGCGGAGUACAAUUCUGCGUUGUUCAGGAUUACCUCUCAGAUGAAGCUCUGUGGGGAUACCAUUACUGAUGAAAUAUUGCUGGAAAAGACUUACAGCACAUUUCAUGCCAAUAACGUGCUCCUGCAGCAGCAGUAUAGAGCGCGAGGCUACACUGAAUACAACCAGCUGAUAUCUGUGCUCCUGGUAGCUGAACAGAACAAUGAGCUCCUGAUGAAAAACCAUAAUUCCCGACCUACUGGAUCUGCACCAUUCCCAGAAGUAAAUGAUACUUCCCUCGAAGUGAACGCCACAUCCUCUGGUGGUAAUUAUCAUAAACAAGGACGUGGCCACAAACGAGGUCGAUGGAAUAAGAAAGGCAAGAACCAUGGUGGUCAGUUUCACAACCAGGUUCAGAGGCAUAAUUCUGGCCCGAGCUUCAAAAAUGUGAAUCGUCACAAAGGCAAAGCUAACAUGACCAAUGCUCCCAGGAACUCUGAAGGAGCUUGCCAUAGGUGUGGUGGCAAUGGGCAUUGGGUGCGAACUUGUCGUACCCCAAAACAUCUGGUGGAGUUGUAUCAAGCCUCCCUCAAGAAGAAGGGUGUCGAGACCAAUUUUCUCGACCAGGCUAAACCAAUGGAUAUACCUGAUCCAGUGUUUGAUUUAUCAGGGCAAUUUGACGCAACUCACCUAGAUGUUUCAGACUUCAUUACGGAAAGGGGGAAUGAAGUAUAUCGGUCCGACUAAAUCGUUUAUGUUUGAUGUACUUUUAUUAUGCUGAACUUGUUGUCUAAAACUAGUUUUUCAGAUUCAAUAAAAAUGGCAUGUAAAUUUCCUGUUAUAAAUUGUUUGUUAACUGUGAUUCCAUUUACUCAGAAAGCAUGGAUAAAAACUGUGGUUAUUCUCAGAACAUAAGAAAUGGCGGAGAUAUUUGUCUUGCAGACAGUGCAACCACACAUACAAUACUUCGUGAUCGAAAGUAUUUCUCAAGCUUAAUGCUUACAAAAAUCGGGGUAACAACAAUAUCAGGACCUUCAGAUGUGAUUGAAGGCUCAGGGAAAGCCCAGAUUAUGUUACCAAAUGGAACAAUAUUAUCCAUACAAAAUGCAUUGUAUGCUACUCGAUCUACUCGAAAUUUGUUGAGUUUCAAAGACAUACGUCUAAAUGGAUACCACAUUGAAACGAAAAGUGCAAAAAAUGUGGAGUAUCUAUGCAUUACCUCCAAUGAUACCCAGAAGCGUAUAUUGGAGAAGUUGCGUGGUUUUUUCGAGUGGAUUAUAUUAUACAUACAUAAGGACAGUUGAAUCACAUACUAUCAUGAACCAGAAGUUCACUGAUUCAAAGGUUUACAUGCUUUGGCAUGACCGUCUGGGUCAUCCAGGAUCCACCAUGAUGCGUAGGAUCAUUACCAACUCUAAUGGACAUCCAUUAUUGAGCAGAGACAUUGCUAUCUCAAAUGAUAACCCUUGCAAGGCUUGUUCUCAAGGGAAGUUGGUAAUUAGACCAUCACAACUAAAGGUUGAUGCUGAAUCCCCAUCAUUUCUACAAAGAAUUCAAGGGGAUAUAUGUGGACCUAUUCAACCAUCUUGUGGACCAUUUCGAUAUUUUAUGGUUUUGGUUGAUGCAUCCACUAGAUGGUCACAUGUUUGUCUCUUGUCUACUCGGAAUGUAGCUUUUGCGAGACUUCUUGCUCAGAUAACUAAGUUACGAGCACAAUUCCCAGAUUAUCCCAUUAAAUCAAUCCGACUUGAUAACGCUGGUGAAUUUACGUCUCAAACCUUUGAUGAUUACUGCAUGACAUUGGGCAUUGAUGUUGAACACCCUGUUCCUCAUGUCCAUACUCAAAAUGGCUUAGCAGAAGCAUUGAUCAAGCGGCUUCAGUUAAUAGCCCGCACUCUGCUUAUGAAAACCAAAUUGCCAGUUUCUGCAUGGGGACAUGCCAUUCUACAUGCUGCAUCAUUGGUUCGAUUGAGACCUAUAGCCAACCACCAAUACUCCUCAAUACAACUCGUGUUUGGACAUCAGCCAAACAUUUCACAUUUACGAGUUUUUGGUUGUGCUGUUUAUGUGCCUAUUGCACCCCCGCAACGCACUAAAAUGGGACCUCAGCGUAGACUGGGAAUUUAUGUGGGUUUUGAUUCACCAUCUAUUAUUAGAUAUUUGGAACCCUUGACAGGUGAUAUGUUUACAGCUCGUUUUGCUGAUUGUCAUUUUGAUGAGACAGUCUUCCCAUCGUUAGGGGGAGAAAAGACCGUUCCAGAAGAACGGAAAGAGCUGACAUGGGUUGUUCCCACCUUGUCUCAUUUUGAUCCUCGAACCUUUCAAUGUGAAAAUGAAGUGAAAAGGAUCGUUCAUCUUCAAAGCAUUGCCAAUCAAAUGCCAGAUGCAUUUAAUGACGCUAUGAAAGUGACAAAAUCGCAUAUACCAGCUGCAAAUGCACCUGCCAGAAUUGAUGUCCCUGUUGGACAAAAUAAAGUGGCAGCGAAUGAUUCAUUUGGUGCACGCUUGAAGCGUGGUAGACCACCAGGUUCAAAAGAUUCAGCCCCUCGGAAGAGAAAGACGAGGGCACAACUGAAUCCAAAUGAAAUCAUUCAGGAAGAGAGAGUCAAUGACAAAUCCACAAUUCAUGCCUCUGGACUUCCAGAAGAAGAAAAUGGCCCUGAAGAGACAGAAGUACAUGAAAGCAAAGAAAUCUCCAUAAAUUAUGCAUGUACUAAUGAAUUGUGGGAUCGGAAUGAAAUAAUCAUUGACGAUAUGUUUGCAUUCGCAGUAGCCACUGAAAUCAUAUUAAGUGAUGAUAUUGAGCCCCGCUCUGUUGAUGAAUGCAAACAGAGACAAGAUUGGCCUAAGUGGAAAGAUGCAAUCCAGGCAGAAUUAAAUUCCUUGGAAAGACGAAGUGUUUUUGGACCAGUAGUCCAAACCCCAACUGAUGUAAACCCCGUAGGUUACAAAUGGGUAUUUACAAGGAAACGCAAUGAGAAAAACGAGAUUGCUAGAUACAAAGCACGACUCAUUGCACAAGGCUUUUCACAAAGACCUGGAAUUGAUUAUGAGGAGACAUACUCUCCUGUAAUGGACGCAAUUACGUUCCGUUACUUAAUAAGUUUGGUGAUUUCAGAAAAACUUGACAUGCAACUUAUGGAUGUCAUCACCGCGUAUCUAUAUGGAGAUUUAGAUACUGACAUAUAUAUGAAAGUCCCAGAAGGACUUAAGUUGCCUGAAGCAACAAACAAACCACGGGGUAUGUUCUCAAUCAAAUUAAGGCGAUCACUAUAUGGGCUGAAACAAUCUGGGCGAAUGUGGUAUAAUCGUCUUAGUGAGUAUUUGAUUAGAGAAGGAUAUAUCAACAAUGUCAUCUGCCCUUGUGUGUUCAUUAAGAAAUCCAACUCUGGAUUUGCUAUAGUGGCAGUAUAUGUUGAUGAUAUGAACUUAGUUGGGACUCCUGAAGAGCUCCAUAAAACUGCUGAAUAUCUGAAAAGCGAAUUUGAAAUGAAAGACCUUGGGAAAACCAAAUAUUGUCUAGGCCUGCAGAUCGAGCAUUGUAUUAGUGGAAUUUGGUCCAUCAAUCAGCUUACAUUGAAAAAAUACUGAAGCGAUUUGGCAUGGACAAGGCUUAUCCACUUAGCACCCCAAUGGUUGUUCGUUCUUUAGACGUUAAGAAAGAUCCAUUCCGUCCAAAAGAAGAUGAUGGACUGGUCCUUGGUCCAGAAGUACCAUAUUUGAGCGUAAUAGGUGCUUUAUUGUAUUUAGCACAAUGUACUAGACCAGAUAUAGCUUUUUCAGUUAACUUGUUAGCCAGGUACAGCUCUGCUCCAACAAUUCGUCAUUGGAAGGGAGUCAAAGAUGUUCUACGAUACCUUCGUGGGACAACAGAUAUGGGUCUCUUCUACUCAGACAAGCCCACAAAUGAACAAAUCCUUGUUGGAUACGCCGAUGCUAGUUUUCUCUCUGAUCCGCAUAAAGCCCGCUCACAAAAUGGAUAUGUGUUCACUAAUGGAGAUACUGCAAUUUCAUGGCGAUCAACGAAGCAAACGCUAGUUGCAACAUCUUCCAAUCAUUCGGAAAUAAUUGCUCUACAUGAAGCAAGUCGUGAAUGUUCUUGGUUAAGAUCAAUGAUCCAUCACAUCCGGAAUUCAUGUGGUCUACCUUCAAAGACAGACACUCCAACUGUCAUCCACGAAGAUAAUGCAGCCUGUGUCGCCCAGAUGAAGGAAGGAUUUAUCAAAGGUGAUAAGACUAAACACAUAUCUCCAAGAUUUUUCAGUGCACAUGAGCUUCAGAAGGCUAAAGUUAUUGAAGUCAGACAAAUCCGUUCCAAUGAAAAUUUAGCAGACUUGUUCACCAAGUCUCUACCAAAGUGCAUAUUUCAGAAACUGGUGCAGGGAAUCGGAUUACGUCGGCUUUCAAAUUUAAAGAAUGCAGAAUCAGGGGGAGAUCCAAUUCAGGGGGAGCAUCCAUGAUACAUGCAUGUUGUACUCUUUUUCCUUCGCUUAGGAUUUUUCCCACUGGGUUUUUCCUAUCAAGGUUUUAACGAGGCAACAUAAGCAUGCUCAAUACCAUCCGGAUAAAAGUUGUACUCUUUUUCCUUCGCUAUGGUUUUUUUUUUCCCACAGGGUUUUUCCAAGCAAGGUUUUAAUGAGGCAACUGAUGUUGAUAUGUGGGCAUCCAAGGGGGAGUGUUGUAAAUAGUAUAAUAAUGUAUGCCCACAUGCAUACAGUAGACAUAUCAUAUGCUUAAUAGGGUUUUUGUUUGUUUCCAUGGUGAUGCUCUAUAAAUAGAGCUUUACGAACGUUCAACUGAGUAGAGAGAAAAGGAAGAGAAAAAUAUCUAAUAGUAAUAAUAUACAUUACUUCCUCUGCAACAGCUUGUAUUGGUAUAAUACUCUGCAACUGCUUCAUUCCUAUCCCGAAUAAAGGUUAUCUUUCUAUAACUUUUACAUUUUUAUAACAAUCUUUGCAAAACUUUGCACAGAAAGAUCAACAAUUCGGUUUUCCAUUGAUAGAGAUAUUGAAAAAUGGAGUCUCUACAAUAGUCCAACUCUUUGGUAUUGGGCCCACAAAAUUGAGAAGUGGAUUUUCAGGUUGCAAUUUUUUUUGACAAGAGCGAUGGCGGUAUUUCAUUAAUCAUUACAAACAAAUACAUAGAAGUCAAUUGGGUACAUUUCUCCAAUGACCAAUACAUUGAUCUGGAGUGAAUUUGCACAAAGAAUCAAUUAAUUAAAAACCCCUACACGGCUAUCACAAGCAAGGUGCACCAAUACAAAUUUGUCACAAGAAUGAUACACGCAACAAACCAAUACUAGUGCACACACCGAUGUUCACUGAUGAGCGAGGCCACACAAAGUCAUCAUAGGAGAGCGAAACCACCUAAAGUCACAACUGAAAGACGAAACCACAAAAUCAUUGCUUGAAGGCGAGACCACAUCAAUACGCUCAUAGCGAGUCCACAUAUUCCGCCAAAUGCGGCACAAACAAAAUCUACACUAAUCCAAUAAUAGAAUCCACCGGUCCCCUAAUCUUGGUGGAAGACAAGGACACACAAUCGAAGACCACUUGCAACUUCACCACAUAAGUGAGAUUCGUAGCUUCUACGAGACAAGCAAGCAGAACCGCCACAAAUCUGGGUGCCUCAGGCAGUGCAGCCACACGAGAGUGUCACCACAGGUGGAUUCGACCCACCAACAACCACGAAUCCAAAUCCAAAAUCAUGAAUCAAGCCUCCAUUUAAGGAAAAUACCUCGGGAGAAGGCAAGGGACCGAAUCUAGGUGGGAGGCACCAAAUGCUUUGAUACCAUUCUACCAUGCUCCAAACUCGGGUCAGUAGAAAAUUCAAACUCGAAUCUGGAACACGAGCUAAAAAUUAAAUAAAUAAAAAUAAACUAAAACCUGAUGAAAAUAAAUUCCUCUUGGAAAGAAACUCAAGAAUUGUCAUGCCCCGAUCCCGACAUACGUCCAGGAUCGACACGUGACAUCACCAAAUACUCGUAUCUCAACAUACCCCGCCUCCGGGAUAUGGCAUACCACAACUCGAUAAUCAAAUCACAUAGUAAUUUAUCUUAUACUUUAUGGCUGCAUCUAAUCUCCUCGUUAGAUUGCCUACGUACCCUCAUUAGGGAUCAAACCAUUCGUAGUUCGUCGUUCACUAAUUUAGACAUUUAUUCCAAUGCGUUCUAACAGGAAUACAUAGCAUUUUGUAAUUAAUUAUUAGAACUUGACAUGCAUGACAAUACCAAGUUCAAGGCUACAAAACAAACCAACAGGUAGUUCAAGAUUCUCAUUCCAUCCAUCAUAUAAAUUCCAUGUUUUCAGCAUGAUACUUCCAUCCACAACAUGUAACAUAUCAAAUAGCCAACGAUACACAUAUUAUUCUCAAGCCACAUUCCACAAUCCCGUCUAUUAAUCAAUUCAUGAAUCAAAGAUACAUGAUCUUAGCAUUUAAUUAUGUUAAUCAAUGAAUGCAGUAACAUAUCAUUUCACAAAUUUAACCAAGGAACUCUAUAUAAUUUCCUACUUGUAUUAUGAGCAAUAACAUGGUAAAUCUAUUUGAUAUUCACAAGGUCUAUUGUGGGUAAUUCUCAUUCACUCGAAUAUAGGGUUCUAGACUAACCUUAUGGGAAUGAGCGAAAGCAAGAAUUCCGGACCACUCAACGGAAUCCAACAACACCGGGUUCCGGACCACUCAACGGAACCAGAGUAUUAAGCGGUUUCUCAUAAUCUACCCAAACCUGUCAUAGGUUAAAUCAGUGCCUACAUCAUGGAAAUGGUGCACCAUCCAAACGGAGCUCGGGUGAGUGACAAUAAUACAAGUAUGUGAUAUUCAAUAAAAAGAAAGACCCUCGAUCACAGUUUAUAAACCUCAAAUAUAAGUGCAUAAAUAUGAAAACAUAGUCAAGUCUCUAACAACUCCAAAUGAGUUACCCAGACAUCCAACAGUUUUACCCAUUCAAACCACCAAGAUUCUUCAAAACCAUCGUUCAUAUGUACAUUAAAAACUAGGGCUUGAGGGAUGCAGUUUGGCCAAAGCCUACAUAAGUAACCAAACAGGAAGUGGCCCCCUAAAGCGGAUUAACCAAGCAAAGCCACCCCUAAGAUAGUAACCAAGUAGGCAAUGAUCCCCCCCAAUGCAGAUUAACCAAGCGGAGUCACUCCUACAGCUGUUAGGAAGUGAUCACCUAAUACGGAUUAACCAAGCAUGAUCAUUCCUAAGCAUACAUGGCCAUAAGGAUCACCCAACACGGUUUAACCAAGAGCAACCCAUAUAUAGUAUGGUCCCCCAACGCGGAUUAACCAAGCAGGACCACUAGUGACCCCCCAACGCUGAUUAACCAAGCAGGGUCAAGAUAACCAAGUAGGUAGUGACCCCCUAACAAAGAUUAACCAAGCAAAGUCACACCUACAUAACUGUUAGGUAGUGAUCACCCAAUGCGGAUUAACCAAGCAUGAUCACCCCUAAGUAUAAAUGACCAUAAGGAUCGCUCAACGCAGAUUAACCAAGCGUGAUCCAUAUAUAGUAUGAUCCCCUAAUGCGGAUUAACCAAGCAAGACCACUAGUGACCCCCCAAUGCGGAUUAACCAAGCAGGGUCUUAGUCCCCUACUAGCCCUCAAUUUACAAAACAUUUCAAUAUAAAAUUUGAAUCACUUUUUCACAAAUAUUACCAAUCCAUGAAUCAAAUCAUAUUUAAUAAAAAUAGAUCGAUGGCCAAUUAUAAAAGAAUCACAUUUUAACAGAAAACACAUUUAUAAAAUCAUGUCAUAUCCACAAAGGAUAUUAAUACAAAGAAUCGGGUAACCACCAUAUCACAUAUAUUAAAGUCAGUCACCGAGACAAAUCCGCAAAUCUUCACUGAGUCUCUAGUAAUACUAAUUUUAGUAAUUCAAAUGGUUCAAGACCUGUUGACCAAAAGUCAACGGUGGGAUCCACACCCUAGCAAUUUAAUCCGGAAGAUCCGCACAUUAUAAUCUAGAUCCGUAACUUCCUAAGGUCCACAUUAUGCUCAAAGAACAACAUGCUAAAAUCUCAUCGCGAUCCAACGGUCAGAUCUCCGCUAAUCACAAAUUCAAGUGGGUCAAUAAUUAAUUUUUCUAACUUAAAAGUCUUGUCGGGAUGAUCCAUACUUCGGAUUCCUGAUCCGUCAAUUCCAGCUAUCCUCAAAUAUUAUGUUCUAUAAUGCAUUAAGGUUUGGUGACAAUCUAACAGUCGGAUUGUCAAUUCAUAUUUUGAUCAAGUAAGGUAUCGUAAUGAAACUAAGUUCAAACAAUCAAAUUACGUCAUACGGAUAUCAAACAUGAACUCAGGGCAUCUAAUAGCACUUAAAAAAAUAUCGUCAGCCCACUGGCCACGCGCCACCGCGGGUGGCGGUCAACCGUCCCGAUUCGUCGGAAAAUUCAACUAUUUCCAAAAUUUAUCAAAUUUCACAGAAAUGUAGAUCUCAAUGAAUGGAGUAAGUUUCAUACAUGUGGCCAAGUCCAAUUUGGCCUAGAAAAGCUCCAAUUUUACCCAAACCCGGCCGGAACCCUAGAAAUGGGUGUGCCUCGAUCUGUCACCAUCGAUGCUCCGCCGCCCCCAGAACUGUUUGGGCUUUGUUCCUGGCCUCUAGAGAAGUGCUUUGGUGGUGGUAACUGGUGGAGAUUGUUCCACAAAUGGUGGAUCGCCGACAAACUUCCCUCAUACCCACUAGUGCGGUUAUCACGAAAUCGACCUAAUUUCCAUCAAAUUUGGAGUGUAAAGGAAAGAUGGAACAAUAAGGAAUGUUUUCUAGGUGAUUAAAUCAUGUGGUUCUCCGGAAAAACCGACAAAAACCAUCGGAGAAGACAAACGGAACCGGCCGGAUCGGGAUAAAGGGAACGGGUCCAUCCUCCCGUGCCUUUCCCCUCUCCCUCAUUUUCCUCAUUUCCUCCCCUUUCAUCUCAACCAUCCAUCUCUCUCCUUUCUCUUCUUUCCUUCCAUCCCAGCCACACAAGUGGCUUCACAAAUCUUUGCUCCAAAAAUCUGGAGCAUUCCAAAUUAAAGAAAAUUACCAAAAUGUCUUUAACUUUAAAUGUUAAUAACUCUUUCAUUAUAACUCAGUUUCACGAACGGUUUGCUCCUACACGUUCGUGAGAUCAAGCUCUAUUCAAAAAUAUAAAUUGUAACCUCGAAAGGUCUACGGAUUUUAAAGAUUGAUUACGAAAAUUCAACCCCGAUAAUUAUUUGAUUUAAUUCCAAAAAUCAAUGAAAUUAAAAUUAACUAAUAAAAAUAACGUAAACGUGAAAUAUGAAUUUAAAUAACGAGAUACGUAAUUAAUAGUGAAAUUUCGAGGACGGGAUUUCACAAGAAUUCUUUACAAGGCUACAAAGAAAAUAAAUAAAUUAAACUUCUAGAGAUCUCAAAUCUAAUUCAAUCUCAUUCCGCCUACUCUCAUGACUGUCUAGUUCGAAAACCUGCAUAACAAUAAAGGGGUGAACUUCAACAACUCACUAGGGACAUGAUCUUAAAUAGUAAAAUAACCAAGCUAAAUUAGAUGUCAUGGCAUCAUACACAUUAGAUAUCAAAUCAUUAUUGAUAACAAUGCAUGAAUGCAACGUAAAGCACUUUACCUAUACUUGUUAAUUCGUAUAACAAAACACACAGACCUCGUACGUCUCAUUCCGUACUUAUACCACUUGGUCCUGAGUGCUAAGUUAUAUAAAAUUUCUACCGAUCCCAAGCCCGGGUCGUGACACCUAACCAGGUCAACAGACCUGGUGAUCGCACCUGCCUGCUGGCGUGAGACCCUCUGCAGCAGCCCCAACAGAAGAGCCAAACGACUCUAUAUGACGUGGCUCGAUAACAACCGUCGAAUUGAUCUUAGGCGGGUGUAAUUGAUCUUAGGCGAUUAUCGAGGCAUGUUUGUAGAGAGAGGGAUUGAUUAAUUUGGUGGUUGCAUGACACAUGCAUACGGAACAAAACGAUCAAAUGGAAGUCACCAAGAGGCAAUAAUCACGGAUCGGGAGCUAUCAGAUGGACAGCACAGCACAAAACUUGACGUUGAGUACUUUACAUGUGGGCCAAUUCGGUGUUGGGCUUUACAUGUGGACCAAUCUGUUCUGACAUUCCAAAAAAAUAUGACCACAAAAUGAAACAAUAUAAAAAGUGAUUUAACUUAUUAUCAGUCCAUGCAAGGUUUUGUUAUUCGUCGAAAUGGGACUUUAGCCUUCACACCUUCAUAUAAUGUUCCAAUAACUUGUUUUUUCCCAUUAAUUUUCUUGUUAAAAUAUGUCAAUAAUUUUGAAAAUGGUACAUAAAAGUACUCUUAUAACAUCCCUCAAAUAUGGAAAACCAAAUAAAAUAAUAAAACUAGAAAACAAAAUAAAAUAAUAAAACUAGAAAACACAUAUCCCUAUUCUAAUUUGGUAAACUAGGCAGCCAUAAAUUCCACACAUUUCCUAGUCAAAUUUGCACCAAAUCAGGCUUAAGAAGUGGUGUUGGAAAGAUUAAAACGUUCCUUUCAACUUUGUAUAAUGAACUUUCCUAAAAAAAAAACAUAAUUUUCAAAGACUUGUGAUCAAAACAAGCUCAAAAUGUCAAUCUAGCAGCACAAUCCUCUUUACUCCUUGAUGAAUCAGUUCUAAUUGGAAUCACUCCAAAAUUCCAUCGUUUCGUCACUUUUUAAGCAAACUAGAUUCUGCUUGUCCUCCAAUUAAAGCAUAGAAGAAAGUAUCAAAAUUCUCUCAAAAUAACAAAUAAUUAUACCAAAGAUUAGGAUAAAAAUAGAAAAUAAUAUCUACUAGGCGGUCCUCAUACAAUAAAAGAGAAUUAAGUCACGAUAAGCAUGGAAACUAUUGAGGAGAAUUUGUAAGGUAAAUAUUUAUACAAAUGAUAACACUAUUAUUCAUCAACGAUAACGCAAGUUUUAGGGUGAACGACAUUGAUGUUUUCUGUGUUUGCACUUAAAGUCCGCCAAUCUUUUUGCAUUUGUUGCCUAUUGCACUGCACAACUGAUGGAUGCUAAUAUUCAGUUUACAAGCAGUUCCUACUAAACCAGUUCCCUUGUAGUCUACGAAAUGUUGUACAAAUUUCGUAGCUUUGGUUUUAGAAUUUAUACAACUCUAGUUAUACACAUUACUCUUGAAUAUGUAACUGUUGUACAAGUAUUCUUAGUUACUUAGGCAUAGGAAAGUUUUGAUUUGAUUUGAUUGAAAAGAGUGUCUCCAAUUAAUCGAAUGAACAAGAAUCCUUUGAAACAAACAUAGCUGCUUUCAUUCUAAUUUCAGAAAAUCCAAAUCCAUGAAAAACAUAUGCAGCACUCUACUAUCUUUAUUGAUAUCACUUUCAUCUCCAUUUUGUUUGUUAAAGGAUACGAACAAACAUUGAUAUAACUUAAAACAGUAGGAUAUAUAGGGCAGAGUCUUGAACUUGAAUAACACAAUCAACUAAAAGCUAUGAAGCUUUCUUUCUUUUUAAAGAAACCUCGACUGUACGAGAGAAAAUUUUAUUGAAUAAAAAAGAAGUUACACCUAGUCAAAGGGGGACAUAAACUUUACUCCUCAAAAUAAAGACAGGAUAAAGAAAAGAAGGCGAAAAUACAAGAAAGUAGGGGGACAUACACUUACAUAACAUAAAACAAACUUAUAACUAAACAUAUAGAGAAGGAAAGAAACCACAAUAGAGAAACCAAACGACAACAACAGACCCCUCCCCCCCCCCCCCACUAGUACUCUAAAUUUUCCAUAUCAUUUGUCUGAUCAUUCCAAAAAUCUUAAGAAACAAAUCGGGCCUCCUUGUGAUCACAACAUCUGCAAGAACUACUCCCACUACCAACCCACUUCCACAUCCGGCCGAAACAAUUUUCCAAUCAAAUUCAAAUAUUCCUGCUGAGCUAGAAUCACCUUCGUCUAAUGUUGGAGGUGGAAGUUGAGGGGCCUUAGGAUUUCCACAUUUCUUUGGCAAUGGAUCUCCACACAACCCUGGGUUUCCCUCGUAUGAAGUAAUAUUCAAUGAAGUAAGCUGGGUUCCUUCUGGUAUAGGACUUGUAUGAACGAAUAUGUCAUGUUUGUAUAUGAUAUUUUAUUUUUUUUAUCCUACGGCCUACUAUGUUGUCUUCAUCUUCGGUCUCAAAAGCCUUCCUUAACUUCUCUUUAUCUAUCUCAAAUUCAUAGCAUAGUAAUAAAAACAUACUGCAAACAAUUUCACUAUGCAGUAAAAUUUAUCAACACAAUUCCUUGAGCUCUCAACAUUAUAAAUUUAUAAAUGAAAGAAAACAGGUGUUAAUGCAGAAGUCAAAAGAUAUAAAUCACUUUCAAUUGAUAGAACUAAAAGAUCACAAAAAAAACAAGGACCUAGCGUUGAUACCAUAAGAAUGUCCAAAGGCUAUUCCUGUUAACUUUGCUUGGUCUUCUCUUGGUCGAUUCUCCAUCAACUCCUCCUGCUUAACCUCAAUUAUUUCAGUUGUCACCUCAUUCCUCCCCCUCUUUUUACUGACUUUAAUCUCACUUGCACCAGCAGCGGGGGGAUGGCUGGCACAACAGUUCCCGACCCACCAAAUCAAUCAUUCCAAAAUUUCUCAGUCUCAAUCAAUUCAACGAACAGAAUGGCAGCACCACAUUUUCUUCGAACACCACCUGGCAUCCCACAAGUCUACAACCCUCAAUCCACCACUACCUUCAAUGUGUAGCCACCUCAACCACGGGGACCAGCCACCCACGGUUUCAUGUAUGCAAGUGGAGUUACAACCAGCAAUGCAGCAGAAAACAAAAGUAGAAAAUGGAGAAAAAGAAUAUAGAAAGAAAAAGGGUGUCUGGAGGUGGAGAAAAGCCGAGAGGAGAAAGUGGAGAGCACGGCUGCCUACUCCAUUGUCUAAUAAAAUAAGAUCAAGAUAAACUUUAAUCAUUCAUGGCAGGGGACAAAUACAGAGUAUAAUAUAUACCCAUUAUCCCACUAUCUGGAAAAGUACAGAGUAUGGAGUGCAAAGUGACACAACUAUUUAUAGACUGGCAUCAGUAUAAAAUUCUUCCGCAAAUUAUACAUAUACUAAAACCCAGUUCCCCCAAGCACCGUUUUUCACUGUUCAUGAACAGUGAAAAGACGGUAAUGCCCUCGGGUUUUCCUAGCUUUGCCCUCAUGUGUGCAGUCAAUUGCCGGUUUUACCCAUUGAUCCCAAGGGUUCUGUGUCGUUUCUUUCUCUCUUUCCAUUCAUCUCUUUCACUUUACCUUUCAGCUCUCCAUUUUCUGCUUUCCUCAACUGGGUUUUCCUUCGUCGUCGGUGUGCACUCUGAUUUCUCUCAAUUUAUUCCUUUUCGUUUUGCGAAAUUAUGUCCGGCGAGACAUGAUCUUUGAUUUUUGCAACCAUUGUUGGCCGUUCUUCUCUGUUUUUGGCUGCCAUCCGUACUUUGGAUCGAUUUCGUCUUUUUCACCGUUUUGUUUCAAGCCUCUCUUUUGAGAGAAUUUUUACGUAUUAAGGUUAGUGAUUUCUAAACUUAAGUUUUGCUUUGCAGUUUGAUUUCAUUUUUGGUUGUCUUGCCCAAAUGUUAGAAGCUUUUAAUUUUUUUGGGUUCAAUUUUAAAUGGGUUGUUGCUUUCGGAGUUUUCGUUUGAUGACAGAGAUCGGGGUUUUUGGGGAAAAACUUUUAAUCGGUGAGUUUUUUAGUUAAGUUGUGUUGUGGGUCCUGACAAAUGGAUUUUUUGUUGAAAUUGUUUCUCUUCUCAUUUUUGGUUUUUUUUUUUUUUUUUUUUUUGUGCCAUCGGGUUUUUGCAUGUGGGUGUAUAAUCAGGUUUUCUUUUGAAUUUCAGGGGAUUCAGGUUUUUAUUUUUUUUGGAACUUUUGUAUGCAGCUUUGGAAGACAUUUAUGCUUAAUGUGAGAAACUUUGGUUGCUCGCUUUUGGGUUUUGUUGUAGAAUUAAGUUUUUUAUUUUAUUUUUAUUUUAAAGAGUUACAUUCGUGGGAAUUCAUUUAUUCUUUUUUUUUUCUGCAUCUGGAAAAUGCAACCUGAUGUGAGUUAUAGUCAUAAGUGCAAACAAGAAAAAGUUGUAGUCAUAAGUGCAAGAAAUAUAAAGCCAAAAGAACUUAGCAACAAUAUCAUACCUUAUUUUUCAAUUUACUUAUAAGGUUUCACAUUUUUGUAAAUAUCAAGAACAAAAACCUAGAACAGCCUCACAAUUUGGUGCACUGACUAGGAAAUUGACAGUUGGGUAUAGGUAUGGGUAGUUAAAAACUAUGAGACAUGAAAAUUAUUGUCAAAUGCAAGGACAGAAGGUCGUGUAUUUGCAAAGUUGAAGCGGCCCAAGGACCGAGUUGGUAUGUUUGAGUAGAUUGCUUGAUCUCCUUAGUUGGGUUUAGGUUUAAUGCUCAGUAGUUGGGACCAAGAUCCUCUCCCGAGGUAAGGAUGAGGAUCCUCCUGAUCAAGGAGUGUGGACCGUUGGAUGAAAAUCCAACGGCUACAAUUAUUAUAACUUUAAAGAGACUCCCCAGUUUGUAGUCGUUGGAUUUUCAUCCAACGGCCCACACUCCUUGGUCAGGAGGAUCCUCAUCCUUAGCUCAGGAGAGGAUCCUGGUCCCAGUAGUUGUUGUGCUUCUGCUGCUUUUUAGUUGUCGAGGAUAUACAGGGGGACAAGGAUUGUCUGCCCUCCCACUUUCGGUGCCCUCCUGUGAUUUGUGUGGUCACGAUUAAGCCACGUUAAUAUUUUAUAUUACUAUUCUUUGUGUCAACAUUUUAUAUCCUAUGCAGGGAGAGCAAGUAAAAAGAUUGUAUUCACUGUGUUGACGCAUUAUUGAACAAGAGACCCAAAAGGAAGAACAUAUUCAAUCUCAAAGUCUGUCAGCUUUCACUUCUUAAUUUUAUUAUUAUUAAUUUUGUUUGCUCUUCGAAAUUUGAAUGCAUGAGUUUUUUAAUUUUUUUGCGAUUAGUUUCCCUGAGAUGGGUUUUGGGUAAUCAUUUAUUACUUUCUGAUUUGGUUACAGGAUGCGAAUCAUUGCUUCUUUAGAAAAGAUUAAGGAAGGUGAGCAAUUUCAGAAAAAAAAUGCGAUUAUCAUUUUCUAGAGAUCAUGGCAUGCCCUUCCGUUAUUUUUUGGUGGUUGUAAAAUUAUGACCUGACAGGGAAGUUGGUUUUGACAAGAUUUUUAUUUUUAUUUUUUAUUUUUUAAUUUUACAUAUGUAGUGUCAUGCUAGCAUUAUUGCUUACGUAUAAAUGCGAGUGUGUUUUACAUUUAUAUAAUGCCUUUAAUUUUAACCUCUGCAUUUUCACUAAUGCCUUUAAUUAUCCUCUGUUUUACAUGUCAGUUACGACACAAAAGCUUCAUAGAAAAAGUAUCAGCUUUUGACUCAAAUUUCGACCGUGCCCCUAUCAUUUCCGAAAAUCAAAGCAACCCCAAGCAAUUCCAGAAUCAUUUUUAUGCGUCUCAAAAUCCAGUAUGUAUUAUCUUCAUCUCAAAUUUAUUCAUCUCACAAACGUUGAUAUCAAGUUCGUAGUUUUUCAUUGUUCAAAAUUCCACACUACUCAAUAUUUAAUAACACUUUUAUUUUCCUCUAUUUACCUUUUUAUUAGUGAUGUUGCAGCAAAGGAAAUAUCAGACACGACUCUUAUUCCAAAGGCUCCAACCAGAAAUGUAUCAGAUUCCCCAAUCAUUUCUGAAACCAUAUUUAUGGCUGCAAAACAGAGUAUGUAUACCCUUUCAUUGUUCUAUACUUUUUGAAUUAUUAAUGACCUAUUAAACAUGAUCUCUUUAUCCCAUUCGCUUAAAACUCAAAUAGUUCACUAGAUUUCUGUAUCAUAGUAUCUUUCGACCAUCUUUUGUAUGUAAGUAGGACAAUUUCGUAAAUCUUUUGUAUGUAAAUAUUAUAUACAUAUGCAUCAAGCAUUCUCUUUUGUAUGUAAAUAGGAUUAUCUACCAAAUCUUUUGCACAUAAAAUAGUAUGUACAUAUAGAUCAAGUAUUUUUGUAUGUACAUAGUGCUAUACACAAAAUUUCAUACAGUUUUCAAUCCCGCAGCAUCGUGCGGGCAUCUCUUACUAGUUAAUCUCUAAAAAGUGAUAGAGAUAGGUGUAACGGGGCAAGAACUUUUUGAAGUCAAGUCUUCAACUUUUGAAGUCAAGUGCAUCGUAUCUUCUACAUGCGUAAAAGAGGCUCUUGACUAAUUGAUUUGUGAGUUAAUUUUUGAAGUCAAGUCUUCAACUUUUGAGAUGGCGUGAAAUUAGAAGUUAGACAAAUGAGCAGCACCAUAAAAGAAAAAAGAAAAAAUUUGCACACACAUAGUUAAUCUCAUGAGUUCCUUCUGUAAGGGUUUAUGAUAUUUGUAUUGACACUCUUGUAAGGUUUUAUCAUAUUUGUAUGCCCAAUUGCAAGACUAAUCCAAACUUUGUAUUUGGGUACUUCUAAAUGUGUUGGACCUUCAUGCUUGAAAUCUUCAUUAAAAUAUGUGUAAUUUGUAUUCGAAUGUAAAAUUAAAAAAAAUAAAUAAAUGUUAAUGGGUGACUCAUGAGUUUAACAGGUUGAGUUUGAGUGACUCAUUAGCUUAACGAGUCGGGUGUGGGCGACUCGUUAGCCUAAGGGGUCAGGGGAAAUCCGAUCCAAACUAAAUAAACCCGACCCGUUUAUAGGUUACUAGCAGAUAGUAAAGGGAUGAAAGUUUCGAACUCGCAACAGCAAAUUAAGACAUUAGAGUCAUCAGAUUCAAUUCCUGCAAUUCCUGCAUUGGCUUGAAGUGGAAUGGAUUUGAAGCAAGAACUUUUCAUUCGAUAUCCAAUUUCUUCAUCAUUAGGACUUUCAAACUCCUAGCAUAUAUUAAGUCAAGAUUGCGGGUGUAACGAAAUUUUUCAUGUUGGAUUUGGUCUAUGGUGCAUUUUUCAAACUGCAAGCCCUUUUUUCAUCAGAAAAGAAAUAUCUCAUUAACUCGAGAGAAAGCACGGAAGAGAGAUACUUCCACUUGGAGGUGAGGCCCCAACCAUGAAAAACUAUAGAAAAACGUAUUUGGCUCAAUUCUACUUUUCCUUCAUUCUCAAAUGUACAAUAUAUAUAUAUAUAUAUAUAUAUAUAUAUAUAGCCAAGUCCAAUUUUCAGAAGUCGAAUCAUGUGAACGGUAGAAGAUCAAUGUAUAAAAAUUACAAGUGUGUGUAGGAAGUAAAAUGGGAUGUGUGAAUAGUAUUGGGAGAAAUUAGAUUUACAUCAUUCCUUUUGCUACUCCAUUAAUUAAAAUAUUAUUCCUUUUCAAUUUUUUAUCAAGGUCUUUGAAUAUUAAUAAUACAUUAAUUAUUUCAAUAAUAAAAUAUUUUUUAUUUUUAAAUAUAUUCCUUUAGGGUGCGUUUGUUGCACAGAACUAUCUCGGAUUGGACUAACUUCAAGAACUAAGCUGGACUGACUUGGCUUAGACUAAGCAUGACAAAAAUAGUGAAGUGUUUGGUAUGGCGCCGGACUAAUAAGCCGGACAUGAAAAAAUAUUAAUUUUUAUAUUAUAAAAGAUUAUUUUGUAGUUAUUUUAAAUUUUAAAAACCUAAUUAAAUUGCUUCUCUAAUCUCUAUCCAAGAAGGACCCAGAUGCUUCGUCUACCAAUUCAAUUGCCAGCAACUUUUUUAUUUCCUAUCGCAGCAACUCACCCAACACCAACAAUAAAGAAAUACCCAGAUGUUUUUAUAUCCCAAUUCAAUUGCUUAUCUAUUAAAGCGAUUCAAUUGCUUCCCUACCGCAGCAACUCACUAGUCUACGACAACAGAUUUGCGAAGACCCAAUCGACCCAUAAAUAACCAGACCUGAAAGAGAGACCCAGAAAUACCCAGUUUUGUAAGCUGCCACACAUCCAUCACCAACAACAGCGCUUCCUAAAAAAAAAAUGGCGGUGUAACCGCCGUUUCCCGCCGGCGGAGGAAUGGCUGCACUGCAAGAGUGGUGGGAAUCAAUUUUGGGGGAUGCAGAGGAAUGGCUGCAUCACAUGGAUUUGUGACGAGAGAGAGAAGAAAGAGAGAUGCAUGCGGAUAAGGGGUGGGCUGAGGUCGUUGGCUCGUUUCUUUGUUAGUCCUGCUUAAUACCAUGUGAAACCUUGGGUCUAGAUAUUGAGGUUUAGUGAAGUGCGGGGCGCCUCGUAGUCGAGGCGAGUCCCGUUAAUUCCAAUCCAAGACCAUGCCAAACGUAGGACUAUAAUCCUAGUUAAGCCAAUCCAUGCUAGUCCCUUCUAAGAAGGUGUAACAAACACACCCUUAGUGUUAAAAAUGUUAUAAUUAAUAUAUUUAUAUUUAUGGUUAAAAUUUUUAUCAUAUAUUUUUAUUUUUAGUUUGUAACAAUUUUUAAUUUUCAAACCUUUUUCAAAUUGUACCAAUUUUCUUUUCAGUUUUAAUUUGUACCCAUAUAUUAAUUUCUUUUUGUGCCCAUAUUUUUAACGCUUUAUUUGUAUUUGUGUCUGUGUGUUUAUCGUCACGUGACAUUGUAUAAUUAAUCAAUUAUAGAAAAAAAGGAAAACUAAUGAAAAGAGCUUGAAAACUUUGAGUUUUAACGAUAAGGACAAAAUAAAGGGUAAAGUGAAUAGUAUUGACAUACCCCGAUCAUAAAAUCAGAGCGUGCUGACCGUCACGUGAGCGUGACGUAACCAAAAGUGCGACGCGGAAGCAAAAAGGUAAAAGAAAUACGAAGGAAUAAAAACCAACUACUAGCAAUAAUAUCCAACUAACAUGCUAGAAUGAAUUUAAGUGUGAAAUACACAUAAUCAGAGCAUAAGUACUAGGUGCAGUCAAGUAGGACCAUUCCUAAAUUACAACACCCGAAGGUGAGUCCUACAUUUAAGUGGUCUGUCAGAACGCCGUGGGAGUCCUCGUGAGCCACCAACACUGCUAACUAGAACCUGGAGGGGCGCAAAACAAGAUUGAGUGGGUCAGUAAAACAAAGCUUUUCAAAAAUAUUUCAUUUAAUAACACUUCUAACCCCUCGCUGUAAAACCUGUAUACUUUCCCAGAAAAAUAGUAUAUAUAUAACCAUAUAUAACAACAAAUAAUUCAAAUCACAAGUCUUUAACACUUUUCAGGAAAAUAUGCCAUGCUAUGCUUCAAAACAUAAUAAGGAUGCAUCAAUAUAACAAGUGAAAUAAGGAAUCAACCGGAGACCCUGCAGCUGUCCUGUACGGCUAAUUCUAUAGCUCAAUAUCCAAUCCAACCGGAGUCACCAACUGUGACCUGUACGGCACUACUCUGCACACAAAUCGGAACUACCUGAAGUAGUAUGUACGACAAGAAUGGUGUAAGAAUACGCUCUAGUGCUUCUCUCAUCAACAGCUGUAUAAUAAUCUAAAGUCACCUACAAGUCGGAACCAUCUCUACUGGUCUGUACGACAUGUCGGAACCACCUCUAGUGGUCUAUACGACAUGCACCUACUUGGAUCCAAGGUGAGCGUGUGGUGCGAGGUGAAUAAUAUAAGCACUAACACCAGGGGUGCAGGUUAUGAGCUCUCAACACAAUUCACAUCAUCAAUAAAUCACAUGAACAACAUAAAACUCACCUGAUACUCACUUGUGCGUCCACAACACCAUUUAACAUAUAUGCAUGAAAUACUAGUUCAUAUAUUUCAUAUAAUAUGAAUGCAUGACCUUUUAAAACAUACUAUCAUUUAAAUUCAAUUUCUGGGAAAAGUCAGUAGUAUAUAUGUAUAUACAGAAAAUAACUGCCCACUCACUAGUAUGUCGAAGAGUCGUAACCCCCGUGACGCCCUUGAAUGUGCUCGUCCUCGGGAUAGGUCUCACCUAUAUGCGAAACAACUAUAAAAACGUUAUUUUAACGCACAUAGGCAAAACUAGCUUAUAACUUCUCAUACAUUGCUCAAUUUGGGUAUAUGAAUAUACCACAGUGACCUACUCGACGUCACGGAUGUCGAGAUAUUUUAGAAUAAUUUUUCAAUGCCGCACGCGCCCCCACGCGCCGGGAGAGGCACGGUGCUACGCGUCAUCCCCUACCUCCAGACACCGGAAAAUCUCGUCGGCGCCGGAAACUGGGCAAACCUGUAAAUGCCAUUUUCCACGAAAUUUUCACCAAAAUGUCACAAAUCACGAGAGGAAGAAGGCUAUACCUUUUAAAACUUCCAAAUCCUUUGAAAACUCGUCGGGAUAAUUCACCAAAACCGGCCACCUUCGAACCUCGUGAUCCCGACGUCCAAAACCUUCAAACGAACGUCCUCGAGCUUCGUGGGAACCUCCUUAAGCUCACUGUGAGCUUGAAAUUCCCUGAAACACAAUGUUUUACGUGUGCAUGAACAGUGCACAUUUUCGGGGUUAGGGUUUCACAAUGAUUUCGAAGGUCUUAAGUUCCAAAAUUAGUAUGCUUGAACUCAGGGACUCAAGAUGAGUUCGAUUCUUACCUUAGAACCUUCGAUCUGUGAAGAAAUGGCGUAGAAUAAGCUUGUCCGCACGUGCACAGUGACAAAGGUGCCGAAAAACCGAGAGAGAGAAGGGAGAGAAAGUCCACGGGAGAGAGAGAGAAAAGGCAGGUUUGUGUGUGUGUGGUCCACAUUAAUCCCUAACCACACAAAUGAAAACAUAACCUAAGUUCCAAUUAAAUUUUCCACAAACUUAGGAAGGACAAUAUUAAUCAAAUGUAUAAGUCACACACACACCUUAGAAAUCUUUAGGGACAAUUCCGUCAAUUCACAUCAACGAUAAAUGUAAUUUCGGGACGGCUGUGACAGUAUCAUGAUUGAUUUUUUAGUGUAAAAAUGUGGUUUUUCGUUAAGGUGAACAGUACAGAGAGUUUUUCGUUAAAGUUUCCUAGAAAAAAUUACAUAUGUUAUACAUAACUAUUUGUAGACUGGCAUCAGUAUAAAAUUAUUCUGCAAUAUAAUUUCUAAAAAGUGAUAGAGACGAGUGUAAAGGGGACAAGUGCAUCGCAUUUCUUCUACAUGCGUAAGAAGAGAUGCUCUUGACUAAUUGAUUCAUGAGUUAACUUUUGAAGUCGUCUUCAACUUUUGAAACUGUGUGAAAUCAGAAGUUAGAAAAAUGAGCAGCACCAUACAAGAAACAAGGCUUGAUGACGCAGCACUAGUGUAGAAGGAUUAAAAAUAUAAAUCCUUGAAGAAACAAAGUUUUUGGAACCCACCAGUUUGAUAGAAACUCCAAAAGGAUAAUUUGAUUAAUUGAUGAGUUGGUGAUUACAAUGGCUAACGCUAACACUCAUGACUUAAAUAAGUAAUUUACAACACUUUUGGACAACUCAAAAGGCUUAGAGAAUUAAAACGAAAGUAAAUGACAUUAAUCGGACGACAAUUGAAAAGUCUGAAACUUAUUACAAACUUUAUUUUUUGGUUUUGGAAGCUUAAUUCCUCUUAAACAUGACGGGCUCAUGAUAUCAUUCCUCUUGUUCUGCUCGCAAUUCUCUUCAAAACGAUAUAUUAUACGCCUAAUUAUGACACCGGAAUAUUUCUUGCUGUUUUUUCUGUCGUCAUAUUUAUUGAAUCCAAUAUUUUCCAAUUUUAAUUAUUCUUCUCUUGAAACAUUUUAUUUUAUUUAUAUUUCUUGAUAGGAAGUGACUCAUAUCUUGUCUUACAUCACUUGACUUGACCUCAACCAUCUGAUCUUCGACCUCAAGAUCCAGAUUAAUGGAGUGUGUAAAAAAUAAAUAAAUAAAGGGAAGAGAAAAAGAAGUACAAACCGAUCGAUUACAAAACUUUGCUAAAAUUGCUACAUAACGCAAAAUGACUACAUCUUACCAAACUUAACACCAGCCAAGUUACAUGGUGUAUUUAUAAAGACCCAAUUCUUAACAAACAUGAAAGCAAUCGUAAACCCUCCUAAAUAAUAGGAAAGUAACCUAAGAUCAUGUGGCACAGAAGGAUUGAAGAGUAGUAGAUUGACUGAGUAGUAGACCUGUAAACAGGUCGGGUUCAAUCCAACCCGUUAAAUUAAUGGGUCACCCAAACCCAACCUGUUAAGCUAACGGGUCACCCGAACCCGACCUGUUUCACCUCGUUAACAAUUAUUAUUAUUAUUUUUUUGCAUAGAGUUUAUUUUUUGUUGUUAAGACUUUACUGAAAUUACUAAAACAUCCUCAACUAACGGAUGCUAACGGGUCCGAACGGGUUGACCCAAAGUGACCCGUUAUUUAACAGGUUCACCCGUUAGCGACCCAACCUGUUAAGUAUCCACACAAAUACUAAUAUUAACGGGUCAGGUCGGGUCGGGUCUAAAAUGCCAGGUCAGUGAGUAGUACUCUUGACAAGACUGAACAAAUAAUGAAUGCAACCAAAUAUAGUAAUUAGGUUUUAAUUCGACCGGUGGAGUGGAUACUGGUCUAUGUGUGGAACUUGUGCUUUGUUUUUGGUCUAUGUUGAUUUUUUCAAACUGCAAGUUCUUUUCUCAUCAAAAAAGAAAUAUCUCAUUACUCAUCCCCAACUACAGAUGUCUCUAGGAAGUGUAGGUAUUCUUGUUGACGUCAAAUAGGAGAGAAACGGCAUCCACUAGUCUUACGUGGUUGAUAUGACUCUUUGACACUUGGUAGACCCGAUUCUUCUACACUUAAUGGAUUUCUGUUUAAGAAGUUGAGGUUCUACCAUAAUAUCGCAGUAGUCACAUGCACUCCACGUAGUUCCGUUGUUUGUCCACAUGUUAGACUUAAAAAAAUUUUCCACAAAAAACAGAAGAAAAAAAAAUGAAGUUAAUUUUUGCAUAUAUGUAAUACAUUUAUAGUUGAUCUCAUGAGUUCCUUCCGUAAGGGUUUAUGAUAUUUGUAUUGACACUCUUGUAAGGUUUUAUCAUAUUUAUAUGGCUAAUUGCAAGACUUAUCAACUUCACAUUUGGGUACUUCUAAAUGUGUUGGACCUUCAUGCUUGAAAUCUUGAUUAAAAAAUAUGUAAUUUGUAUUGGAAUGAAAAAUUAAACAAAAAAAAAAAAAACAAUUUUAACGGGUGACUCAUGAGCUUAACAGGUUAAGUUUGGAUGACUCAUUAGCUUAACGAGUCGGGGGUGACAUGACCUAAACCCAAUAAACCGAACCCGUUUACAGGUUACCAGUAGAUAGUAAAGGGGAUGAAAGUUUCAGACUCUCAGCAUCAAAUUAUUAGUCAUCAGUUUCAAUUCCUGCAUUGGCUUGAAGUGCAAUGGAUUUGAGGCCCGAAAUUUUUAUUCGAUACCCAAUUUCUUUAUCAUUUUAGGACUUUCAAACUCCUAACAUCUAUCAAGUCAAGAGUGCGGUGUAACGAAAUUUAUCAUGUUGGAUUUAGUCUAUGUUGCAUUUUUCAAACUGCAAGUCCUUUUCUUGAGAAAAGGAAUAUCUCAUUAACUCAAGAGAAAGCAAGGAAGAGGAGAAAUACUUCGAGUUGGAGUUGAGGCCCCAACCAUAGGAAAACUGUAGAAAAACGUAUUUGACUCAAUUGUACUUUUCAUUCAUUCUCAAAUGUACAAUAUAUAUAUAUAUAUAUAUAUAUAUAGUAAAUAAAAAUAUAUGGAUUAACUAUAAAUACACACCAUUUACUCUUUUAUAUAAUGAGCUUAAUGCUGAAACGUUAAUGAAUCCAUGUAGAAGAUUUAAUAAGCCUAAUUGUUCAAUGAACCUAAUUAACUAACAUGCCCUCUCAAGUUAGAGAGUGAAGAUCCACAACUCCCAACUUGCGUAUCAUAAUCGAAAAUUUUAAAUUUCGUUAGGUAAAAGCUUAAGCAUUGAAAACUUACUUUUACCUGACGAAAUGGUUUCGUCUAAAAUGGUGUUUUCUUGUAGUGAUAUCAAGUAAACUCCAUAACAAUAAUCUUUUGAAUUUUUGCCCUCUUAGCUAUGUAUGGAAGUACAAAGUGACACAACUAUUUAUAGACGGGUAAUGCUUGACAAAGGAAUACGUAUAGGGUGGACUAAUAUAUAUAUAUAAUAUAUGUGUGUGUCCAUAAAUUCCUUACCACAUCAACCUUGACCCAUUGGAAUCUAUAAAUUUGAAUUUGUCUAAAUUCCCAUGGCUACACCAAAUUCUUUACAAACACUUAUCAGCUGCUAAUUAUUAAACUGACCAACUAUGAUUAGUGUGAUGAGCUGAAGGAUACAAAAUAUGUGUUAUAUAAUUAUGGUUGUUUAGUAAAACUAUAACACAGCUAAUGUUUCUCUCGCCGAUCUUUUCUCACAAUCUAGUAAGUGGACUAAAUGAUUUAAGCAGUUAGUGAAAGAACAUAUGUAGCUUGUAAUUUGACUAAUUUCCCCAUGUUCGGAGAAAUUUCACAGGCCUUUGUAAGAUUUCACUUUAACAAAGAGAGCUCCAAUAACCUUCUAAAACAUUUAAGCAAAGCACAUAUCACAAAAAAUGAACCUGAAUGGGGAAGAUCAUCAUAAGCUAAUAUGGACCAUGUAUAAAAGAGAUAAAUAGGAAUUAAGGAUGUGUGAAUGGAUACCAAGCAACUAAAAAGCUUCUAAUGGGUCUUUUCCUUCAAAUAAUGAUUGAUAAGAAACAACCAUUCUUCAUGAGGAAGCAGGUAAUGUAUUGUGCACCCUAAUCUAUUGUCCUAACAACGAUAAUACAUAGAAAUUUAUGGUGCCCCAUUGCACGUAUGCAGCAGGCUUUUAAGCAUAUCAAUAUUUGCAUAAGAAGAACCAACAAACAGAGAGACGAAACACCUAAAUUUACAACAAUUAGUCUUGUGAAGCCAAAUGGGAGGGAGUGUGUUGAGAAUGAGUUCCACGUCAAUGAGAGGAGGAACCUUGCAUAAGUUUGUAAGAAGUCAAGUUACUCCUCGUAUUACCAAUUAAUUUUAUAGUAAAACCUCACAUUUUUUCAAAAUGAAAGUUUAACAAAAAAAAAAAAAGGGAUAAAAAACACCUAAAUUUACAGAGAUAAUUUAAAACAUGUAAAUAAGAAAUUGAAAAGUAAUCUGCAAUUUGGUUUCUUCAGAAGCAAUGAGCAAAAGAAAACGGGAGAAUGAGACCAACACAGAAAAGAAAACAUCCUUUUUACCCCUAAGUUGUGCGCGAUGUCCUACUUCCUUCCCUUCUUCGUUUUGGCAGCCUUCCCCUUCAUUCCUUUCAUUCUUCGUAUUUUCUCCCCCCGCGCUGUCUCACUUUCAGAGUCUGUAAGACUCACUCACGACUCAGCAGCUGUUCAGCCUGACUCGUGCCUCAUCUCAGCCUCACUCAGUCCUUCCUCUACGUCGACCACUCGCCCACCUCGCACUCACCCUCGCGGCCCACAAGCUUCCUCUCGCCGUUUCGAGUCUCGACAGCCCACCUUGAUUCCUCGAUUCCAAAAGGUUAGUCUUUCUGCUGGAUUAAAAUUUGGAUCCACAACUAUAGUUGGUCUUUCUACUGAUUAAAAUUUGGAUCACAACUGUGUUUUUUCCGAUUAGGGAUUUGAAUUGGAAACCUUAUCUGUCAUUUCUGCUUUGACAGUUUUGUUUCUCUAUUUGUAAAUAUGAAUUCAUCACAGAAAAACACAAAAUGGUUUUGUUAUUUACCAUUAAUUUUCUUGUUAAAAUAUGUCAAUAAUACGAAGGAAGUUUUAAUGAAAAGUCCGCGGUACUAUUUACUUUAACGAAAAAUCAUAUUUUUACAUUAAAAAGUCAAAUAUGGUAAUAUUCACUUUACAUUUUAUUUUGUCCUUAUCGUUAAAACUCAAAGUUUUCAAGCUCUUUUCAUUAAUUUUACUUAAUAUGAAAGGUUUUGUUAUUCGCCAAAGUGGGACUUUCGCCUUCACCUCUUCACAUGUACCAAUCACUUGUUUUUUCCCAAUAAUUUUCUUGUUAAAAUAUGUCAAUAAUUUUGAAAAAUGGUACAUAAAAGUACUCUUGUAAAGUUAUGAUAUCUUCACGUGAAAAUGUUUUUUUGCAAGAAUAAAAGGUGUAUUGUCCUUGCACGACAAAAGAGAAAUUAAGUUACUGAUAAAACACAAGUUUUAGGGCUAACGACAAUGAUGUUUUCUGUAUCUGCGCUUCAAGUCCACCAGCCCUUUUGCAUUUGUUGCCUAUUGCACAACUGAUGUAUUCAGUUUACAAGUUGUUCCUACAAAACCAGUUCCCCUGUAAUCCACGAUUCUUAUUCAUUCUCUCCGAUGAUUGGAACAAAAAGUUGUACAAAUUUCGUAGCUCUGGUUUUAGAAUUUUAGACAAUCCUUGCUAUACACAUUAUUCUUAAAUAUGUAACUGUUCUACAAGUAUUCUUAGUUACUAAGGCAUAGGAAAGUUUCGAUUUCAUUUGAUUGAAAAGAUUUGUCUCCAAUUAAUCGAAGGGUUAUUAUACAAAAUAGUCCAUGAGAUUUUUAUGAUCAAUAGAAAUUCUCUAAUAUUAAAAAUCAAUAUAAAUGGCCCCUGAGAUUGUUCAUUAUCCAUGAUUUUGGUCAUUUCAUUAAAACUUCUUUGGGCAAUUUUCAAAACUUCGUAACUCAAUCGAUUCUUAACCAAAUUCGACUCAUAAUAUAUCAAAAUGAAAAUAAAAAAGUUUAGAACAAGAUUAUACCUAUUUGGAAGCCCAAUGAUUGCCAGAGAUGACUGGAAAAUAGCCUGAAAGGUGACUGGUCCACCGGAAAACUGGAAAACUCGCCGGAAACUGGGUAAACUUUAAACAUUUAUAACUUCUUCAAUACUCAACGAAAUCGAGUGAUUCAAAAACAAAAAUUUAGAUUUCAUUUGAUUGAAAAUAUUGUCUCCAAUUAAUCGAAUGAAUAAGAAUCCUUUCAAAUGAAAAUAGCUGCUUUCAUUCUAAUUUCAGAAAAUCCAAAUCCAUGAAAACAUGCAGCACUCUACUAUCUUUAUUUAUAUUACUUUCUAUCUCCAUUUAAUUGUUAAAGAAACUCGACGGUACAAGCAAACUGAUAUAACAUAAAAAUAAUAUGAUACAUAGGGCAGAGUUUUGAACGUGAACAACAAUCAACUAAAAGCUAAAAAGCAUCAAUACAUUCUAUCUCUUUUUUCAAAAGAAAUCUCGACGGUACAAGGAAAAAUUUAUUGAAUAAACAAAAGAAAUUACACCUAGUCUUGGGGGGAUAUAAACCUUGCCUCUCAAAAUAAAGAGAAACGUAAGAAAAGAAACCGAAAAUACAAGAAAAUAGGAGGGACAUACACUUACAUAUCCUGAUACAAACUUAUAACUAAACAUAUAGAAAGUGAAGGAAAGAAACCACAAUAGAGAAAACAAACGACAACAAGAAAUGUGUAACAUUGUAACAAACCGAAUUUCUACGCCCCCAUUAGUACUCUAAAUUUUCAUUAUCAUUUGCCUGACCAUUCCAACAAUCUUAAGAAACAAGUCAGACCUCCUUGUGAUCACAACAUCUGCAAGAACUACUCCCACUACCAACCCACUUCAACAUCCGGCUGAAACAAUUUUCCAAUCAAAUUCAAAUAUUCCUGCUGAGCUAGAAUCACCUUCGUCCACGGUUGAAGGUGGAAAUGGAGGGGCCUUAGGAUUUCCACAUUUCUUUGGCAAUGGAUCUCCACACAACCCUGGGUUUCCCUCAUAUGAAGUGAUAUUCAAUGUAGUAAGUUGGCUACCUUGUGGUAUAAGACCUGUGAGAUUGUUGGGAGACACAUUGAAAUUGGCAAGAAAAGUAAGUUGCCUCAGUUGUUGGGGGAUCCGUCCUGAGAGCUUGUUUUGUGAAAGGUCCAACAAUUCAAGUUUCAUCAAGUUUCUGAAGGAUGAUGGGAUAGAACCAGUGGGAAUGUUGUGGGAUAGACUCUGCGAACAAGGCUCCUUAAGAUUCCCAAUGAAUUCUGGAAUUUUCCCUUCAAAUUUUUUGCUCGAGAUAUCAAAGGAUGAAAAUUCUUCUCGGAUCUUUGGGUAGUAUUGCUCCAAACAUUUUGUUGCUAUUGUGAGUUGGUACUCAACACUGUUAACAAUCGUGAAUCCAUUGACAUCAUAAACUACGUCUGUGUACAUAUAUGUUGACUUAUUUAUGGUAAUAUCUGGAAAUACAGACGGAACCGCACCAGUAAAAUCAUUGUAAGCCAAAUCAAGAAUGCGUAACUUGGGGAAAUCGACAUUCUUUCUAGACUUUCCAAUCACACCAUAGAAUCCAUCAUGGCAUAUUGCCAAAAGUUUUAACUCCAAAAGAGUCCCCAACCAAAUGGGAAAAACAUCAUUGAAUUGAUUGUUUGACAAAACAAGAUACUCAAGCAUUACACAAUUGGCCAAUGACCUCGGCAACUGCCCUUGCAAUUUGUUAUGACUCACAUCAAUCAUUCUCAAACUGCUUCCUUUGUUGUAUGUCUGAGGAAUAAUUUCGUGAAAACAAUUGUUUCCAAGAAGUAAAAGAUUCAGAUGAUCACUAAAGUUUCCGAGACACUGAGGAAGCAUGCCACUCAAGUUAUUUUUCGACAAGUCAAGGUAUUGAAGAUUUUUCAUAUUGCAAAGCAACGGUGAGAUUUCUCCGGUAAAGUUGUUGUCUGGAUGAAAACCUUACACAUAACAGUUUCACCCAAGGAAUGACAAGUGGAGGUUGGUCUGAAAUGAAGUUAUUAGAAAUGUCUAACAAUAGCAAAGUUUCUAUGAUUGUGUUCCACAUCCAUUUUGGUACUUGGCCCCGAAUUUUGUUUAUAGAAAGGUCCUAACGCUCCAAACUUUUCUGAUAUUGUAAGAAAGAUGGAAACUCUCUUAUGUUGCAAGAACUCAAUCCUAGGACAGUGAACUGCAGAACUGUUGAAUUUGCAAUUCGUGGAUUCAGUGACAAAUUCUAAAAUGUUCCAACUUAAUUGGAGUUGGUAAAGAAAUUGUAGAUUUUGAAAUUGUAAACAUGAAAAUUUCCUCCUUCGAAUGAGACAAGAACGCGUGUACAAAAUAAUAUUUUGUAUUAAUUUUGGGGUUACAAUCACUUUUACAAUUUGAUACUCUGAUUCUAUCUUCGUAAGAUGUAGAUUUGUAGGUGGGCAGUUGAUCCAAAAGGUCAUCGGGGCUUGAUCUAGGGAUGAACAAGGAUGAAUGGACCUUCAAGGGCCUUCAGGGCUUGAACUUGAUGAACGAGGAUGAACAGAUCUUCAAGGGCCUUUGGGGCUUGAUCUUGAUGAAAGAUGAUGAUUGGAUCUUCAAGGGCAUUCGAGGCUUGAUCUUGAUCUUGAUGAAUGAGAAUGAACAGAUCUUUAAGGGCCUUCGGGGCUUGAUCUUGAUGAACGAGGAUGAAUGGAUCUUCAAGGGCCGUUGGGCUUGAUCUUGAUGAACAGUUGGGAGCUGCGGUUGGGAGCUUCUUCAAGUACCGUCGGGGCUUUAUCUUGAAUGAGUGGUUGGGAGCUUCUUCAAGGGUCGUUGGGGCUCGAUCUUGAAUGAGCGGUUGAGAGCUUCUUCAAGGGUCGUCGGGGCUUAAUCUUGAAUGAACGGUUGAGAGCUUCUUCAAGGGUCAUCGGGGCUUGAUCUUGAAUGAGUGGUUGCCUCAAGGAUUUGGCUUGCGGCAAAGGAAGAAUCGGCACGUGACCAAAGUGCUAGUUGAUUCUUCAAAGGUUUUGGCGAAGAACGAAGAGAGCUUUCUCGAUCUUUUGGAAUUCCUGAGAAUUUGGGGAGUUGGAUGCUUGAGAGCUUUAUAGUGUAUUUGUCUUGUCAUUGUCCAAAAUGAGAAGAAAAAACUUGUUUUGAUCCAUAAUGGAUUGAAGUGUGUUUGCCUUGUCAUUGCCCAAAGUGAGAAGAAAAUUUUGUUUAAUCCUCCAAGGGUAUUUCUUCCUAUUUUGUUGAGUCACACGCCAUGUGUAAAAUUUAUGUGACAUGUGAACGUUGAAAUUUUAAUGCAUUGGUCAACAUUUAUUUCACCGAAAUUUCGAUGUCUACAUAAACAUUUGAACCUCCACUGCACCACUCAGACUAUUCCAAUGUAGAUAAAGGAUCUGAAGGUUUGUGAGAUUUGAACCAUUAAAUCUAUUAUAAGCAAAAUCUAGGUACUCUAGUUUGCUAAAGUUGCCUAGCCAAGAUGGGAUUGGACCAGUUAAUCAACUGGAACAAAUCCUAAAAGUAGCCAAUUGGGUAAGGUUUGCCAAGGAAUCAGGAAUUGGACCACCAUAACUUUUGGCUGAAAUGUCUAGAUAAGUGAGCUCACUGAGCUGCCUAAUAUUCCCAAGUGAAGAUGGAACCAACCCUUCUGAAAAAUUGCAUUGAGCCAUAUCUAAUUUUUGCAGUGAAUCAAGGUUUUGAAUAAGAGAGUAUGGUUCCAAAAAAGCCAGUAAAGCCGACUUUCAAUAAGAUGAGAGGACUGCUUCGAUUAAAGUCAGCAAAAUAUCCAGUCAAUUCUUGGUUGUAUCUCACACUAAGAAAUUUUACGUUUGGUAGUUGGAAAAUUCUCACCAGAGAUCACCAAAUAGGUGACAGUCCCUGAGGUAGAGGGAUGUCAAAGAUGAUAAAUUAGCCAUGGAAUGAGGAAUUGCCGAAGAUACGUUUACGAACUGAGAGAAAGUACUUCGAGACUAGUUAAGUUUUGAACUAGGCUUCCAAGAUCUGAUGCUUCAAGUUUCAACAAAGGAUGAUCCUUAUCUUCAGACAAUCUAUCGAGAUUGACAGCUAGAUUAAGGUAUGUCAACUUGGAUAACAGUGAAACUUCAGAAGGGACUUGACCAGAAAAGACAGAGGUAGAGAGGUCAAGAUGAGUAAGGCUUGGAAAAUUCCUAAUGCUAGGAGGAAUUUGAGAGUAAUUGAAGUUAUUGUCAGAGAGGUUUAACCUUGGAAGAUGAACAAGGCGGAAGAGGCUGCUUUCCAUGAUGAAACCUUUGGAUAAGCAUCGAUAGAUCUAGAAGCAGAUAUGUCAAUAGUAAAGCUGUCUUUGGAUUGCAGCAGGGCGGACUUCUCCUCAUCAGGGCAAGAUGGAUAAUGCUUCUGCGAAGAGUGGGAAGAGUUAACAAUAACUAUAUGAUUAAACAGCAACAAAACUAGUACUAGUUUUGAAACCAUGCGAAUGAUGGAGAUAUCAAGUAACCCCAUAACAACAAUCUUUUGAAUUUUUAUUUUUUUUAUUUUUUAUUUUAAAGCUUUUAGGCCAUCUCCAACCGAAUGAGGAUCAGAUAGCUCAUUUUAGUCUUAUAGCCCUUUAAGAAAUUAUAUUUUAAUGAAUAGUGUCAUACCAUAUUUCUUACCAUCACCAACUGAAGGAGCCAAAGGGCCAUAGGCCAAACAUAGCCUCUUGACAAAAAAUCAUCUCCAACCGAGGGGACCAAAUGGUCAUAGGCCAAACAUAAUUUAUUAUUUUAAUUGAAUUAAUAUAGUUACUUAAAUUAAAAACUACAAUCAUUAUCUUAAAGAUUCAACUACUUAAAUUUAAAAACUACAACUAAAAUUAAAAUGCUACAACUUCAAUUUAAAGACUACAACAACUUAAAUUUAAAAACUACAACUUAAAUUUAAAAACUACAACUUAAAUAUUAAAGACUACAACAAUUUCAAGACUAUAAUCAUCAUCUUCAUCCGCCAUUGUAGGAGUAUAGUCGGAUGAUGUAAACAACUCCCGUCAGGCCAUAAUUUCUCUCUUUUUCCUAUCAAAAUAUGUCUUACUCAUUGGAGUGUAAUCCGAAGUGUUCAUUUGCAUGUUCCUACCAUCCAUCUAUUCUUGUAUUUGUUUUGCCCAUUCUUCGUGCCUACGGUUCCUUUCUUCUGCGGCAAGGGCAUUUUUCUCUGCCAGUAAUUGCAAUGAGGACACAAUUUCCUAUUGACAAGCUAAAUCAUCCAUUGCCUUGCCCUUUUCCUUCAAUUUUCGGGCCUUGUUUUGUCCCGUAGCCCUAGGGAUGGAAGAUUCACUCGGAGACGGAUUUUCUACCCUUGUUUCUUGAAUGAUAGGAGAUUCUUGUUGAGGUGGAUCAAAUCUUUCUUGAGGUGGAUCUUGAAAUAACACACACCCUUUAUAAAUUUCCCAACAACCAUGAUGAGUAAAGGGGUUUUUUCAUUUCCUUCAUAUACAAUUCCUUCGCUUGGCGUACCUAGAAAAUAUAAUUACAAAAAUUAAAGGAAAUUAAUUUAUGAAAUUAAGAUUAGCAUGUGAAAUUAAUUUAUGAAAACACUUACUUCGUCGUAGUAAUUGGCUCUGCUUUCAUGUCUGCUUUCGGCCGCAAGCACUGCUUGAUGUCAUUUAUUCAAACUUGGUUGAAGAUGUUUUCUUCCUUUUGAAGAACAACUCUAGUGGUUUCGGGGAUUCGGUGGAGUGGUGUCUUCGUAUAAUUCGUAGUACUUUUUAGACCCAUCUAUAAGUUUUGCAAAGAGCUUCAUCUUCUUUUCGGGUCCAAGCCCUUCCUUUCAUUGCAUAUGUGGUUAUUUGAAAAUUAUUGAAAAAAAUUGAAGGAAAGAUUAUUGGAAGAGGUAAGAGAAUAGAAUGUGAAGAAUUGAAGCUCUUUGAGGUAAGAUAAUAUGGAAUGGUGAAAAUUAUGUGAGAAAUGAUGUAAGAAUAACUUAGGUAUUUAAAGGAAAAAAAUUAUUUUUUUUUAUUAAAAAAAUUGUACCAAAAAAAAAAUUCAAAUCCAACGUCUACCUGGCGUCAGCAUGACGCCAAGUAGCCGUUGGGUUUGGAUUUUGGGCCGACCCAGGGCUGGCUAGCUAGCUGAGGAGGGCCAGCCAGUUGGCACAAUUUCAUAUUUUUGGCCCGGUGGGGCUCACGAGCCAUUUGGCUUAGUCCUCGGUUGGAGACGGUUUUUGUGACAUUUCGAGUUUUUUUAGCCCUUUGGCCAGGUCGGUUGGAGAUGACCUUAGUUAUGUAUGAAAUGCAAAGUAACACAACUAUUUAUAGAAUGGCAUCAGUAUAAAAUUCUUUCGCAAAUUACUUUAGUCUAAAGUAGGGGAACUGCACUGUGCAAUUUUGCCUCAAUUUCACUUUAUUUAUGAGUUUGCCACCGGGCUGAUUUCAGCCCAAAGUUUGCUUCAUUUACAAGAUUGCCAUUGGGCUUAACAACGGGUCUUCAUUCUUUUGGCUGGAUCUGGGCUUUUGACUCGGGGAGAGAGAGGUAAGGGCGACAGAAUGGUUGAGAGGAAGACAUUCGCCGGGAUUUAGGGGAGUGGAUUUUCAGGAUGGACAUGCGGGUGGAUGUCCUGUGGGUGAUGCAUCGAUCAGAGGGUUGUUGGGGGGAGGAGAGGAGAGGAACAGAGGGACUGAUGGAUUGGAGAGAGAUGGGAGCCGGCUCAAAGACUCUGCAUUUCUCACUUUCUCUUCUCUCAGACCACUUCUCUCUCUUCCAUCUCUCUUCCAUCUCAAUGCGAAGGGUUGCGGAAAGCCGGUUCUCCGGCCGAUUUGAGGUGGUAAUAAGCUACUUAUGAUGAAUCCUAUGCUAUUAUGUUUCUUUGAACCACUAUGCUAUUAUGUGGUUUAUCUUUAUAAAGAGGAAUUCUUUUGAAAUCUUUCGUUGAACUAUUAUUGAUGAAUCCUAUUGUAAUAAGUAAUUUUUUGUCUGUUCAUCGUAGAACUAUAGGGAGGGAGAGAGAGAGAUAGGGAUUUGGUGAGAGGAAGGCAUGCGGCUUGCAGGCAGACAGAGUCACAAGGGUGUACGAUUCGAAAGAGAGGGGAUUGAGUGGUGACGCUCGAUUUGGGAAGAGAAAGAGAGGGAGAGCGCGAUUAUGGGGUUAGGCGACGGCGGGAGAGAGGGCGAGGGUUGUUGCAUCCAUGUCACUCAGAGUGGGUUACGUGAGAGUCAGAGUGCUGCGUUCUUGGGUUUGAGAGUUGAUUUUGAGAAAAUGAUCUAUUCCAUCUCUGCUUCGUGAUCCCUUUGAUCCAUGCUUCCUCAUCUUUUCGAUCUUCUUGGCCCCUCAUCCUGCACCCAAUUUCUCUAGCCUUUAAGAGGUAAUUAAAUCUCACUUCUUCUCAACUACCCAGAAGCCAAAUAUUUGAUUUUUCGUUGUGGUUUGUUACUUUACCGAAUUUGGUUAUUGAUAUUUCGUUUUUUUUAUGGUCCAUUUGUGUUUUCUUGGGGUUGUAUUUUUGCUAGAAUUUCAUAAAAUUUGAUUUGGCUGGGUAACCGAUUGGCUUAAAAUUGUUGUGAGAUUGAAUAUUUCUUGAAUUUGAUCAUUAGAUUUCUUUUUUUUUUUUUUUUGGAAAUUGACGUGUUUUUCCCAUUCAUAGCCAAAACAAACCCGUGCUUCCUCCCUUUUCGUCUUCUCCUCUCACAAUUUGCGCCUUUAGUUCUCAACUGGAUUCACAGUAAACGCCUAUAAAUUUAGAGGUACGAAAAUAUUAAUUUUUUUUUCAUGUUUUUUAUUUAUUUUUAGUGUUAAUUUCUGAUUAAAUUAUUAUUUUUGAUACCCACAUAGAAUCUGAUGGGUUUGCUUGGAUUCCAGAGUAAAAACCUUGAAACUUAAAGGUAUGAAAAUUUCAUUUUAUUUUUUAUUUUUUGUGUUAAUUUCUGAUUAAUAUUAUUCUUCAUAAAUCCACUUAGAAUCUUGAUCUGAGUUUUGCUUAAACUCAUCUUGGGGUUUUAUAAUUUUUUUGUUUUAUAAUUUUCUGGUGCACAUGUGAUUAAAUACAACUGAAUUUGAUUUUAUCCACAAGUGCAUAUCUGAUCCUGUAGUGCUCAAUCUAGAGAAUUGGUACUCAUAAUCAAUAAGAUUCAUACUGCUUAUUGGUAUCAAUUUUGGUUGCAGCAAUGCUAUUCUUGCUGAAGACCUGCCAUGUAAGUGAUUCAGAUUGUAGUAAUGUCGUACAAGUUAACACUUUUGUGUGGAAUUGGUGCAACUUUUGGGGUUUGUGCGAUGUUAUUUUGAUUAGUUAUUGGCUAAAAUUUGGUUCUUUUGAUUUGGGUCUGGUGAAAUUGUUUCAACAGUUGGGCGGGAUUGGUGUUCAGGGAUAUUAUGGUUUUCUAAGGUUUUGAUAGGGUUGUCAUGAAUGGAGGAUGUUAAUGAAGUAAAUGAACAUGCUUAUCUUUGUAGGCUUGACUUCUGAACACAAGGCCUACUCUUUUCAAUUGUUGGGGAAGGGUUUCUUAAUUUUUAUUUCUAUUUGUGUGUGUUGAAUUUUGAGUUAUUUUGCGAGCAAUUGGCUGUGUUGAUGCACAAAACCGGAAGGGGUUUUGGAACAACGUAAAUCCUACCAUGAAUCUGCAAGAAAGUAAAGAACACAAGAUGUAUCGUGGUUCACCCCAAUGUUUGGGCUACGUCCACACUGAUUAUUGUAUUUCUCUGAGAUGUUAAAGAGGGAGAGAGGGAGAGAGGGAGAGAGGGAGAGAGAGCUUCCUUAUGUGAGGAUGAGCUUCUUUGAAUAUGAGAUGGGAUGUGAGGCCUCUCUAAUUGUGAGGGUGAGGGGUCCUUUUAUAGAAUAAAGGCUCCUCACUUAUUACAUAUUUGCCGCUUCCCUUAUUACAUAAUUACAUUUAAGUCCCCCGAGUAUUUAUACGAGGUCUAAAUACGGAGGCCCUAAGUAUGGUAUAAACAGUAGUCCCCCAAGUCUUCAGUCAAGAGAGUCUUUUGGCUGGAGACUUGAAAUUCAGUCCAUGUGUGGGCCGAAGUAACUAGAUGUCGUCUAGAACUGAUACUCGAUAUGAGGCGGUGCUCAAUUUGAAAUGAUGCUCAACUAGAAGUAGCACAUGUUGCGAGGCUGCUCUGCUUGUGGCUUAUGUUGCCUUGGUUGGCUCGGCUUGUGGCGUUGAAGGUGAAUAAGUCCAUUUUAUAGAAUAAGGGCUCGCUCCUCAAUACAUAAGUGAUGGGUUAGGAGUGAUGCUCGCGGCGAUGCGGUUGCUCAGCUGGCGGCGAUGCUCUCUAAUGAUGGUGAGGGAGUCCCUUUUAUAGAAUAAGGGCUCGCUCCUCAAUACAUAAGUGAUGGGCUAAGAGUGAUGCUCGCGGCGAGACGGUUGCUCAGCUGGCGGCGAUGCUCUCUAAUGAAGGUGAGGGAGUCCCUUUUAUAAAAUAAAGGCUCGCUCCUCAGUACAUGAAUAAUGGGUGCUCUCUAAUGAAAGUGAGGGAGUCCCUUUUAUAGAAUAAGGGCUCGCUCCUCAAUACAUAAAUAACGGACUAAGUCCCCCAAGUUUUUUUUCAUGAGUGCUUUCUAAUGAAAGUGAGGGAGUCCCUUUUAUAGAAUAAGGGCUCGCUCCUUAAUACAUAAAUAAUGGGCUAGAGUCCCCUAAGUAUUUUUCAUGAGGCCUAAUAUAUGAUACAUAAUGUAGUCUCCCAAGUCUUCGGUCAAUAGAGCCUGUUGGCUGGAAACUUCAAAUUGAAUCCAUGUAUGGGUCGAAGUGGCGGUUGUUCGGAGGCGGUAUUUGUAUACCCUACACUGAAGCUUUGUAGGUGAAGCUUUGCAAGUGAAGCUUUGAAGCUGGAGCUCUGUAAAUGAAGCUUUUGAAGCGAGAGCUUUUGUAAAUGAAGCUUUUGAAGCUAGAGCUCUAUAAAUGAAGCUUUUGAAGCUAGAGCUUUUGUAAAUGAAGCUUUUGAAGCUGUAGCUUUGUAAAUGAAGCUUUUGAAGCUAGAGCUCUGUAAAUGAAGCUUUUGAAGCUGAUUGAAUGAGUGAUGCUCAUGAAUGUUUAUGUUGAUUGACAUGAGUGAUGCUCAUGGAUGUUGACAUGAGUGAUGCUCAUGAAUGUUGACAUGAGUGAUGCUCAUGAAUGUUUAUGUAUGAUUGAUAUGAGUAAUGCUCAUGAAUGUUUAUGUAUGAUUGACAUGAGUAAUGCUCAUGUAUAAUUUGAAGUACUGGGCGUAUUUUUGAUCACCUGGUUGGUGAUAAUAGCGGCAGGCUGCCGAAUAAUUUUGGAGUACUGGGCGUACUUUUGGUCACCUGAUUGGUGCUAUUUUAGGCUUAUGGGCCUUCGCCCUCCACACAACAUUCCAGCCCAUUUAUUUUGGGCUUUGCCUUUUUUUAUUUAUUAUUAUUUUAUUUUUUUUAUUACCCUCUGAUGGGGUUUAUAUAGAUGUCUCCGAAAGAUAAGAAAAAUAAAUCACAUCAUACAAAAACAAGAAAAGUAAAUCACAUCAUUCUGGUGGGGUGUUUAUUCCUUACUUUUGCUUUCUCUUUUGCUUUCUGCUUUUGUUUUUGCUUUCAUUUUCUCCUUUCUUUUCUGCUUUUGUUUCUCCCACUCCUGUUCUUUCUCUUUUCUCUUUUGGCAGAUGGCAGACAAUAAUAAUAUGAUUAAUAAUAAAAACUUAUCUUAUUCGUUGCAAACCAAUCAGGUUGGGAAGAGGACCACUGCAAAUCCAGGUAUCAUUGCCGUGACGCCACGCUGUACUGAUGCACAGUCAAUAUGCCUGUAGCCAUUCUUGACUGCAGCGAUGACAGCUUGACCGACCACGCCUGGUUCAGCCUUCCAUGUUCCAAGACCAACAGGUGGGAUCUUAGCUCCCGUAUUCAGAUCAAAAUACAAAGUUUCAGAUUUGUUUUCGCCCAUCUUCUUCAUCAUUUGGGCAUAAACCAUUGCCCUGUGGUAGUGCUCCUUCAUUCUCAAAUUGGAGGUUUGCUCAUCCAACUUCUCAUUUUCAGCUUGAUCUGCCGGUAAACCGACAGCAGUUGAACUGGUUUUGGAUGUUACCUUCUGAGAGCUGGGAAUUGCAGCUAGAACGGCACAAAGCAAGCCCACAUAGUUCUUAUACCGAACUCGAGCCUCCUCAAGAGCUCCUCCGCUGAAAACAAAAAAGUCACCCACACGGAAAAUGGCGCGAGCAGCCCAUGCUUGGAGGUUGGAGAAGAGAUCCUAACCGAAAGCUCCACCCACAUAGUGGUUGGUGUUGGCGGCAAAGACGUCCUCCUCCGUGACGGAGUUGAGGUUGUGAAUGGAGGAUUGAAUCGUCGGCGACGACUGGGUCCUCGUGAGCUUUGCGUGGCUUUUCUAACCGUCCAUAUGAGAGAAAUUGUACUGGGGGUUAGCAGCCAACCCCGGAUUUGUAAAGUCUCUAUAUCCUUCCUCCAAAACGUGCAUUCACGGCUUCACUGAGAUUUCCUCCGUAUUCCAAUCCGGCACCAGCAUUAUCUAGGAAAAAUGCGACGUCCUGGUAUUGUUCUUCCUGUAUAGCUAUAUUGAGAUGAGAAAUGACUCUGCCAACUAUUGAGAAAUGAUUUCAUUACAUUAUAAUUAGUUACACUGAGGUAUUUAUAUAAACUAGAUUUACAUAGGUAAAGAGAAUAGUUACAGUGGUAACUAUUUGUAACUAUUCUAACAACUAACUAACUUGACUAACACUAAUGUUUUACAAUGGUAACUUGCUCUUCACACCCCCUCAAGCUGAACGGAGAAGGUUGAAGUGAAAGCUUGGAUCGAAGAUGAAGAAAACGUGGCCUUGGCAGAGAUUUGGUGUGAAUAUCCGCUAAUUGAUCCACACUGCAAACAAAUUUGACAGUAAGAAGCUUAGCCAAAACAAGCUCACGGAUGUAAAUGAUAAUCGAUUUCAACAUGCUUUGUGCGAGCAUGAAAAACCGGAUUUGAAGCCAAGGCAAUUGCAGAAACAUUGUCAAACCAAAUUUGUGGCAAGAAGGACAACUUGAAACCAAUAUCAGAGAAGAGUUGACAGAUCCAAGUGAUCUCAGCAGCGGUAUGUGCAAGGGAGCGGUACUCAGCUUCGGUAGAGGAUCGGGCAACUGUGUGCUGUUUCUUUGCACUCCAACUAACUAGACAAGGACCAAGAAAGAUGCAAAAGCCACCAGUGGAAUGCCUAUCCCACGAACAUCCUGCCCAGUCAGCAUCGGAGUAGGCGUUGAGAAGUAGGGGAGAUGGGGUUUUGGGAAACCAUAAACCAAAUCCAAGUGUCCCUUUUAGAUACCGAAGGAUGCGUUUCACGGCUUGAAAGUGAGGCUCCCGGGGAGAGUGCAUGAACUGACACACCAGAUUAACCGCAAAGGAUAAAUCAGGCCGGGUCCAUGUAAGAUAUUGGAGGGCGCCAACAAUAGAGCGAUAGUCCUCGGGAUUCGACAACAAGGAACCAGUGUGAUCAAGCUUGACAGAACUAAGGGGAGUGGCACAUGGCUUUGCCCCAUCCAUUUUGGUACGCUUGAGAAUAUCCAAUAUGUAUUUGGAUUGAUGAAUGAAGGCUCCUGAGGGGGAUUUCUGAAUUUCCAGACCUAGAAAGUAAUGAAGAUCGCCGAGAUCCUUGAUUGGAAAUUUAGAGCUCAACUGAGAAAUAAUGGUGUUGCAAACACUAGAAGAAGGUCCGGUCACUAUGAUAUCAUCGACAUACACAAGAACCAAAACCAAGGUAGGUUGAUGCAACACAAACAGACUAUGAUCAGAGUGUGAAGCUUGAAAUCCCAUGGAGAAAAGAGCAGAAUGAAGUUUUUCAUACCAAGCACGAGGGGCUUGCUUUAAGCCAUAUAAGGAUUUCUUCAAGUGACAGAUAUGAGUAGGAUGAUCCUGAUCAAUGAACCCAGGUGGUUGAGCCAUAUAUACAUUCUCUUUCAAAGAACCAUGUAGAAAAGCAUUGCUUACAUCCAGCUGGUGUAAAAACCAGUUUGAUUGGACGGCAAGGGUGAGAAUGAUGCGUAUAGUCACAGGUUUAGCAACCGGGCUAAAAGUAUCACCAUAAUCAAUGCCCUCUUGCUGAUUGUAACCUUUUGCAACGAGUCUAGCCUUGUAACGAUCCACAGAACCAUCUGGUUUCCUCUUAAUCCGGAAAACCCAUUUACAGCCAACCAAAUUAUGAGUGGAGGUAGAAGGAACAAGCUGCCAAGUGUCUGUACUUUGUAAAGCAUUGAAUUCAUCCUGCAUAGCAGCCCUCCACUGUGAAUGUUUGGAAGCCUGGAGAUAUGUAGUAGGUAUAAACUCACUGUCAAAAUGAGAAGGCAGAGGAUGUGUUGUGGCAGUAAGGGCCUUAGGUUUGUAUAUGCCUGACUUAGAGCGGGUUUGCAUUGGGUGAACAGAGGAAAUAUGAGGUACAGGAUGUGGUGCAGGGUGUAGAGAAGGAGAGGCUAGUAGAGGAGAAGAGGGAGGUGAGGGAGGUUGCAGAGGUGCAGGACAAGGAGUAGGAGAAUGAACGUGCUCAGGUUGAGUAACUUGCUCAGGUUGAGUAACUGGCGCAGGUUGAGGAGGGGAGGAAGAUAUGGGUGGUGGAGCACGGAAAGUGAAAGAAUGAGGAGAAUAAAGAUUGGGAAAGGUAAGGGAAAAAAGUGAGUAAGGUUCUGGGGUAUGGGGAGUGGAGGACUUUAGAAGGUGGGGAUCAUGAAAGGGAAAUGUAUGUUCAUCAAAAUGAACAUGUCUAGAGAGAUAAACCCGAUUAGUGAAGGGAUCUAGACAUCUAUACCCCUUGUGAGCUAAGCUGUAGCCAAUGAAAACACACAUCUUGCUCUUGGGAUCUAAUUUGGAAUUGGUGUAUGGUUUUAACCAAGGAAAGCAUUGACAUCCAAAUACCCGAAGAGACUUGUAAUCUGGAACUUUCUUGAAAAAUUGUUCCCAAGGGGAAGACUUGUUGACUGGAGGUAGGCGAUUGAUAAGAUAGACUGCAGUAAGAAAACCUUCAACCCAUAAUUGGUGAGGAACUUGUGAGGCAAUAAGGAGGGUUCGAGCAGUCUCAACAAUAUGUCUGUGUUUCCUUUUAGCACAACCGUUUUGCUGAGGAGUGUAUGGACAACUGAAUUGUUGCUGAAUGCCAUGGAAAGACAAAUGAUGCUUGAAGUUAGAACUUGUAAACUCACCCCCUGAGUCUGAUCGUAAAGUGCCAAUUUUGUAACCAGACAAAUUCUCAACAAGAGCUUGGAAUUGUACAAAACUGUGAAACACUUCCGAUUUAUGUUUGAGAGGAUACAGCCAAGUAUAUUUGGUAAAAUCAUCUACAAAUAUGACAUAAAAGCGGUAGCCACUAACAGAACAUACUGGAGCUGGCCCCCAAACAUCCGCAUGAACUAAUUCAAGAGACCUAGAAGUAGUACAGAGAGAUUCUUGAAAUGGUAACUUGGCACAUUUGCCUAAAACACAAUUGGAGCAGAAGAAUUGUUGAACAUUAUUAGAACCAGGCAGUAUAGACUUGGAUAACAGUGAUCGAAAAGUCUUGAACGUUGGAUGACCCAAACGUUGAUGCCAUACAUGAGAAGAGGUCCUUAUUGCAGAAUGAGCAUGAACCUUCGGUGCAGGUGAAGAAGAAGCAUAAAAUGGAUAGAGACCAUUGUUGACAGGAGCUCUAAAAAGCAUCCUCCCCGUAGUAAGAUCCUUGACAUGGAAGUCAAAAGGAUUGAGGGUUAAUGAACACCAAUUAUCACGCAAGAACAUAUUGGCAGAAAGAAGAUCAUGCUUCAAGUGGGGAACAUGUAACACAUUCUUUAAUUGAAAAUCUGCAGAAGGUGUUUUAAGUAAAGUAGAACCAGUAUGGAGAAUUGGCAAACCUUGGCCAUCUCCAAUGUAGACUUUAUCUGGACCAGUAUAGGGCUGUGGAUUCUGAAGAUGAUGAAUAUUAUUAGUCAUAUGUGAGCUUGCGCCGGAAUCCAGUAGCCAUGGUGGUGGAGAAGAAGUACUAGAAGAUGCAUACAUCGCAAGUUUGGCUGGCGAACACGGCCUUGAAAAGUUGGAUUCAUGCGGUGGGAACAGUCAAUGGCAAGAUGUCCAGUGUCCUCACAAAUUUGACACGGAAUGACUGCAGAAGUGAAAGAACGGAAGCCACGAUUUCCACCUCGAUUUCCACCACGAUUAGUUGAGGAAUUAUUAAACCGAUUUGAACGAUUACGGUUGUUGUAGGUCAUUUGAGAAGUGUUCCGCUGAAAAUUACCGCGAUUAUUGCCAGGGUAAUAAUUCUGAGAACCAUUAGACUGAGCAUUGUAGGCCUGAUGUGGUGGAGGUGUAGGAAGCAAAGGAGGAGCAUUGGAAGCUGCUGGAAUAGAGGUGAAUGCCUGAUACGGUUCAGAGGAACCCUGAGAUUGCUUGCGACGAGCAAGAGCCAUUUCUUUGCUGAGAAGAAAUCCAUGUAGAUCAUCAACAGUAGUAUCAGCAAGACGAAAUUGAAUUGAAUCCACGAAGGAAUCAUAGUCAUCAGGCAAGCCAUUAAGAAUGAGGUGAAGGAGAUCCGACUCCUCAACUAGGGCACCGGCAGCAGCGAGAGCAUCAGAAACUUCUUUGAUGCGUUGCAAAUAUUCAGAUAUUGUGGAAGUGCCUUUCGACAUCAAUUGCAAAUUCGAUCGCAGCUGAUGAAUGUGAGAACGAGAGACUCCACCGAAUCGUUUCUCAAGAUUUUGCCAAAGUUCACGGGAGGAGUGAACACCAACAGUAAAGGGAAUCAAAUCCUCAGAGAGAGUGGAAUUGAUCCAAAUGAGGAUGUUUUGAUCAUUUUCGUACCAGAUCUCGAAGGCUGGAUUCGGAAUCGAGGACAAAUUUCCAGAAAGAUCAGCAAGAAAUUGAGGCGGUGGCGGUUCAGAUCCAUCAACCAUGCCGGUGAGCUUGUAGCGGCGGAAGAUCGGUUCGAACAGAUAACGCCAAACAAGGUAAUUAUGACGCUUGAGUUUUGUUUGAAUCAUACUCCCAAUGUUUUGGAUCGUGAUGGAGUUGAUUGAAGCUUGAAAUGAGGAGUUAGGGUUCAUCGGAGAAGGAUUGAGAUGUGGAGGCAGCAAAGAAGAAGGAUCCGCGAUUGCCGGAGAAGGAGGAUGCGCAGCCACAGGAGAGGAAGAAUUCGAAGAAUUUGCCGCCAUUGAUGAACAAGAUCGAAGAUCUGCAGACGGAAGCUAUGGUGUUUGGUAGGUAAGAAAAUAAGCAAGAAAAUAGCAGAAAGAGGAUCGAAGUCGGUGGACUUAAGCGAGUGAUACCAUAUUGAGAAAUGAUUUCAUUACAUUAUAAUUAGUUACACUGAGGUAUUUAUAUAAACUAGAUUUACACAGGUAAAGAGAAUAGUUACAGUGGUAACUAUUUGUAACUAUUCUAACAACUAACUAACUUGACUAACACUAAUGUUUUACAAUGGUAACUUGCUCUUCACCAACGACGUCGUUUGUAGCUGUAGCAGCAAUUGCAACCUUGAGCCUCGCAACAUCCUCAAAGUCCUCUGCAGAUACAGCCCGACGCAACUGCAACUUGAGAAGGGAGACAAGGCGCUCUUGUUGUUCGACCUUUAAAAAAUGGCGGCGCCGGCGAUCCCAGUCCCAAUCAGGGUCGUGGGCUUGAAAUGGUGCGGAUUGGGCCUCUGCUUGUGGCUUAAAAUUGAGGUAGGAAUCGAAGUUUUUUAUGGUAGUUUUGAUGAGGUCCUGGAGCGCAGAGUCCCAUCUCCACUGAGUUGAGUCGGAGGAGGAAUAAGGGUUUUUCUGGCAUCGACAGAGGGACGAGUCGGGAAACCUCGAGGAGGAGGUGGUUUGGGAAUGGGAGGAAGGGUAGAAUGGUCUUUUGGCGACGGAGGAAGGGUAUGGUUUGGGGUUGGGGACGUUGAGCUUGUGAGGACUUGGGGUUGGAGCAGAUACAGAAGCCAUUGAUACAGCAGAGAGAGGAAGGAUAUGUGUUUUUCUUGUUUUUUGUGUGAUCAAAAUUUACAGCGUAGAUUGCCCUCAGAAUAAAAGAAGGCAGACACGGAGUAGGUUUCUUUUUUGUUUCUGGGUUUUUGUGAUUUUGCAGAUUCAUGGUGGAGGUGAAAAAAUGAAAGAGAACCGACAUAACUUUUCGUGUCGAUUCCCAAGACGCCAAAUGUUGAUGCACAAAACCGGAAGGGUCUUGGAACAACAUAAAUCCGACCAUGAAUCUGCAAGAAAGUAAAGAACACAAGAUGUAUCGUGGUUCACCCUAAUGUUUGGGCUACGUCCACACUGAUUAUUGUAUUUCUCUGAUAGAGAGAGCUCUGAAAUAUGAGAGUAUUGUGAGGGAGAGAGCAUCUGUAAUGUGAGAGGGGAUGUGAGAAGGUGAGGGGGCUUCAGGCCUAAGAGUUGGCCUCCCUUAAUGAGGAGAGUGAGGGGUCCUUUUAUAGAAUAAGGACUCCUCACUUAUUACAUAUUUGCCCAUUCCUUUAUUACAUAAUUACAUUUGAGUCCCCCAAGUAUGAGGUCUAAAUACAGAAGCCCUAAGUAUGGUACAAACAGGUUGCGAGGUAGAAGGAGAGGAAGGUGAGGUAUACGGACGAGCUGGAGAGGAAGGUGCAGACACUUCAGACUGAGGCAACCACCCUAUCAGCACAGGUCACUCUAUAAUAGGUAUAAAAUCUGUUAUUGAUUGUUUUUCCUUCUUGGUUAAUUGAAUAAAAUUGUCGUUUAUGAUAUUCAAUCAAUGGAAAAUGUGACUUUCACAUGCUCCAAGCCUCUGUCAAUUAUAGAGAUCUCAAUAUGUAUCUAAAAUUUGCUUAAGACACUGGUGGAAAAAUGUAUUUAACAUUUUACAUUCAUAUGCAUAGGCUCGACUUCUAAAAACGUAUCCUGCAAAGCUAUGCUUCACAAGUUUACAAUGCCUGUCGAGUGUAGCACAUACAUUUGUGUUGUAUAAUUGUAUUCGAUAAGGAUAAUACUAUCACUGCACCUUAUUCCUUGACACUUUGGGCCUUCUUGAGUCUUCGUUGGAGUAGUGCAAAUCAGUUUUCCAACUCAAUAUCAUGGUCUUACUUGGUUGGUAAUUUUUGGCAUAAUCCAUUUAAAAAAUUUAGUUGUUUUUGUUGUUGGUUAUGUUUAUUUGUCAAAGUAAUGAUUUUGGUUUCAUGGUCAGGGCUUUAUGAGUAUGAUCAUGAUGCGUCAAAAGCUAUGGAGCUGGAAGUGGCAAUUAGAAUUAAAGUGAUAAUACAUAGUAAGUGUUUGGUUUUUGUUUUUUUUUUCUUCUAAAUUUCUGCAGCAAAGUUUUUGAAUCUCUCAUUUUUCAGACACCAAAUUCCAUUUGGAAGGAGUAGGUUGAUUAAAUACCUUUUAUGCAUCAUUUGUUUUCAUUUGUUUGUUGGAUGUCAGCAUGUGGGACUCUUGAGUUUGAGUACCUUUGUCUGUUUCGAUAUGAUAAUGCGAUGUUAAUUUAGGUUAUAAUGAUGAAUCUUUGUAUUUAAGAUUUUUUUUGGCCUAAUCGGAUAAAUAGUUCCCGUGGUCAUAAGGUAUUCGGAAGGUAACCCCUGUGGUAAAAAAAUUCGGAUUUAAACCCAUGUGGUCUAAGUCUGUUAUGAUUUAUACCCAAAAUUAAAACUUCCGCUAUCCCUCUGUUAGUAAUAGUCUCAUAUGAGGAUAAGAUGGUCAUUUCAUCCCCCAUCCCUUCCAUAAUCACUCUCCAAUUUUAGAUUUGGUUUUUCAUUUUGGAUUUUAAUUUUUUUUCGUUUUGAUUUUAGAUUGAUGCUGCUCCUUUCUACCUUGUAGUUUAGGAACAAAGCCAGAGGAGAUGGAAAGGUUUCAUUAGGGUGGUAACCCAGCAAAACCAGUGGAGAUGGAAAGGUUUCGUUAGGGUGGUAACCUAGCAAAACCAGAGGAGCCCCACCAUAAUUUCACAAUACUAAUCUCUCUCUCCAUUUUAACAACAUAUCAACAAACAGACGACCCCCUCCUGAAAAGGGUCAGAUCGCGGUCGUCGAGCAGAUUGAGGUCUGCAACCCAACGUAUUACUUAAAUUGGGCGAAACGCCUGAUUUUGCUAUUCACUUCUCAUGAACGUUGAACGGAAGGGAUGAAUGACUAUUCAUUCUCAAAGAUUUAUAAUCACCAUUGAUAAACAUGGUUCCAAUCAAUAAGCACAACAAACUACCAAAAAACAUUCAAUCGUUUACGAAAUUCAACUUUCCUGACCCAAUUACAAAAGAGCAAAAAAUAAAAAUAAAAAUAAAAAUAAACAGUGGACUCCCACAUAUGAAAGUAUCAAAACACAAUGUAUCCAAAAUAAAAUAAGAGCACUAUCAGGUUCUCUUCUACCAUAGGUUCUGAUUUUUGUGGACAAAGCUCUUGCCAGGAGGUUUCCAUGGUGCAACAGUUUGUUUAGAAGUGGUUGGUGGAUGAAGAGGCCAUCCACUCGUAGGACUUGAGCUUCCAAAUCUACUUUGAGGCAUCUCCACUCUAGGAAUUGUGGUAAAUGUGGCACCCUUUGCCCCUUCAGUAAUGGGAUGAGGAAAUACUCCAGUCAUAGGAUUUGAACUUCCAACUCUACCUUGAGGCAUCUUCACUCUAGGAAUUGUGGUAAAUGUGGCACCUCUUACCCCUCUAGUAAUGGUUGGUUGACUGUUAUCUUGAACCUGUGAUAGGAACAUAAUGAAAUGAAAUUAUUCACUUAUCAUUGUGAAAAUUACAAACUAUAAGUCAAUUGAAUAUAAAUAAGAACUCACUUUUGUAGCUUCAUAGGGAUCACAAUACAAGGCUUGCUUGGGGUUGUUUCUCCUUGCUAUGAGUUUGGACUUUUUAGGCACUGGACCUCUAUCGAUUGAAUGUACAACAUCUCCAACAUCAACUUGAACAACAGUUGUAUGUUGAUUCAUUACUUGGUCUUCAUUUUCAGUAAUUGUAUGUUGAUUCAUUACUUGGUUUUCCUUUGAGUAGAUGAACCACUACUUUGUCUUUUUUUCUUGCCACCAGUUUCUGGUCUAGAAUAUGCCCAUCUCUUGUCAACAUAUACACCUUGUGGGGCAUCUCUAGGCUCAUUUUUACAAAACUUUUGGUUAUGCCCCCAACCCCAACACUUGUGGCAUUGUAUUGUCUUUCCCUUCCUACUCACAACCUGCUUAGAAUCACUAUAUUAUCAUUUACCUUUUUCUCCAUUUCAGGACCCUUUUUUCUUGCUUUUUUUGGUCUACCAGGUUGUUUUUUCACUAAUGGGGGUAGAAGGGGGUCCAUGUUGCACUUAGGCCACUUGUUACAUCCUUUCAAUGGAUGAAUCAUGGGUUCAUAAGCUUUCAGAUAGGUUGCCUUGUGGUACACCUCAUCCACAUAAUCCUCUGGAACCUGUCAAUUAUAGGCUUCAUCAUCAAUGCUCUUCAACUUCUCCAUUUCAGCUUCAAAGUCAACAUGGUUGGGGGCUCUUGCAACACUCCAUAACAAAUCUUUUAAUGUCUUACCCUUAUGAAUGGCUUUAAAUUUCCAUACAAAUGCCUCACACACCAUCUGUGGUCAGCUUCUGGCACAACCGUAGUAAAAGUGGUAUCCAAACCCUGCAGCAUUUACUAGAUACAUCAAUACAAAUUAAAUAAGCCACUAUGUUUGCAUAACUUAAAAGGAAACAUGGAGUUUACCUUUUGUUGAUCCGAUAUAAAUGUCUACCCAUGCUCAUGAACUGGUCCAAGAUCAUCAAUAAGAAUCUGUAGAAACCAGCACCAUGUAUCUUUAUUUUAAAUUUCAACAGCAGCAUAGGCUAUUGGAUACAUAUUGUCAUUGGCAUCAAUGCCAACAGCUGCUAGUAGUUGACUUGUAACCAUGUUGUAUAUUUCUUAAAUAAAUUGAAAUCAUGCUUUCAAUUUUUAAUCAUUCAAGGUUGAGAAAAAGAUCAUUCAAGGUUGAGAAAAAGAAAAAAUGUAUUUACCUUUAAAAGCUCCUUUAAGAUGGCAGCCAUCAACUCCAAUCACUGGCAUGCACCCAGCUUUAAAUCCCAUUUUGCAAGCAUCAAGGCAAACAUAAAGUCUCUGAAAGAAUGGAGGAUUUGCAUGCACUUUCAUAGUACUUCCAACAUUGGUUUGUAUAACUUCUUCACAAUAUUCCCAAACCUUACCAUAUUGCUCUACAAUUGACCCCCUUAUCAUUUCUUAGGCUUCGUGUCUUGCCCUGAAACACUGAUCUAAGGAUACCUCCAAUUCCAUCUCCCUCUUAAUUAUGGUUUGCAAAGUUUUUGCAUCUGUUCGUGGAUCAUCUCUAAACCUAUCAAUGUAUUUUUCAGCCAUGAGUUUGAAAGUGAAAUGUUUAUUUCUCCAUACUCGACUACAUGUAUGCUCGUCAACAAGUACGUUAAUUAAUCAAAUGGAAAUUUCAAAGGUAACUGACAAGCGAUGGAAUGUGGAAUCCAAAAAAGCAAUAAGAUUUGUUCCAUUGCUAUUAAACAACUAAUUGGCUUUUUGCCUUCUAGUUUGCUUUGUUUGUUUCCUUUUUGUUGCCUUCUUCCCUUUCAAAACCCUACACAUAAACCCCUAUAUAUACCACUAAGAAGGAGACCGACUGGAAAAAAGAAAAUAGAACCCAUGAUUCAUCCAACGAAAAACCAUCAACUCCAGCUUUUGAAGCAUAAUAAAGAGGAGACCUUCAAGCAUAAAACCGCACAUGGUGGUUACGAUUACGAACAAACGAUUUUCAAAAUAGAACAAUCACCUAAAGUUAUCAAGAUUGUAGCAAUACCUGGGUAUGUUGGUGCGAUGUCUCCCUCAAUUCUUCGCUUAGCCAUUGAUGGGGCUUUUCAAACAUGAACCAAACCUCUGGGUAUGUUCGUGCUUUAGAAUUGGGAACAAGUUUGAUCUUGAGGGGGUUUUGUAGCUAAGCUAUUGGCAUGCUACUAAUUAUGAAAUGACCAUCUUAUCCUCAUAUGAGACUAUUACUAACGGAGGGAUAACAGAAGUUUUAAUUUUGGGUAUAAAUCCUAACAGACUUAGACCACAAGGGUUUAAAUCCGAAUUUUUUUAUCACAGGGGUUACCUUCCGAAUACUUUAUGACUACGGGAACUAUUUAUCCGAUUAGGCCAUUUUUUUUUAUGACAGAUAUGUGAGGCAUUAGCCAUGAUUUCAUCUGGGCAAUUAGGAAAUAUCAAAAGUGUCCUCUCUGCUAAGGAUAACACACUCCUGUGGGAACUAGACAUCUUAAUAUUUUGCAAUCUGAUUACAAAUUAUACACCAAAAGUACAUACCGCUAUCAAUUAUAUGAUAUUUUUAGAUUGUUAGUGGCUUUGUUCUAUUUUAUAUAUUGACAUACAACAUUAAAAUCCCGAUCAUGGUCCACUAAAAAGUAUUAAACGUGUUAUAAGUAGAAACGCAUUCUAACAUGUAUUUCUUUUUACAGUGAAAUUAUCUACAGAAACUCAAAGGUGGUUACAGUGGAGACCAAUAUUCAGAACACAGUGGACAAGUCUUUACAAGCUAAUCCUACCGGUUAUAGAAACGACAUCCUUUGUCUCUCUGCUUACUUGCUUUUUAACAUGGAGAAAAAUUAUUCUCUACUAACACCCGGUGGAAAGCCACUGUUCAUUAACAGUGUCCACCCGAUUUUGCCCCUCAUUCUCUUCAUGGUUUUUUAGUUUUAGUGGGGUUGUAUGGUGAAUUGGCCGUUUUGCCCCUCUCUCUUUUUCUUCCGUGCGUGCCCUCAGUUCCACACACUUCCAAAUCCCUAAGGGUGCGUUUGUUGCGCCGGACUGUCUCGGACUGGACUAGCUGCCGGGACUAAGCUGGACUGGUUUAGACUGGACUAAGCUGGACUAACUUAGUGAAGCGUUUGGUGCAGUCUCGGACUAAGAAGCAGGAUAAGAAAAACAGUACUGUUCACCAGAUUUGUGUUUGCUUAGACUAGGACUACAAAUUUUUGUCAUUGUGUAAUAGAGUAAUGCUACAAAUCUCAUGAUAUGGGUUAAUUGGAGCAUAUUUUUGCCAUGUAUAUUAUGAAUCUUAAAAAAAAUUGACAAUUGUUUUGUUUCUAUUACCUGCUAAUAGAAUUGGGUUUAAUUUGCAAAUGUAGCUUGAUUUAAACUCUAUCACCCAACAGAAGAAAAAUAAUAGUGGCCAAUACAUGCAACUUCAACAAAUACAAGUACAUAAGAUCUCCAUAAUUUAGAAAAUCCUAGUUAACAUUAGUUAACAUUAGCCAAAAUAGAUCUCCAUAAUUUACAAAAUGGCUAGUAAACAUAAGCCAAAAAUACUAGUGCAAAGCUAAGUUAUAAGUCAUAACAUAAGACUGUAUGAUUAAUAAAAUACAUCCAUGUUAACGUUAAUAAAAUACAUCCAUGUUAACAUUAGCCAAAAUCCUCAUCCGCUUGCGUUGUCUCUUAAAAGUCUUUGGACGAACACUUUCUUGAGUUCCGGUUUGAUUGCCCUGAACACUCCCACAUUUUUUGGUUUAUCCAAAAUAAGAGACAAUGCAUCAAUUUGAUCCAUAGGAGAGAGACCCAUUGCUUCAAGUUCAUUAGCUAUGUCAGUAUGAUCUGCAGUACCUUGAACUAAAGCUUCAGUUACCAUUUGCAUCCUCUUCCCACUUUCAACAUAAAAAAUCUUUCAGUCCACUGAUAAUUGCCUCGGUUCCAUCACUUGAACUUCCCACAGCUCUUUUCCUCUUUCUUUGGCUAUUUUCAGAUGGGGUGCUUUGUUGGCUUUGUUGGUUCAUUGAAGAAACAAAAUUAUCACCUCCAAUAUCACUUUCACCAACAUGAUCAUGACUUUGUUCCUCCACCAUUUGAGCAGGGGUUUCGGCUACAUUACCCGUAGCCCGAUCUUUUCCAAAUAUAUAUGCAAAUCUAUCAAACAGUGGAAAAGGUUUGCUUCUCCAUCCAUCGGCUUCUUUAUUUCUCUAAGAUUAUAUCAACAUAGCAAAACUAAAAUUUAGCAUGCGUAACAAAUAUAGGAGCAAGAAUAUAUAACUAAUGCAUAAAUAAAAUAGGAUAUGAACCUGCACAUAAGUUUGCCAUGCGUCAUCACUGUCAACUUCAACGCACUUUUUGACAUCAUUCCAUGCAAAUCCACUUGUGUUUAUCAUGUCAACGACCAUACUAUAUGUUUUUUUUCCAUUUCUUCAACUUGGACUCAAUAUGUGGAUUUGCCUUUAUAUUUGAAUGAGGACAUAAAACAUUGACAGCUUUUGCUAUUUCAACCAAAGUACCUUGUUUGAAAGCACCGGUGUCACACCGUUGCUUCCGAGCAACAAAAUCCUCAAGAACUCCUAGUAAUACUUCUUCCUCAAAUGCUUCCCAUUUACGCCUUCUUCCUUUUGGCUCUUGAGUAGCAUUCAAAAUAUUUUCGUUAUCCAUACCUAAACAAAAAAUAUUUUAAUGAAGGAAAAUACCAUACAAAUAAUCAAUUUGCAUAAUAUCCAAUCAACUUGCAUAAUAUCCAAUCAACUUGCAUAAUAUCCAAUUAAUUUGCAUACCAUCCAAUCAUUGUGCUAAUAUCUAACAAAUGCAUGAUAAAAAGGAAUACUAAAAUAAAAUGUUAUCAUUAAAACAUAUAGCUAGUUCGGUUGCUGGUUCCUAAUUGCUCUCCACUCAUUAUACAUUUCCUCAGCCAUAUCAUUCCUCAUUGCAGUCCACUGGUCCGAUGAUUGAACACUACCAACAUAUUCACCUUCUUCUGUAUUUUGUCCAUCUUCUAUUAUUGGCAAAUUCUCCAUUGGAUCUACUAACAUCUCUUCCCUAAUAAGAUUGUGUAGUAGGCAACAAGCGGUAAUUAUUCGACCUUGUGUCCUUAUCGGAUAGAAAGAUGGACUCCUUAGUAUCGACCACCUUCCUUUUAGCAAGCCAAAACAGCGUUCAAUUACAUUCCUUGCCUUAGAAUGCUUCAUGUUAAAAUAUUCUUCCUUAUUAGAAGGUGUUCGUCCCUCCCAUUCAGAUAAAUGAUAAGGUAUUCCUCUAUAGGGUGCAAGGAAUCCUUCACCAUUUGUAUAACCACCAUCUACAAGGUAAUAACAACCUAAUGAAAAAAAAAAACAGACCUUAUUAGUGUUUUGUAGUUGACAAACAGAACUAAACCUAACUUAGAAAGUUGAGACUAAGUAAUAAUCUUACCCGCUGGUACCUUAAAACCAUUAGGCCUACUAAUUGCAUCAUGUAGCACUCUAGAGUCUGAUGCGGAACCCUCCCACCCCGGAAACACAUAUAUGAACUGCAUAUCUCCUGAACACACACCUAAACACAUUAGUUGCGACUCGACCCUUUCUUGUUCGGUAUCUUGGUUUGUCAAUUUCAGGUACAUGCACAUCAAUGUGUGUUCCAUCCAAUGCUCCCAAGCAAUUCUUAAAAAUAAAAAAUAAAAAACUUUUUGUUAAUUUAUACAAAGGGAAUGAAGAGUUAAAGCUUAAGGAAAAUGAAAAAUAUUUCUCAUCAUACCUUAAAACAUCGCCACCUAGCAUCUGUAGAAUCAAUAGGCACAGGCUGUGGGACUUUUAGUAGGAAACCUUGUAAUCGCAAAAUUCCUUGCAAUACGCUAUUGAAAUACCUACUUAUAGUCUCUCCCGACCUAUAAAAUCUACCGCCAACACUACGAUUCUUAGUAUGAUGUGCUAAUAUUUGUAAAGUCAUACACACCUGUUCCUCUACAGACACCAAACCAUCAGUUUUUACCCUCCCAUCUUGACGAAGUAAGUCGCAUAAUAUGCCAAAAGUCCUUCUAUCCAUUCUCAAUUCGUUAACACAUUCAGUAUCAGUAUUCCCUAUUAUACCAUUCAGAUAACACAAACUAAUCUCUCGUCUAAUAAGUGAACGGUUAGUCAAUGUGGGUCGUUCAACAUGUCUCUGUUUGCCACGUAGCAUCAUCACCACAAGAAUCGUACAAAUACAAAUUGUUUCCAAAUAAGACAUCUCUAACAAUAAGAUCAAUAAAAGCUUCCUUCGAUCCAUAUCUAUCCAAACAAAAAAAAAACAAAAAAAAACAAAUUAACUAAAUCAUUAACCCGAGGCAACAAAUAUACAUAUGGCGUUGAAAAAAAAAAAGUUUUCAUUAACCCGAGGCAUCAUAUUCAAAAUGUUCUACUCUUAUACAUCUAUAAACAUGUGUCUAAGAACACUAGUAUGAGGAUUGCUAUCAUUGCUAGGCAUUGCAUGUGAAAAGGGAAAUUAAAGGACACCUGUAAUGCAGUAGCCUUAGCCUUAGCCUUCCGUUUAUGCUCCUCUUCUCUGCAACCAACAACCACAACAAAUUGCAAUUCAGCAUCAACCCCACACAAUACAAAAACAUUCACAUUGUAUACACAGUACAUACAUACACACUGCAAACACAGUACAUACAUACACACACUACAUACACUGCAUACACUACACACACUACAUACACUACACACAUACACUGCAUACACUACACACACACCCUGCAAGUACACACACAGUGCAUACAUACAUACACACACUGCAUACACCCUGCAUACACCCCUGCAUACAUACACACUGCAUACACAGUACACAAACACACACACACACUACAUACACUACACUUACACACACUGCAUACACUACACACACACCCUGCAUACACACUGCACACACACACACUCACACUCACACACUGCACACACACACACACUGCAUACAUACUGCAUACACACACACACACUGCAUAUAUACACACACACUGCAUACAUACACACACACUCACACUUACACACACUGCAUACAUACUGCAUACAUACACAUACACUGCAUACAUACUACAUACAUACACACACACACUGCAUACAUACACACACACUCACACUUACACACACACUGCACACACACACACUCACACUCACACACUGCAUAUAUACACACACACACACUGCGCGCACACACACACACUGCACACACUGCAUAGACACACACACACUGCACACACUGCAUAGACACACACACACUGCAUACACACUCACACACAAACUGCACACACACACACAAACUGCAUACUCACUCACACACACACUAUACACACACACACACACUGCAUACACACACACACACUCACACUCACACACUAAACACAGUCACACACACACACACACUGGACACACACAUACACACACUGCAUAUAUACACACACACACAAACUGCACACACACACUGCAUACACACACAAAUUGCACACACACACACAAACUGCACACACACACACUGCAUACACACACAAACUGCACACACACACAAACUGCACACACACACACACUACAUACACACACACACACUGCACACACACUCACACUCACACACACUCACACUCACACACUGAACACAGUGACACACACACACACACGGGGACAGAGUGCAACAAACUCUUACCCUCACACACACACUCUGUUUUUAUACUCACACACACACACUGCAUACAUACUUGCAUACACACACACUGCACACACACACACACACACUGCACACACACACACACGCACACACACACACACACACUGCAUACAUACUGCAUACAUACACACACACACACACUGCGCACACACACACUGCACACACUGCACACACACACACACACACACUGCACACACUGCAUACACACUCACACACACACACUGCACACACACACAACUGCAUACACACUCACACACACACUGCACACACACACACACACACACUGCACACACACACACACACUGCACACACACACUCACACACACACACACACUCACACUCACACUUACACUCACACUCACACACAAACACACACACACACACACUGCACACUUACACUCACACUCACACUCACACUCACUCACACUUACACACACACUGCAUACAUACUGCAUACAUACACACAUGCACAUACUACAUACACACACACACACACACAAACUGCACACACACACUGCAUACACACUGAACACACACACACACACACACACACUGGACACACACAUACACACACACACAAACUGCACACACACACACUGCACACACACAAUUGCACACACACACAACUGCACACACACACACUGCAUACACACACAAACUGCACACACACACAAACUGCACACACACACACACUACAUACACACACACACUGCACACACACUCACACUCACACACACUCACACUCACACACUGAACACAGUGACACACACACACACACACGGGGACAGAGUGCAACAAACUCUUACCCUCACACACACACUCUGUUUUAUACUCACACACACACACACUGCAUACAUACUUGCAUACACACACACUGCACACACACACACACACACUGCACACACACACACACACACACACACACACACUGCAUACAUACUGCAUACAUACACACACACACACACACUGCACACACUGCAUAGACACACACACACUGCACACACUGCAUACACACUCACACACACACUGCACACACACACACAAACUGCAUACACACUCACACACACACUGCACACACACACACACACACUGCACACACACACACACGCACACACUCGCACACUCACACACACUCACACUCACACUUACACUCACACUCACACACAAACACACACACACACUGCACACUUACACUCACACUCACACUCACACUCACACUCACACUUACACACACACACACAUACAUACUGCAUACAUACACACACACACUGUAUACAUACUACAUACAUACACACACACACACAAACUGCACACACACACUGCAUACACACUGAACACAGUCACACACACACACACACACUGGACACACACAUACACACACACACAAACUGCACACACACACUGCAUACACACACAAAUUGCACACACACACAAACUGCACACACACACACUGCAUACACACACAAACUGCACACACACACAAACUGCACACACACACACUACAUACACACACACUGCACACACACACUCACACUCACACACACUCACACUCACACACUGCAUACACACUCACACACACACACUGCACACACACACACACACAAACUGCAUACACACACACACACUGCACACACACACACACACUGCAUACAUACACACACUGCACACACACUCACACUCACACACACUCACACUCACACUUACACUCACACUCACACACAAACGCACACACACACAAACACACACACACACACACAAACACUUACACUCACACUCACACUCACACACACAUUUUACACACACAACUCACACACACAUUUUACACACACAACUCACACACAUACACACAAAAACAGAUUACACACACACACACGGACAUAUUACACACACAUUUUACACACACAACUCACACACACACUGCAAAUAACACAGGUUACACACACACACACGGAUAGAUUACACACACAUUUUACACACACAACUCACACACACACAGAUAUUACACAGGUUACACAGAUUACAUACACACACACACACACACAAACACACAGACAAAUUUUUUUUCAGUACACACAAACACACACACAGAGAGCACACACCUGAGACUAAUCUCAAUUUCAUCUUAUGAAAACCCCAAAUUCUAAUCUCAAUUUCACCUAAAUAACAAAACCCUAAUUUGUUCAAUUGCAAAUCCACUUGUAUAUUAUGAAUUUCUCAAACCCAAAACAACAAAAUCAAAUAAACCUCAGUUAAUAUCACAAACAAAUCCACACAAAUCGACGAAAAAAAAUCCAAGAUUCGAAGCUUACCGACUAGAGGCAGAUGACAGCGACCAGAUGCAAGGACGACGAUGAGCGUGAGGACGAUGUGGGAGCACGGCAAGGACGACGACGAGGGCAGACGCAGAGAUGAGGACGAUGUGGGAUGUGAGAUGUGGGAAGACGCGGUUUCUCUGGCUUACGAGUCCGCCCGAAUUUGGGAUCCCUCGUGAAGAACGGCUAAGCCCCCCCUUAGUCCUAGCGAAUCCCACCUAAGCUCAUUAAAGCUAAUCCCGGUACCCACCAAACACUGGACUAUAGUCUAGUCCAGUCCAGUCCCAGCGAAUCCUGUCAAACAAACGUGCCCUAAAUUCGCAGGCUUUCCCCCUUCUUUCUCCAACACGGUUUCUGCUAUUGCCCCUGCGUCUUCUACGACUCCGAUCUGCAUAUUUGCUUUGCGUGGUAAGAAUUUUGUUCUCGAUUUGAAACUGGUUGUUUACCAAGAAAUCUCUCUCUUGCGUUUUUCUCCUGAGGUUUAUGCUCAGAUCACUUUGCAUCCAGAAGCAGAUGUGAGAAACAUGUUUUCUUUUUUGUCUUAUUUAAUGUUUUGUUCCAACUUCCUCUGUUUGGUGGCUUAGAAGGUGGCUUUUCAAAUCAGUUGGGAUAUUAUCUAAAAUACGAAUAGGGGAAAUUUCACAUUUUCUCAACCUUUUGCACAAUUUUCGUAGUUAAUGAGGCUUAGAUUUUGAUAUAAUAUUUGUUGAAAACGAUAACCGAAUGAAAAAGAUGUGAAGAUUUGAAGUUAGGGAAGCCAAAUGGAGAAGAGAAAAAAAAUCAAGAACAGCAGCAAAGCUGCUGGUUCAGUUUUAUUUGUGAUGUAUCUCGAAUGUUGUUUGUUGUUCCUUUAUUUUUUUGGUAUUCUUUUAAAAGCUACAGUGUUUGUUAACAACUGUUUCCAUUUCUACAUUCGCUAAACCCUCUUUGGAAAUUAUUUAAAAUGAUUUCUGGUACAUGCAAUACAUGUUACAAUUGAAUUAUUGUGACGAGUGGUCUGCAGAAAAAGGGAAAAGAAAGGAUGAAACUGGAGGAUUGUGGGGACUGCACUGAGCAAGUGCUUGGACAAAUUUUUUUAAUUGAAUUGUAAAUUUUGUUUCAGUAUUAGACUUUGUAUGAAUAUGAAUUUGAAUAAUCAUUUUUCAGUUUUUAAAUAAAUGAGUCUCAGUAAUUUGUGUUAGUUUUUAUCCGAACAACAUGUGCACUUACCUGUCUGUGUUGGUUAACUAAAUUGAUGCAUAUCUUGCCAGUUAGCAUUAUGUAUUUGAAGGAGUUUUUAAAAAUAAAUCCCUUAUUAAACACGUUUAAACAAUUGGUCUUUGGUUCUAUAUGUUUGAUAAAAAUUGGGUGGAAGGAGUAACCAGUUUGAUUGUAGUGUGGUAUCACCAUUUUGUUAGAUGCUUAAAUGAAUUGGGUUAGAACUUACCAUGUGGUUUUUUAUCAAUAGCAGCAUUUGGACACAAAGAUGUGUGAAAUGCUAAGCUAUUUACAUGGAAAAAAAAAACAUUGGGAAAUCAUGCUGUGUUAAGCUAUUUACACAACAAAAAAUAUUGGAGAACAUUGUUUAUUUAGAUUGAUGAGGGUGGUAGAAGUUGUUCAGCAGAAUAGCAAAAGCUUUCUUCCAGUUGUAUCUGUUGUCAAGAAGGCAGCCUAAGCAACAAAAAAAGAAAAGAAAAUAUUGUAACACGUAGUAAGCCGUUGAGAAGAAUUAAGUACCAGAGUUUACUAUUUUUUUUUUAAUUUUAUUCAUUUGAGGUUUGAUUUUAGGAUUAUGUGUUUUCUGUUUAGUGUGAUUCAAUACGGGUUUUUUGGUCAAAUGGGACAUGGAAAUUCAAAUGCUGUUUGUUAUUUCUUUAUUUUUUUAGUAUUCUUUUGAAGAUCGGCACGUGUGCUGUUACGCUUGUCUCCACAUGCUUCCUUGUAUCAUUCUCACUUGCCCUAUCUGUUCCAAGGAAGCAUGUGGAGACAAGCGUAACAGGACACGUGCCGAUACAUCCACUACUCUGUCAAAAGCAAAAGUAUCCCAUAUCAGCAGGGUCGAACGUACUCUAGAUUUGAUGGACUUGUUUUGACCCUCAAAUUCUUCAGUUGGCCUUAUACUCUGGAGGAAACCAGAAAACCCUCCAGCCCAGUUCAAGAAUAAGUCUGUGGAAAGUUACUUCUUCAAAAACAAAAGUAUCCCAUAUCAUCUCUUCUCAUUUUUCUUCUCUUUAUCCUUCAUGCUGCCUGCAAGAUAGGGAGAAUGUGAACAAUCAGCCGGAGCUCUGAUUGCUUACCUUGUCUGUCACCUCUUUCAGCAAAUCCCCUAGCUCAGCGACUUGAGGGACUCCUACUACAUGGUUUGUAUCGCGCUUGACCAAGCCUGAAACUACAAGUAAGCUUCAAGUGACAUUGAUACAUUACCUUGUGCAUCUCCACCAGUUACAGAUACCACCCCUGGAUGGAGGAAGAGUACUUCCAGAGAAGAUGCCACAUCUACCUAUGAGACAGAUAAGGAAAGUCAAGACGAUACCACACUCCGGUACUUAGAAGUUUCGUGGUUACGAGAUCAUUCUCCCACAAUAUUUCCUAAUGUCAUUUGUACUAAAUCAUUCACUUGUACUCACUAAAGGAGAACUUGAACUUAUGUACUUGUGUAAACCCUUUACAAUUAAUGAGAACUCCUCUAUUCCGUGGACGUAGCCAAUCUGGGUGAACCACGUACAUCUUGUGUUUGCUUUCCUAUCUCUAUCCAUUUAUAUACUUAUCCACACUAAUGACCGGAGCAAUCUAGCGAAGAUCACAAAAAGUGACCGUUUUCGCUACCUAGGAUCUAUCUUGCAAGAGAACGGAGAAUUAGAUGGGGAUCUCAACCAUAGAAUACAAGCUGGAUGGAUGAAGUGUAAGAGUGCAUCCAGCGUGUUGUGUGACCGUCGUAGGCCACUGAAGCUCAAGGGAAAAUUUUAUAGGACGGCAAUAAGGCCAGCGAUGUUGUAUGGUACAGAAUGUUGGGCGGUGAAGCAUCAACACGUACACAAAAUGGGUGUAGCGGAGAUGAGGAUGCUUCGUGGGAUGUAUGGGCACACGAGAAAGGAUAAGAUUGGGAAUGCGGAUAUCCGAGGUAAAGUAGGAGUAGCCAAAAUUGAAGGAAAUAUGAGAGAAAAUCGGUUCCGGUGGUUUGGACAUGUGCAAAGAAGGCCUACUGACGCUCCGGUUCGAAAAUGUGACUACGGGACAGAGGUCCAGGGCCGAAGGGAUAGAGGAAGACCUAGGAAAACUUUGGAAGAGACCCUAAGAAAAGACUUGAGUACUUGGAUCUAACGGAGGACAUGACACAAAACCGAGCGCAAUGGCGUUCUAGGAUUCAUAUAGCCAACCCCAUUUAGUGGGAAAAGGCUUUGUUGUUGUUGUUGUUGUUGUUGUUUGUUUUGAAGAUCUGCAUAUCGAUUGUUGCUUCUGUUUCUUAUAUAAACACAAUGUGUUUUGCGAUCACAACUUUUGUGAUCAGAAGUGUUUAAGUUCAUCCAAUUAAUUGUACAAUGGCUUUGAUGUCAGCUAAAACUGAAUGUAAAUGAAAACCAAGUUGCUGAUCUUACCAGCCCAGUUCACCCAUCUCUUUGCUUAUUUAAAUUAUUUGAAGAUGCCUAUGUUAAUUGGUGAUUUUGAAGUGAUUACCUUUCUUUAUACAAAUUCUCUUCACAAAGAAAUCUGGUUUGGCAGAUAAUAGAUAAAGCUUUUAAUGCAUUCAUUUAAUGUUAUUGCAGAUCCGCUACAUUCUUCAAGAAGUUCGGUUUACAGAACCGGAGCCGUUUAAGCAAAGGUGUCCCAGUUUAUAGCUGAGGUAUUUUCAUGUAUUUUAAUUCGAACGGUAACAUUGUGUGUUCAAAAGGAUCCCCUCUAAUUUUCAGAGAUUAAUAUUAUUCAGUAUGCUCAUCCAAUCACUACUCCAUUGGGCAAUACGCAAAACAAAAUAUGAAAAGCAAACUAACCAAACAGGCAAAAAAUAAAAAUAAAAUUCUAAAAUGUUCUCAAAUUUGAUUUUAAAGCCAGCAUCUCCCCCAUAUGCAGCUAACCCAUUUAGGAAAAACAAUAAAGAAGGCCAUUGGGACUCAAAAGUUGUUUUCAGUUUAGCAUGAUUAUCACUUAUAUAAACAUAUAAGGAAAGCAAAUCUCAAAGAGUCAGGUUUUUGCUCCAAUGUUAACAAUGUUUGUUUCAUUUGUAGUUUUUUGUAGUCUUUAUAAGCAUUUUUUAGUUUUGAUGUAAAAAUAAUAUUUUUUACUCUCUCCUCUCCCUCUCUUUCUCUUUCGUGUUUUUGUGGACUUUGGGUUUUAUUUCUUUUUUGGGUUUUGAGUGUUUUGAAUUUUUCUUCUGAUAAAGUAUUGGUUUUGCAGUAAAAGCGGCAAUCCUCUUCUCCCAGCUUCACUUCCACGUUCUCACUAUUCAUACCCAUCUUGCCCAUUUCUUUCUAAAUUUCUCCUUGCACCCACUGGAAAAAAACAGAGUUUUGUUUUUGUUUCCUCAAAAUUUAGAUUAGACAGCAAUAUUCUGAAUGCUUUGCUUAUCUAUGUUCUUUGCAGGAAGCUCAAAGGAUGAUAAACAAGAAAAGGAAAUCACAGAUUGCAAAUUAGAUGGACAAAAAAGGCAAUAGAAAUUCAUAGGGUCCCAAAUCCGUGACAUAAAAGGUAUGAAAUUGUUAAUUGAUAAUUGAACAUAAAUGUAGAACUGAUUGCUACAAAUAAGUAUGGUUACUUUUGUAUCACAUUCUUAAUUAAGAUGGUUAUGCAGUCCUUUUGUAAUUUUGUGUAUCUAUUAGCUCUGUAAUGACUUACAAGUUACACACACCUCAAAAUUUUCAUUUUCUUUCAAACAAUCUUGAUCCGCAAUAUGUGCAGGAUUGCAAUGAAAUAAUUGUGAGCAACAUGUAUAAUGGGAAGGAUUUACAAAGGUUUCAACUAUUGAACUUGCUUAUGCUCUUAUUUGAGCGACUGUAAAAAAGAUUUAGUAGGACAAACUGGAAUUGGCUUAAAUCAAUUUAUCAUUGAUAAUUUGAUUCUGUUAUUCGUAGACCAUUCUUCCGAAUCUCUGAGUUCGAAGCAGAUCAAUUUUUUCAUUUUUAUGUUUAAUUUUAGGAAGAAAUGAAAAUGAUUUUUGCCUUUUUUGAGUGUUUUGUUAGUACUAGCUUGCUGCAUAUGCUAUUCUCUGGGUGUAAAUAUAAUUAUCUAAGUAAGUGCACUUAUUUUUGAACUCUUUAACUGAUUUGUGGUUGCAAUAGGAUUUUUUUUUUCGGAUUUUUCCCAGUCUUUUUAACAGUAUUAGGUUUCUGUCCUGCAUGUCACCAGGCUUAUUCUUUUUUCAAUUCACAUUAAUCACGACUUUAUAGUUGAUUCGAUUUCAUUUUGGCUGCUGUAAAUGGGUUUUCAUCAGCAUGUCUGACAUGAUAAAAUCAUGUCUUUUGGAUUAAUUCAAACAAUGUAAACAUUUCAUUUGUAUUCUUGAUCUUUGUUAAUAUUAUAGUUACAUGUCUAACGAAAAGGAUUUCUUUUAAUGAAUAAUAUGUGUCAUUACCUAAAAUGACUUACCUUUGCUCAGAGUUUGCUAUUUAACAUGUUAUGUUCCUAGGUAACAUGCAUCUGAAACUCUUUGUGCAGAAGAAGAUAUCUCAUUACAACCACCUCAAUCUAACAAAACUUUUAUCACUCUUAAAACAUUAUCUGAACUCUCAUCUCAAGUAAGUCCUCAGUUUCCAUAUACUUUUUAUUUCUUAACAUCUACGUGGUUUUCAUAGUUUUUAACCAUUAAAUCACGUAACUUUAUAUUUACAAUUAUAUUCUUUCUAAUUGUUUGUAUAGAUUUCUUUUUUGCUCCCUACAAGAUAAUGUCAUGGCGUGGUUUAGUGGUGUUGAAUAUAAUUGGAGAAACUGAUUCUUUAAUCUACUCAUGCUGUAGGAUUUCAAAGUUGAAGCCCACUUACUUUCAAUCUUUUCGAACAAAUUCACUUUGCAAAGUAACAAAACAAUGAUAUUCCUACAACAACAACAACAACAACAACAACAAAGCUUUUUCCCACUAAGUGGGGUCGGCUAUAUGAAUCCUAGAACGCCAUUGCGCUCGGUUUUGUGUCAUGUCCUCCGUUAGAUCCAAGUAAUCAAGUCUUUUCUUAGGGUCUCUUCCAAAGUUUUCCUAGGUCUUCCUCUACCCCUUCGGCCCUGAACCUCUGUCCCGUAGUCACAUUUUCGAACCGGAGCGUCAGUAGGCCUUCUUUGCACAUGUCCAAACCACCGGAACCGAUUUUCUCUCAUAUUUCCUUCAAUUUUGGCUACUCCUACUUUACCUCGGAUAUCCUCAUUCCCAAUCUUAUCUUUUCUCGUGUGCCCAUACAUCCCACGAAGCAUCCUCAUCUCCGCUACACCCAUUUUGUGUACGUGUUGAUGCUUCACCGCCCAACAUUCUGUGCCAUACAACAUCGCUGGCCUUAUUGCCGUCCUAUAAAAUUUUCCCUUGAGCUUCAGUGGCCUACGACGGUCACACAACACGCCGGAUGCACUCUUACACUUCAUCCAUUCAGCUUGUAUUCUAUGGUUGAGAUCUCCAUCUAAUUCUCCGUUCUCUUGCAAGAUAGAUCCUAGGUAGCGAAAACGGUUACUUUUUGUGAUCUUUGCUAGAUUGCUCCGGUCAUUAGUGUGGAUAAGUAUAUAAAUGGAUAGAGAUAGGAAAGCAAACACAAGAUGUACGUGGUUCACCCAGAUUGGCUACGUCCACGGAAUAGAUGAGUUCUCAUUAAUUGUGAAGGGUUUACACAAGUACAUAGGUUCAAGCUCUCCUUUAGUGAGUACAAGUGAAUGAUUUAGUACAAAUGACAUUAGGAAAUAUUGUGGGAGAGUGAUCUCGUAACCACUAAACUUCUAAGUACCGGAGUGUGGUAUCGUCUUGACUUGCCUUAUCUGUCUCAUAGGUAGAUGUGGCAUCUUCUCUGGAAGUACUCUUUCUCCAUCCAGGGGUGGUAUCUGUAACUGGUGGAGAUGCACAAGGUAAUGUAUCAAUUUCACUUGAAGCUUACUUGUAGUUUCAGACUUGGUCAAGCGCGAUACAAACCAUGUAGUAGGAGUCCCCCAAGUCGCCGGGCUAGGGGAUCUGCUGAAAGAGGUGACAGACAAGGUAAGCAAUCAGAGUUCCGGCUGAUUGUUCACAUUCUCCCUAUCUUGCAGGCAGCAUGAAGGAUAAAGAGAAGAAAAAUGAGAAGAGAUGAUAUGGGAUACUUUUGCUUUUGAAGAAGUAACUUUCCACAUGCUUAUUCUUGAAUCGGGCUGGAGGGUUUUCUGGUUUCCUCCAGAGUAUAAGGCCGACUGAAGAAUUUGAGGGUCAAAACAAGUCCAUCAAAUCUAGAGUACGUUCGACCCUGCUGAUAUGGGAUACUUUUGCUUUUGACAGAGUAGUGGAUGUAUCGGCACGUGUGCUGUUACGCUUGUCUCCACAUGCUUCCUUGUAUCCUUCUCACUUGCCCUAUCUGUUCCUCAGGCAGAUGCGGUAUCUUCCCUGGAAGCAUAAGAUGUUGAAGAUGAGUACUCGAGAGCAAUGCCAGGUAAGUAAUCAGGUAAGGGGUUCCAGGCAGUCAGUUCCUGGCUGGAAGCUUGAUUCCAAGUGCUGACUGAUUGCUCUCUUUCUUCUUGUCUUGCAGGUAAGAACAAGGCCAAAGGAAAAGACAAGGAAAAAGUAUGAUAUGGGAUACUCUUGCUUUUAACCCUGAUGAUAUGAGAUAUUCUUGCUCUAGUAUAGCUUGUUUAUAGAGGUAUUAUCGGGAGGGAAAGAAAGCUGAAUAUUUCGAAAGGCUUCGUUGGGAGUGCCCUCUCAGAUAAGAGAAAGGGUUGAACAUUUUUGCAGGUCUGCCUGUCCGUUAGGGAUGGAGGUCGACAUAUAUAGGAGUCUCUCUAACAUCAAGUAAUAAUGCUAUUCCUUUACCCUGCUUGGUCAUAGCACGGUAGUGGGAGCUGCCAGCUUCACAUGUUUUAACUCUGUCAGAGCACUUUGAAAAAGUGGUCUGUGGUAUCUGGAAAGCUGAUGUUGCGUGUGAAGAUUACAGACAAGCUUUAUCCAAGGAGAUCCAGCUCUUGAAGUUGGGAAAGUGAUGCCUCUUCGAUUUUCGAACAAGCAAUCCUGUUGGGGAUCUGGCUCUCGAGAUUCGGAGAACGAUGCCUCUUCGAUUUUUGAGAAAGCAAUCCUGCUGGGGGUCUGGCUCUCGAGAUUCGGAGAGCGAUGUCUCUUCGAUUUUUGAGAAAGUAAUCAUGUUGGGAGUCUGGCUCUCAAGAUUCGGAGGGCGGUGCCUCUUCGAUUUUGGAGCAAGCAAUCUUGUUGGGAGUGUUUUCUCGAAUGUGAGUAAAGGUUGGGCAUGUUUGCUAGUCUACCUUGCCACGAAGCACAGAGGUUGACACACAGGGACUUUCCAAUUAUCCAGCAGUGGUACUGUUCCUUUACCCUAUUUUCGAUUUUUGAGAAAGUAAUCAUGUUGGGAGUCUGGCUCUCGAGAUUUGGAGGGCGGUGCCUCUUCGAUUUUGGAGCAAGCAAUCCUGUUGGGAGUGUUUUCUCGAAUGUGAGUAAAGGUUGGGCAUGUUUACUAGUCUACCUUGCCACGAAGCACAGAGGUUGACACACCGGGACUUUCCAAUUAUCCAGCAGUGGUACUGUUCCUUUACCCUUGUGGGUAAUAAUAUGGUAGCUAGACCUUCAAAAUUUAUGUGUCUAAACUUUGUUAGUGUUGUUUCUUUGCAAUUCUUUUACCCUUCUUGGUCAGAGCGAUGUAGCGGGAGCUGCAAGCUUCACGUGUCUCAACUUUGUCAGAGAACUUUGGCAAAGUUAUCUGUGGAACCCAUGAGUUACUGUUGCGUGUGGGAAGUGGGUGAUUGAAUAGUACGAUUCAUGUGCUUUCUACUUCGCCAGAAAUCUUCGACAGAAUGCCCAUAAUUUCCGCAAAGCUGAGUGUGCGUGUGACAGGUGCUGACAAGGCUGGAAAAGUAGGUGCCUCUUCGAUUUCUGAGAUCGGCCCUCGUGGUCUCUGAGCAGCCCAGCUUUUGAGAAAGCAAGCCUCUUCGAUUUCUGAGAUCGGCCUUCGUGGUUUUUGAACAGCCCAGCUUUUGAGAAAGCAACGCCUCUUCGAUUUAUGAGAUCGACCCUCGUGGUCUCUGAGCAGCCCAGCUUUUGAGAAAGCAAAUGCCUCUUCGAUUUCUAAGCAGGCGCCUCUUCGAUUUCUGAAGCUUCGUCGAGUGCAGAUUUUUUAUAGGGGCUGACAUUAAGUUCCAAAGCACACUUGAAUAUCCACCAGUAGAAGCUCCAUUCUUGCACUUCUAAGAUCUUGAUUUGUCCGACCUCCUCUCUCUUCAACACCUUUGAAAAUGUCUGGCCCCCCUCCGACCGUCAUUUUGACUUGAACCUUGUUGAAGAGGCAGCCCCGCCUUCUCCAGACAACAUAUGGCGCCCAUCCUUCGUCUCCCCUACUGGUCCUCUUACCGUUGGGGAUUCCGUGAUGAAGAAUGAUAUGACCGCUGCGGUAGUGGCCAGGAACCUUCUCACUCCCAAAGAUAACAGACUACUUUCCAAACGGUCUGAUGAGUUGGCUGUUAAGGAUUCUCUGGCUCUCAGUGUUCAGUGUGCAGGUUCUGUGUCUAAUAUGGCCUAACGCCUAUUUGCUUGAACCCGCCAAGUUGAAUCAUUGGCGGCUGAAGUGAUGAGUCUCAAACAGGAGAUUACAGGGCUCAAGCAUGAGAAUAAACAGUUGCACCGGCUCGCACAUGACUAUGCUACAAACAUGAAGAGGAAGCUUGACCAGAUGAAGGAAUCUGAUGGUCAGGUUUUACUUGAUCAUCAGAGAUUUGUGGGUUUGUUCCAAAGACAUUUAUUGCCUUCGUCUUCUGGGGCUGUACCGCGUAAUGAAGCUCCAAAUGAUCAACCUCUGAUGCCUCCUCCUUCUAGGGUUUUGUCCAGUACUGAGGCUCCGAAAGAUCCCCCUCCAGUAACUUCUCUUUCUGGGGCUCUACCGACUGCUGAGACUUCUCCUAAGCAACCUUUGUGAAGGCUCCAUCUUGUUUGUUUAUUUUGACUCAAGUAUAUGUACAUAUUUGUAACUUAUCGGGGAUAUCAAUAAAUAAGCUUUCCUUCAUUUCAACGUAUUGUGUUAAAUACACCAAAGCCUUCUUCGCUAAGUUUUUUGAAUUUUCUUUUGUUGAAGCUUGUAUGUUGAAGCUUUGUGAGUGGAGCAUGUAGGUUGAGGUAGUGUUCCCUUAAUUUCCCGAGUGAGGAAAACUUCUCGGUUGGAGACUUGGAAAAUCCAAGUCACUGAGUGGGAUCGGCUAUAUGAAUCUUAGAACGCCAUUGUGUUCUGUCUUGUGUCAUGUCCUCCGUUAGAUCCAAGUACUCUAAGUCUUUUCUUAGGGUCUUUUCCAAAGUUUUCCUAGGUCUUCCUCUACCCCUUCGGCCCUGAACCUCUGUCCCAUAGUCGCAUCUUCUAAUCGGAGCGUUAGUAGGCCUUCUUUGCACAUGUCCAAAACCACCGUAACCGAUUUUCUCUCAUCUUUCCUUCAAUUUCGGCUACUCCUACUUUACCCCGGAUAUCCUCAUUCCUAAUCUUAUCCUUUCUCGUGUGCCCACACAUCCAACGAAGCAUCCUCUCAUCUCCGCUACACACCCAUUUUGUGUACGUGUUGAUGCUUCACUGCCCAACAUUCUGUGUCAUACAGCAUCGCCGGCCUUAUUGCCGUCCUAUAAAAUUUUCCCUUGAGCUUCAGUGGCAUACGGCGGUCACACAACACGCCGGAUGCACUCUUCCACUUCAUCCAUCCAGCUUGUAUUCUAUGGUUGAGAUCUCCAUCUAAUUCUCCGUUCUUUUGCAAGAUAGAUCCUAGGUAACGAAAACGGUCGCUCUUUGGUAUUUCUUGAUCUCCGAUCCUCACCCCUAACUCGUUUUGGCCUCCAUUUGCACUGAACUUGCACUCCAUAUAUUCUGUCUUUGAUCGGCUUAGGCGAAGACCUUUAGAUUCCAACACUUCUCUCCAAAGGUUAAGCUUUGCAUUUACCCCUUCCUGAGUUUCAUCUAUCAACACUAUAUCGUCUGCGAAAAGCAUACACCAAGGAAUAUCAUCUUGAAUAUGUCCUGUUAACUCAUCCAUUACCAACGCAAAAAGGUAAGGACUUAAGGAUGAGCCUUGAUGUAAUCCUACAGUUAUGGGAAAGCUUUCGGUUUGUCCUUCAUGAGUUCUUACGGCAGUCUUUGCUCCUUCAUACAUAUCCUGUAUAGCUUGGAUAUAUGCUACUCGUACUCCUUUCUUCUCUAAAAUCCUCCAAAGAAUGUCUCUUGGGAUACGCUUUUUCCAAAUCUAUAAAGACCAUGUGUAAAUCCUUUUUCCCAUCUCUAUAUCUUUCCAUCAAUCUUCGUAAGAGAUAGAUUGCCUCCAUGGUUGAGCGCCCUGGCAUGAACCCGAAUUGGUUGUCCGAAACCCGUGUCUCUUGCCUCAAUCUAUGCUCAAUAACUCUCUCCCAGAGCUUCAUUGUAUGACUCAUUAGCUUAAUACCCCUAUAGUUCAUGCAAUUUUGUACAUCGCCCUUAUUCUUGUAGAUAGGCACCAAAGUGCUCAUUCGCCACUCAUUUGGCAUCUUCUUCGUUUUCAAAAUCCUAUUGAAAAGGUCAGUGAGCCAUGUUAUACCUGUCUCUCCCAAAACUUUCCACACUUCGAUUGGUAUAUCGUCUGGGCCUACUGCUUUUCUAUGCUUCAUCUUCUUCAAAGCUACAACCACUUCUUCCUUCUGGAUUCUAUGAUAAAAAGUAGUUUUCUACACUCUUCUGAGUUACUCAACUCCCCUAAAGAAGCACUCCUUUCAUGUCCUUCAUUGAAAAGAUUAUGAAAAUAACCUUUCCAUCUGUCUUUAACCGCGUUCUCUGUAGCAAGAACUUUUCCAUCCUCAUCCUUGAUGCACCUCACUUGGUUUAGGUCCCUUGUCUUCUUUUCCCUUGCUCUAGCUAGUUUAUAGAUAUCCAACUCUCCUUCUUUGGUAUCUAGUCGCUUAUACAUAUCGUCAUAAGCCGCUAACUUAGCUUCUCUCACAGCUUUCUUCGCCUCUUGCUUCGCUUUUCUAUACCUUUCAUCAUUUUCAUCGGUCCUAUCCUUGUAUAAGGCUUUACAACAUUCAUUCUUAGCCUUCACCUUUGUUUGUACCUCCUCAUUCCACCACCAAGAUUCCUUUUGGUGUGGGGCAAAGCCCUUGGACUCUCCUAAUACCUCUUUUGCUACUUUUCGGAUACAACUAGCCAUGGAAUCCCACAUUUGGUUAGCUUCCCCCUCUCUAUCCCACACACUGGGUGAUUACUUUCUCUUUGAAAAUGACUUGUUUUUCUUCUUUUAGAUUCCACCAUCUAGUCCUUGGGCACUUCCAAGUCUUGUUCUUUUUUCUCACUCUUUUGAUAUGUACAUCCAUCACCAACAAGCGAUGUUGAUUAGCCACGCUCUCUCCUGGUAUAACUUUGCAAUCCUUACAAGUUAUACGAUCCCCUUUCCUCAUUAGAAGAAAAUCUAUUUGUGUUUUUGACGACCCACUCUUGUAGGUGAUCACAUGUUCUUCUCUCUUCUUAAAGAAGGUGUUGGCUAAGAAGAGAUCAUAUGCCAUUGCAAAAUCCAAGAUAGUUUCCCCAUCCUCGUUUCUCUCCCCAAAACCAUGGCCACCAUGAAAACCUCCAUAGUUGCCUGUCUCCCUGCCCACGUGUCCAUUUAAAUCUCCUCCUAUAAAUAACUUCUCCGUCUGAGCAAUUCCUUGCACCAAGUCUCCAAGAUCUUCCCAAAAUUUCUCAUUCGAACUCGUAUCCAACCCUACUUGAGGUGCGUACGCACUAAUCACAUUGAUAAGUUCUUGUCCUAUUACAAUCUUGAUUGCCAUGAUUCUAUCUCCUACCCUCUUGACAUCUACAACAUCUUGUAUCAAGGUCUUGUCCACAAUGAUGCCAACACCGUUUCUCGUUCUAUUUGUGCCCGAAUACCAUAGUUUAAACCCUGAGUUUUCUAGAUCCUUUGCCUUACGACCAACCCACUUAGUUUCUUGUAGGCACAUAAUAUUUAUCCUUCUCCUCACCAUAACUUCUACUACUUCCAUAGAUUUUCCCGUCAAGGUUCCUAUAUUCCACGUUCCUAAACGCAUUUUGCUCUCUUGAACUCUACCCUUUUGUCCUAGCUUCUUCACCCUUCCCCGUCUAAUAGGAUCAAAGUACUUCUUUUGUGUGUCCCGUGUAAAGUUGAUAGGAGCAUAUGCUCCCAAACAACUUUGAGUGGAGUCGUUCGAAAAGAAGUUUCUAUAGCCCCCUUGCUCAUUUAACACUGCAUCCGGGUGCCGAUGGAGAUACAGCGACCCUUGCUCACUUAUCACUGUGCUCGGGCCACACAGUGCGCCACUUACGGGUGACGCCCUAGCUUUAGCGCGAUUUCGUUCUGGAUUCAUUUUCAUAAGGAUUCGACGUGAUCAUGGAGUGCCGGCUGUCGACUACCUGACGCCCUCCCCCUCCUCCUUUAUCCGGGCUUGGGACCGGCAAUGUAAGAUAAACUUACACGGCGGAGUUCAAUGAUAUUCCUAAAGGAAAUAAAAUUGUUUGCUUUGCUGAGGUGCUUCUGUUUAGAUUAAUCAAUGCUAUAGUGCAUUUUGAAACCUAAGUUAUGGAUCUAUUAGUUUCAAUUUAAACACAUCUAGAAACUUAGAUAUACAUUUAUUAGCUCACAUUUAUAUACUGCUGGAAAGUUAAAGAUCUGCUGAUGAUACUAAAUUUAACUUUGGUAGUUUUUCAAACAUAAUUACCCAUACAAUUUCUAAUCCCGCAGCAACGUGCGGGCAUCACUUUCUAGUUUAAUCUGUAUUUCAGAAUUAGUGGUCUUCUUGAUGUUUAACUGUAGCGAAAUGGUUCUUGAAAUUGUGUUUUGGAAUUAGUGAUCUUGAUUCAGAACAAAAGGACUAAUUUCCUUCCUACAUUCCACACCCGAGAUGGAGAGUUCUAAUUUUUAUUUGAAUUGCAUGUUACCUAGAUGAAAAAUUGAAGAAGUUUAUGAAUGUCGUAAAUCAGGAAAUACGUUGGAAGUUAUGCUGAUGAAAAUUCUAACUUUUAUUUAAAUUGAAAGGAACCCAUAUCGAAAGUACGAAUUUUUACUACAUUUUUUUAUUUUAUUUUAAAUUUUGUUCGCUCUGCUUUCAUGGUGUUUUGCGUUUAAUUUGAUCUUUGCAGGCACUGCGUUUGCUUAUCGGUAGACCAGUAGUGGGAAGACUUUUACGAUGAAUGGUUCCGAAACAGAUCCGGGUAUCAUUCAUUGAGCCGUUAGAGAUGUUUUUGACAGAACUCAGAUGGUAAUAAGCUAUUUAUGCUUUCUUAAUUUCAAAUUUGUUGCUUGCUUAUUGAAUUUGAUGCUUAAUGUUUUCAAUUGGAUGCUAUUUAUGUUUCCAGAUGUCACUGAUUCGAGUAUCCUACAUGGAAUUGUACAAUGAGGAAAUUAACGACUUUUUUGCAGUAGAGAAUCAGAAAUUGCAAAUUCAUGAGAAUUUGGAGGUUGGCUACUUACCCUUUUGACAAAUUUAGUUACUUCUUUUAAGUGAACUGAAUUUACUGAAUUUUUUCAUGUUCGGCAUGGCAUUUUUGUUGCUGGCCUCGGGGAGGAAAUUGUCAGUGAUGCUGAACAAGUGUUAAAGCUCAUUGAAUCCGGAGAAGGUUUGCACUUUGAAACCAAAAUGUAAUUAGGAAUUUAAUUAAACCGGCCCUAUGCAAUUGCCAGUUGCACUGAAUAUCAUCAGGUAUGAAGGAAUAAGUGUGUGUGUGUGUGUGUGUGUGUUUGAUUCUACUUAUCAAUAUAUCAAUAGUAAAUAUAGUGUGUUUCUGCAAGUCAGCAAUGUGAGACUCCUUCAUUGUUGUUGAUUGCGUUGAGAUGAACAAGCUUGAGGGUGCAUGCUUUAGUUUAAUAAAUUGGCUAAGCUGCUUAUGCUAUUCAUUGCCGAUUAUGUAUUACCAAUUAACUCAUAGUUUGUAGGAAUUAACUUGAGAUCUUUCUGAUAACGAUUAUUUCCUACCACCUGACCACAUAGAAACAAGAUUGCAUGCGUGCUAUUGUUUUUACACCCAUAUACUUAUUUGCAGAGUUUUGUUGCCAUAAGUGGAGGAUGUUAGUGAAAUUGAUGAACUAAUAAGCUUCAUGUUAGGAGCUUUGUCGAUUAUUCGCUAAAAAACUGAAUUAUGUUUGUGUCGGGAUCAUCGAAGGUUUUCUUCGAAUAUUCUACAAUAACGAUGUUGAUAUAAUGGAAGCUCAAAUUUGUCAGGUGAUACAUACAUGCAUACAAUUUUAUACUUAAAACUGUAUAUUUACUUUCAGAUUUCGAACAAGAAGAUUAGAGUCCGGAUGUGCAGAAUUUGGAGGCCCAAAUUUAUUGGAUCUGAUGAUCAGUUUGAUGAUUUGCAAUGCAUAUUAGUUGAUGAAAUGGUAAGGGAAUCGUUCCAUUAUACUAUCUCCAUUAAGUUAUAAUAUAUCAUUCGCGUACAAUUCAGUGCAACUCAAAUAAUGUCUCGGUGAUGAAAUUGGAGUCUAUGUUUGUCUAAUUUUUGAAGCUGUGCUGAAAUCCAGAGGUUUAUUUGACUGUCUAUAUAUUUGAUUCGAGCACGGGUUCUGCCAUGGUUUUGCAUUCAGUGUGUAUCCCAUCUGGAAAAAAGGAGAGGUGAGAUUCGUGAUACCGUUUUCGUUUGGGUAAACUUAGUUUUCAUUUUUUGUGGUGUCUAUAGGGAGAUUUGUUUUCUGUCUUAAUUUUUGAUUGGGAUGUUUUUGGCAAUUUGUAGUUUCGGAUUCGUUUAUGUUUCGUGCUUUUGUGUAACUAAACUAGGGUUUAUUAAAUUCAAUCACUUCCUUUUAUGCUCCUGCUUUGUUACGGUACAACUGAUGAUGGUUUGUUUCUUUGAUUGUAAAUUUCAGAAGAGCAACUUUUUAUGGGGUCUGCUGCUGUGACUGUUUCUAAGAUUCUGUGAAUAUUUGGUUUCUGGAAUAUGAUUAAUUUUCUUCUCCUUCCACGCUUGCUUUCUAUGAUAUACAAUGUGCCCUUUUUUUUUUAGAUAAACAACCUUUUCAUUAUCUUGCAUGCUUUGGCAACAAAGAUUAAUAAAACUUCACGUCUAUUAUAGAGAGAGAUAGAUGUAGGGAGACGUUGGAAUUGGAGAGAGAGAGAGAGGGUGAGGGAGGGAUGGGGUUGCUUUCUAAAGAUUUGUUUGGAAUUGUUUCUCCAGUUCUUUCUAUUUGUUUGGGAUUGUUUCCUUUUUACUGAAUUAUUUCGGUCCCUGCUACUAAAGUCUAAUUUCUGCUAUUAAUUGAUGCUGAAAUGUGACUUUUGCUAUUAAUUUUUUUACCUUUCAUGUUUAUGCUGCUUUUGGAUUCCAUUCGAAUUAAAUAAUGUAGUUAAUCUUGAUAUGAAUUCUCUGCAACAAUAAUUAGGGACUUUAGUUUAAAUUAUCACUAAUUUGUUCUUGAUUUGGCAUUGAAUCUGGUUCUGGGUCUUCCAAUUCCAGCGAGCUGUUUCCGUACAAAUGUCGGUGCACCGUGUACCGUGCCGUCGACCACAAUCCUCUCUGUUUUAUCUCCAGUGUUCCAGCCAUUUAAGGUAAGCAAUUUCAUAUUUAAUAAAACAAAUUAGGGAUCACUAGCUUUUGAUUAGGUUUCAAAUUAUGAUUUACAAAUUGGGGAUUUGGAGAUUAAUUUUUAUUAGGGUUUUAAUUUUGAGAAAUGAAUAGGUAGGUAGGAGAUAAAUUUGAUUGCAUCAGAAUUUGGGAUUGUUGAUGUGUGUUUUUUUGUUAUUCUGUUAAUAAGUCAGAGAAAAUAUAAUGGCUGAGAUCCACUACUACAAUAUAGGCUAUCACCGGCGGACCAAAAACCGACAAGAAACCAGAUUUCUGUCGAAAAUUUGGCAAAAAUCCGACAUAAAACACUGCAAUGUCAGAUUGGAAUAGCGACGCCAUUGCUACCGUCACUAAAGGGCUUCAGUGUCGCUUUGUUCGCUUAGUCCGCCACUAAGCAGCGUCGGUUUAAAGCGACGUUAGAUAACAAUUAAAUAAAUAAAAUAUGCAAACUAGUGACGGUUUAAAGCGACGUUAGAGAACAAUUAAAUAAAUAAAAGCGACGUUAGAGAACAAUUAAAUAAAUAAAAUAUGCAAACUAGUGACGGUUUAAAGCGACGUUAGAGAACAAUUAAAUAAAUAAAAUAUGCAAACUAGUGACGGUUUAAAGCGACACCACCUUUGAUAAUAAUAAUAUAAAAAAAGUCGAAAUCUGUUUCUGUAUUCGUUCUCAAAUAAUUAUAACUCAAAAAAAUUAUAUAAUCGAAAUAAUAAAUUUCAAUUUUAGGCCAAAACAAACAAUAAUAAAAAUAAUUCAAAAGAAAAAUAGUGCCAUAAUAUACAAAUGUUUUACAUCUAACAUUCCAUAUAAUUUACAAAAAUUCAUCCUCCACAUUUAUUUAAAAUUAGAUACAAUUCUUCAAAAUGGACAAUACAUUCAAAUUCUUGCCACUACGGAAGCAGAGAUUGUAGACAACCCAACUGCGGAAUCGGCCUGAAAUUCAAAAAUAUCGGAAAAAAAUGUCAAGAGCUUUGCUUAUUUGAGGAAAAACCCAAUUGAGAAAACGACCUGAAAUCCAAAAAUUCGACAAUGACCAAUUGAAAAUUUCCCAAAAGACUGAGAAUUUUACAGGCUUGAAGGGCUUUGCGUACCUUGAGAGAUUGAUUGACAGGCGGGUGGAGGGGAGAGAAGACAUGGGAGUGGCCUUGAACGCUGGUUUGUUGACGGCAGAUUUGAGAAGAGAGAAAGCCGGCUUCGAGAAAGAUCUGCAGCGAGAGGCCAUUGGAGCACUGGGCGGAGAAAUAGCGGAGUUAGGGUUUUGGGGUUAACAGUCACAGCAGUUGGAAGUUGGAGAGGCAGGGGUAUGGCUGAAAUGGAGGAAAGAGUAAGGCUGACAUGGGAGAAAGAGAAGGAGAAGGAGUAAACCAGAGGAGAAAUAUAAGAGUGAAAUGGAAGUGCAGAAGUACUGGGAAAGACGAGGUUUAAAUAUGGAUAAAAACUUAGUGUCGGUUAAUACCGACAGUAGCUACAACUUGUGUUGAACAAUGAACACCCUACGUUGGUCAAAACCGACGUAAUAUCUGACAAAUGAUAAAAUUUGCUUGCGUCGAAAUAUGAUGACUUUGCGUCGGUUCAAACCGACACUAGGUCUGACACACUUUUGACUGAAAGGUCUGACAUUUUUUUUACUGACAGGGUUGAAUCGGAUAAAACCGACGUUAGCUUGAUAGAUUUGUGUAGCGUCGAAAUAAUGAGAGUUUGCGUCGGUUAAAACUGACGCCAACUCUGACACAGUCUGCAAGAGCUCGUCCAACCCAUUUCCCCGUGCAAAAAAAAAACCGGGAAAAUUCUUUAAAUUUGAAUUUUUUAAAUUUGAAUCUUCAAAUACCUUUAUCUACCCGUUUUCUAAUUAAAAACACAUUAUUACUAAUCUUACCAAUUUAUCAAAAAAUCAAAAGAAACAUUGCCAGAGGUAGAUAAAAAAUAAAUAAAAAAUUUGUGAUGUAGGUAGAAUUUAUGAUAGAGGUAGACUAUGAACAAAAACCUAUUGUAUAGAUACAUAAUACAAAAUAAUUUGUGAUACAUAUAGACUAUGAACAAAAACAUAUUGUAUAGGUAGAUAACACAAUUAAUUUGUGAUAAAUAGGUAGAUAACACAAUUAAUCUUAGAUAGAUUAUCAACAAAAUAUGUUUUAUAUAUAGGUAGAUAAAUACAAUUAUUCAUGAUACAUGCACACAGUAUAAUAUAAAAAGAUUUAAAAAAUGACCAGUGAUAUAGGUAGAUACAAACAAAACAAAAAAUCGUGAAGAAAAAUGAUAUUGAGGGAGGAAACACUAGAGAAAAUGCUAAUUCGAUAGAACUUCAAAGUUCAAAAAAAUAUAAAAAGGAGAAUGAAGCCAAAAAAAAAAUGAGACGAAGAACCCAAAACACAAGAUUGACUAAUGCAAUUUCUUUAAAAAAAAUAAAAUAAAAAAACCAAUCAAAUGUAUAUUGAUCAUCCUUAUGGAAGGAGGAGGAGAAGAAAAAUAUUAUGGAAGAACAUUACUGGGCAAAGAAAAAUAUUAUGGAAGAACAUUACUGGGCAAAAUAACGCAGGAAGAGAAAGAUAUUGUGAGGAAGAAACAAGAAAGAGAAUUAAAAAAGAAAAGAGAAUGAACGGUUUGGGGAAGAAGAAGAAAAAAAGGAGAUUUAAAUCCCUAAUCCUAUAAUUAAGGAUAAGAUUAACAUUAAUCACAAACUUAAAAAACAGUAAUUACUUCAUUGGUCAAUUUAAGGGUAAAUUUGGCAAGAGAAUACAAAUAAGCUUAUGUGGACAAUGAAUCACUAGACCUAACCCAAAAAUUAAACAAAAUUGGAUUAUAACUAAUAAUAGCUCAUAAAAUUGGACUAAUAUUAAGUUUCUCCUAAAAUAUAAUCAGUUAUUUUAUCUUAUAUAAGAGCCUAAUAAAAAAAUAAUACAUACACUACUAAUCUAUGUCAAGGAGUGUAGCUGUAAAAAAUCAUUAAAAUCGGAGUUAAAAUAACCGUUAAAUCAUGAUUUUUCGUUUAUAACCGUCGAAAAGCUUUGUCCCGUUACUUGAUCUCUGAAUGUUUGUUUUUUGUGAUUUUUUGCUGAUGUGAUCUUGAAGCAUAUGCAAACAAGUUUGACGGUUGGGAUCGUUGAAAUUUGUUUCGGAGAAUUCGUAUCCCAUCAAAACAAUAGAUUGACUAACACUUAGAGUUUAUUUAUACUUUUAUUAAGUAUAACAUAAAAUUAUGUGGUAUCCACUUGUGUAAAUAUUUUAAAUUGAAGAUCGAAUUCAUUCAUUGUAUUCAUAUAGGGUCAAGGAGUGUAGCUGUAAAAAAUUAUCAAAAUCGGAGUUAAAAUAACCGUUAAAUCGUGAUUUUUUGUUUAUAACUGUCGAAAGCUUUGUCCUGUUACUUGAUCUCUGAAUGUUUGUUUUUUUUUAUUUUUUGCUGAUGUGAUCUCGAAGCAUAUGCAAACAAGUUUGACGGUUGGGAUCAUUGAAAUUAGUUUCGGAGAAUUCGUAUCCCAUCAAAACAAUAGAUUGACUAACACUUAGAGUUUAUUUAUACUUUCAUUAAGUAUAACAUAAGAUUUUGUGGUAUCCACUUGUGUAAAUAUUUUAAUUUGAAGAUCGAAUUCAUUCAUUGUAUUCAUAUAGGGUCAAGGAGUGUAGCUGUAAAAAAUCAUCAAAAUCGGAGUUAAAAUAACCGUUAAAUCGUGAUUUUUCGUUUAUAAUCGUCGAAAAGCUUUGUCCCGUUACUUGAUCUCUGAAUGUUUGUUUUUUGUGAUUUUUUGCUGAUGUAAUCUCGAAGCAUAUGCAAACAAGUUUGACGGUUGGGAUCGUUGAAAUUAGUUUCGGAGAAUUCGUAUCCCAUCAAAACAAUAGAUUGACUAACACUUAGAGUUUAUUUAUACUUUCAUUAAGUAUAACAUAAGAUUUUGUGGUAUCCACUUGUGUAAAUAUUUUAAUUUGAAGAUCGAAUUCAUUCAUUGUAUUCAUAUACGGUCAAGGAGUAGCUGUAAAAAAUCAUCAAAAUCGGAGUUAAAAUAAUCGUUAAAUCGUGAUUUUUCAUUUAUAACCGUCGAAAAGCUUUGUCCCGUUACUUGAUCUCUGAAUGUUUGUUUUUUGUGAUUUUUUGCUGAUGUAAUCUCGAAGCAUAUGCAAACAAGUUUGACGGUUGGGAUCGUUGAAAUUAGUUUCGGAGAAUUUGUAUCCCAUCAAAACAAUAGAUUGACUAACACUUAGAGUUUAUUUAUACUUUCAUUAAGUAUAAUAUAAGAUUUUGUGGUAUCCACUUGUGUAAAUAUUUUAAUUUGAAGAUCGAAUUCAUGCAUCGUAUUCAUAUAGGGUCAAGGAGUGUAGCUGUAAAAAAUCAUCAAAAUCGGAGUUAAAAUAACCGUUAAAUCGUGAUUUUUCGUUUAUAACCGUUGAAAAGCUUUGUCCCGUUACUUGAUCUCUGAAUGUUUGUUUUUUGUGAUUUUUUGCUGAUGUGAUCUCGAAGCAUAUGCAAACAAGUUUGACAGUUGGGAUCGUUGAAAUUUGUUUCGGAGAAUUCGUAUCCCAUCAAAACAAUAGAUUGACUAACACUUAGAGUUUAUUUAUACUUUCAUUAAGUAUAACAUAAGAUUUUGUGGUAUCCACUUGUGUAAAUAUUUUAAUUUGAAGAUCGAAUUCAUGCAUCGUAUUCAUAUAGGGUCAAGGAGUGUAGCUGUAAAAAAAAUCAUCAAAAUCGGAGUUAAAAUAACCGUUAAAUCGUGAUUUUUCGUUUAUAACCGUUGAAAAGCUUUGUUGCGUUACUUGAUCUCUGAAUGUUUGUUUUUUGUGAUUUUUUGCUGAUGUGAUCUCGAAGCAUAUGCAAACAAGUUUGACGGUUGGGAUCGUUGAAAUUUGUUUCGGAGAAUUCGUAUCCCAUCAAAACAAUAGAUUGACUAACAAUUAGAGUUUAUUUAUACUUUCAUUAAGUAUAACAUAAGAUUUUUUGGUAUCCACUUAUGUAAAUAUUUUAAUUUGAAGAUCUAAUCCAUUCAUUGUAUUCAUAUAGGGUCAAGGAGUGUAGCUGUAAAAAAUCAUCAAAAUCGGAGUUAAAAUAACCGUUAAAUCGUGAUUUUUUGUUUAUAACUGUCGAAAUUAGUCUCAUAGAAUUCGUAUUCAAUCAAGUUCAAUGGUGUGUGUGUGUAUAUAUAUAUAUAUAUUAAGUAGAUUUAAAUUUAUUUAUUUUUUAUGUAUAACACUUAAGAAAUUGAAUCGUAUGUAUAUUUAAGCCAAUCCAAUGAUCACCAAUUUUUUAAAAUUUAAUUUAAUAUAUAUAUAUAUAUAUAUUUAUAUAAUUAUUAUAGUUUUUAGGGAUAUAAAAUUUAAUUUAAUAUAUAUAUAUAUAUAAUUUAUGUUGCUUAAAAGCGACACUAGUAUUUAAAAAAUACUUUAUGUCGCUUAAAAGCGACACUAGUAUUUAAAAAUUAUUAAAAUAAUGUUUACGUCGGUUUAAAAGCGACACUAGUAUUUAAAAAUUAUUAAAAUGUAUGUUUACGUCAGUUUAAAAGCGACAUAAACAUUUUAUGACGCUUAUAAGCGACAGUAAAUCCGACGUCAUGUUCAAUUAGUGUCACAACUGCCUAAUCCGCCACUAUAUUAGAUUAAAGCGACACCACCCUCCGACACUAUAACCCCCUUUUGUAGUAGUGAUCGGUGGUGAGCAAGGCAGUGGAGGUUGGCAACAAGAAUAACCUCACCUUCACCGUCAGGAACUACGCCGACUUCGUCAUCCAGCAUGCCGGCCAAGCCGUCGCUGACGGAGCUAAAUGGUUCCAGGGCCGAAUAAUAAUUUCACAAUUUCCACCAUUUUUCACAUUUUCUGCCAUUUUUUCUCAUUCACAUUUGUUUACAGGGAGGUCGGAGCUUUAGGAGUGUGAAGAAUAGUAUACAGAGAUGGGAGGAAGCAGCUGUUUCCUGUAGGUAAUUUUUGCUCUGACUUAUUUAGAUUUUAUAUUCUGGGUUAAUUAUCAACCGGAUUUUGUUACUAGAUUUAGAAUUGUAAUUUGGUACCACUUCUGCCACAUGCCGCUUCAGUUUUCACAUCCUAAUGCCACGAAAUGCUAAUUUUAAACUCUAGGUUAUGGGUAAGGAUUAGUAUUUGGAGGCACAAAUUCUUCUCAGCUGCUAAACCAAGUUCAAAAUCAUUUUGCGCGUGGUUUACAUUAGGCUAUUCAAGCCCUAUUUUAAAUGUAUGAUUGGUUUAUGUGAAAUGAAAGAGAGUUAGAAUACCUUGUGAGAUGACUGAUUCGAGAACCCAUUUUAAAUAAAACGUAUCAAAAGUGUUGAGCUGAGAGCGAAGAGAUUCUUUGCAUGGAAAACAGAUUUCACUUUGUUUUCUUUACUCAAAGUGCUCUUAUUUAAUCUGGUUCUGUUUCGGUUGCAUAGUAUGUGGUUCGCAGCGACUAAGAAUCGUUUCCUAAGAAAUCUAUUGAGCUAAGUUCUUUUUGGUAGGAAAUUAGGGUUGCUGAUGUUAGCAAUGGAUUGAGUCUUUCUGUUUGGUAUGAUUAUAUCUCUGAACAAGCAUUAAUAAAUAGAACGAUUUCCAUCAAUAAUUUUAUUCGGUCAAGAUUCAAACUCCCAUUGUAGAUCAAACUAUAAGUCAAACUCCCAUUGCAGAUCAAACUAUAAGUCAAACUCCCAUUGCAGAGCAAACUAUAAGUCAAACCCCAUUUCAGAACAAACUGGGAACGAGGAGGCGCAAUAGGGUAUGGCUAUUUCCGGGCCGUCGUUCAUUUUGAGAUUCUGGUAACAUCUAUAUAAGCUAGCUUAUUUUUAGACCAUUGUUUAGGUGUACAUAAUUGUUUAAUGGCUUUGUACUUUUCCUUUUUGUCAGCUAUAGAUGUUCUAAAAGAUACACAUACCCCUCCACGGAGAAUCAAGUUCAUUAGUUUACAUUAUAUAUCAUUUUUAUGAUGUAAGAAACCACAACCAUCUAAAAGUUUUAGUGAAGUUGUAUUUUAAAGUCAGGUUGGUAGGACAUGUUGCUAUAUAUAUUUUCAAAAAGUUUUCAACUUCGAAUUUUGUGAUGUGUGAUUAUAGAGCAAGGAGAAUGUGACCCCGAUUAGCUCGAAGCUUGCGGUAAACUUUCUUUUUGUUCAGGGUUACGAGAAUUCUUACAAUAAGAACUAGAACAACUCAGAUUUUAAUUUUCGGUUUAAAGCUGUUUUUAAUUUGGUCCGCCAUGUUUGUUUGUUAUUAGGAACCUAGAAGAGUCUUGAAUUCAGUUUUCAAACUCUGACUGAAAAUGGAACUUGGUGCUAUUAAGCUAUCAUCCUCAGCCAGGUAGCGCCAUGACUUUUACAUUGCUGCUUUCAUUUUAUGUACUAAUUAUUGUUCUAUGAAUUGUAUUCUUCAGUUAAAUAAUGAUUCAUCCUCCUUUUCCCAUCUCCUUGGUUUUUUCGUUUAGAUUUUUCUGUUUGCGUAUUAUAAUUUUUUUGGGUAUUGGUUACUGUGCACUUAUUAGGUAAGUCAAUUCUCAUGUGAUUUGUACAUUCACAUUCCUGGGUGUAUAAUUUAUAAUAUGUGAACAUAUUAUAGUAACUAAGUUUAAUCCCUGAAUUUAUUAUUUAACUGGGAUGUAGAUUUCAUAAUUGAAAUUAUGUUAAAUGUGAAUUGUUAGUGAUUACACUUCACUCAAUUAUAUCAAUCCUCUUCAAUAUGUAGAUGUAAGUUCGUUAUUAGUGCCAUUAAGGGUUGAUUAAUCCUCAUAUGCGUAGCAAUAAUUAUUAGUGCCAUGUAGUGUUGGUACUUAUAUAAACGCAUUUUAAACGAAUGUUAGUAUAUUCUUAGGGAUGUUAACAACACUACUCUCUAGUUUAGCCAGGUACCUACUUUGGUUUUUUCGUUCCCUCAUCAUAUGCUUUGCACAAUCGUAACUAUGAGCUAAAUACUAAUGGGUGAAUAAUGAAUGUUCUGCUGAGUAGUAUGUUAUUACCAAUCUUGGUAGAUUUACAAAGCAUAUGAGAGAAUUCGUCAGUAGAGUUAAUCAUCUGUAACAAUAAAUGUUAAUUAUUCAAGCUUGAUUUCUUGGCAAUGGCUUCCUUCGUUAGCGUCUACAACUACGUCUCUCUUCACUUUCCCACUUCCUCCGGUCUCUCUUUCUCUUUCUAAUCUCUACUGAGUUUCUUUCAAUCUGUCAAUUUAUAUAAUUUAUUCUUUGAUGUGAUAUUUGGUGCGUUUGAUUUGGUUUUGUGAAUGUCUUCCUGACUUUUCUUCUUUGGAUUCAAAUAAUAAGUUCAAUGGUUAUAUACAUAACAGAAUAGUGAUUUGCGAACAAGGCAAUUCAAAGCUUGAAAAUUUGUAUAUCAUGCUAAGCUGACUACCUUUUUUCCCCACUUUUUCGACUUUGAGGAAUUGCAGUAUUUUAGCCCAACUUGCUAAAAUUUUUGUUUAUUUUUAAAUGAAUUCUAUAUGAAUUUACUUGGAAAUGUUAUAUGAAUUUUGUAUAAACUUGAAUAAAACUUAUAUCUGCAGGUUGAAUGUGUCCUUUGCCAACUAUUUUUUGGUAUAAGAAAAAGAUUACAUUAUACACACACAAUGCAAUGUGUUACCUAUCUGUUUAUAUACAUGUUAUAUUAAUACAUAUAAUGUUACAUGUUAAACAAAGCAAUAGAUGCCAAGCCAAAAGUGAGAAUGGGAACGAAGAAUCCAUGUCAAAAUCUCGCAUUUGUUCAAAGUGGUCUUGAUGGAACAUGGAAUCCAUAUCACCAAGUGUACUAAUUCAAGGUUCAUUGUUUAAUUCUUAAAUUAAAAUUAAUUUUGUCUUGACUCCAGUUUCUUCAUGCCUUUCUUAACUUCACAUGCAUAGUUGAUAAAGAGCUUCAGGAGGGUCAUUACUAAACAUCUACAAAUUUGUUAAGCCUAAGGCUUCCAGUUAUCAAACUACAGGUAACUACGGAUUAGUAGAUGUUUAGUAAUGACCCUUCUGAAAUUAUGGGUAUAUUAUCGAUAGUAUUGAUCAAUCGAGUAUGCAUGAGAACUUAAGUAAUCAUUGCCAUAAAAAGUAGAAGUGAUGACUCACACCAGGAAUCAGUUAUCUCAUCAACAACUUUAUUUUUAUCUAAGAUCGAGUUUGAUACCUGUAGGUGUAUAUAGGUUAAAUCGAUUGUUAAGAUGGAAAUUUAAUCACUUUUCAAUGUCCGAUAUCUCCAUCUCCCUGUUCUAGAUUUUUACUUACUUGAAAUGAAUAGAUUCGAGGUGUUUCAUUUAGCAAAAUGAGCAGUGGAUAGUGCUAAUUUAAACCUAAAAGUGAAUAAAUUUAAACCUAAAAGUGCCUAAAUAUAAGAGUGCGCAUGUGAGCAGAAUUGAACCCAAUUCACACGUGAUGCAGAGCACAAGUAAAGUGCAGUAGAGGUAGGAUAGUAAAGGUAAUCACCUAUACCAAAAUUUGCCAAGAAUCCUCGUCGACAUGAAAGCUCAGCUAUUAAAACUUGGAGGGGCGAAAAACAAAGGUGAGUGGGCUUAAAAAUAAAGCUUUGUAAAAACUUUUUCGAAAACAUAACAACCCCUUACUGUAAAACAAGUAUAGUUUCUAAAAUAUACAUACUACGUAUAGUAUGAAAAUACUUACCGUAGCCUGCAAUAUCUCAAAAAUUCAAUAAGUCACAAUAUUUCUAUAAUAAACAUCUAACGUCCGGUAAUCACAUAAUCUCGCAUAAACAAAAGUACCAUAUCGAGUGCUCAUUGACAUAUGCUAACACACGAGUUCAUGCAGAGGUAUUAUAACAUGAAUAGGACUAGAUGUAAUAAUGAUUUACGUUCUAGUACUACAAUCACGUGAAAACCUGCGCUAUGCGCAUCACAUAUGAGUCCUAAUUGCCUAUAGCAAUCUAGGAUAGGACUGGCAGCUACAAUGGAUCCAAAGUGAGCGUACCGUGUGAUGUGAACAUACACGUGAAAGAUUGUCCCUGGCCUUGGGCAUGUACUAACAUCGAUGUAGCACACGAUGAGCAGAUAACAUAAAUAUAAUCAUGCCAUAGUGAUUCGAUAAUACUAGUCAACAUAAUGUUAUUCAUGACUGCAAAUAUAAUUAAAGCAUCCCGAAAUAGUACACAUAACUUUACAUAAUGAUUUCCUAAUUCUCAACAUUACGACAUUUCUUAUAAACGUUAAUUUAAUUAUGGAAAUCACAUAGAAACUUCGUUAUUAGAUGUAUAUAUGGAAAAUAAACAAAUACAUAUAUUAUAUAAAAGAACAGACCCACUAACAGAUACUUGUGAAGUCGUAGUUGUUCGAACAGAGAAGCCGGAGUCUCCGCUAGUAAUCGCACCUAAGCAUUAUAUUGGGACCCAUUAGUUAAACUCAAUUAAAACGAUUAAAUUUGAGAAAACGAAGUGUGAAUUUGGAAUCAGGGCGACGAAAUACGCUAAGAAGGGUCCCGAAAAUUUUUCGUAAAAUGUCAACGAAAAGUCAACCGAGACGCCGAGCCAGUCAACUAUGUUAAAUACGGUUGAUGUGAAAUAUUUCAACAGAAACUAUGAGGAGAAUUUAUAAGAUAGAUAUUUAAUAGACGACAUUGAUGUUUUAUGUUUCUGCGCUUCAAGUCCGCCAGCCCUUUUGCAUUUGUUGCCUAUUGCACAACUGAUGGAUGUUAAUAUUCAGUUUACAGGCAGUUCCUACAAAACCAGUUCCCUUGUAGUCUACGAUUCUCAUUCAUUCGCUCCGAUGAUUGGAACGAAAUGUUGUACAAAUUUCGUAGCUCUGGUUUUAGAAUUUUAGACAACUCUUGCUAUACACAUUACUCUUAAAUAUCUAAUUGUUGUACAAGUAUUCUUAGUUACUGAGGCAUAGGAAAGUUUCGAUUUCAUUUGAUUGAAAAAAGUGUCUCCAAUUAAUCGAAUGAAUAAGAAUCCUUUUAAAUGAACAUAGCUGCUUUCAUUCUAAUUUCAGAAUAUCCAAAUCCAUGACAACAUGCAGCACUCUACUAUCUUUAUUUACAUUACUUUCAUCUCCAUUUUUUUUGGUUAAAAAAACUCUACGGUACGAACAAACAUUAUUAUAACGUUAAACAGUACGAUAUAUAGAGUAUAGUCUUGAACUUCGACAACACAAUCAACUAAAAGCUAAAAAGAACAAAUACAUUCUUUCUUUUUAAAGAAACCUCGACGGCGAGGGAAAAUUUUAUUGAAUAGAAAAAAAAAGUUACACCUAGUCAGGGGGGGACAUAAACCUUACCCCUCAAUAUUUUAAACACAAACACAAAUACAUAACGUGAAACAAACUUAUAACUAAACAUAUAAAAAGAGAAGGAAAGAAACCACAACAGAGAAAACAAACAACAACAACAAAUGCAUAACAUUGUAACAAACUCAAUUUCUACGCCCCCACUAGUACUCUAAAUUUUCCUUAUAUAUCAUUUGUCUGAUCAUUCCAACAAUCUUAAGAAACAAGUCGGGCCUCCUUGUGAUCACAACAUCAGCAAGAACUAACCCCACGACCAACCCACUUCCACAUCCGGCCGAAACAAUUUUCCAACCAAAUUCAAAUAUUCCUGCUGAGCUAGAAUCACCUUCGUCUACGGUUGAAGGUGGACGUUGAGGGGCCGUAGAAUUUCCACAUUUCUUUGGCAAUGGAUCUCCACACAACCCUGGGUUUCCCUCAUAUGAAGUGAUAUUCAAUGAAGUAAGCUGGGUUCCUUGUGGUAUAGGACCUGUGAGAUUGUUGUGAGACACAUUGAAACUGCCAAGAAAAGUAAGUUGCUUUAGUUGUGGGGGGAUCUGUCCUGAGAGCAUGUUUUGCGAAAGGUCCAACGAUUCAAGGUUCAUCAAGUUUCCAAAGGAUGAUGGGAUAGAACCAGUGAGACUGUUGUGGGAAAGAUUCAGAGAAUGAAGCUCCUUAAGAUUCCCGAUGAAUUCUGGAAUCUUUCCUUCAAAUUUGUUGCUUGAUAUAUCAAAGGAUGCAAAUUCUUCUCGAAUCUUUGGAUAGUAUUGCUCCAAACCUUUCGUUGCUAUUGUGAGUGCGUAAUCACCUCUUCUAUCAAUCGUGAUCCCGCUGACAUCAUAAACUACGUCUGUAUACAUAUAGGCUGACUUGUUUAUAAUAAUAUCUGGAAAGAUAGAUGGAACCGCGCCAGUAAAAUUAUUGUAAGACAAAUCAAGAAUGCGUAACUUGGGGAAAUCGACAUUCAUUCUAGAUUUUCGAAUCACACCGUAGAAUCCAUUAUGGCGCAUUGCCAAAAGUUUUAACUCUAGAAGAGUCCCCAACCAAAUGGGAAAAACAUCAUUGAAUUGAUUGUUUGACAAAACAAGAUACUCAAGCCUCACACAAUUGACCAAUGACCUCGGCAAUUGCCCCUGCAAUUUGUUAUGACUCACGUCAAUCAUCCUCAAACUGUUUCCGUUGUUGUAUGUCUGAGGAAUAACUCCAUGAAAGGAGUUGUUUCCAAGAAGUAAAAGAAUCAGAUCAUCACUAAAGUUUCCGAGACAUUGAGGAAGCAUGCCACUCAACUUAUUUUUCGACAAGUCAAGCAACUGAAGAUUUUUCAUAUUGCAAAGCAAGGGUGAGAUUUCUCCAGUAAGGUUGUUGUCUGUAGCUGUAUAUUCUAGCAUGGUUGGUGGAGCUAUCGGUAGUGAUCCAUGAAACCUGUUGGACGAAAACUUGAAGCAUACCAUGUUCACCCAAGGAAGGACAGGUGGAAGUUGGUCUGAAAUGAAGUUUUGACUCAUGUCUAAGAAUACCAAAGUUUCUAUGCUUGUGUUCCACAUCCAUUUUGGUACUUGGCCCUGGAUUUUGUUUGCAGCAAUGUCGAAACGCGUCAACCCCUUUUGAUAUUGUAAGAAGGAUGGAAACUCACUUAUGUUGCAAGAACUCAAUCCAAGAAUGGUGAAUUGUUGAACUGUUGAAUUCACAAUUCUGGAUUCAGUGACAAAUUCUAAACUGUUCCAAUUGAAUGUGAGUUGGGAAAGAAAUUUUAGAUUUUGAAACAUUUGAAACUCCACUACACCACUCAGACUAUUCGAUGCUAGGUAAAGGAUCUGAAGGUUUGUGAGAUUUGAAAAUGACAAGGGAACUGAACCAUUUAAUCUAUUAUAAUUAAAAUCUAGGUACUCUAGUUUGCUAAAGUUUCCUAACCAAGAUGGGAUUGGACCAGUUAAUCGACUCGUACUAAUCCUAAAAGUAACCAGUUGGGUAAGGUUUGAGAAGGAAUCAGGAAUUGGACCUCCAAAUUUGUUGGCUGAAAUGUCUAGAUAAGUGAGCUUCCUAAGAUUCCCAAGUGAAGAUGGAACCAACCCUUCCGAAAAAUUGCAUUGAGCCACAUCCAACUUUUGCAGUGAAUCAA